This 194596-nucleotide long non-coding RNA is filed under the name Hordeum vulgare. Its description in RNAcentral is "long non-coding RNA (HVUL_LNC007576)". The record is from RNAcentral. Lineage: Eukaryota; Viridiplantae; Streptophyta; Magnoliopsida; Poales; Poaceae.
GCUGCCGGCGUUCUCCCUCUUCAUGUAAACCUUAUAAAAUAAGAGAGAAAAAGGCAUAAGUAUUGUACCGUAAAGUAUAAUAACAGCCCAUAAAGCAAUAAAUAUCAACAUAAAAGCAUGAUGCAAAAUUGACGUAUCAGGUACCAGAGCUCAAAGUGAAAAUCUUAGAGAUAUUUUUAAGGUGGCAGGCUUUUCCUAUCAACGAGAAAGACUAAGAGUUUUCAAUCUCCUCCGUGCUAAACAAAUUAUAGGAGGUUCCCAAACUGGAAAUAAAGUUAUUCCUUUUUCCACCAUUCUUUCACAUUCCACGGCUACCGUCCAUACCAACACUUCCCAAGGAAUUUAUUAUCUGAGAGCCUAAAAUUAUAUUUUUCUUUUUGGGAUUGGGCAUAUCUAUUACUGCCAUACUCUCGUGCAAUAUAAGUGAAUAAACACUCAUCUUGAGAAUAACCUGUUUAACAUGGAAGAUACUGGCCACCCCUCGCUUCUUCAUGAGUGGUACGGGCACACAAAACAGAAAUUUAUUUUGAAAAAUAGAGUUAGCACUUGCAAAUUUACUUGGAACGGUGUUGAAAUACCACACAUAGGUAGGCAUGGUGGACUCAUUUGACACAACUUUGGGUUUAGGAUUUGGAUGCACAAGAAGUAUUCCCGCUUAGUACAAGUGAAGGCUAGCAAAUAGAUUGAGAAGCUCCCAACCGAGGAACAAAAAUCAUCAUAAGUGAACAUUAAACACAACUAACACCGAAUAAUGCAACACAAGUAGGAUGUAAUUUCAUAACAUAGUUAUUGACUUCAUGUGCAUGCAUAGUGAAUGACAAACCUUAACACCAAUAUUCUUACUAGAGCAUAAUUACUCAUUAACAUAACUCACAUAUUACUAUCUUCAUAUCGAAUAACUAUUGCAAAGACUCAAGCUUAAUAUCCAAUGAUCUUCAUGAAAGUUUUUAUUAUAUCUUUCCUGGACAUUCAUCACUUUGGGACUACUUUUCAUUUAAAGCAAAUUGCCAAUGCAAAUAACGAGCUCUCAAACAAGUAUAAGUGAAGCAGGAGAACACAAGUUUCUUUAAAAAUUUCAACUCUCAAAAUUAUAUAAGUGAAGCAAUAGAGGAUUUCUUAAAAAUUUCAGCAACUCUCAAAAUAAUCUAAGUGAAGCAUUAGAGAAAAUUUCUUCAAAAUAAGAGCACCACCAUGCUCAAAAAGAUAUAAGUGAAGUACUUGAGCAAUUCCAUGCCUCAAAAAAUUAGUGAAGCAUAAAGAGUGAUUCGAACAAAUCAUAGCGUAAUUUGGCUCUCUAAAUUAGGUGUGUCCACCAAGGUUUAUUUUGACAAACUAACCAAAAAAUAAAGCAAAGACACAAAUGAUACAAGACGCUCCAAGUAAACUCAUGAUAUGUGACAAAUAAAAAUAUAGCUCCAAGUAAAAUUACCGAUGGUUUUUAGAAGAAAGAGGGGAUGCCUUCCGGGGCAUCCCCAAGCUUAGCUGAAUGAACUCCAUAGAUAUUGCCUUGGGAUGCCAUGGGGAAUCCCCAAUCUUAGGAUUUUAUCACUCCUUACUCCUUCAUCCAUCGUGAUUCCACUCAAAACUUGAAAACUUGAAUCACACAAAACUCAACAAAAGUUUCAGGAGAUCCAUUAGUAUAAGAAAACCAAACUUAACUAUAGGUAUUGUUGAAAACCCAUUCAAUUUUUUUUGCAUUAUACCUACUGUAUUUAACUUUACCAUGGCUUAUGCCCCUCUAUAUAAACCAUAGAAUCAUUAAAAUAAGCACAUAAUGCAAAUAGAACAGAAUCUGUUAAAAACAGAACAGCUUGUAAAGAUUCAAAAUUUACUUAUACUUAUGUAGAUCUAAAAAUUCUGAAAACUUAGGACAAUGUAGGGAAUUUGUAUAUAAAUCUGGUGUAAAAACUUUAGGCACUUUUUACGUUUUUGUGAUUUUUAGGAUGUUUUGUGCUAGACGCAAAUGUUUCUGUUUUUCAACAGGAUUAAAGCAACUAGCACCCUACAUGAUCCCAAAGGAUUUACUUGGCACAAGCACUAAAUAAAACACAAAAACACAAUUAUAAUAGUAGCAUAAUUGUGCAACACUCAAGAACAGAAAGCAAAAGUGAAAAUAAAUUUUAUUAAUUGGGUUGCCUCCGAACAAGCUCUUUCUUUAUAGCCAUUAAGAUAGUCUUGAGAUUUUAUUGAUGCUCACAUGAAAAAUAGUUGAAACACAAAGAGAGCAUCAUGUAGCAUAAGACAAACACAUUUAAGUCUAACAUACUUCCUAUGCAUAGGCAUCUCAUAAGCAAACAAAUUAUCAAGACAAGAAAUAUCUAACAUAUGCAUGGAAGAAGAAAGAAACAAUAGCAAUCUCAACAUGAAGAGUGAUAAUUUAGUAACAUGAAUAUUUCUAUAACCAUAUUUCCCUCUCUCAUAAUAAUUACAUGUAGGCUCAUAUUCAAAUUCAACUAAAAUAUUCUCUUCAUCAUCCACAACACCAUGUAAGAAGCACCUACACACAAAUGGAAAAUCCUCGCAACCCAACGCGUGGACGGGUUGUCAAUCCCUCAUGGGUAAAGUAAGGAUAUAUUGAUAGAUGCAAAUAAGAGUGAUGAAAAUAGAACACAUCAAUGUAUUUUUGUGUUUUUUGAUAAUAUAGAUCUAAAAAUAAAAGAUCAAAUAAAGUAGAAAUGCAAAUAGUAAAGUAGAGAUUGCAAAUAGAUGAUGUGAAGUAGACCCCGGGGCGUAGGUUUCACUAGUGGCUUCUCUCGAGAAAUAGAAAAUGGUGGGUAGACAAAUUACUAUUGCCCAAAUGAUAGAAGAGCAAAUAAUUAUGACAAUAUUCAAGGCAAUGAUCAUGUAUCUAAGAAUUACGUCCAAGAUAAGUAGAUCGACUUUUGCCUGCAUCUACUUCUAUUACUCCACACAUCGACCGAUAUCUAGCAUGCAUCUACGGUAUUGAGUUCAUGGAGAAAUGGAGCAAUGCCUUAAGAACGAUGACAUGAUGUAGACAUGAUCUAUUCAUGUAGGAAUAGACCCUAUUGUUUUAUCUUUGAUAGCAACGACACAUGUGUGUCAUGUCUCUUUGUGUCACUCAAAUUGAGCACCGCAAGAUCAAACCCAUUACAAAGCACCUCUUCCCAUUGCAAGAUAAAAUAUCAAGUUGGGCAGACAAAAACCAAAUAUCAGAGAAGAAAUACGAGGCUAUAAAAAUCAAGCAUGAAUAUGUUUUCAGGGAUCUUAUCAUAAACUCACAAUUCAUCGGAUCCCAACAAACACACCACAAAAAAGGAGUUACAUCAUAUGGAUCUCCAAGAGACCAUUGUAUUGAGAAACAAACCGAGAGAUAAAGCAAGCUGGCUACUGCCUACAGACACGUAUGUCUGAUAUGAACUACUCACGCAUCCUCGAAGGAGCACCAAUGAGGAUGGUGAACCCCUCUGUGAUCGUCUUCCUCUCCGGAAUGGGGUUUAGAUUGGAUUUCUUGGCUCUAGAUCUUGCGGCGGCUGAAAUGAUUUUUUGUCGAUUCCUCUAGGGUUUUCUAAAUAUUGGGGUAUUUAUAGAACUCAGAGGCGGUGGAGGAGGUGUCCGAGGGCCCCACUAGACACCAGGUCGCGCCAAGGGCCUCUAGCGCGCCUUGCUGUCUAGUGGACCCCCUGGGCCUCGUCUGCUGCUCAUUCUUGGUUCCAAGUUUCCUUCUGGUCCAAAAAAAAUCUCCGUGAACUUCCGUGGCAAUUGGACCUCAUCUGAUAUGGAUUUUAUGCGAAGGGAAAAAUAGCAAAAAAGAGCAACUGACACUAGGCACUAUGUCAAUAGGUUAGUCCCAAAAAAUGAUAUAAAGUUGCUAUAAAAUGAUCAUAAAACAUACAAGAAUGACAAUAUAACAGCAUGGAACAAUCAAAAAUUAUAGAUAAGUUGGAGACAUAUCACAGCCUUGUCUAUGAGCCGGCCCUCGAGGCCUCUCCAUGAGUCGCCUUCAGUCAGGGUCCACACUGGGCCUUGUCGUCCAGGUCGACCCGAUAAACAAGGUGACCUUACGAGCCGCCAAAUGAUGGGCUGGGUCAAACCUCCUAGUCGGGUCAGACCAUGGGGAAUAUCCCCAACAUUAGCUCCAAUGCUAGCUUGAAUUUAUUCAUGGUAAGCUCCUGAAAUAAUAAUGAUAAUAAUAAUAAUAACAAAUAUGCUAAGAAACUAGAUUGGUCCACUGGCUGGCUUAUUUCAAUGAAGUAGCUCCUCAAAAAUUCGGGUUUCUUCUUCAUAAAAAUUAGCCAUCUUCACCAUCAUCUUGCUGGUCUGUGUCCUCUGCAAUAAAAUAUUGGGAAUAAUAAAUCCUCCAUUAUUGAGCGAGUUUUCAAAUGUUUCGGCUUGAUGAAAAUAUUGGAGAUAGGAAAACCAGAUUAUGUUGAGCCGACUUCCAUUGCUUCGGUUUUGAUGAAGAUAUUGGUAGUAGAAGUUUUUCCGUUGUUAAACUGCUUCCUCAGACGCGGGGAUUUCGCCGGGUCAUCAGACGUAGUGGAUGCCAAAUUAGGAUAAAAAUAUUGCUGAUUUAUGGACGUAGAAAUUGCCAAAUUGUGAGGCUGGGUUGGUUAUAUAGACUCUGUCGGGUCCUGAUCAUUCAUGAUGCCAAGUAGACUACAGUUGAAUUUGAUAAAUGUAUCGGGAAUAAAGAAAUCCGUGUGAUGUUGAGCCGACUUUCAAUGUUUCAUCUCAACCAAGAACUGAGAUAUGGAUCACUCAAAGAUGAUCGUUUGAAGAUGUUAUUCCUCUCUCUUUUUUAUGUCCAUAUUACAUGUAGCCCCUAAGCUCCGAGUUUAUCAAUUAAUGAUGACUUGGUGCUCCGCGUAGAAAAAUAUCUUGACUGUGUAGCCCCGAAGUGCCGGAUUGUCUUGCCCAUAGCAUUAUGGGAUUUGCAGUUGUCUUAUACUUAUAAAACUUCAGCUAGUGUAGCCCCCAAGGGUCGGGUUGUUUUGCCUGCAACAAGCUCGGACUUGAACUUAGUUUUGGAUGUUGUAGAUAGCUUGGAGAAAUCCAGCUUGUCCAUCCGAGUCACCAGUUAUAAGCUGAUUUUUUUCAACAUGUGUAGCCUGAUAAACCACAAGUCUAGGGGAUCUAACAGUCUUCACGUGUUGUGUUUCACCGUGAUUUAUUGAUUCAUAACGAGGGGAGCCAAAGAAUAUUUAUUGGUUGUAACUGUUGAUUUGUCACUUCAACCGCACCUGGGAUAUCUCUCUCAAGCGAAGAUUUAGUAUCACAACAAAUGAUAGUAGUAACAGAACAGUGAUAGCAGUAAUUUUGCUAAUAGUAGUAACAUUAGCAAUUGAGUAGAAGGUGCGAGAGCAGCAUAAACAGUAAUAACUCAGCAAGAUUCAAUAUAUGUAAACGCAUAGGCACGUGGAUCGGUGAUGGAUAAUGAUUUAGAUAACAUUGAUCAUAGAACAGUUACACACUAGGGCAACACAUAACUAACUCCAAUUCAUCAAUAUAAUGUAGGCAUGUAUUCCAUAUAUAGUGAUCCGUGCUUACGAUAAGAACUUGCGUGACAUAUUUUGUCCUACCCUCCCGUGGCACGAGGGUCCUAUUAGAAACUAAGGGAUAUUCAGGCCUCCUUUUAAUAGAGAACCGGAAAAAAUCACUACCACAUGGUGUAUACAUGAACUCCCCAAACCAUGGCAAUCACCGGAAAGAAUCCCAAUUAUUGUCACCACGGGGUAUGCAUAUCAGAAAUGAAAGAAAUAAGAAAAAAAAACCUAUCUAACGCUUAACUGAGGCCCACCCCACCUUUUCCCUGUCGUCUACCUCGUGCCAGCGAGCAGCACGAGGUGGCCGCUGCUCGCUCCGGCGCAGCCACGCAACUGCGUGCUUGCCUGGACCUCCCCAUCGUGCUCGCAAGGAGGAUAAGCCUCCCCACGAUCCAUUCCCACCUCUUCCCCCUCCUCAUUCACGCUCUCUCCUCUCUUUCCUCCUCGGCCGCCAUGACCGUGAGCUCGAGCUCGAGCUAGCCAUUGCUCCGGCCGUCCUUCCCCGCCCCUGAGCACGUCGUUCGCUCCGCCUCAACGAGCUGGUCGCCCUACCAAAGGAGAAGAGGCCCCGAGCUCUACAUCGCCAGAUCCCCAUCGUCUUCUUCCUCGGAUCGCCGACGUUUGCCGCCGUCGCUCUUCCUCCUCAGACCAUCCCCGAGCCUGCUCUCGUUGCCUAUGCACUCCCCGUGAGCUCAGGGUUCUUUUCCCCUCAUUUCCCCCUUCGAUUCUGAGCUCUAGGCCCCGAUUCCACCGGAGCCCGACGAGAUCCGCCGCGGGACCUCGUCGCCGGUAGCCCUCCGGUGAUCGGCUGGUCAAUCUGAGGCCACCAAUGGCUUCAGUGUGUUGUGUAGGUGCUGUAGGAGCCUAGCCCCGCGCGUGUUGAGCCCCGUAGCAGUGCCCCCGAUGAUGCCCGAGCUUCGGUCGCCGCCGAGCUCGUCGCCGGCGUCAUCUCCGGCCAUAUUAGCCUCGGUUCUUUGCAAGAAUGGAACUGCUGCUGAGUGCUGGUUUGUUUGGUGUUCUUUGUCGUGCAAAUGGUCGCUCGAAUGGAAAUCCCGAGCCCCUCCGCCGUCUCUGUGGUCGUCGGAGGCUCAUCGCCGGUGAGAUCCACCUCGCCGCCGGUGGAUCUGACUCCCCGGAGUCACUAACAAGUGGGGCCAGCCCCCAGGCUAAUUAAGAUUAGCAAAAUAAAAAAAGAUUAUUUUAAAACCUAAACAAACACUGACAUGUGGGUCCUACUCUAUUAAUUAACUAAUUAAGUUAAAUCUAAACUAAAAACAGGCCAGAGUCACUGACUAGUGGGUCCCACUGGUCAGGUUUGACUUUCAACGGCCAGAUUGACCUGCUGAUGUCAUGCUGAUGCAAUAAAACCUUUUCUAUUUAAAAAUAAUUCCAGAAUAAGUUCAAAACUUUGGAAAUUCAUAGAAAAUUGAAUAUAACUCCAAAUUUGACAAAUAAUAUAUGUAAAAGGAUCAGAAAAAUUCAAGGAAUCCAAUGGUGCUAUUUUCAUGCAUAAAAACAAAAUUAUGAAACAGCAUCAGGUCAAAUCAAUUAAGAGAAUUUGCUAAAUUAUAAUUCAAAUGAUAUUUGAAUUAUGAUUUCAAAUCAAGAUCACCCAAAAGGUUGUGUUAGUCUUCUCAAACCAUGCUACAUUGCAUUUCAUGCAUCAUUUUGUUGCAUAUGUUUGAUAUUGAUUGAUUGUUGUUAUUCCGGUAGGCUCCGCCCCUGCGGAUACGACUGAUUAUCCGACUGACGGAUAUCACCCCUCUGUUGAGCAACAAGGCAAGCAACCAUUUUGAACAUCCCGAUAAAUCCCAUGUUCUCGUUCCUGCUCUUACUUAUUGCAUUAGGUCAAAAUUCUUUCAAUGCCUUUACCACGUUACUUGAACCCACUUCCUUUGCAUGACAUGUCCUUGUAACAAUAAAUAGCUGAACCUUGCAACCUAGCAUACCUGGUAGAUGCUUGAGCCAUGAUGUGCCUUAUCCUGCUAUGCAUGCUAUGCUUAGAGUUGUGUAUGGUCUGUCAUCUGGGUGAUGAACAGGAUCGUGAGAAUGUGUUCAGUUAGUAAAGGUGGUGUGUUGAACCUGAUUUGGUCAAGGUACCGGUGAAAGGCUAUGUAGGAGGACAUGGCGGGUUGUUUCAUUGGAACCGUCCUUAGGAACUGAGUUCCAUGUAUGUAAUCCAAGACAAUAUACUACCACAUGCGAGGCCCUGAAAUAUGACCCUGCUCGACUUAUUAAACGCCUAGUACUCCGUCCAGGAGUUGCAAGUAGUUUCUGGUGUUUAUAGUCAUGUUGGAGGCCGUGCAUGGUGCUGACCUUAGAGGUGGGCUAUGAUGCGGUAGGCAGUGGCACGGUGUACCAAGUGGCACCCGGAUGGUGGGCUUGGGAACCCUGCGCACAUCGUUUGGGGCCGUGGCAAAAACAUCGGCCGGACUUCCGUGCGGGUUACCAUUAGAUAUGCGAUAGACCUGGACUAAGUAUUAGCGUGGUUAACAGUCGUGGCCGACUCCCUCGCUAGGUUUCCGCUUGAAGGUUGCCGAGGUGCAUGACGUGCACAUGGCGAUAAGUGGCGAGAGCGUGUGUGAAUAAGUACACCCCUGCAGGGAUAUGAUCUAUUGAAAGUGCGUUAUAUCGACUAGAGGGGGUGAAUAGGAGAUUUUUAGAAUUUCAUCACUGAGGAAAUUCCUUUUUAGGAAAUUCCUCACUGAUGACUAACUUACAGCGGAAAUAGUAAAGGAUCUGAAGUGCAAAGUUUCACAACAACAGUUUUUCAGAGUGAAGAAUGUGAAAACAGAUUGCACAGUGAGCAAGCACGCAGAAUACAGAUGUGGAUUAACUGACGUGAAGAAUUUGGGGUUGAGGAAAUUCAGAGAAAGUCUUCAGCAAAUUCUUCAAACAGUUGAAGUGAAAGUCAUCAACACAUAAUACGAGAAAAGUAAGGAAUUGAGGAAUUAGAACCCGUUUCUCAGUGAAGACAAUCGUUGAUGACCCAGUUCCAACUGCUGUGACAGUCGUACAUCUGGUUUGGAGCGGCUUGGUAUUGAAACCAAAGGACACACAGUCCCGGGACACACAGUACCUACCGUAUUCUCCUUGAGCUAAGGACACACAGUCCUCGCCCAACACUCAUGGUAAGUCUUCAAGGCAGACUUCCAAACCCUCACAAAGUUGGUCACCUGGCGAUCCACAAUUGACUGCUGGAAAGCUCUAGACCUUGACGCCUAACCGUCUGGAGUAUGCACAGUCCUCAAAGGUAAAAGGCUUCAGUCCCACACAGGAACAACUUCUUCAGUGAUGCUCAAUCACUAGGUUUGGUUUGUGGUUUCGGUGUAUGGUGUAUUUCCUCACUCAUGAAUUACUCUUGAAGACUCUGAGGAAUUGGGUUGCUCUUAUGACAAGUGUCCGUUUCUAACGGAGCAGCCAACCAGCUAAUGGCUGUGGGGGGUGGCUAUUUAUAGCCUGGGAGCAUCCCGACAUGAUUUGACACUAAUGCCCUUAAUAAUAUGACCGUUGGAGUGGAUAAGACCAAUGACUUGGCGUGGCUAUCGAAACGGUCGGGACCCUCAACUGUGAGAGUCCUCAUGUCACUCGUAUUCCUCACUUGAGGCUUUUGGUAGGAUUUAGGCUUGGGUUGAGCAUCAUGAGGAAAUUCAUUCCAUAGUGUAACUUCGACCCCCUUUAACAGUACGGUGUUCCUAUUACUCAAAUGCGAAGAAAAUAAAACAGAAAGUGUUAAUCUUCAUGCUUCAAAUUCUUCAGAGUGAUUUUCUUUAGGACACACCGGACUUCUCAAUAUCAGUAUCUUCAUGAGGAAUACAAUUUCAUCGCAGAUUCCUCGCAUGGGUGUGUGCUUGACCUCGUGGACGAGGAAGGUUGUUCUCGGAGAUUUUCCUUCAGCCAAAGGUUUCAUGAGGACUUCCAUCAUCCCAUUGGGCAGCUCACGCUCACCAUAAAGCUUCACAGCCUCUUCUGAGGAAAUUGGUACACGCAGUUCUCUGAGGAGUUCAGUAGCAGGAGCCUUAUAGUGAGUGUUUUGUGUCAUCCAAUCAAACACCCAAGUGUUAAUGUCUUCAGGGUUGUCGGAUAUGUGAAGAGUGGCAUAAAACUAAAGAAUUAGCUCGUUGUUCCAGUCAGAGAUGCUGGAGCACAUUGGGAGUAAACCAGCAUCAUGGAGUACAUUGAGGACUGGCUCUAAGCACGGUAUAGCUUCAAGUUCAACAUGAGGAAUAUGCGUGUGCUGGAAUAUCUUGUUUCAUCCACAGAGCACAGAGGCAUAGUAGUUCAUCUGAGUCCUAGUCCAAAACUUCAGAUGCCUCAUUUGAGGCUUGUCAUAUGGGUUUUCUCCAAUGAAGUACAUGCGUUCUUCAAAGAAGUUUUCCUUUUGAAACUUAGGACGCUUGGAGAAUGGCUGACGCUGAACUGGCUUAAGAUUUUGCUGAGGAAUUGGAGGGAAGACAACAAUGGCAGUCUCUGGGUUGAGCACGAUGAAUGCAUUGUCUUGGUCAGGUGCAUUCUCCUCAACAUUUUCCUCAGGGUGAGGAAUUUCAGCGGCUGGUUCUUCAGGCUGAGGGGCUUGCUCUGGCUGUGCAUCAGGCUGAGGAAUAGCUUCUUCUUGCUCAGUUUGAGGAGUUGGGUCAGCAUGUUCCUCAUCUUGAGGAUUCUGCUCAGAGCGUUGAAUUUCAUCAGCUUGAGGAUUUUCAGUUUGUUCUUCCUCAGCUGGCUUGGUGGCAGAUGCAGUUUCAUCAGCUGAUGCUUGAACAGUGUCUUUCUGAGGAAUGAGAGGCUGAGGACUUUCGUCUAUCUGAAUCUCCUCAUCAGUGUGUUCCUCAGAGGCGGCAUCCUUCAUUUCCUCAUCUGCCUUUUUCGCUCGAUCAUCAAUGAUGACCAUUUCAUAGGAAGGACCGACAUUCAGUGGCACAGGGUCCAGAGGAGCAGUUUCUUCAAGUGCUUUGAGGCGCUUGGCCUCUGUUUCUUCUUCUGCUGAGGAGGCCUUUCUCUUCUUGGCUUCCUUCUCAACAGCCCUGGUUUUCUUCACGUCUGAUGCAGACGGAGUCAUCUUCUUCACCGUUGAAGCUUUUGGUGAAGGGGUUUUCUUGACAGAUUCUUCAGUUGGUAUUGAGGAACCAGCUGGAACAGAGUCAUCAGCUUGCUUUGGCGAAGCAACUGGGUCAGGGACAGUCUCAUCAGUUGCAGCAAAUUCAUCAGCAGGAGUUUCCAUGAUGAUUUCUUCAAUAGCCGGUUCAUCCACACGGCUUUCUUGGUGUACUUCCUCAGCUUGAGGAGUUUCCUCAUCAUGAGGAGAUUUAUCUGUUGGCUCCUCAAUCAGGGGCUAAGAAGUUGGUGCUGGGGGUGCGGCCUUCUUAUUGUAUUCAUCAACAGCACUAGUGGCCAGCUUGAUGAAAUUGCUCUUGAGACUUUUGCGAUCUGACAGCUUGGAGUACUUGUCAGUCAAUUUCUUCAGCUCUGCCUGUGUUGACACCAGUGCAUCAGGAGUUAAUUUGAGGAGAUUCUGCUUGAGGAAUUUUUCCUUUUUAAUCUUUGCAACUUUGGCCUGCCUGGCCUGCUGUUCUUUCCACUUGGCUUCAUUGAUGGAAGUGGCCACCAUGUGGCUAAUGCCAGGGGAAGUUUCAAAUCAUCAAGCGCAGUGUUUGGGUCCUCAUACCAGAUGUUGAUGUAGUCAAGGAGGACCUUGGGGUCCAUGGCCAGAGGAAUGGCACAGCCUGAUGCUUGAGCUACUCUUUCCUGCUUGUUUCUGAUGAUGGCUUGCAGGGUUUGAUCAUCAUAUUCAUCACUGCCCUCUGAUGCAGACGGGACGGUGAUGAUUUUGCUAGGGCUUGGCAGAGUUGCACGUUCAGCAGACACCUGAGUUUUCACAGGAGGUGGUGAAGACUUUGUCUCCGAGUUGGUUGCAGCUGGGAGUGAGGAGCUGGAGUUGGCGGUCAUAGGCUUCAUGACUUGCUUCUGUACUGGUUUCUCUUGAGGCUUUGGUGGUGGUGCUGAGGAUUUUGAAGCUUAGGAGAUUGGCACUGAGGGUUUUGGCGCCGAUGGUUUUGGUGUUGAAGGUUUUGGUGCUGAGGGUUCUGUGACUGAAGCCUGAGCAGACUUCUCUUGAGGAUUUGGAGCCCUUGGCUUUGACGGCACAGAGUGUGGUUGAGGAAUUGCUGAACCAGAGGUCUCAGCGACAGAGGAAGUAGCAGCUGCUGAGGAUUCAUUGAAUUUCCUCAUUGCAGCUUCUGCCUGCUUCUUGAGCUUAGCCAGAUGCUUUUCCUUCUCAUCUGGAUAGUCAUGAAUGGUCUUGAGGCUUGAGGGAUGUGCUACUUGAUGAUCCUCAAGUGGGGCCCGUCUGCCAGGGGGCUUUAGAGCGAAUUUCUUCGCAUACUUGGCAGUCACAAACCUGUAUUCCUUCCAUUCCUUUGCCCAUCGGCGUUCUAUCUUCUGCAGCCGUAUUUUUCUCUUGGCCAUUGUCUCAUUUUCAUCAGGCGUGCAAUAGUCCAAGUAAAUAUCGUCAGGGAUAUCCACAGCUGUGUUUUGCUCAAGUUUCUUUCCUCCCUUCUAUUUUCUGUCAUCCUCCACUUUCUUCAGCUGAGGAUUUUGCUGAUGAGAUUGAACUCUUGAGGAUUCUAAUGAGACUUGAAGAUUUUCUUCCAGAAACGCUGCAAAUGAGUUAAUGUGAUGAGAACCGAGAGAUUCAUCAGCUGACAUGUGUGUACCUGUGAACAGAGUAUAGUUGCGAGGAAUUUGGAGAGGUCAUAUGCAUUCUCAGAUUUGAGGAAAAUGAAAAAGUUUGACAGUUUGAGGAAUAUAACCAGUGGUUGAGGAAUUUGCCUAAGCAUACUGUUCUUGGGUUCCAGAGUUGUACAGAUCUGAAAAUUCGCACAAUUGAGGAAUCUCGUGAAAAUCUUAGAUGCUUAGCAUAGUUCAUCAAUGAUGUGGUGAUAGGCAGUGUUUGAGGAAUCAAGUGCUUAUCGUUUCUUGAGGAAAAACAGAUUUCACAUAGAAGAUGUAAAAUUUUAGAUCUAACUUGCUAUAAAAAUGGGAUUUAUUUACCCUGGAAGGUGCGCACGAAGAACACAGAAAGGUGUGUGUGGAGAAGCUCUUCGGUCGCGUGUCCAAUGCACCCUAACCCGGCGACAGAGGACGUCUACUGCGGCGACGGACGAAGAUGGUCCGACUCCGGCGUGGUUCCGGCGACGGAGAAGUCGAGGCAGUGAAGCUCUUCUUCACCGGCGACGAGACUACCAGCGAUGGCGCUAGGGUUCGGCAGUGUAUGAUGUGGCAGGAGAGCGAUGGAGCGAAGAAGAGUAUGCCGAGAGGGAUAAGUACAUAUUUAUAGCCAAAAGUUACUAUUGGCACGAAAAUUUCGGACCAAACCGCCCAUGCCGCUACGUCUCCGCAGGACAUGUGUAGCUCCCGAAUAGUGUGGUGGAGAUAGUGGAGAUCGUGGUUAUCCGAUCGUGGGAAGUGGGGUUCAGUUACAGUGUAUUAAAGAAACAAUUUUUUGAAGAUUUGAGGAUUUUCGUUACAAAAUCAUCAGCUGACACGGACACAGUGUGGAUUUUGAACAAAGUUUCAAGUAGAACGCAUAUGAAGAAUUGAAUAGACUGGAUGAGUAUAGCAUAGAGGGAAUGUAGGGUCCGAUCACAUUCACUUAGCAAAAAUAUCAACUUGAAGAAAUAGCAAUAAGUGAAUGCUGUUGAGGACUUGAAAUCACAGUCUAUCUAGUCAAAUGAAAGUCAUCAAGUGUUUUUGAAGAUUUUGUGAUAAAUCAUCACACUGAAGAACAGUUGUUUAGAAGAAAAACACAUUUUGAGGAAAUAGAACACUUGAAGAAAAUCAACUUGAGGAAUUUCACAUUGGGCGGUGGCGUGACCCACCAUAUAAGAAUGUUGAUUACAGACGCCGCGUACAAUUGUCGUAGGGCCCUGAGAAUCAAUUUCUUCGUUGAUUUCUUCACAUUCAGAGCGACCUUCUUCAUUAGUUGAAGAAAAUCGAUUCAUCAUGUGCUGCACAUCUAAGUCAUCAAUUUUGCAUAAGUGUUAGGAUGUGUGCAUGUUUUUAAAAAACAUUUGAAUAUUCUAAGAUAUUUAGCUCACACCGCAACUUGCAAAACCUUUUCUCAUCCAAGGGCUUAGUGAAGAUAUAUGCCAGUUGAUCAUCAGUCUUCACAUGGUUGAUGAGGAUAUUGCCCUUGACGACAUGGUCCCGAAGAAAAUGAUGUCGAAUUUGGAUGUGCUUGGUCUUCGAGUGUUGUACUGGGUUGUAUGCAAUUUUGAUAGCACUCUCAUUGUCAAGUAGAGAGGCACAUUCUUCAUGUUGAUGCCGUAGUCCUUGAGGGUUUGCUUCAUCCAUAGUAAUUGAGCACAGCAAGAACCAGUAGCAAUGUACUCAGCUUCGGCAGUGGAGAGUGAUACGCAGUUCUGCUUCUUUGAGGACCAGCAAACUAGUGAUCUUCUGAGGAAAUGGCAUGUGCCAGAUGUUGACUUGCGAUCCACACGGUCACCAGCAUAGUCAGAAUCAGAAUACCCUACCAGAUGAAGAUUUGAGCCCUUGGGAUACCAUAAUCCUAGUGUUGGUGUGUGAGCUACGUAUCGAAGAAUAUGUUUCACGGCCUUAUGGUGUGAUUCCUUCGGUUUUGCUUGAAAACGUGCACACAUGCAAACACUAAGCAUUAUAUCUGGCCUAGAUGCACACAGAUACAAUAAAGAGCCAAUCAUAGAACGAUAUACCUGCUGAUCGAAAUCUUUACCAUUUUCAUCAAUGCCGAGGUGGCCGUUGGUAGGCAUUGGAGUCUUGGCACCUUUGCAUUCAUCCAUGUCGAAUAUCCUCAAAACAUCCUUGAGGUAUUUCUCCUGUGAUAUGAAGAUUCCAUUGCUUUGUUGACGAAUUUGAAGACCUAAGAAGAAUUUCAGCUCCCCCAUCAUGGACAUCUGAUAUUCUUCACUCAUCAUGUAAGCAAAUUCAUCACUGUAUCGUUUGUCAGUACAGCCAAAUAUGAUAUCAUCGACAUAUAUUUGACACACAAAUAGCUCAUUAUCAUAGGAUUUAGUUAAAAGAGUUGGAUCGAGUGCACCAGGUUUGAAGCCUUUCUUCAUGAGAAAUUCCUUCAAUGUAUCAUACCAUGCCCGAGGGGCUUGCUUAAGACCAUAAAGAGCCUUUUUGAGUCUGAAGACUUUGUCUGGAUUCUUUGGAUCAUCAAAACCUGGGGGCUGAGCAACAUAUACUUCUUCCUCAAGCUUACCAUUGAGGAAUGCACUUUUCACAUCCAUUUGAUAUAAGAUGAUGUUAUGAUGAUUAGCAUAAGCAAGUAGUAUUCGAAUAGCUUCAAGUCUAGCAACAAGUGCAAAAGUUUCAUCGAAAUCUAUCCCUUCAACCUGGGUGUAGCCUUGGGCUACAAGUUGUGCCUUGUUCCUCACCACUUGACCGCCCUCAUCUUGCUUGUUUCAGAAAAUCCACUUGGUGCCGAUGAUGUUGUGCUUGCGAGGAUCUGGUCGUUUGACGAGCUCCCAUACGUCAUUCAGCUUGAAUUGAAGAAGUUCGUCUUGCAUAGCUUGGAUCCACUCCGGUUCCAGAAAAGCCUCAACAACUUUUGAGGGUUCUGUGAUGGAUACAAAGGAGAAAUGCCCACAAAAUUUAACUAAGUGUGAAGCUUUUGAGCGAGUGAGAGGACCUGGCGCGUUGAUGUCGUUGAGGAUUUUGUCAAGUUCUACUUCAUUUGCAAUCCUCGGAUGAGCUGGUUGAGGAUUUUGUCUAGGCUGAGGAAGUGGUGCUGGUGCAAUUUCCUCAGAAGCAUCUUCUUGAUUUUCAUCAGUGAUGGGGAUCAUUUCUUCAUCAAUUUCCUCAGUUGGGACAAUGUCUUCAGUAGGCUUGAGCUUUAUUGCUUCCUCAGGAGACAGCUUAUGUGGAUCAGAAGGCAAUUGUUCUCUUUGCGAGCCAUUAGUUUCAUCGAACCGCACAUCUACAGUCUCAACAACUUUGUUGUGAUAGUUGUUGAAGACUCUGUAAGUGUGCGGGUCCUUUCCAUAACCGAGCAUAAAACCUUCAUGUGCCUUAGGUGCAAAUUUUGAGCUAUGGUGAGGAUCUCUAAUCCAGCAUUUUGCACCGAAGACUUUGAAAUAACUUACAUUGGGUUUCUUGUCAGUGAGGAGUGCAUAUGAGGUUUUCUUGAGGAAUUUGUGAAGAUAUACCCUGUUGAUGAUAUGGCAUACAGUGUUGAUUGCUUCAGGCCAAAAGCGACGAGGAGUCUGAUAUUCUUCAAGCAUAGUUCUUGCCAUUUCAACCAGAGUCCUGUUCUUCCUUCCGACGACACCAUUCUGCUGAGGAGUAUAAGGAGCAGAUAAUUCGUGAGUAAUACCAAGUUCAUCAAGAUAAUCAUCAAGACUAGUGUUUUUGAACUCGGUUCCAUUAUCACUCCUGAUAUGUUUGAUCUUGAUGCCAAAGUUCGUCGAGGCCCUUGAAGAAAAUCGUUUGAAGAUUUCCUGCACUUCAGUUUUAUACACUAUGAUAUGCACCCAAGUAUAUCUGGAAUAAUCAUCAACUAUGACGAAGCCAUAUAAAGAUGCUGCAUUGGUUAGUGUGGCAUAGUGAGUAGGUCCAAAUAGAUCCAUAUGAAGCAAUUCAAAUGGACGUGUAGUGGUCAUGAUAGUCUUCGAGGGAUGCUUGGAUCUGGUCAUUUUCCCAGAUUCACAAGCACCGCAGAGAUGAUCCUUGAGGAAUUUGACUGAUUCGAUGCCAAUGACAUGCUUCUUCUUCGCGAGCGUGUGCAAAUUCCUCAUGCCUGCAUGACCUAGUCUUCGGUGCCACAACCAACCUUCUGAGGUUUUUGCUAGUAAGCAAGUGGUUGGUUGAGGACCUGUAGAGAAAUCAACAAUGUACAAAUCCCCUCUUCUUACACCUUCGAAGAUUUUGGAUUUGUCAGAUUCCAUAAUGACUACACAUCUAUAUCUACCAAAGCUAACAAUCAUAUCAAGAUCACAAAGCAUCAAGACUGACAUGAGGUUAAAACCAAGGGAUUCAACAAGCAUCACUUUGUCCAUAUGCCUAUCCUUGGAAAUAGCCACUUUGCCAAGUCCCAAUACCUUGCUUUUACCUUUGUCAGCAUAUGUGAUUUGCUUCAGAGGUGAUGGAGUUAGUGGCAUAUUCAUCAGUAAGCUUUUAUCACCAGUCAUGUGAUGUGUGCAGCCACUAUCAAGAACCCACUUAGUAUUCUUGGGUUUGUCAUCCUGCAGAUGAAUUUGUACAGCUUACCAUCUCAUAUGCUUCAGAUUUGAAGAAUAUGAUACUAGUUUCAUCAGAUCAGUAAUUUCAUCAGAGCAGAGAUGUAAGGACGUGUGAAAUAUUUCUAUUUCAUCAAUCAUUAGCUUGCGUCCUAUCAAGCAUUUCUUCAGGUCUCCAGCAAAUUCUUCAGAUGAUGAUUUUCAUCUGGAGACCUGACCUGCAGAAGUGAUUAGUUCGAUUUCUUGACCACCCACAUCUGAAGGGGUGGCAAAGCAUUCAUCAUCCUGCGAGCACCAUAUGAGAAAGGUGGCAUUGAGGCCAAUGCACUUCUCUUAACAGUGGGGGGAUUAAAGUACUCAUAUGGAUAUGCAGAGAACUUGUUAGAGGAUUUAUGAACAUAAUGAUUUGAGGAGUAACGUUCAUAUUCAUAUUCCUUGUAGUUUCCCUGCAUGUUAGACGCAUUAGCACGGGUACGAGCAUAGUUUUGACCAGUUGAGGAUUUUGAUCCUCUUGAAGACUUUGGUCCUCCUGAGGAAUUUGAUCUGGGGUUCAGAUUCUUCAGUGGUGGUUUCAUGAGGACAUUCACCUGAAGAUUUUUAAGACAACUUUUGGGAACCCAGAUUUUCCUCAGGGGAGGGCCAUUCCUGCAGUUAGUUCCAACAUAUCGAGCAAAUAAUUCACCAGAUUGAUUUUUGAACAGUUUAUAGUUGGAGUCAAAUGACUCAUCUGAGGAAUAGGAUAAUUCACAUGAAAAACCAGUUAGAUUAGAUGGAUCAAAAGGAGGCCCAGUAGCAGCAACCCAUGAGGUUUUGGGAUACUGCUCAGGUUUCCAAUAAGAUCCAUCAGCAUUUAAUUUCCUCUCAAAGGCAAUUCCUUCUUUCAUCGGGUACCUGUUCAAGAUCUGCUUUUUGAGCACAUCACAAAGGGUUUGAUGUCCUUUGAGGCUUUUGUAUAUGCCUGUCACGUACAAUUCCUUCAACCCUGCAUUUUCAUCAGUAACAUUUGUGUUUUCCUCAAGUGAGGAAAUAGACACAACAGGUGUAGUUGAAGAAUUUGUAGCAAUAGUAGCAUUUGAUGAUUCUGGUGAGGAAUUAGCAGUUUCACGUUCAAUGCAUUUAAGACAUGGAGGAAUGAAUUCAACUUGACCAGCGAUGAUCUGUUGAGCUAGUAAUGAAUCAUUUUCCAUACGAAGAUCAUCAUGAGACAUCCUCAGCUUCUCAAGAUCAAUCUUCCUUUGAAGAAAUUCAUAGGAAAGCUUCUCAUGAUCAGUGAGGAGUGUAUCAUAACGAUCCUGAAGAUUAUCAAAUCUAGACUGAAGACUUUUCACAUCUUCAGUGAGGAUUUGGGUAAGGUUCAUUUCAUCAUUCAAUAGAUCACCACUUUUAUCUAGCAGUUUCUGAAACUUUUCCAGAGCAGUUUGUUGUUUAGUGGCAAUGAUAGCAAUUUUACUGUAACUGGGUUUCUUAUAAUUAUCAGGUUCACAGUCACUUGAAUCAGAGGACGAGGCAUUAUUUGGUACCUUUGAACCUUUUUCCAUGAAGCAAAAGGUUGGAGUGAAGUCAUCAACAUAGUCAUCAGUGCGAAUGGUGCUAUCAUUUUCUUCAAGGUUGAAGAUUGACUUGCUGACGAAAGUGGUUGCCAGUGCAAGACUAGCCUGUCCGGGUUCUGAGUCUUCAUCAGAACCCUCUUCUUCAUUACAUUCCUCUGAUUCUGCCUCGGAGUCCAUUUCCUUGCCAAUAAGUGCCCGAGCCUUUCUGAAACUAGUCUUCUUGUGCGAUGAGGGCUUUGAAGAUGAGGAUUUUGAAGAUUUCUUCUUCUUCCUCGAGUCAUCAGAACUGUCAUCCUUGUAUUUCUUCUUCGUUGAUUCCUUUCCCCAACGGGGACAAUCAGCAAUGUAAUGGCCUGAUUUCUUGCACUUGUGACAGGUUUGUUUCUUGUAGUCCUCAGAUGAAGAUUCUGAUUUCCUCAUGUCUCUUCUUGGAGAUUUACCGAACUGGCCACGUCGUGUAAAUCUCUGGAAUUUCCUCACGAGCAUUGCAAGCUCCUGUCCAAAUUCUUCAGGGUCACAAAUGUUGUCAUCUGUGUCUUCGUCUUCAGAUGAGGAAAUUGCUCUAGCCUUCAGAGCACGUGGUCUGGAAUAGUUUGGUCCAUAUAGAUCUCUCUUUUCUUCUAGUUGGAAUUCAUGAUUAUUUCGCCUUUCUAGUAUAUCAGCUGGAUCAAGCAUCUUGUAAUCUGGUCUUUCUUGAAUCAUCAGAACUAAAGUAUCAAAUGAAGAAUCCAAAGAUCUCAGCAGUUUCUUCACAACUUCGUGAUCAGUGAUGUCUCGAGCUCCCAGUGCUUGCAGUUCAUUUGAUAUGUCAGUGAGGUGAUUAAAGGUGUCUUGGCAGCUUUCAUUGUCAUGUCUCUUGAAGCGAUUGAAGAGAUUGCAAAGAAUAUCAACACGAGAGUCACGCUGGGUUGAUACUCCUUCAUUUACCUUGCACAGUCUCUCCCAGAUCAGUGUUGCAGAGCCCAAAGCACUUACUCUUCCAAACUGGCCUGGGCUCAGAUGGCCACAGAUGAUGUUCUUCGCUUGAGAAUCGAGUUGCUUGAAUUUCUUCACAUCAGCAGCAGAGACACUGGCAGAGAUGAUGGGGACGCCAUGUUCCACAAUAUACCAGAGAUCAUUAUCAAUUGCUUGUAGAUGCAUUUGCAUUUUGUUCUUCCAGAAGGGAAAGUUCUUUCCUUCGUAGGUAGGACAUGCUGCAGUCACCUUAAACAUGUCUGCAGUCAACAUAACUAAAACUCCAGGUGGUUAAACCAAAAACACAUAGAACAAGGGAGUACCUUGCUCUGAUACCAAUUGAAAGUGCGUUAUAUCGACUAGAGGGGGGUGAAUAGGAGAUUUUUAGAAUUUCAUCACUGAGGAAAUUCCUUUUGAGGAAAUUCCUCACUGAUGACUAACUUACAGCGGAAACAGUAAAGGAUCAGAAGUGCAAAGUUUCACAACAGCAGUUUUUCAGAGUGAAGAAUGUGAAAACAGAUUGCACAGUGAGCAGGCACGCAGAAUACAGAUGUGGAUUAACUGAAGUGAAGAAUUUGGGGUUGAGGAAAUUCAGAGAAAGUCUUCAGCCAAUUCUUCAAACAGUUGCAGUGAAAGUCAUCAACACAUAAUACGAGAAAAGUAAGGAGUUGAGGAAUUAGAACCCAUUUCUGAGUGAAGACAAUCGUUGAUGACCCAGUUCCGACUGCUAUGACAGUCGUACAUCUGGUUUGGAGCGGCUUGGUAUUGAAACCAAAGGACACACAGUCCCUACCGUAUUCUCCUUGAGCUAAGGACACACAGUCCUCGCCCAACACUCAUGGUAAGUCUUCUGGGCAUACUUCCAAACCCUCACAAACUUGGUCACCCGGCGAUCCACAAUUGACUGCUGGAAAGCUCUAGACCUUGACUCCUAACCGUCUGGACGAUGCACAGUCCUCAAAGGUAAAAGGCUUCAGUCCCACACAGGAACAACUUCUUCAGUGAUGCUCAAUCACUAGGUUUGGUUUGUGGUUUCUGUGUAUGGUGUAUUUCCUCACUGAUGAAUUACUCUUGAAGACUCUGAGGAAUUGGGUUGCUCUUAUGACAAGUUUCAGUUUCUAACAGAGCAGCCAACCAGCUAAUGGUUGUGGGGGUGGCUAUUUAUAGCCUGGGAGCAUCCCGGCAUGAUUUGACACUAAUGCCCUUAAUAAUAUGACCAUUGGAGUGGAUAAGACCAAUGACUUGGCGUGGCUAUCGAAACGGUCGGGACCCUCAACUGUGAGAGUCCUCAUGUCACUCGUAUUCCUCACUUGAGGCUUUUGGUAGGAUUUAGGCUUGGGUUGAGAAUCAUGAGGAAAUUCAUUCCAUAGUGUAACUUCGACCCCCUUUAACAGUACGGUGUUCCUAUUACUCAAAUGCGAAGAAAAUAAAACAGAAAGUGUUAAUCUUCAUGCUUCAAAUUCUUCAGAGUGAUUUUCUUCACGACACACCGGACUUCUCAAUAUCAGUAUCUUCAUGAGGAAUAUCAAUUUCAUCGCAGAUUCCUCGCAGUUUAUUUCUUCAGCUUCAGACCAAUUUCUUCAACUGAGGACAUACAUUUUUAGGGGUCGAUAUUCUUCAAAUAUCUCAAACUCCUCAAUGACUUAUAGAUCUUGUGUACACUCACAAACACAUUAGAUACUUAACCUAUAAGUCUUCAAACCACCAAAAUCACUAAGGGGCACUAGAUGCACUUACAUCUAUUCGAAUAGCCGCGUCCGCGGAUAUGGACUACUUGGAAGCAUAUGUUGUUCAUAGAUAACUAUAAUGUCUACUCAUAAAAAUUGUCAAGAUAAGUGUGAGUGUCGUGGACGACAUUUCCGUAGGGAUACAGAAUGAUUCCACGAUGGAGUAUUGUUGUGGUGUUAGUGGACUCGUGUGCGAGAAACUUAGUUGUCAAAACUAUUUAAAAAUGCUAGUUGUCUAGCCAAGAGUCAAAUGCUGGCUUUUUGCAUGAAACCCCAAAACUCUUUGUUGAUACAUUGCAUGAGUAGAUAGAUUAUCCUAAAGUCUUGUUGAGUACUUUUGUACUCACGUUUUCUUAAUAAAUUGUUGCAGAGGUUGUUAAUGACCCUAUUGGAGGGUUCUACCUAGACGUUGACGACGACGAGUAGCUGGUGUCCCAGCUACGAUCUGGCCCUAGGUUGGGUCUGUAGAUAGUCAGGCCAUGUGCCUUUAUCUUUCCAUCUGUCUGUACUCAGACAGUUUUAAUCUUCCACUGGCUUGUAAGACUUAUGUGUAUGACUUGUGAUGAUGGGUCGUAAGACCCCUAUCUGUGUAAUAUUAUGUGUGAGGCUCUUCCGAGCCUUCUAAAUAAAGUUGUAUGUUUAUGGUUAUGUUGUGAUGCCAUCGAUGUAUCUAUACAUAUCGGUAUGCCAUGCGUACGUGUGUUGUACUUGAUAUGUAUGGGGUUCGAAUACCUAGUCGUAUGCCUUAGUAGCACUCCUUACGGGGAAAUGCCCCUUUGUGAUUCCAUCGAGCCAUGGUAGUUCGCUACUAUUCCGGACACAUUGGUUGACCGGCAUGUGUCCUUCUUAGCUGUUGUGUCUGUCCCUUUGGGAAAUGUCACGCGUAUGUAAUGGAGUCCUUGUAGCUUUCUACGACUCGUCUACAUUCGCUGAUGACCGACACCUGCUUUGCUGGGUCAUGUAUGCGUGUCCCUGUACGGCGGUGCCGCUUGAGUUUAUGGCUAGACAUGUCGAUCCGGGUUCUUUGACAUUGGAUUGCUAGCGACACAAUUGCAUACGCGACUCAAAAGGCGCAAACGGUCCCGGCUAAGGUAAGGCUUCAGCCGUGGGGAUAACCGUGCGUGAGACCGCAAAGAGAUGUGAUGUGUUACAAGCUGGAUUCCUAUGGCUUAGGAUCGGGGUCCCGACAGUGUUGGUAUCAGAGCCUGACUGACUGUAGGAUUACUAAGCCAAACUAGUCAAAGUUGAGUCUAGAAUUGCUUUAGUUAUACAUAAGGGAAUUGUUUGUGGAAGGGAACGUAAGAUUCUUGCUUCUCUUCUUAAAUUAUUCUAUUCUGGUCAUCCUCGUCUUCUCUGCGGGGAUUAAGGACUAGGUUACUUAUCUUUCUCUUAGGCUCGUGUUUUUCUGAUCGGUAGAUUAUAGGACAACGAGUCGAGAGUUACUUCGGGUUUCUUUUAUUCCAAGGAAAAGAAAGUAAGUUUUGGUGACCAAGGAAUUGAACUUGGUAGUUGAGUGGUUAUGCUAUCCUAUCUUUGUGGGUUGUCUCAAAAUUGUUUUUGAGCAUUUACAGCCGUUAUGCUGCCCAACUUUGUCUUCAGAGCUCUAAUGCUUGUUGCAUUACUCUCUAUUUUCAGAUGCAUGGCCGUCCUUCUCGUCAGGUGGUCCGUCUGACUAGGUGAAUUGAUGUGCCAGGUCAUACGGCCAUGCUAGUCAGGAUGAUGUCAGUAGCCGGUUACCGCCGGUACCCAGAGUACACAGUGGACGAGCAGCACCGGGAUUUUAAUCAGAGUCAGUAUCUCUGCACUGUCAGGGUAUUCCCAGAUUACCCUGGAGCUGAGGAGCCGAUCCAUUGGUCUUAUGGAUUGGGGGUCACUGUUGACAUGGCAGUACAAGAUGCUUCCUAUUCAAUGCUGACCAUCAUGAGGGCCAGACAUGCACUGUUGCAGAAUUCAGAGUUCUGCAAUGUUCCUGCCUCUCAGCCAGGAGAAGAAGGAUACCUCAGUGGGGCCUACUUUGAUUCCUCUAUGGAGGAUCCGCUGCUGCAGUCCACUGCUGAGAUGCUAGAGAAUAGAGACAGGGACGCUUGUGCCCUUAGUAUGGAGCUCUAUGCUACACGUGCCCGUCUGUGGACGGCUUUGACGCAGCUGGCACCUGUAGUCCAGACAGGGUAUGGAGAUAUGGAGAUGCUGAACCCUGUUAGGACCCAUCUUCCGGCUCAUGUUGACUGGCCUGCUAUAGGAGGAGUCACCCCUCUUCGGGGACCUCUACUACCACCAGCCAGGGGACCAAGGCCACACCCAUGCCCUUACGGUUCCCACGGGUCUCAGACUCGAGUAUUUCCUCAUCCGCGGGUUGAGCUCCCAGGUCAUGGAGGCAACCUUUAUGAGAUGUUCUAUGCGGAUGCCUGAACCCGUGAGUGGAAGGAUAGUAUGGUAGUAGUUAUACUUCCACAGUCCUGUGUGUCUUGUGGAGUAUGCUUAUGUCGUGAGAUGAAUUCUGGAGGCAUAGAUAAAUAAUGUAUAGAAAGCUUGGAAAGCCUCUGAUGAGUUGUGUCAUCUUUUCAGUAGUUUGCUCUUCGGAUAAGGUUGUUCUGAACUAUGUAAUGGUGUGUAUGAACCAUGGUGUAUAUAUAGUAGUUGCUUGUUACCAUGUUGUUCGGAUGUUCAUUUCUGCAUUCCAUGUGUUCAGUGCAUUCUUAAUCCAUAGUUAGUAUUGAUGUUGAUAUUGGUCUAAGCUGGGAGUUUGUUUGUCAGGAUGGUGUUCACCAGGUUGAACUGUGCCCCUGCUCAUGAGCAGGGAGAGGGUAGUCAAGCAUCGCAGGAGGAACUGCCUCACCCGCCCUCUCUGGCAGAAGUUAUGCUUGACGCAGAAAGAAACAGAACGGAGACCAACCGACUGUUAGAGCGUAUUGAGCAAAAUACGGCUCGUCAGCCUAGGAAUGAUGCAGUGUCCCUCAAUGACUUUGUGAAGGUGAAUCCUUCGAAGUUCCACCAAUCCGUCGACCCCCUCGACGUUGAUGACUGGUUGUGCAGUAUAUCGCGCAAGAUUCGCUCUGCAAAUGUUUCCGAGGCCGACAAGGUGACCUUUGCGGCGUACUUUCUGGAGGGACCCACCAAUCUGUGGUGGGAGAACUUUGAAGCUAUGCGUCCUGCCGGACCAGCAGCCACAUGGGCAGACUUUAGUGCAGCCUUCCGUCUGCACCAUAUUCCACAGGGUCUGAUGGACAGAAAGAGAGAGGAGUUAUUUGCAUUCACCCAAGGAAAAUUGACCGUGGAUGCCCAUAGCCGCGAGUUCGGUAACCUCGCCGCUAUGCAACUCAAGAGGUGUCAACUGAUGCCAAGAAGCAAGCAAGAUUCCGUAAGGGUCUGAGCCCUAAACUUCGUCGUGAUCUGCGCCUCCAUGAAUGUACAAGCUUUCAAGCUCUUGUCAACAAGGCGAUCAGUGCCGAGACUGGUCAUACCGACUAUGAAGCCACAAAGAAGCACUCCCGUGACUCUGGCUCGUCAUCUGGUUCCGCGUUCCCGAAACGCAGGCUGUGGGUUCCAAAUAGUUCUCUGCAGCCAAGAUACACUCCGAGGCCAUCCUAUUUGGCGCCUCAGGCGAAUCCGACCAACCCUCCAGCAAAAACCUAUGGUGGUCCAGCUAGCAAUGUUGCACCACGUGCCAAUCAGGUGAUCUGUUACAAGUGUGGAGAACCAGGGCACUAUUCCCGAGAGUGUCCUCAGAAUAUGGGUGCCAAGCAACCUAGAAAGUCUGUUGGGCAAGGCAAGUCGGGUAAAGCUUACUAUGUGAAGCCAACUCCUGCACGUGGCCGUGUGAACUAUGUUUCAGCAGAAGAAGCUGCACAGGAUCCCGACGUUAUACUGGGUACGCUCCUUGUUAAUCAUCACCCAGCGUCUGUUCUUUUUGACACUUGGUCAUCUCAUUCCUUCAUUUCAGAAAGUUAUGCGCAGUUGCAUGACAUGUGUUUCUGUGAUAUACCAAUCCCAUUGGUUGUCCAAACCCCUGGUAGUAAGUGGCAAACUUCCAGGAUAACCUAUGACAAUGAAAUUCUAGUAGACAUGCUAGUCUUUCUAGCAUCUUUGAUAGCCCUGAAAUCUUCGGAUAUCAAUAUCAUCUUGGGUAUGGACUGGAUGUCAGCUCAUUAUGCCAAGAUUCAUACACAUUCUAGAAAUGUCCAGCUUACCCAUCCCUCGGGUGAGAUAGUCAAUGUAUCUACUCGAGUUGCCAAAUGUCAACUCUAUUCCCUCAAUGCCAACCCUCUCCCAGAACUUCAAGACAUUCCGGUAGUCCGUGACUUCCUGGAUGUUUUCCCAGAAGAACUGCCAGGAAUUCCACCUGACAGGGAUGUAGAGUUUGUGAUAGACCUUGUUUCGGGAACCGUUCCAAUAGCCAGAAGACCUUAUAAGAUGGCACCCCUGGAGCUAGCCGAACUUAAGAAGAAACUAGAUGAGGCCUUGAAUAAAGAUUUCAUUCGUCCUAGCUCUUCUCCAUGGGCUUGUCCCGUCCUCUUCGUUAAGAAGAAAGACAGAACGGAUCGGAUGGUUGUAGAUUAUUGACCAGUUAACCUGGUCACCAUAAAGAACAAGUAUCCACUCCCCAGGAUCAACGACCUGUAUGAUCAGCUUGCUGGAUCCUUAGUCUUCUCCAAAAUGGAUUUGAGGUUGAGUUACCAUCAAAUCAAGAUCAAGAACGGGGACAUCCCAAAAACGGCUUUUGUCACUCGUUAUGGCCAAUACGAGUACACCGUCAUGUCCUUUGGUUUAACCAAUGCCCCAGCCACCUUUUCUCGCUUGAUGAAUUCAAUAUUCAUGGAGUAUUUGGAUAAAUUCGUCGUAGUAUAGCUCGAUGAUAUUCUCAUCUACUCGAAGAACAAACAAGAACAUGUCAAGCAUCUAAGGCUGGUAUUGAUGAAACUUCGAGAGCAUCGCCUUUAUGACAAGUUUUCAAAAUGUGAAUUUUGGUUACCAGAAGUGACCUAUCUAGGCCACAUAAUCUCUGGUAAGGGUAUUGUUGUCAAUCCCGAGAGAGUUCAAGUUGUCCUUGGUUGGACUCAACGUGAAUCGGUUAAGCAAGUUAGGAGUUUUCUUGGUCUAGUGAGCUAUUGUCGCCACUUUGUCGAGAAUUUCUCCAAGGUUGCAAAGCCUCUAACUGAACUCCUCAAGAAAGAUAAAAUGUUCGAGUGGACACCACAGUGUGAGCACAGUUUUUAGGAACUAAAAAGACGCGUGACUUCCGCACCUGUGUUGCUACCACCAGAUUUCUCUAAGGACUUUGUUAUCUACUGCGACGCCUCGCAACAAGGAUUAGGUUGCAUUCUCAUGCAGGAUCGUCAUGUGAUUGCAUACGCAUCUCGACAGUUGCGUCCACAUGAGGAUAACUAUCCCACACAUGAUCUUGAGCUUGCAGCAGUAGUCCAUGCACUUAAAACCUGGCGACAUUACCUUCUUGGUAAUCGUUGCGAAAUAUUCACUGAUCACCAAAGUCUGAAAUAUAUCUUCACCCAGCCGGAUUUGAAUCUCAGGCAAAGACGGUGGGUUGAGUUGAUUACGGAUUAUGACUUAGGGAUAACUUACACCCCGGGGAAGGCCACUGUUAUGGCUAAUGCACUAUGUCGUAAGUCUUAUUGUAACAACUUGAUGCUACAACGGGGUCAACCACAUCUCUAUGAGGAAUUUCGGAAGUUAAAUCUUCACAUUGUUCCUCAAGGAUUCCUUUCUAACUUGGUGGCGAAGCCUACUAUUAAGGAUCAAAUCAUAGCUGGCCAGAAGCGUGAUAAGGGUAUGUCACGGAUCAAGGGGAAUAUUAUUAGCGGAAAUGCUAAGGAAUUCUCCAUGAAUGAUCAAGAUGUUGUGUUCUUCCAGAAUCGUCUAGUUGUUCCUAAGAAUCCACAUCUAAGGCAUUUAAUCCUUAAGGAGGCUCAUGAUUCUCCUCUCACCAUUCAUCCUGGUAGUACUAAGAUGUAUCGGGACCUACGCCAGAGGUUUUGGUGGACUAGGAUGAAGAGAGAAGUUGUUGAGUUCGUUGCUAACUGCGACGUUUGUCGUCGAGUUAAGACGGAACAUCAAAGGCCUGUUGGCACCCUUCAACCUUUAGCUAUUCCUGAAUGGAAAUGGGAUAAAGUCAGUAUGGAUUUCAUACCAGAUUUCCCAAGACCAAGAAAGGAAAUAAUGUUAUCUUUGUGGUCAUUGACCGUCUUUCCAAAGUAGCUCAUUUUCUUCCAGUUCGUGAGAGUAUAACAGCUAGCCAGCUAGCAGAGUUAUAUAUCUCUCGAAUAGUGUCUCUUCAUGGUGUUCCUCUGGAUAUUAACUCAGACCGUGGAAGUAUCUUUACUUCUCGCUUCUGGGAGAGUUUUCAGAAUGCCAUGGGGACUCACUUAUCUUUUAGCACUGCUUUCCAUCCUCAAUCAAGUGGACAAGUAGAAAGGGUGAAUCAAAUCCUAGAAGAUAUGCUCCGAGCUUGUGUUAUAUCAUUCGGUAUGAAUUGGGAGAAGUGCCUUCCAUUCGCAUAAUUUGCCUAUAACAAUAGUUAUCAAUCAAGCUUGGGCAAAGCUCCUUUUGAAGUUCUCUAUGGACAAAGAUGUCGAACUCCUCUUAAUUGGUCAGAAACCGGAGAGAGGCAACUCUUUGGUCCUGAUAUGAUCCAGGAUGCAGAAGAGCAAGUUCGCAUUAUUCGUGAAAAGUUGAAAACAGCCCAGUCUUGUCAAAAGAGCCAAUAUGAUUGUCAUCAUAAGGUUGUGACCUUUGAAGUUGACGAGAAGGCUUACCUUCGGGUUACACCUUUGAAGGGUACCCAUAGAUUCGGUAUCAAGGGAAAGUUGGCUCCUCGUUACAUUGGUCCUUUCCGCAUUCUUGCCAAACGAGGAGAAGUUGCCUACCAAUUGGAACUUCCUUCGCAUAUUUCCAAGGUUCAUGAUGUAUUCCACGUCUCGCAACUCAGGCGUUGCUUUUCGGAUCCUAUACGCGAAGUGGACCACGACACGCUUGAUCUCCAAGAUAACUUUCAUACCGAGAAUACCCUGUGAGUAUUCUUGAUCAAGCUGAGCGUACCACUCGACGUCGAAACCUCAAGUUUCUUAAAGUUCAAUGGUCAAAUCAUUCCGAAAAGGAGGCAAGAUGGGAAAGAGAGGAUUGUCUCCGACUUGAGUAUCCCGCGCUAUUCCCGACGACUUCCAAAUCUCGGGACGAGAUUCUUUUGAGUGGGGGUGAGUUGUCACAUCCCUGAUCCCCAUUAGGGUUUAGCAAGCAUGAGCUCAUGUUUUCUUCCAUUGCAUCUUAAGAAUUUGAAUUGCACUCAAGGAAGGAAAUGAAAUCCAAAGCAAAGUAAAGAAAACCAAAGCAAAACCCUAGCCACCCCUCAUUCAAAAACAAUUCAACAAGUGCCAAAUCAAUGAACCCAAAAUGGCCAUUAGAAAAGUUCAUCUUUUCUGAUAAUUGUUGAAAACAAGAUAUCAGAGAUGAAACAUAUUUUCAAAAUACUUUUGGAAUUUUAAAUUUAAGUUAAAAGCUACUGAAAUCAAUUAUAUAUUUGAUUUCAAAUAUUUCAAAGUUUCCAAAAAUGUUGAAAACUUUAUAUGUGGUUGGAAAUAUUCCACCUAACACUCCAGUAUCAUUCAAACUAUUUUAGGAAUAGUUUGGAGCCAAAAUAAAACAAAACAAAGUCAGUAAGUAAAUAACAGAAACAAAAAUGAAAGACAUAAGAAAAAAACUAUCUAACGCUUACCUGAGGCCCAACCCACCUUUUCCCUUUCGUCUACCUCGUGCCAGCGAGCAGCAGGAGGUGGCCGCCGCUCGCUCUGGCGCGCCACGCACCUGCGUGCUUUCUUGGACCUCCGCGUCGCGCUCGCAAGGACGAUAAGCCUCCCUGCGAUCCAUUCCCACCUCCUCCCCCUCCUCAUCCGCGCUCUCUCCUCUCUUUCCUCCUCGCCGCCAUGACCAUGAGCUCGAGCUCGAGCUAGCCAUCGCUCCGGCCGUCCUUCCCCGCCCCUGAGCACGCCGUUCGCUCCGCCUCAACGAGCUAGUCGUCCCUGCCAAAGGAGAAGAGCCCCCGAGCCCUACACCGCCAGAUCCCCGUCGUCUUAUUCCUCGGAUCGCCGACGUUUGCCGCCGUCGUUCUUCCUCCUCAGACCAUCCCCGAGCCUGCUCUCGUCGCCUCUGCACUCCCCGUGAGCUCAGGGUUGUUUUCCUCUCAUUUCCCCCUUCGAUUCCGAGCUCUAGGCUCUGAUUCCACCGGAGCCCGACCAGAUCCGCCGCGUGACCUCGUCUCUCGUAGCCCUCCGGUGAUCGGCUGGUCAAUCUGAGGCCACCAAUGGCUUCAGUCCGUUGCGUAGGUGUUGUAGGAGCCUAGCCCCGCGCGUGUUGAGCCCCGUAGCAGUGCCCCCGAUGAUGCCCGAGCUUCGGCCGCCGCCGAGCUCGUCGCCGGCGUCAUCUCCGGCCAUAUUAGCCUCGGUUCUUUGCAGGAAUGGAACUACGGCUGAGUGCUGGUUCGUUUGGUGUUCUUUGUCGUGCAAAUGGUCGCCGGAAUGGAAAUCCCGAGCCCCUCCGCCAUCUGUGUGGUCGCCGGAGGCUCAUCGCCAGUGAGAUCCACCUCGCCACCGGUGGAUCUGACUCCCCGGAGUCACUGGCAAGUGGGGCCAGCCCCCAGGCUAAUUAAGAUUAGCAAAAUAAAAAAUAUUAUUUUAAAACCUAAACAGACACUGACAUGUGGGUCCUACUCUGUUAACUAACUAAUUAAGUUAAAUCUAAACUAAAAAUAGGCCAGAGUCACUGACUAGUGGGUCCCACUUGUCAGGUUUGACUUUCAAAGGCGAGAUUGACCUGCUGAUAUCGUGCUGAUGCAAUAAAACCUUUUCUGUUUAAAAAUAAUUCCAGAAUAAGUUCAAAACUUUGGAAAUUCAUAGAAAAUUGAAUAUAACUCCAAAUUUGACAAGUUAUAUAUGUAAAAGGAUCAGAAAAUUUCAAGGAAUCCAAUGGUGCUAUUUUCGUGCAUGAAAAACAAAAUUAUGAAACAGCAUCAGGUCAAAUCAAUUAAAAGAAUUUGCUAAAUUACAAUUCAAUUGAUAUUUGAAUUAUGAUUUCAAAUCGAGAUCACCCAAAAGGUUCUGUUAGUCUUCUCAAACCAUGCUACAUUGCAUUUCAUGCAUCAUUUUGUUGCAUAUGUUUGAUAUUGAUUGAUUGUUGUUAUUCCGGUAGGCUCCGCCCCUGCGGAUACGACUGAUUAUCCGACUGACGGAUAUCACCCCUCUGUUGAGCAACAAGGCAAGCAACCAUUUUGAUCAUCCCGAUAAAUCCCAUGUUCUCGCUCCUGCUCCUACUUAUUGCAUUAGGUCAAAAUGCUUUCAAUGCUUUUACCACGUUAGUUGAACCCACUUCCUUUGCAUGACCUGUCCUUGUCACAGUAAAUAGCUGAACCUUGCAAUCUAGCAUACCUGGUAGAUGCUUGAGCCAUGAUGUGCCCUAUCCUGCUAUGCAUGCUAUGCUUAGAGUUGUGUAUGGCCUGUCAUCUAGGUGAUGAACAAGAUCAUGAGAAUGUGUUCAGUUAGUAAAGGUGGUGUGUUGAACCUGAUUUGGUAAAGGCACCGGUGAAAGGCUAUGUAGGAGUACAUGGCGGGUUGUUUCAUUGGAACCGUCCUUAGGAACUGAGUUCCAUGUAUGUAAACCAAGAAAAGAUGCUACCACAUGCUGGGCCUUGAAAUAUGACCCCGCUCGACUUAUUAACUGCCUAGUACUCGGUCCAGGAGUUGCAAGUAGUUUCUGGUCAUUAUAAUCAUGCUGGAGGCCGUGCAUGGUGCUGACCUUAGAGGUGGGCUAUGAUGCGGUAGGCAGUGGCACGGUGUACCAAGUGGCACUCGGAUGGUGGGCUUGGGAACCCUGCGCACAUCGUUUGGGGCCGUGACGGAAACCUCGGCCGGACUUCCGUGUGGGUUACCCUCAGAUAGGCGAUAGACUUGGACUAAGUAUUAGCGUGGUUAACGGUCGUGGCCGACUCCCUCGCUGGGCUUCCGCUUGAAGGUUGCCGAGGUGCAUGACGUGCACAUGGCGAUAAGUGGCGAGAGCGUGUGUGAAGAAGUACACCCCUGCAGGGUUAUGAUCUAUUCGAAUAGCCGCGUCUGCGGAUAUGGACUACUUGGAAUCAUAUGUUGUUCAUAGAUAACUAUAAUGGCUACACAUAAAAAUUGUCAAGAUAAGUGUGAGUGUCGUGGAUGGCAUUUCCGUAGGGAUACGGAAUGAUUCCACGAUGGAGUAUUGUGGUGGUGUUAGUGGACUCGUGUGUGAGAAAUUUAGUUGUCAAAACUAUUUAAAAAUGCAAGUUGUCUAGCCAAGAGUCAAAUGCUGGCUUUCAGCAAGAAACCCCACAACUCUUUGUUGAUACAUUGCAUGAGUAGAUAGAUUAUCCUAAAGUCUUGUUGUGUACUUUUGUACUCACGUUUGCUUAAUAAAUUGUUGCAGAGGUUGUUAAUGACCCUAAUGGAGGGUUAUACUUAGACAUUGACGACGACGAGUAGCUGGUGUCCCAGCUACGAUCUGGCCCUAGGUUGGGUCUAUAGAUAGUCAGGACAUGUGCCUUUAUCUUUCCAUAUGUCUGUACUCAGAUAGUUUUAAUCUUCCGCUGGCUUAUAAGACUUGUGUGUAUGACUUGUGAUGAUGGGUCGUAAGACCCCUAUCUGUGUAAUAUUAUGUGUGAGGCUCUUCCGAGCCUUCUAAAUAAAGUUGUAUGUUUAUGGUUAUGUUGUGAUGCCAUCGAUGUAUCUAUACAUAUCGGUAUGCCAUGCGUACGUGUGUUGCACUUGAUAUGUAUGGGGUUCAAAUACCUAGUCGUAUGCCUUAGUAGCACUCCUUACGGGGAAAUGCCCCUUUGUGAUUCCAUAGAGCCAUGGUAGUUCGCUACUGCUCUGGACACAUUGGUUGACUGGCAUGUGUCAUUCUUAGCUGAUGUGUCUGUCCCUUUGGGAAAUGUCAUGCGUAUGUAAUGGAGUCCUUGUAGCUUGCUACGACUCGUCUACAUUCGAUGAUGACUGACACCUGCUUUGCUGGGUCAUGUAUGCAUGUCCCUGUACGGUGUUGCCGCUUGAGUUUAUGACUAGACAUGUCGAUCCGGGUUCUUUGACAUUGGAUUGCUAGCGACACAAUUGCAUACACGAGUCAAAAGGCGCAAACAGCCCCGAUUAAGGUAAGGCUGCAGCCGUGGGGAUAACCGUACGUGAGACCGCAAAGAGAUGCGAUGUGUUACAGGCUGGAUUCCUAUGGCUUAGGAUCGGGGUCCCGACAUCUAGUGUUCUAAGUAAGAGGGCGAGGACUCAACAUAAAAGUAAAUAGACAGUCCCUUCGCAGAGGGAAACAUUGAUUUACAGAGGUGCCACAGCUCAAGUUUUUAAAGUGGGAUUGAAAAUAUAGUUUUGAGUGGUGUUCUUUCCUGUCAACGUUAUGACAAAGGUUUUCAGUAUCUUCGAUGCUAAACUCAUCAUCGGUGGUUCCCAAGUAUAAUUGUAAAGUUUUACUCCUAUCCACCAUCCAUACACAACCAUGGCUAGCCGAAUUCACGAGUUCCCUCCAACAUAUCAGAUUUCCCAAGGAGUUUUGUUUUAAUUUAAUUUUGAUUAAGAAGGACUCGUCAUCCUUGUUACCAACCUCUCUCAUGCAAUGAUGGCGAAUUGAUGCAUGUCUUGAGACUAACUUACUUAGCAUAGAAGAUACCAAUCGCCCCAUCGCUCCAUGAGCGGUACGAGUGCACAAAACAUAUGUUUAUCUGGAUAUUUUAGAGGUGGCACAUGAAAAUUUAGUUUGAACGAUAGGGUAAUACCGCAUAUAGGUAGGUAUGAUGGACUCAUGUGGAAUAACUUGGUUUUAAGGAUAUUGGAUGCACAAGCACCAUUCCCGCUUAGUACACAUGGAGGCUAGCAAAGGAUUGGGAAGCGACCAGCUAGAGAGCAACAACGGUCAUGAACAUGCAUUAAAAAUAAUCAACUUUGGACAAAGCAUGAGUAGGAUAUAAACACUCUGAAUUUAAAUAUCAUGAAGGUUGCCUCAGUUUUGAAUUAACUACAUGUUUGCACAUGGGCCAAGUCAAACCACUUGAAUUACCGAGAGGAAAAUACUAUACUACCAUAUCACAUCAUAACCAUUUUAAUACAUGUUGCACAUAAGGUAAAUCAUUAUCAACUCCUAGCUAUUUAAGCAUGGCAUGAAAUCUAUGAUCUCUAAUUGGCAUCACACACAUGUUCACUCACGAUAUACUAAAUCAAGAAUGAAGGAGCCAACAUAUUUACAAAAAUGAAAAACAAGAAGAGUUCAUACCUGUUUCCUUUGCCACGAUCACUUCAUCAAAUAUCAUUAUUAUUGCCUUUCACUUGCACGACCAGAUGAUGUGAUAAUAAUAAAAGCGUAGUGGUGUCAUCGACUAAGCUGGAAUCCGUAGGGCAGAUUUAAACAAAGGGGAAGACAUGGUAAUAUUGGCUCUUCAUUAAAACAACAAAGCAUAUGAGAGUCACUCAUCAUUUUCAUCACGGUCUUCCCUUUUCAUGACUCAAUAAAAGCCAAAUAAAUUUAGAGAAACACACUACAAUAUUUUUUGAGUUUUUCUUCUUAAGCAAGCGAAAUAAACUAAGGGAAAAUAAGAACGAGAAAAACUAUUUACACGGGAAAGCUCCCGACAAGCAAAAGGAAAUCGUUUGGGGUCUUUUUUAAUAUUAUAGCUAAUUAAACGAGAAAGAAAACCCGAAAAGAAAUGAGAAAUAUUUUUGGAUUUACUAAAUUUUUCCUAACACAUAAGAAGAAAGGGAAAAAUAAAGCUAACAUGAGCAUACAAUGAAAGAGCAUGAACACCGACAAUUUAUAUGAAGUAUGUGAACAUGAAUGUAAUGUCGAUGGGAAAUUCGUACUCCCCCAAGCUUAGGCUUUUGCCUAGCUUGGUAAUCACCAAUGGUAGUCUGGGAAGUGGUUGAGAUGGUAGCUUGUUGGGGCAUUCCUGGCUGCCUCUUCUGCCAAGCGAGUGGCCUCUACUGCCGCAUUGUACUCCCGCACUUCGUUCUCAAGAACAUAGUAUCUGUCACGAUGAUGAAAAUUAAAGAGGGCACAUGCAGACAAAGUAACAGGCAUAGGUGUAUAUUUCUCAAAUAUUAAGUUAUACACAUAUCCUCUACACUAUUUACAAUAAACUCGUGAGACCGCAUAGCUUCAUAAUCAAGAUAUAUAUCAAGCAAAAUAGGAUCAUUAGGUUGAGGUGACACUCCCAAUUGUGCAAUUAUACGGGAGGCAUAAAUUCCUCCAUACAAUUCUCCGUUGCUAGAGUUGGAAUGCAGCCUUCGAGCAACAAUUGCACCUAGAUUAUAGCGUUGUUCACCCGUCACAACAGUGUGAAUAAGGCUCAAAUCAGGAGCACAUAACGCAGUGGAAUCUUGUUUCCCUACUACGCAUUUCCCAUUAAAUAGUGCAAAGUAACGAAUAGAGGGAAAAUUGAAUGCUUUUAAUUCUAGCCUGUGCCACUCCUCUAUUUUCUCCAACACAGAGGCUCUCAAGGAAUAAACUAUAAUCAAUUUUUGAUGGUUUCUCAAGUGAUCCCCCAAGUGGGAGCUUGCAUGCGACAUAAAAUUCUUCUAGGCUCAUGCUAAAGGCUUUUUCAUACAGCUUACAUAAAAUCUAGAAGUACUAGAGAGAUAACGGAAUUGAUGCAUGAAUGUGUGGGUAAGGUUAUAAUGUUGAACACGCAUAUGUGCAAGGAAGUUGGUGAGGCUGGUGUCAUGAAUGAAAUGAUCAAAUUCCUCCUUGAUACCUGCAUUCCUCAUGAACUCUUCGCUUGGCCAUCGGUAGGAUUUGGCAUCAGCCAUGACUAUCUAAUUAGCCUAAGGCUCAAUGUAAGCUUGUUGUAUCGAGCCCUCACUCAAUGAUUCACCCGAAGUAUUCUUUCUCGAGGAACUCCCCUUGAAGAAACUCAUCUCCCUAAGCACAAAUUUCUAAAAAAGUUGGACCACAAAAAUAUGUCAAUAAAACUUUAUGAGAAUGAUAGCAACUACUCAUAUGGAUACUUAGAGGCUAUAUAAAGCACUGAUGCUACUUGGAACUUAAAGAAUUUAACAUGCAAGCUUAUUUUCUGUAGCACCAAGUGCAGCGCUUUAUGCCAAAUAUAAAACACUAAGGCAAAAACUAAUUGGAGAGAUGGAGGAGUCACAUACCAAGGAACAAUUUCCUUAAAACACUUUCGGAAACGGGUUUCCGAGCAAGGGGAUCAAAAAUUUCAGUUGUGGAGGAAGAACGCGGGAGAGAGAGAGAGCUAGAAUUUUUUUUUCUUGAGCUAGAGGAUGAUGUGAGCUAAAGGGAUAGGGGAGGGGACCCUGUGGAUCCCACAAGCCAUGAGGGUGUGACCACGGGGGCCACGCCCUGUUGGCUUGUGGCCCAUAGGUGCGUCUCCCUACUACUAUUUUUAUGCCAAAAAAUCUUAUUUAUUCUAGAAAAAAAUCAUGUUAAAAUUUUAGGGCAUUUUGAGAAUUUUUACUUUUUGGGUCAUUUUUCUAUGGUACGAAAAAAAUCAGAAAAUAGCUUAAUCAUGGAUUUUUACUUUUACGUAACUAAGAGAACAUACAAUAAACUUGGGGUACACAUAGUUGUGAAUACUCAAUUCAUCGAUAACAUGCCUUUUGAAAAGGAUCCAUUAAUUAGAUUGAUCAAGUCUUAUUAACAAUCGCUUUCGAUAAACAUGAACCGGAGAACUUUUGUAUAUCACUAGGUUACCUCAUUGGGAAUUUGCAUAUCCCUCAAAAUAAGAUUAUAUUAUUUCUUUUUCUUGGAAGUAUGUAGGGGAAUGGUAAAAUUUCCAAUGAUGGCCUGGGAAUAGGCUCAAUGACAUUAAUAUUGUUAACCAAAGUUUGCUUCUUUCGAAAAUGCACCGUAUGUUGCUUGCCACUAACAUGAAAAGUGACCUUGCUUUUGUUGCAACCAAUAAUAGACCCUGCGGUAUUUAGAAAGGGUCUACCGAGGAUAAUUGACAUACUGUCGUCCUCGGGCAUAUCAAGAAUAACAAAGUCUAUUAAGAUAGUAACAUUUGCAACCACAAUGGGGACGUCCUCGCAAAUUCCAAUAGGUAAAGCAAUAGAUUUAUCAGCCAUUUGCAUAGAUAUCUUAGUGGGUGUAACCUUAUCUAAUUCAAGUCUUCUAUACACAGAGAAAGGCAUAACAGUAACGUCUGCUCCUAAAUCACAUAAAGCAAUUUUAACAUAAUUUAUUUUAGUGGAGUAAUGUAUUGUGGGUAUACCCGGAUCUACCAACUUCUUAGGUAUUCCACCAUCAAGAGAGUAAUUAGCAAUCAUAGUAGCAAUUUGAGUUUCGGGUAUCUUUCUUUUAUUGGUAAUAAUAUCCUUCAUGUAUUCAGCAUACGGAGGCAUUUUCAGUAUAUUAGUCAAGCGAAUGCACAAAAAGAGAGGUCUAAUCAUUUAAGCAAAGCAUUCAAAAUCUUCAUCGUCCCUACUUUUAGAAGAAUUUUGAGGGAAUGGCAUGGGUUUUUUAACCCAUGGCUCUGUUUCCCUUCCAUGUUUUCUAGCAACAAAGUCUGCCUUAGCAUAAUGUUUAUUUUUAGGAGGUGGGUUAUCAAGACCCUCAGGAGGUUCUAUCUCAACAAUAUUAUUAGGUUCCUUAUUACUACCUAGUGGAUCUUCUACAUGAACAUCAUUAUUAUCAUUAUCAGUAAGUUCAUGUUCAUUACCAGAUUGUGUUUAAGCAUCAGAAAUAGAAACAUCAUUGUGAUUCUUAGCAGGUUUCUCAUUAUCAGGUUCACUAGGGGCAUGCAAAGUCCUAUCAUUUUUCUUUUUCUUUUUCUUCCUAAUGGGACUAGGAGUAUCAUCAUUAGUUCCGUGGGAAUCAUGUUCUAUUCUUUUAGGGUGACCUUCAGGAUAAAGGGGUUCCUAAGUCAUUCUACCUUCUCUAGUCAUUACUCUAACGGCAUGAUCAUUAAUAUUAUUCAUGUGAGCAAACAAAUCAUUUUGUGACUUAGCUACUUGAUCUAAUUGGGUGUGAACCAUAGAGGCAUGUUUACCUAGACCCUUCACAUCAUUAGCAAUUAUAAAGAUCAAGUCACCUAAGCGGUCUAUCAUCAUGGCAUUAUUAUUUAAUUGAUCCUUAACACAAUUACUUAAGUGUUCUUGUUUAACAAUGUAAUUAUCAAAUACAUCCAUGCAUUGAUGAGGAGUCUUAGCAUAAGGUAUAUCAUUUCAGUAAAGGAAUGGAGAGAAUUUACCUUUAGUACAUGUGUCAGGGUAUCAAGUGGCACACCCUGUGUUUGUACCACUUUUGCCACAUGUUGCUUUAUGAGAAUUUGGAACCAAUUAAAACUUUUGCAUGUUUGUGAUGAUUGAUUUCUGUUGCAACUUGCUUGUGUGACUGAUUGAGUUUUUGAAUCACUACAGUUGUUCUCCUGUCUAAAACCUACCUCCUUCACCCCAAGCCCUUGACCAAUGAUCAUGCCAUGUGAAUAGGGAUAGAAAACAAUUUUUAUAAACUACUAUUUUAAACAAAGGCUUUUAAUCAUUUUAAAUUCUCCAAAACCCCUCAUUUGAGAUUUGCACUUCAAGUCCCCAAAUUAGGAGGGAUGUUUUACACCAAAGGUUUUAUUUGCACCCUAUUAUUCAAAAGACUUCCCAAAACAACACAAUAAAUAUUUUUAAAGUUAUUUUCCUAUUUUAUUUAGAUACGUUUUUGAGGCUAGAAAUGGUAUUUCAUAGGGAAAAAAUAUUUUCUUGCUUCAUAAAUAUUUGAUAAAAUUUAGGGAAACUCAGUGGACAUAUAUCUUCCAUAAAUAAGAGUUUCAACACAUGGUCAUGUUCAAAAUAUUGGACAAAAACCCUCAAAACCCUUUCUGCCUAUUUCAAGCUUUUGAGAUAUUUCCAAAGGAAAUAUUCUCAAUAAACCCGAGGAAAAUUAUAUCAAGUCACGCAUGGUAAGUGUGGUGAUCCUGCAAAGUUUCAUCUCAAUCCAAGUUGAUUUGAUCCACCUAUUAACCCCAAAACCCAUCCUAUCCAGAACCAAAUUUGAGCAACUCUACAUUGCCAAGUUUACCUAAUCGCUCUCAAACUUGACAAGAGUGAUACAGCCCCAAAACAGGGAUGCCACACCAAGUCUUGCAUUUGUGGGAGUUGAUUUGAUCACCUUGGUCCACAGAAAUCUAAUUAUGUCCAUUUCUAGGGUUUUUCAUGUCUAGAUUCUCAACCUUGCUCAAAUGAGCUCAGACUUGGUGAAUCCUAUUGGUUUUGCUCAUAAUCCGAUCCUGUUAAAUAUCACUACAAGUGGUGAGAUUUAUCUUCCUAAAACUAGCAUCAAACACCUUCUGGUGAAUUGGUAAAACUGCUACUUUCACCCCCUACAAUGUUCUCCUUCACUCCAAAUAUUUACCACAAGGCCACAGAGUCACUCUAGACAUGCGGUAGCAAGAUCCAGCUCUAGUUCAACCAUGGAGUUAGACAAAAAAACAAUUACCCCUCUCUUCCACCCUCGCAGAAGCUUUCCACCCCUCUCCUUUUGACCAGAGACCACCCCCUCGGCUCCAAGGCAUCCCAGGAGCAUCCCCACAUAACCCACACACUAGAGGACAAGAUGGGGUGCGCUAGAGCACGCUAGCAUGCCGUGGCAUGCCAAACCUACAGUCUCGCCGCGCUACAGUGCGCACCCACAUGUUGGGAGGCCAGCCUCGGCCAGCUUUAGAGUCCUCCGACUGUCCCGUGCGGGCCCUCGACCGUAGGAGACCUGCACCAUGUUGUGCCCCUCCUCUCUCCCCUUCUACCCCCUGCGACGCGUGGCCCCGGCGACCGAUUCGGUCAUAUGGCGCCCGCCACUGCAGCACGCCAAGAGCCAGCUCCAUGCUCCUCCUUGACCAUGUUUCGACCCCAUACCGCGUCCACGAAGACCGCAGAUGUGCUCCCAAGCCAUCUCUCCUCCACUGGUCGUCGUCAUGGUCUCAUCGGCGCACGAACAUUCGGUGCAUCGUGCCCCCGCUAUAUAACGCCACCCGAGCAUCCCUCUCCCUCACUUCAACCUCGUGCUGCACCUAAUCACACCCCUGAGCCACGCAUUCAUCUCCAGGAACCCCCACGCUCGAGAUCUACUUUCGGAUCCGCCGCAUCGGGAUUCCGGCAACCCUUGGGUACAAGACCGCUCCACCUCUCAUUUCUUUUCUAAUGGGUCCACAAUAGCUUCCUCAUGCUUUCCCCUCUCUUCCCUAUUCUUUUCCUCCAGGUUUCGGCCCCGACGACCACCCUCUCAAGCUCAUCCGCCGCAGGACCUCGUCACGGCGACUCCCUGCACCCCUGCUCCCCCUUCCUCCACCAGUCGAACGGCGGCUCGUCCCUGGAUCCAUUUUCAUCCCUAGCCACACUCAUCGUGCCCUCUGUCAUUGCUGGUGAGCUUUCCGCCCUCUCUCUCCCGAUGUUGAAGAUGAAAGGUGUGGUCCACCUAUCAUCCUCACCUCUCCCUCGCCUCCCCUCUCUCCCACUGGCGGUUGGGCCCCGCCUGUUGAGUUUAAACCCUCGCGGGUGUGCGCGCCUAGUCCACUUGGGCUAGUUCGCUAGCUGGGCCGAUUCGGCCAGCAGCUCCACGCCGAGGAACUAUGCCCUUUUUCCUUUUCCAUUUAAAUUUUGUGUUAUAAAAAUUCCACAUGAUUAAAUAUUUAUCCAAAGUCAAAUAUUCCUCCACCACAAAUCUUGUACUAUUAUGUAGUAUUUUAGAGUGCCACUUGUGCAUUUUUACAAAGGUUGCACGCACUGUAUUAUUUUAAAACCUUGUUUUAGAUAUUUUAAUACUCUAUUAAAAUGGUUUCUGCAACUUUUGUAGUCCAAAAAUAAAACCUAAUAAUUGUUUUUGACAAGCUACUGUAGGGAAACACCCCACACCUUAAAACCUAAUAAUUUUUACAGAACCUAAACUCACCCUAGUAUUAUACAAAAAUGGUGUGACAUUUUUCUGAGUAUAAUAUUUUCCCGGUUUUGGUUGAGUGCUUAUUUUUUCCCAUUUAAUUGCGGUGAUAGAUUGCAUUGCUGAAGAGGGGCUUGGACCAGAAGACCUCGAAGAUCCCGGAGACCUGUUUGAGCAAGGCAAGCAACCCUUGACCAUGUGAGAAAAUACUUUCAUGCAUGUCAUAUGAAGCAUUUUAUUACGACCCAUAAGACCAUGUUGAAUUGGUAACUACCUCUGUGGGGUGUUUCCGAUAGUUCCUAUUGACACUUGCACUUGGUCAUAACCCUAUCAUUUAUGAGGGUUGUGCGGGUGGAAGUAGUUAGGUUGCUAGUAGUGCUACACAUGGGAGUGAGCACAUGCAUGGUGAUGGUAAAAAGGAAGUGAUUUCAAAGGUUUUACAAAAAACCCGUCAUGUGCCACUAAUGCCCGAGGGAGAUGGUGUGAGAUAGGUAACUACUUGAGAGAGAAGCGGCAUACCAAGGCUAGUGAGUGUGUGGUUUUAAAAAUCGGAUUUGUUUAAGUUGCGACCGUUACUGCUUACAUGUGCAACCACGACACCCCUUAUGGGACGGGGCUUUGCUGACUACUAUGGUCGGCUCUAGUACAGAUCCCACAUUACUAGUGGAGGGAGUGACGUGGUUACUCUCGAGACAGGGUCGUGCCCGGAUAAGGGGCGACCAUGGGCUGUUUUUACGGACAAUGGGCACACCGUUGCGUGCCCUCGUGGAUGAUACGUGUGGUGUACAUCACGAGGGACUGUCACCAACGAGUGGACUCUUGCUAGUAUCAUCAUGGGAAAGGUGAUGUUCGGGUACUUACCUCGGGUAUGAUAAAUACAACGAGUCGUGUUCUGACACGGAAGUUUCCCGAAUCUUGUGGGUAAAGUGUGCAACCUCUAUAGAGUGUAAAACUAUUUGAAUAGCCAUGUCCAUGGUCAAGGACAGUUGGAUGACCGCUCUUGGGCUACGUCCAUGUUUACCAAAAACUGUGCGUGUGUGGAAAGGGGUGGUGUGUGGGUAAUAUGGCGUGUGGGCUGAGUCAGGUGACUUGGCAGUGUAGGAUCAAAAGUAUGUCUAGAGAGGGGGUGAUUACACUACUUGACAAGAUAAAAACCUAUCUGUUUCCCAAUUUUAGUUGUGGGCUAGUUUUAGCAAUUAUGGCAAGUCAAGUACACCCUACACAUGUAGUUCUAAGAGUAUAGCAGCGCAAUGUAAAACAUGCAAGCGUAAAGUAAAGGAGUAAGGUAGGGAGAUCACACACAUGGGGUUGACACGACGACUUUUGGCAUGGUUCCGAUAGGUGGAGCUAUCGUAUGUCCAUGUAGUGGAGACUUCAACCCACGGAGGGUAAUAGUUGCGAGAUUCCACGGAGAGCUCCACCCACAAGGGGUCCACGAAGAAGCGGCCUUGUCUAUUCCACCACGGCUUCCUUCCACAAAGGACUAGCCUCACUCACGGUAGAUCUUCACUAAGUAGGCGAUCUCCUUGCCCUUACAAACAUGUUGGUUCAACUCCACAACACGAAGUAGGAGGCUCCCAAGCAACACCUAACCAAUCUAGGAGGCACCACCCUCCAAAAGGUAAUAGAUGUAGUAGAACGAUGAACUCCUUGCUCUUGUGCUUCUAAAGAUAGUAUCCUCUACACACAAUCACUCUCUCACAGAAUAGGCAUGCGUAGGAGAGGUUGAUUUGGUGGAAAGCAGAUGGGGAGGCUAGAUAUCAAGUUUCAAAUGAUUGGAUUGGAAUGUCUUGAUCUCAACAUAUGAGUAGGUGGCUCUCACUCAGAAAAAUGGAUCUGGAAAUAAAGUGUGUGUUCUGAGUGUUUCUCCCUCGAAAGAGAGAUAGUGGAGGGGGUAUAUAUAGGCAGUUCCCAAAAUCCAACCGUUACACCUAAAGUGACCAACUCGGUGACACCGAAGUCAGGAACUCGGUUGUACCGACUUGCACUAAAGGCAGCAAAUUUUGAAUCUCGGUGGAACCGGUAUACACAACUCGGUGACACCGAAAAGGUGGCUAACGGUCAGAUGACACGACUCAGUGACACCGAUACCCAAACUCGAAAUUCUAAUUUUGUGUACUGAGGCAACAGAAAGUUGGUCACCUAAACUCGGUAGCACCGACACGGUUUCGGUUGCACCGAUUUGGUGGCUUUGGCUAGGUUCUGUCUAGGAUGAAAAUUGGUAGGGCCAAAUUGAGAAACUUGGUGGCACCGAUUUUGUGUAUGUGACUAUGGACAGAAUGGUUAUGUCGGAAAAUUACUGAGUAUUUUUGGUGGCUAUCUCUGAGCACUUGAGCAACCAGUUCAUUUUAAUACCUCACCCCCUUUUAAUAUUAUUGGUUGUCCUAUGUACUCAAAAGCGAUUUCUCACAAAUAUAAAAUGAAGAGUCUUCUAGCUUGAAGCUUGGGCCAAUCUUAUUCCUUUCUUGCAUCAAGGGGCAUCUCCAUAUAAGCCUUUAGCCAAUGCAUCUUUUGAACUUUUCUGAAAUAUACUUGGAUAAACAUAUUAGUCCAAUGAUGCAUAUGUUGUGAUCAAUUAUCAACACCACCCUAGGGAGCAAUUGUGCUUUCAGGCACGAUUGGUGAACAACGGUUUCCCGACCCCUCAGUUGAUAUUGAUAUUUGUAACCUGCUCUUGGUUACCGAUUACCUUAUGAUGCAUGCCUCACGAGAAGUUGAUAAUGUUAUUGCACUAGGGAAAGAUCUGCUUUCCGCAAAAUAGCAUACUAGUGUUAUGUCAUCAUUCAUUAUUGCCUUGUUCCAUAUCUUGGGUUGCUUGCGAGUACAUUCAAAAUACUCAUUGGCUUGCCACUGGUUAUUUAAUUGGCUAGGCAUGGAAGAACGAGAUUUUGGGGAAGAGUUUGUCGGAGAAGAACAUGCGAACUAGGACGCUUCCCAGUCAGAAUGCGUGUAGGUUAAGGCAGAUGGCAUGGGUUCACACUUUCAACCUAGAUAUCCGCUGCUUGGUUGUGUUUGGUGUGUCGGCCUUCGAGGCCCUAUCUAUGUAAUGACUUGGCCUUAAUGGUCUUUAUUUGUAUUAGACGGUACCCCUAUCUAUGUAAUGACUUGGUCUUAAUGGUCUUUAUUUGUAUUAGACGGUACGUAUGGAUGUAAGACUCGUUUUAUUCAGCUUCUGUGUGUUCGGUGAGCAUUGAUCUCUGGGAUCACCGUACACGUGCAUUCGGUGAUUACAACUUACAAGUCGGAGUCCCCACAUCAAGUCCAUGUAUUUAUUCAAGCGGUGGUAAUUUCUUGACAUCCUCAAUUUUAAUAGCUUUCUCCUUUAUAUAUCUUUUUGCAUCUUGCAUAUCUUUAGGGCUGAGGAAUACAAUACCUCUCUUCUUUUGAAUAGGUUCUCGGUGAUUGUUCAGGGAAUGUCCAAUCAUCGGUAUUUUGCAAUAUAUUAUUUAGUAACACUUCUUCUUGUUCAACGGUUCUUCCCUAGAAACACAACUAGCACAACUAUCUAGGAAAUCCCUAGAAGCAUUUGUUAGUCCAUUAUAACAUAUAUGAAGAAUUUCAUUCUUCUUAAGAGGGCAAUCAGGCAAAGCUCUAAGUAACUCGAGAAGCCUCCCCCAAGCUCGAGGGAGAUUCUCUUCUUCAAUUUGCACAAAGUUAAAUAUUUCCUGUAAAGCAGCUUGUUUCUUAUGAGCAGGAUUUUUUUCCAUAGAAGUAAUAAAGCAUAUCCUAGGGACUACGCAUACAACUAGGAGCAAGAGAAAGAAACGAUUCAUUGGCCUCGCCUUUCAGCGAGACGGGAAAAAGCUUAAGGAUAUAAUAGUAGCGUAUAUUUUCAUCAUUGGUGAACAAAGUAGGAAUAUCAUUUAGUUUCAUAAGGUGUUCAACCACAGUUUCAUUUUCACAACCAUGAAAAGGAUCAUACUCUACUAUAGGAAUUAAUUCAGGGUCUAUAGAAAAUUCAUAGUCCUUAUCAGUGACAAAUAUAGGAGAAGUAGCAAAACUAGGAUCAUGUUUCAUUUUCUCCAUCAUAGAUUUUUCUUUUAGUAUGCAUGGUAACUUUUUCAUACCAUCUCUAUCUUUGCAAGCAAGAAAGUACCUAGCCCCCUCACGAUCCAUAACAUAACCUUCAGGUACAUAAGGUAAUUCAUAUCUAUUCGGAGGACGGGGUGUAACGGGUGAUUCAAAAUCUUCAUCAGUUUCAGCAUUUUCAAGUUCGCUAGCUCUAGCAAUAUGAGCAUCAAGUAAUUCACUCAGUGGCACAGUUUUAGUUCAACAUGUGUAGCAAUAGUAUCAUGAUUAAUUGCAGAAGAAGCAUCGUCAAGUUCAUGUGACAAAUCGGGACGAUCAACACGUGGUGGUGUAACAAGCUGAUUAAAAACAGUAGGUGAAUCAAAAGCAGAGGUAGAUGGUAGUUCCUUACCUCCUCUCGUGCUAGAGGGGAUGAUCUUAGUUCGAUUAUCUUUCAGAUUCUUCAUAGUGGCAAUUGGAUAUCCUCAAGUCAACACAAUAAAUAAAUCUCUGCUCCCCAAAAAAUGGUGCCAAAAAAGGAUCUUGAUAGCCCCACAAGUAUAGGGGAUUGCGACAGUCUUCACGGGUAUUAUUUCACCCUAAUUUAUUGAUUCAACACAAGGGGAGCCAAAGAAUAUUUAUUGGCCAUAACAGUUGAGUUGUCAGUUCAACCACACCUGGGAUAUCUUUCUACAAUAAGGACUUAGUAGCAUAAUAAAUGAUAGUAGAACACUAACAAUGAUAACAACAAUUUUGGUAAUAGUAGUAACAGUAGAAAUUCAGUAGCAGGUGUGAUAGCAGCAACAACAGUAGUAACUUAGCAAGAUGACUAUAUGUAAAGCAUAGGCACAUGGACCGGUGAUGGAUAAUGAUUUAGAAGACACUGGUCAUAUAACAGUUAGACACUAGGGCGACAUAGAACUAGCUCCAAUUGAUCAAUACAAUGUAGGAAUGUGUUCCGUAUAUAGUCAUCCGUGCUUGCGAUAAGAACUUGCAUGACAUCUUUUGUCCUACCCUCCCGUGGCGGCGGGGUCCUAUUGGAAACUAAGGGAUAUUAAGACCUCCUUUUAAUAGAGAACCGAAACAAAGCAUUGACACAUGGUGAAUACAUGAACUCCUCAAACUACGACAAUCACCGGAAAGAAUCCCAAUUAUUUUCACCUUGGGGUAUGCGGAUCAAGACACGUAAUAGGUAACCACAGCUUGCAACAUAGGAUCUAAAUCACUAUUAUAUUCAUGAAAACACAAUAGGUUAAGAUCUUAAUUCAUGGUACUCGGGACAUGUGACAUCAAUCUCAGAACAUAGUGGAUACUAGGGAUCAAGCCCUGUCAACUUAACUCGAUGACAUGAUCAAUCCCAUUCAAUCUCACCACCAUCCAGCAAGACUACAAAGGAAUUACUCACUCCCGAUAGUGAGAAUCAAGGGGGUGUUGAUGAAGAAGGGUUGGUGAUGACGACGAUGAUGAAUCCCCCUCUCCAGAGCCCCAAACGAACUCCAGAUCAGCCCUCCCGAGGAAAAACACGAGGUGGCGGCGGCUCCAUCUCGUGAAAUGCGAUGAAAACUUCUCUCUAUUUAUUCUCCGAAGAUGUGAUCUUAUAGGAUUGGAAUUAGGGUCGGAGGAGCCACAUGGGCCCCACAAGCCAUCAAGAUCUGGCCUUGGGGGCGUCGUGUUGGCUUGUGGCCCGUGGCAGUGUUUCUUCAGCAGCUCUUUCCUCCAUAAUUCCUUAUAAAUGCCAGAAAUAAUUCACAAAAAGUUUCAUCCAAUUCCGAGAACUUCUAUUUCUAAAAAAGUAACACCAAGGUAGUUCUGCUGAAAACAACAUCAGUCCACGUUAGCUUCAUUCAAAUUAUGCAAAUUAGAGGUCAAAACAAGAACAAAAGUGUUUGGAAAAGUAGAUAUCUUGGAGACGUAUCAUAGCCCACGAGGGCCAACUCGUCAGUAUGUGAUGGGGCGGGUCUUCAGUUUGGACCUCAUAAUUUGUUAAACACUUGAAUACUGUAGCCCUCUAAGUGUCGUGUCACAUGCAUGCAGUGACUUGGGACUUUAGAAAAAUUGAUCUGAGUAGUGUAGCCCCCAAGUGUUGGGUCAUUUUGCUACAGCGACUCGAGACUUAUAUGUACUUCUCCUUUGAAAAUAAAAACAUUAUAUGAUGUAGCCCCAAAGUGUCAGGUCGUUUGCUUGCAAUGACUUGGGACUGUGUGAGAAUAAUAUAACCCAUGAUAAUGCACUUGAGAAGUUCUCUUUAACUUGAAUGAAUCCUUGACCGUGGUUGCAAUGCAAUCCGGUAAUUUAUUGUCUUGUACGAAUAUCUAGGAAUAAUGCCUUUGUGCUUGAAAUGAAAUACUUGCUCGUGGUUGUGGUACAACCCGACAAAUAUAUGUUUUAGAAAUCCAUAAGUGUUGUAGUUUACUAUAGAGCACAAAUUGAAAAAAUGUAAGAGACGGUCAAUUAGAUGACCCGGCAUUAUAUGUGAUAGGUUGGCUCAACAAUACGUAAUAUACUAUCUUAGCAAUGAUAGACCGGCUUUUCGAGAAUAUUUAUUUAUUCUGAGCUAGCUUGGAAACCCUAAUCAUUUAAUACUCGUUAUGAUAAAACAUGAUGAAGAUUCUGUCAUUUUGGCUAUCGAAGAUUUAUUUGUUCCUGCAAAAGUUACGAUGUAACCUGGUUUGAAUACCACCUUUCCACAACAUAAACAAUAUAGAAAUGUAUGUAUGAUACAUUAUGAAAUGAUGCAAUGCAGAAUGAUGUAUGUAUAUGAUAACAGAAUAUAAAAAUAUCGUCUUUCGUGGCUGGAGUCUUGCUUCAAUGAAGCUAGCGUGAUAGCCCAUGGUUUGUCCUCGCUUUUUGUAAGUCGGCUCUCACAUGACCCAAUCGAUGUUUUAACCUGGACAAGUUCAGGGUCCAUGUGGUUGGAGUAGCACCUUGUAAAUAUACAGGUUUAACCGAGCUUGUGAUGGCUUGAGUCUUGCUUCAAUGAAGCUAGCGUGAUAUGCCAUGGUUUAUCCUUGCUUUCUGUAAGUCGUCUCUCACAUGACCCAAUCGACGUUUUAACCUUGAUAAGUUCAGGUUCCAUGUGGAUUGACUUAUCAAGAGUACACGAGGUCGGAGUAGCAUCUUGCAAACAGGCAGGUUUAACCGAGCUUGUAAUGGCUUUUAGCCGGGUGAAGAGGGAUAUUAUGACUGGCUAACUCGUUGAGUCGGGAUCCCCCAAGUGACCUAUGAUCAUGGAAAAGCUGAGCAUAGGAUAUACAACAGACAAUGCUACUAAUGCAAACCAUCUGGGGUCCACAUAAGCCAACUUCUAUUCCAUUAAUAAUAAUAUGAUGAGCCAAUAAGGCAAGAUAAUAUAUUUGAACAACGCAUCAUGGCAGCUAGUUUGGAAACCUUUAAUUUUUCGCUAAUAAGGCAGGUCACCCAUGUUUGAACUACGCAUUAUGGAAGCUUGUCCUCUUGGGCGAUCUUCAAUUUUUUCGCCAAUAAGGCAGCAGCUCCCGGAACCGGGUUAUCUUCCGUGUAAUGACCCGGGGUUUUGGAAUUUGUUGAAACUAGCCAAAUCUGCUGAGUCAUGUCUGUGUAACCCCCGAGUCUUAGGUCGACUCAAAGAGGCGUCUUGAGAGUCUUCAUACUUGGUUGUAGCAUAAGCCGGUGUAAAGUUGACAACUGAACUAUGGAAUUUAUCCAAACUGGAGAUGCUGUGGUGAGUUGAUGAUCUUCGUGAUGAUCAUCGCAUGUUUUUGGCAAACGUUGUGGCCAAUUUGAGUUCAUAUGCCUCUUGACCCAUUCUUUGCUAUUCCUACUUGGUCCAGCUCUCCUAGCUCCUCCAGGUCCACUUUUUUGUUGUUGUCUUUUGAAUUGUCGGCUCAAUGAUGGCCGGCUCAAAUUGUAGCUUCUCGGGGAAUGUUUCCUCCGUGUGUGACUCUUAUUUAUUAAAUGUGUUGAGGUAGACUAGACCGGGGGAUGGCAAGGCAAUGCACCUAUCCAUUGGACAACCCGGUGCGAGUGGAGGUUGGCGCGGGCUUUGGCAAUGUUGCGUAAGACAUGAUUCCAAAUGUCACUUUGCUCCUUGGCUCCAUUGUUGUUGGAAUAAAUCGGACCAUGGGGGUGGUUUGCGUGCGUCCGUAGGGUGGCUCGAGCGAGCACGCACGGUACCAGCAUGUUGAUGUAGAUGUGGGAGUCAGCCAUCGUGUUCGAGACCGGCUUGAUAGCGCGGAUGCGAUAGUUCGGCGCGGCGUUUGUAACCCAGCGUUGCCGUGCAAGUCGGAUGCGGCGUUGGAAAUCUGUGUGGACGGUGAGUCGGACGUGGCAUUUAUGCUGGUGUAGACGAUGAGUCAGUCAUGUCAUUCUAAACCUAUGCAGACUCAUGGGUCGGCUAUGGCGUGUUGAUAUAGCCUGGAUCAACGGGGGCGACGACUUGCAUGUGUGUCCGUCAGAUAGUGCAACAUUGACGGAUGCUGGUGCAUCAUGAUGUUGACGCAAGCUCUAUACGUGCAAUAUAACGCCACUUUUGUAAUAAACAUUUUUCCUGCAAAAAAUAGUAUAGGCCAAAAACAAUUAUCUUUGAUCGAAUAAUAUGUAUUGGAAAAUAGAUAGGACAAAUAGCACCACAUUUGUUUUUCUCGGAUGAACGCGAACGCUAGUGCAGAAUAAUGCUUGACAUAGUAUCAACACCCACCUGAUUUGUUUUUGGCCAGCUGCCCCUUCUCCCUUUUUUAUUAUUAUCCUCUAGCCGGCUUUCCCCACGGCAGUCGGUUCGUGAGGCGGCAUCCGGCGCAGGCGGCCCAAGCGUGCGAGCGGAGCCACCGGCCCGUAGGACGACUGACUUGUAGAGCCGCGCAAGGGAGGCGUGGCUGAGCCGGUGAAUGCACGACGAUAGGUGGAGGCGAGGCGGAGGACGCCGGGGGCAGGGAAAAAUCGGUCGAGGUGUGGCGCGGACCUGAUGCGAUGCGGGCGAGGCCCUGGGUGGAGCUAGCCACGGCGUAGCAGGCAAGGCGAUACGGAAGUGGCCAACGCAUGGCGCAGCGCGAUGUGGGGACAUGUAAGCGACCGUGGCGAGACGGAUCUAACGGUCCCCAGCCGAACCGGCGCACGGAGCCGGCGAGGGAUGCGAUUGGCGGCGCAGUAGUAGAGGGCGUGCGGAGGUUGGUGGGCACGGGCAUGGGAUAGGCACGUCAGCUCUGCAGGAGCUCCUGUACGGCAAGCUCAUGGCUCCCCCGCACGACGCUGUGGUCGUCGGAGGCCUUUUCAUCUACCUGGUCGUCGUCUCCGCCUUCAGCACGGGGGGAUAUGAAAGCAGGGGAUCGGGAUGGGGCGGGGACGGGGAAAAUUGGUGGGGCAAUGGCAGGGGCGGAAUCGGAGCACGUGUAGCAGCUUCUUGGACCACGUGGACCCCGACUUGGAGCUGUUGGUGUGGAGAUAGUACUGCAAGUCUGUCGGUCCAUAGAUCAGAAGGGUAAUGACCAAGUCUUUGCAGUGGGAGACGAAACCGACAUAUCUACACCUGAUCCACUUCGUGUCAAUCUCGAACACGAACAAGCACGGGAGAACCUGGUCAAACUCGGCGACGCGGGGGCGAAAAAUCAGAAUUCGAUGGGUCGCCGAGAGACAUGACACGUGUAGCGGCGCACCAUGCAGUCCUAAUCUCUCGUAUCAAACACAGAUCAAUCUCGUAUAUGUCCUUCCAAAAUGUAUCAACAGAAUUAGUUAACUCGAUUGAUAACAAGCUUCUUGAAUUAUUCAGUGAUUCUUGACUCUCAUCACAAAUUAAUGAAAUUGCACACUCUGCCCAAGGUUGUCCCAUGAAGGAAACUGUAGCAUAGUGGCAACGACUCCUCACAGGGAACGACUGGCCCUAGGUUCGAAUCCCUCCCGGUGCGUGCGUUUGUUUCAUAUCCUCCAAUUCUGAACUUCUCGAUCCUUGGAGAGCUCCCUCCAAGAACAUAACACCAUCGUGCGUGCAGCCCCACGGUGGGCGCCAACUGUCGUGGUUUUGUCACGGCAGAUGUCCUCAUGAUAGAACUUAGGUGUGAGGCAAUCACAACUGGGUGGUAGGUUGGAUGGGGUUGGUCGAAAUCGAGAGACGCGAAUUUUACCCAGCUUCAGCCCCUCCAGUGGAGGUAAAAGCCUAUGUCCUGCUUUGUGUUUUAUUGAUGAUGAUGUUGAUUACAAGGGUGCGGAAUCACUACCUCUAGUCUCGACAGUUUCUAAUAUAUUUGUCUCUAAUGACUUAACUUCUCCCUCUUGGGGUGCCUUGCCCCUCCUUAUAUAAGUUGAAGCGAUAGGCUUACAUGUAGAGUCCUACUAGGACUAAGACUAGGACUAGUCUCUCUUGAAUCCUAAUUCGGGUCUUGAUUCCCUUGUGAGGAAAUCUUUCCUCUUCUUGGGCCUUCUUUGUGAUUUGGACCUCAGGCCUCUCCAUGCGUCGCCUUCAGUUGGGGUGCACAUUCAGCCUUGGGCCUUAUCGUCCAGGUCGACCCGGUAAAGAAGGUGACCUCAUGAGCUACCAAAUGAUGGGCCGAGUCAAACCUCCUGGACGACUCAGACCGUGGGGAAUAUCCCCAAUAGGUAUAUGUAGGCAUCUCCAAAAAUUCAACCGUUAUAACAUUAUUGCCCACCUCGGUGAAACCAAAGUGAAACUCGGUGGCACCGACUAGUGCAAAAUGUGGCAACUUUUGUCUUUUCAGUGAGACCCAUAUAUGAAUCUCGGUGGUACCAAUUUUGGUAGGCCUACUCAGUUUCCACAACUUGGUGAGACGGAUUCUCAAAACAAGGAAAUUCUGAUUUUAAGAAGUUGGUUAAUAGAGUCGAAGGAACUGAUUUUGAUGGCACUUAAAUGAAACUUGGUGGUACCUAGACUCUAGGGUUUGCCAUGGGAUAUGUGUAACACCCCGAGACCGAUGCUCCAGAAGAUUCCCCUUUUAGUCCAUUGUCGUCGUGUGAUUUAAUUAUUUGUCGCAUUCAUCAUCGCAUCAUUCGCGUCAUCUGCAUUGCAUCGACACUUCGUUGCCUUUAGUUUUCAAAACUUGCAUCCAUCAUUAGUUGUUGGUUCUCUCCGUUUUGUCGUUGACCGUUUCGAGACCAACCACACAUGCCCGCGCCCGCGGCAUUGAUAAAAUAUUGUUUUAAAAGUGUGUAUAAAACUUUCUCGGAUUGGGUUGAAACUUGGCAUGCGGUCUUAUUUUAAUGUAAGUAGACCACCUGGCAAAUUUCAUUGCGAUCGGAGAUCGUUUAAUACCCUGACCGUUAAACAUAUAGCGGCACUAUAGCCGGUCCAACGUGAGACGUUUUUCGUUGUUUUAAACUAUGUUGCCGGGUUACCCAUUUCCCUCUCUUCUAUGCCUAGCCUCUCUACACAAUGCAUAGACCCUACGUGCAACCUAGCCCGAAACUCCCCCCCCCCCGACACGAACCCGCGGUCGUGACCGGGUCUGAAUCAACCCCGUUUUACCCCAAAUCAUCAUCGGUUUGUCUAUUGGUCUCCCUAACCUAGUUAUUCUGAGCCAUCCAAUUUAAUCGUAGGGCCAAUUAAACCCCGUUUAGUCUCUUGCCCCUUAUAUAUACGGAUGUGGAUCAAAUCCUACCCUAACCCUAGCUAAAUAGUUCCCCUCCCGAAAGCGUCGCCGCCCCAUCUCAUUUUCCCAGUCGGGCCAACCCAGCACCACCUCUCCUGCCCAAACUCCCACGUGCCCGCGCUCCCUGCUGGCCGAGACCUUGUCGCCGCCGUCAACGACCAGCGGGUCCUGGGUUCGAGCCCUGGGUAUCCCAUUUUGAUUUUGCAAUAUUUCCUUUUGUAUCUUUUUUGCAUACGCUUCUACACUCCACCACGAGCACAACCAAGGUCGGCCUUAUUUUCCAUCAAGUUCGUUAGAGUACCUCGUCCAGUUAAGUUAGUUAUGCUAAUUUGACAGGAACACUCAGCAAGCCUAGUAGUAAGCACUCCACACACCCAUCCAAGGGAUCAUGGGUUCGAAACCCAUGCACACCAAUUUUUCCAUCUUUAUUUUUCCAUUUGCACACACACACACUGAUCUGGGUUCGCUUGCCCAGCCACAUCAAUAUUUUUGCAUGCAUGUUGCAUCCAUGUCAUAUGAUUUGUGUUGCUCGUAUCUCCUAGGUCGUAACCCCGUUGGAAAUGAAUUAUAUGUGUAAAUCGACUAGAAUGACGUGUAGAACCAUGUGAACCUAUUUACUCUGCUGUUUAACAAUAUUAAAACAUGUUAGUUCAGAUCGGGACAGAUUUCUUAAUUAGCGUAUGGGGUCAUUUCGGAGAUGUUAUAAGUUGUUUCCGACCUCAUUUAAAAUGCCUAGAUAGGUAGUUUAUUAGUGCUUCACCUCUUGCCAUGUUUAAACAACAUUUAAUAUUGUCGUGUGCCUAAACGGGAGUGAGCUAAAUAAUUAAAAUGUGGAGUUUCGUCAAUAUGCAACUCGUUGCAUGUUGUGCUUCACUUAAUGUGUAGUGGUUGAUUGUUGUGAAUUGCCAUGCCAUGCCUUGCAUAAUUGAAAUGGACAUGCAUCAUAUUAGAUUGUGCAUCAUAUCGUGCAUGUCCCGUGGUGAACAUUGCGUGAUGAUUCUUGUUUCCGGUUUGCUUCUUCUCGACAGAGUUCUGUAAGCGUGUCGGAAUGUGAGGAUCCGUUCGACUACGUUGGUUCGUCUGCUUCACGGAGUCGUUCUUCUUUCAAGCGGGAUCUCAGGCAAGAUGACCAUUUCCCUAGAUACCAUUACUAUCAAUGCCAUGCUAGUUGUCUUGUUUCUUUCGUUAUGUCUCGCUGCCUACCACGUGUUAAAUGUCAGCCUCUCAACAUUGCCAUGAAAACCUUCAACCUUUGUACAACCUAGCAAAUAUGUUACCGUUUGCUUAACCAUUGGAUAGCGUUGCUAGUCGCAGGUGCAGUUGCUUCCAUGUGAUAACAUGGUUUCCUUGUUAUAUCACCAUAUUAAUGCUAUUUCAAUUAAUGCACCUAUAUACUUGGUAAAACGUGGAAGGCUCGACCUUCUAGCCUGGUGUUUUGUUCUACCUUUGUCGCCUUAGUUUUGGCUACUGGUGUCUUAUUCCAUAACUGAGCACUCCUAACAUGUUCGGGGUUGUUAUGGGGACCCCCUUGGUAAAUCGUUUAGUGUUAAGGCGUGCCUCGCAAGACUCAACUUUGGUACUACAUUUUCCUAAAAACUAAUAAAAAUCAUAGGGACCCGCCGACAACCGCGGAUAAUUAAUCAACCCUCGGGCCAGUGCUCCUCAUGAGUGUUGGUCUAAAAAGAGCAGGAUGUGGGGGCACCGGGGGCAACUCGAGGUUUGAUUUAACUCGUAGUGUGACUCAUCCGUCGUGUCCUGAGAACGAGAUACACUGCUCCUAUCGGUUCGUCGACACGUCGGACGGUCUUGCUGGACUUGUCUUAUCUUAACGAUAUAUCUUGUGCAUUGGGAUUCCGGUGAGACUUUGGAUUUUCUCAGAGUUGAGGUUUUCCACUCAGGAAUCCGACGAGAUCGUGAGUUUCGUUAUCGAGGAUUCCUAUGCGGCAUGUGGUAAUUUUUGAUGGAUUAGUUGGAGCACCCCUACAGUCUUAAAUCUUUUGGAAAGCCAUGCCCGCGGUUAUGUGGCAAACUUGGAAACUUUGUUUAACACCUGGUUCUAGAAAACUUGAAGUAAACUUAAUUAAGAUAUGCCAGCUAUGUGCGUAACUGUGACUGUCUCUUCUCUUGAGUUCUGCAUCCGGAAGAGGGCAUGGUGGGGUUAUGUCUGAUGUAAGUAGGUGUUCAGGAUCAUUCAUUUGAUCAUCAGUAGUUCACGUCCGCUAUGCGUAGAUCAUCCCCCCUCUUUUAUUCUUGUACCCAUAAGUUAUCCACCUCAAAUAAAUGCUUAGUCGCUUGUGGCAGCCUCACCACUUAACCAUACCUCACCCAUUAAGCUUGUUAGUCUUGAUACCUUUGGAAAUGAGAUUGUUGAGUCCCUGUGGCUCACAGAUUACUACAACACCAGUUGCAGGUACAGGUAAAGCGAUACUUUGACGUGAGCGCAAUGAUUGUUCUAUUUGGAGUUUCUUCUUCUUCUUCUUCUUCGAUCUAGGAUGGGUUCGAUGCUGGCAGCCUGGGAUAGCAAGGAUGAACGUCGUUCUUUUAUCAUUUGUUUCCGUCCGUAGUCGGACCCUCCUCUUCUUCAUGAUGACUGUAUGUUGUUGUACUGAUGUGAACUUGUUGUAGCUUGUGGCAAUUGUAAGCCAAUUCCAUAUACUCAUCUCUUUAGUACAUGUACUUGUAACGAUAUUCAUUCUUAUGAAACGACGAGAUGCGCUUCUAUCCCUGUCCAGGCCCUCGUGCCAAAAUAAGGAUAAGAUCGCAUCUUGGGCGUUACAAGUUGGUAUCAGAGCAGUACCGACCUAGGAGCCCCCUUGAUUGAUCGAACUUGGCCGGGUCGAGUCUAGUGAAAAACUACUUUGAGUCUAUUUAUAUAUCAGAGAGUAUGAUUCUGUUUUCUCCUCUUCUAUGCUCUAGUGAGGAAUCUUGACGUAAUAAUUUUAAUUCUUCUCCUCUUCUCACACAAUUUUUGUUAGGAUUACGUAGAUAUAUUUGGAAUCUAUAUGAUGUCGAUGUGAUGGAGUUCUGUCUUGGUGCCUCCUGUAUGACUUGAUUUCUUUUGGGGAGUUGAGCUCCAAGGGAUUCUUGAGCACAUCUUUAUCGUUCAGAUUUCUUAGUAUCUCAAGAUGAAGGAUGUUCAAAAUUGCUUCAAUACUAGUAGUAGAGAGAGGAGUCCGGCAUCCCCAGUACUGGUGGAGAGAGUUCGGAUGUACUGUCAUACUUAGUAUCGUUGUGUUUUCGAGGGACUGAGAUAGUUGAGUUUCCAAGAUCUGUGGUUAUGUGUUGACGGAGGUGAUACACUGGACAGAUUAGUGUUAUUGCUAGGAGUUGAGUGAUGGAUUUUGCUCCUUGUAUUCAUGGAACCAAUUGCAAGACCAGAAAAUUCGGGAGUUCUUAGGUGGGAAUUCAAGUAGUUACUUAUAGGACAAUCUUCCAACAGAUGCAUGAUUUGAGGUUGUGGUUCGACAUCUAGUGGAAUACCACAAAAACAUCGAGCGAAAUCUCUGUCAUGAAUUUGUUCCGGCUUGUUUCGUAAGCAUCAUCCUUUGUUUUGUUGGAAUAUGGUAAUUCGAGUUGCUUCGAUGUCAAAUGGUGAUUUGAUCUCUUUUCUAAGUGAUGUUCUCAUAUUUCUAUGGGAAUGCUAAUUAUUUUGCUCAGUCAAGUCGCCUUAUCAAUUCUUGUCAACCGGGGUCGUCAUGUCAAUUCUUUUUCAAUCAGUGUGCUUCUCUUCAAGUAAUUCAAUCAUCUCCAAUAUUUGGAAGAUCAAUCUCUCAUUUCUUUUUCUGGAGUUCGUCUCAUCGGUCCCAAGUUGUCUUUGUUUUCCCGCCCUCCCUCCCUUUUUCCUCAAUGUUUCAAUUAUCAUCGAAAUAUAUUCCUUUCAUUAUUGCUUCCGUUAUCUUUUCUUUUCUUUUGUUCCCGAUGAUUCAUUGUGAAGAUUCUCACGAGUUUUGUGUUCAUCAUUCUUCAUUCUUGUUUUCUACUCCGGUGGAUUCAAUUCAAGCUAUCCGUGUUCAUCAUAUCCUUUUCAUCCUUUAAAUUAUUUCCCAUGUUCAAAUUCUUAUCAAGUCUUUCUUGGUUUUUCAUCCCUCUCUAUUCUACCUGGAGUGUUGAAGAUAUCUCAGAAGUUCCUUAUUUUCAAUCCUUUCAAUUAAUUCGAGGUGCUAACCUCAUCAAGUUUUCAUUUGUACCGGCGCAAUCAAUAUUUCUUAGCAAUCCGUUCAUCAGAUGUUUUCUUUCAGUGUGCCCAUAACCCAUAGGAUUUUCAUAGGAUCUUACCUCGCUCUUCUAAUCUUUUCCAAAGAUCUCUAAUUCUUUUUUAAUAUGACGUAAGAAUGGAUUCCAUAAGUCAUAUUCCUUCCUCAAAGUCAAUCUAAAUUAUUUCAUCAUCGUCUCAACUUUUCAUAUUCUUAUUCGGGAGUGUCUUAUUUAUUCAUGGUGGUGUUCUCGUCAUCAUUUUCAGUUUGGAAGACCGAAGGAGUGUUUUUCUCAAAUUUUGUCCAUUCUUCUGAAGAUUGUCAUCUCAGCUCGUGCUAUCUUCUCAAUUGUUGUCAAUCAUGAGAAAUUCUCCAUAUCUAUCUGGUGCAUUUUAGAUUUGUUUUCAUUUCUUGAUCCUCCGAAGGCCAUCAUUUCAGAAGAUUUCUUUGUUCUCAACUUUCAGCUUUCAUUUUCAAAUUCUUCUCAUUUGUUGUCUCUCCCUUUGUCUCUCAAUUAUUUCGGUGCUUUGUUCAAGUUUUCUCUUAGGUGGAUCAAGAUGUCUUCAUUCUCAUGUAUCUCCAUUCAAUCUUGGCAUCCUUAUUCAUUUGCAAAUUCUUAUCAGUGGUCUGUUAAAUCUUUGUCUAAUCGAAUCAUGCUCUUUUGUCCUCGUGUAUUCCAGUUCAUUUGUGUUAUCCUCUUUCAUUCCAAAUUCUUACCAGUGUUUCUUUCAAGACUUCUUCAGUUUGUGAUCCAUCUCUCUGUCCCCAAUCUUUUUCAAGAAUAAUAAGUGGUAUGCUAAAUCCAUUGCUUGUCAUCAAUUUAACUUGACGAAGGAUGAGCAUAACAUAAUCCUUAUUCUUGUUCAUCAAGGUGAUUUCAAUUUGUCUCUCGGAGUGGUUCAUGAUAUCAAUUCUUUAUCCCAAAUGCUUCAUCUUUUCCUUCCGGAUUCCAAGUUUUUCUCUAUUACCUCUUCGCGAAGCUUCAUCUAAAUCUUUGCAAGGCUUCAAUCUUAUUUGUUUCAACAUUCAACUCUUUAUAUCAUUCUCCAAGUGGUUCUUCAUGGUGAUUCAUCAAGGUUUCAAUUCUUUCUUGAAGUGUUCUUCAACAUUCUUGUUGCAGAGGCUCAAAUAUCCUGUGUUUUUAAUUCCAAAUGCAAUUCUCCCUCCUUUAUCCUUUGAUGUAGUGUUAUAGCAUUCUUCUUAGUGGAGGAGUCUCGAAGAUAAUUUGUUUCAAGAAUGAUAUAAUUAAACCCACCAAUUCCUUCAAUCAUGAGAUAUUUCAACCCAUGGUUUCUUCAUUGUGCUAUCUUGGUUUAGACUUCACUUAAAGCUUUGUAUAAGGAUUGUUGCUAUUAUGGUGUCGCCAUUAAUCCAAGUUUUCAAUGUUUCCUCUUGGUGUAAGAAGUUUCCAUAUCUUGUUGCUCCCAAUGAAUCAAUUGUUUUCCAAUUGUGCUUGGUUGUCACCUCAUUGUUGAGAUGGUUUUCAUAAGUACACUACAAUUUUAUUCUUUCCUUUGUUGGUUUGCCAACAACUUUGUUCAAUUCUUCUUGCAAGGCUGCUUGUCAAAUUCAAUUGUGGUAGUAGUUGUCAUUUUCUUCUUCAUUCUUUCUUCCCUAUGAUCUAGUUCCUAUUCUCUUGUUCAGGAGUUGUUGUGAUGUUGCGCUCUUUGAAUCUAUCAUCUCGUCUCAUCAAGAUCGUGUCCUUUCUUUGCUUAUCAAUUUAGUUGUUUUAUUGUGAAACUUUUCAAGAUCUUUCCAUCUUAUCAAGUUUUUCUUCUCUUUCCUACCGAAGUGAUGCCGAAAUUUUGUUUGAAUUCUUGCUUGUUUCUCAUAUCAUUCUUCAUCUCUUUGCAACCUUCAAGGAUCGUUGGUUUCACUCAUUCGUCAAAGAAGCAACUAUGUUUUAUCUCUUGCUUUCUCAUCCUCUUCCCCUUUCAUUAUUAGAUCUCAGGGCGAGAUCUCUUGUUAGUGUAGAAGAGUUGUAACAGCCCGAGAACGACGCUCCAGAAGAUUCCCCUUUUAGUCCAUUGCCAUCGUGUGAUUUAAUUGUUCGUCGCAUUCAUCAUCGCAUCAUUCGCAUCAUCUGCAUUACAUCGACACUUCAUUGUCGUCAGUUUUCAAAACUUGCAUCCGUCAUUAGUUGUCGGUUCUCUCCAUUUUUUCAUUGACCAUUUCGAGACCAACCAUACAUGCCCGUGCCCACGGCAUCGAUAAAAUAUUGUUUUUAAAAGUGUGUAUAAGACUUUCUCAGAUUGGAUUGAAACUUGGCGUGCGGUCUUAUUUUAAUGUAGGUAGACAGUCUCCCAAAUUUCAUCGCGAUCGGAGUUUGUUUGAUACCCGAACCGUUAAACCUAUAGCGGCACUAUACCCGGUCCAACAUUGGACGUUUUUCAUUGUUUUAAACGGUAUCACCGGGUUACCCGUUUCCCUCUCUUCUAUGCCUAGCCUCUCUACACACCGUUUCCUUCUCUUCUAUGCCUAGCCUCCCUACACACUGCACAGACCCCUACACGCAACCUAGCCCCCCCCCGACCCAAACCUGUGGUCGUGACUGUUGGGUCCGGAUCAACCCCGUUGUACCCCUAAUCAUAGUCGGUUUGUCCAUUGGUCUCCCUAACCUAGUUAUUCUCGGCCAUCUGAUCUAAUCGGAGGGCCAAUUAAACCCCGUUUAGUCGCUUGCCACUUAUAUGCACGGAUGCGGAUCAAAUCCUACCCUAACCAACCCUAGCUAACCAAUUCCCCUCCCGACAGUGCCGCCGCCCCACCUCAUUUUCCCCAUCGGGCCAACCCAGCGCCACCUCUCCUGCCCAAACUCCCACACGCCCGAGCUCCCUGCUGGCCGAGGCCUCGUCACCCCGCCGUCAGCGACCAGUGAGCUCAGCAGCCCUCGCCGUCCUCGUCGGAGUCUGCCGGCCACCGGAGCCCCUGAGUCUUCGGGUCCGGCCACCCGUGUGCCCCGCCUCGCCGGCCCUCUACCCGUCGGUGCAUGCUGCGCCGCAAGCCGCCGCCGCCGUUGCCAACCAGCGCCCCAUCAUGUCCCUCGAUGUGCAUGCACCACCAGCAGCAGCCGCCGGACUUCGCCAGCCGUCGCCUCGUGCCUCUGUGUGCCGCCGUCCCGCCUCCACCUGCGCCCGCAGCAGCAGUUCCUCGUGCCCUGUGCCUUCUCCUCCCUCUCGUAACUCCUCUUCUCUCUCUCUCUUUGAUAAUUCUUCUCUGUCUCUAUGCAGGGACUAGCAACUCCGCCAUGGAGGGCUCCCGUGCAUUGCCCCUUCACGCGAAUCUCGUGGUCAAUCACUGGAUCCGGCUGCUCCCAUGCCUGGCCUCCCAUGUAUACCGUUCGGUCUGACGGUCGUUCCCCAUGUUGCCGGUGAUGAACCCAAGCACCUCGCUGCAUCUGUGAGUCCUAGCCAUCGCUCGUUUCUUUUUUCAGUUCAGAUCUUCACACGCGCGCGAGAGUACUAGUUGAUGCACAUCCAGCCCUAUAUGCUAACCAAAAGUGCAAUAGCAUAGUGGCACGAGCUAAGUUAGAGUUCCUGGUUCAGUUAAGUUAGUUAUGCUAAUUUGACAGGAACACUCAGCUAGCCUAGUAGUAAGAACUCCAUGCACCCAUCCAAGGGAUCCUGGGUUCAAAACCCAUGAACCCCAAUUUUGUCAUGUUUAUUUUUCCUUUAGCACACACACACACACACUAAUAUGUGUUUGCUUGCCGAGCCACAUCAAUAUUUUUGCAUGUAUGUUGCAUCAAUGUCAUAUGAUUUGUGUUGCUCAUAUCUCCUAGGCGGUAACCCCAUUGGAGAUGAGCUAUAUGUGUAAAUCAACUAGAAUGACGCGUAGAACCACGUGAACCUAUUUAUUCUGUUGUUUAACAACAUUAAAACAUGUUAGUUCAGAUUGGGAUAGAUUUCUUAAUUAGCAUAUGGGGUCAUUUCGGAGAUGUUAUAAGUUGUUUCCGACCUCAUUUAAAAUGCCUAGAUAGGUAGUUUAUUAGUCUUCACCUCUUGCCAUGUUUAAUCAAAUGCAUCUGCAGGUCUUGGGUUCGAGCCCCGGGUACCCAAUUUUGAUUUUGCAUUGUUUCCUUUUGUAUUAUUUUGCAUACACUUCUACACUCCACCGCGAGCACAACCAAGGUCGGCCUUGUUUUCCAUCAGGUUCGUUAGAGUUCCUGGUUCAGUUAAUUUAGUUAUGCUAAUUUGACAGGAACACUCAGCUAGCCUGGUAGUAAGAACUCCAUGCACCCAUCCAAGGGAUCCUGGGUUCGAAACCCAUGCACCCCAAUUUUGCCAUGUUUAUUUUCCUUUAUCGCACAUACACACACUAAUAUGUGUUUGCUUGUCGAGCCACAUCAAUAUUUUUCAUUGUAUGUUGCAUCAAUGUCAUAUGAUUUGUGUUGGUCAUAUCUCCUAGGCGGUAACCCCGUUGGAGAUGAGCUAUAUGUGUAAAUCAACUAGAAUGACGCGUCGAACCACGUGAACCUAUUUAUUCUGUUGUUUAAUAACAUUAAAACAUGUUAGUUUAGAUUGGGACAGAUUUCUUAAUUAGCGUAUGGGGUUAUUUCGGAGAUGUUAUAAGCUGUUUCCGACCUCAUUUAAAAUGCCUAGAUAGGUAGUUUAUUAGUCUUCACCUCUUGCCAUGUUUAAUCAAAUGCAUCUGCAGGUCUUGGGUUCGAGCCCCGGGUACCCCAUUUUGAUUUUGCAUUGUUUCCUUUUGUAUUAUUUUGCAUACACUUCUACACUCCACCGCGAGCACAACCAAGGUCGGCCUUGUUUUCCAUCAGGUUCGUUAGAGUUCCUGGUUCAGUUAAGUUAUUUAUGCUAAUUUGACAGGAACACUCAGCUAGCCUAGUAGUAAGAACUCCAUGCACCCAUCCAAAGGAUCCUGGGUUCGAAACCCAUGCACCCUAAUUUUGCCAAGUUUAUUUUUCCUUUAACGCACACACACAAACUAAUAUGUGUUUGCUUGCCGAACCAUAUCAAUAUUUUUGCAUGCAUGUUACAUCCAUGUCAUAUGAUUUGUGUUGCUCAUAUCUCCUAGGCGGUAACCCCGAUGGAGAUGAGCUAUAUGUGUAAAUCAACUAGAAUGACGCGUAGAACCACGUGAACCUAUUUAUUCUGUUGUUUAACAACAUUAAAAACAUGUUAGUUCAGAUCGGGACAGAUUUCUUAAUUAGCGUAUGGGGUCAUUUCGGAGAUUUUAUAAGUUGUUUCCGACCUCAUUUAAAAUGCCUAGAUAGGUAGUUUAUUAGUCUUCACCUCUUGCCAUGUUUAAUCAAAUGCAUCUGCAGGUCUUGGGUUCGAGCCCCGGGUACCCCAUUUUGAUUUUGCAUUGUUUCCUUUUGUAUUAUUUGCAUACAAUUCUACACUCCACCGCGAGCACAACCAAGGUCGGCCUUGUUUUCCAUCAGGUUCGUUAGAGUUCCUAGUUCAGUUAAGUUAGUUAUGCUAAUUUGACAGGAACACUCAUCUAGCCUAGUAGUAAGAACUCCAUGCACCCAUCCAAGGGAUCCUGGGUUCGAAACCCAUGCACCCCAAUUUUGCCAUGUUUAUUUUUCCUUUAGCACACACACACACACACUAAUAUGUGUUUGCUUGCCGAGCCACAUCAAUAUUUCUGCAUGCAUGUUGCAUCCAUGUCAUAUGAUUUGNNNNNNNNNNNNNNNNNNNNNNNNNNNNNNNNNNNNNNNNNNNNNNNNNNNNNNNNNNNNNNNNNNNNNNNNNNNNNNNNNNNNNNNNNNNNNNNNNNNNAUGAGGUCGGAAACAACUUAUAACAUCUCGGAUCUGAUAUAACAUGUUUUAAUGUUGUUAAACAACAGAAUAAAUAGGUUCACGUGGUUCUACGCGUCAUUCUAGUUGAUUUACACAUAUAGCUCAUCUCCAACGGGGUUACCGCCUAGGAGAUAUGAGCAACACAAAUCAUAUGACAUGGAUGCAACAUCCAUGCAAAAAUAUUGAUGUGGCUCGACAAGCAAACACAUAUUAGUGUGUGUGUGUGUGUGUGUGCUAAAGGAAAAAUAAACAUGGCAAAAUUGGGGUGCAUGGGUUUCGAACCCAGGAUCCCUUGGAUGGGUGCAUGGAGUUCUUACUACUAGGCUAGCUGAGUGUUCCUGUCAAAUUAGCAUAACUAACUUAACUGAACCGGGAACUCUAACGAACCUGAUGGAAAACAAGGCCGACCUUGGUUGUGCUCGCGGUGGAGUGUAGAAGUGUAUGCAAAAUAAUACAAAAGGAAACAAUGCAAAAUCAAAAUGGGGUACCCGGGGCUCGAACCCAAGACCUGCAGAUGCAUUUGAUUAAACAUGGCAAGAGGUGAAGACUAAUAAACUACCUAUCUAGGCAUUUUAAAUGAGGUCGGAAACAACUUAUAACAUCUCCGAAAUGACCUAAUACGCUAAUUAAGAAAUCUGUCCCGAUCUGAACUAACAUGUUUUAAUGUUGUUAAACAAUAGAAUAAAUAGGUUCACGUGGUUCUACGCGUCAUUCUAGUUGAUUUACACAUAUAGCUCAUCUCCAACGGGGUUACCKMGGAGAUAUGAGCAACACAAAUCAUAUGACAUGGAUGNNNNNNNNNNNNNNNNNNNNNNNNNNNNNNNNNNNNNNNNNNNNNNNNNNNNNNNNNNNNNNNNNNNNNNNNNNNNNNNNNNNNNNNNNNNNNNNNNNNNCACGACUAAUUUAUGGUUCUGGCACAUGGAUAGAAAGCUUCCACACAUCCCUGUCCAUGCCUAGUUCUUUGGUGAUGAAAGGACCACGAUGACGCCUAGAGGGGGGUGAAUAGGAUAUUUAAAAACUUCUUCGGAUUUGGCUUAAACCUAAUGCGGAAAUAAACUAAGAGGAUACUUUUCAAGCACAAAUCCUAAAUGCAAUAGGCACCGCAACGUGCACCAACAACACGAUCUACCAAGAUGGACACAACACGGUUACUAACAAGCACAAGUAAGUUACACAAACUUACUUGAGCUAUAUCACACGACGAGUAGGUGAAUGACACAAGAUACUAGAUCACACUAUAGCACACGAUAUAUCAAAAGCUGCAAGUGUGAACGUGUGGAUAUAGAGGGUAUGCUUGAACGAUUAAUCGUGUACAAAGAAAUAGACAACACAAUAUAAUGAGCACAAACAAUAUGCAAUGUAUGUAUGCUCAAGUAACACAAGUAAACCACAAUUAAGGAGUUAGGGUUAGGGAUAACCAAGGUCACUGAGACAAAGAUGUAUCCCGAUGUUCACUUCCUUGGAGGGAAGCUAGUCACCGUUAGAGAGGUGGAUGUUACCACGAAGGCACACCAACGCCACGAAGGCUCACCCUAUUCUCCCUUUAAGAUAACACCACGAAGGUGUUUCUCAACCACUAGUGGUAAGCCUUUGAGGUGGCUUCCAAACCCUCACAAACUUUUCCGGGGGUAAUCACACGGAUUGAUUCCUCUCCGAAGAACUCCUACCGCGUAGGAGUCUCCAACCUCCAAGAGUAACAAGAUCACGGGGAAUGCUCAAAACUUGCUCAAAUCUCAAAUAUCUUGGGUUGAGAGGAGGAGAGGGAGAAGAUCUAUCUUUUGAUUGGAACAACUCUCAAAGGGGCUCACAAAUGCUCUUGGGAUCUAAGAUUUGGUGUGAGCAAAUGUGUGCGAGGUAGAAAUGUGUUCUGAUGAAGAUAUGGCUGUGUUGGACCCCCUCUCACGAAGUGGGAGGGGGGUAUAUAUAGUGGGGAGACUAAAAUAACCGUUGUGGUCACUUAAGUCUGACAGUGGUCGGACGUCCGACGGUUUCCGGACGUCCGGACGGCCCCGGAUGUCCAAGAGUACGGCUCUGUUCAAGGGCACCGAAUUUCCGAAAGUGGUCGGACGUCCGGCCCUCGGACGACAGGGAGAGGCCGGAAGUCUGAGUUAUUUGACUCUGGAUUUCUCUGGUGCAAGGUUCCGGUUUUCCUAAGUGGUCGGGCGUCCGGUCCUCGGUCGUCCGGAGGGAGCCGGAUGUCCGAGACUUUGGCUCUGGUAUAGGGUUCCGGAUUUCCGAAGUGGUUGGGCGUCCGGUCCUCGGACGUCCGGAGGGGGCCGGAUGUCCGAGGCUUUGGUUCUGUUUUGGGAUCAAAGCAGAGCAGUGGAGAUGUGGCAUGAGCAGAGAAGUNNNNNNNNNNNNNNNNNNNNNNNNNNNNNNNNNNNNNNNNNNNNNNNNNNNNNNNNNNNNNNNNNNNNNNNNNNNNNNNNNNNNNNNNNNNNNNNNNNNNUUAAGGACAUAAUCCUUCUUCCCAGCUUGUAAGAUUAGCUUAAGAUUACGAGCCCAGUCUACAAAGUUGCUUCCAUCAUCUUUCAACUUAGCUUUCUCUAGGAACGUAUUAAAAUUCAGGAUGACUGUUGCGUGAGCCAUGAUCUACAACACAAAUAUAUUCAAAGUGGACUUAGACUAUGUUCAAGAUAAUUAGAGUUUAACUUAAUCAAAUUAUACGCUAAACUCCCACUCAGAAAGUACAUCUCUCUAGUCAUUUGAGUGGUUCAUGAUCCACUUACACUAGCUCAAGUCCGAUCAUCACGUGAGUUGAGUAUAGUUUCAGUGGUAAGCAUCCCUAUGCUAAUCAUAUCAUCUAUAUGAUUCAUGAUCCACCUUUCGGUCUCAUGUGUUCCGAGGCCAUGUCUGCACAUGCUAGGCUCGUCAAGCUUAACCCGAGUGUUCCGCGUGCACAACUGUUUUGCACCCGUUGUAUGUGAACGUUGAGUCUAUCACACACGAUCAUCACGUGGUGUCUCGAAACGACGAACUGUAGUAACCGUGCACAGUCGGGGAGAACACAAUUUCGUCUUGAAAUUUUAGUGAGAGAUCACCUCAUAAUGCUACCGUCGUUCUAAGCAAAAUAAGGUGCAUAAAAGGAUUAACAUCACAUGCAAUUCAUAAGUGACAUGAUAUGGCCAUCAUCACGUGCUUCUUGAUCUCCAUCACCAAAGCACCUGGCACGAUCUUCUUUUCACCGGCGCCACACCAUGAUCAUCCAUCAACGUGUUGCCAUCGGGGUUGUCGUGAUACUCAUGCUAUUACUACUAAAGCUACAUCCUAGCAAAAUAGUAAACGCAUCUCCAAGCACAAACGCUAGUAUAAAGACAACCCUAUGGCUCCUGCCGGUUGCCGUACCAUCGACGUGCAAGUCGAUAUUUCUAUUACAACAUGAUCAUCUCAUACAUCCAAUAUAUCACAUCACAUCGUUGGCCAUAUCACAUCACAAGCAUACCCUGCAAAAACAAGUUAGACGUCCUCUAAUUUUGUUGUUGCAUGUUUUACGUGGUGACCAAGGGUAUCUAGUAGGAUCGCAUCUUACUUACGCAAACACCACAAAGGAGAUAUAUGAGUUGCUAUUUAACAUCAUCCAAGCACCUCCUUGGUCAAAUCCGAUUCAACUAAAGUUGGAGAAACCGACACUUGCCAGUCAUCUUUGAGCAAAGGGGGUUACUCGUAACGAUGAAACCAGUCUCUCGUAAGCGUACGAGUAAUGUCGGUCCAAGCCGCUUCAAUCCAACAAUACCACGGAAUCAAGAAAAGACUAAGGAGGGCAGCAAAGCGCACAUCAUCGCCCACAAAAACUUUUGUGUUCUACUCGAGAAGACAUCUACGCAUGAACCUAGCUCAUGAUGCCACUGUUGGGGAACGUCGCGUGGGAAACAAAAAUUUUCCUACGCGCACGAAGACCUAUCAUGGUGAUGUCCAUCUACGAGAGGGGAUGAGUGAUCUACGUACCCUUGUAGACCGUACAGCAGAAGCGUUAGAGAACGCGGUUGAUGUAGUGGAACGUCCUCACGUCCCUCGAUCCGCCCCGCGAACAAUCCCGCGAUCAGUCCCACGAUCUAGUACCGAACGGACGGCACCUCCGCGUUCAGCACACGUACAACUCGACGAUGAUCUCGGCCUUCUUGAUCCAGCAAGAGAGACGAAGAGGUAGAAGAGUUCUCCGGCAGCGUGACGGUGCUCCGGAGGUUGGUGAUGACCUUGUCUCAGCAGGGCUCCGCCCGAGCUCCGCAGAAACGCGAUCUAGAGGAAAAACUGUGGAGGUAUGUGGUCGGGCUGCCGUGGAAAAGUCGUCUCAAAUCAGCCCUAAAACCUCCGUAUAUAUAGGUGGGAGGGAGGGGACCUUGCCUUGGGGCUCAAGGAGCCCCAAGGGGGUCGGCCGACUCCAAGGGGGAGGACUCUCCCCCCCCCCAAACCGAGUUGGACUAGGUUUGGUGGGAGGGAGUCCCCCUUCCUUCCCACCUCCUCCUUUUUUUUCUCUCUUGAUUUUCUUCUCCUUGGCGCAUAGAGCCUUUUGGGCUGUUCCACCAGCCCACUAAGGGCUGGUGUGCCACCCUCAAGGCCNNNNNNNNNNAUUUUUCUUUCUCUCUUGAUUUUCUUCUCCUUGGCGCAUAGAGCCUUUCGGGCUGUUCCACCAGCCCACUAAGGGCUGGUGUGCCACCCUCAAGGCCUAUGGGCUUCCCCGGGGUGGGUUGCCCCCCCCCGGUGAACUCCCGGAACCCAUUCGUCAUUCCCGGUAACUCCGAAAACCUUCCGGUAAUCAAAUGAGGUCAUCCUAUAUAUCAAUCUUCGUUUCCGGACCAUUUCGGAAACCCUCGUGACGUCCGUGAUCUCAUCCGGGACUCCGAACAACAUUCGGUAACCAACCAUAUAACUCUAAUACGCAUAAAACAACGUCGAACCUUAAGUGUGCAGACCCUGCGGGUUCGAGAACUAUGUAGACANNNNNNNNNNNNNNNNNNNNNNNNNNNNNNNNNNNNNNNNNNNNNNNNNNNNNNNNNNNNNNNNNNNNNNNNNNNNNNNNNNNNNNNNNNNNNNNNNNNNAGUUCACAUGUGCCUCAUGGCAAGAGGUAAUAAUGAGGUAUCAUCUUCCCUGUGCAAUAACGAUGAUAUUUGCGAUGAGGAUGAUGAUGAUGAUUUGACCAAAAAUAUCUAUGUGAUCAGUAAAAUUCUUCAUAAAGCUAAAAAUAACGCUCUUCAAAGAUUCCAAGAUGUUCUUGCUUACUUGGAAAAUUGUAAUGAUUCACUUAAUCAUGAACAAGCUAAAAGUGAACAACUUGAACAUGAACUUGAUAAGAGUCAUCAAGCAUGUAGAGACUUAAGAUCUUCAAAAGGAGAGAUUGAAGUUGCUCAUGAUAAACUUAAAAAGGAUUUUGAGGUCCUUCUCCUUGAAUGCAAUAAUGUCAAGCGAGAGCUCAUCAAAACCUCUAAGAUCUAUGAGGAGCUUCAAUCUACUCAUGAGAAGUAUCUAUUUGCUACUUACUCCUCUCAUAUUGUUGAUGAUACUUGUACAUCUAACUCUACCUCAUUUGAAGUAUCAACAUUGAAGGAGAAUAUUGAGCUACGUACUCAACUUGAUUUACUAACUAGCAAUUAUGGGAAGUUGGAAGAAAACCAUGUAAUGCUCACAAGCUCUCAUGCCGAUCUUCUAACAUCCCAUAAUGUGCAAAAGUUAGCUCAUGAGGCUAUCAUCACCAAGGUAACAUCAAGUGAGCCUCAUGUGGACAAUGGCACUACUUCUAGUCAAAGUACUAUAUUUCCAUGAGCUAGUCCUCGUAAUUCGUCUACUCAUAAUAUUGCUACCUCGUGUGAUGAAUUACUUUCCUUGCCUUGUUGCUCUAACAUUGAAGCUUACACUUCCUCUAGUACUUGCAUUGAUAGUAACCGUGCAGAGGAAAUCAAAGAGCUCAAGGCCCAAGUCACUUCUUUGAAGAAAGACUUGGAACAGUNNNNNNNNNNAUGAACAAUGGCACUACUUCUAGUCAAACUACUAUAUUUCCAUGUGCUAGUCCUCGUAAUUCGUCUACUCAUAAUGUUGCUACCUCGUGUGAUGAAUUACUUUCCUUGCCUUGUUGCUCUAACAUUGAAGCUUACACUUCCUCUAGUACUUGCGUUGAUACUAACCAUGCAGAGGAAAUCGAAGAGCUCAAGGCCCAAGUCACUUCUUUGAAGAAAGACUUGGAACAGUGUCAUGAAGGGAUGUCCACACUCAACAACGUCUUGUGUGAGCAAACAUCUCUAAAUGACAAAAAUGACGUUGGAGUAAACUCAAACAAGAACAAGAGGGGCCUAGAACAAGUCAAGNNNNNNNNNNGCCACAAACUCAAUCACAUACUCAGCUACAAGUUGAAGGAAGGCCUCUUCCCAAUAAGACCCAAGCCAACACUCCCCGAGGUGAGAAAUCAACUCGGAAGAAAGCAAAGGGUAGGUGUUGCUACUUAUGUCGUGAGAAGGGUCACGUCGCUUCGUCUUGCACGAGAGGUAACUUAUCCAACCCAAUCACUAUUGAUGAUAUCUAUUCCCUUNNNNNNNNNNNNNNNNNNNNNNNNNNNNNNNNNNNNNNNNNNNNNNNNNNNNNNNNNNNNNNNNNNNNNNNNNNNNNNNNNNNNNNNNNNNNNNNNNNNNGGUUUAGGGUUUUUUGAGACACAACUUUGCCAAUGCAACUCUAGCCUAUACCACAUAGUUUUACCUCUAGAUCGGAUUUCUGCGGAGCUCGGGUGGAACCCUGCAGGAAUAGAUUAUCACCACCACCGGAGCACCGUCACGCUGCCGAAGUACUCAUCUACUUCUCCGUCUUGCUUGCUGGAUCAAGAAGGCCGAGAUCAUCGUCGAGCUGUACGUGUGCUGAACGCGGAGGUGCCGUCCGUUUGGCGCUAGAUCGGAAAGGAUUGUGGGAAGGAUCGCGAGACGGUUCAUGGGACGGUUUAAGGAACGUGAAGACGUUCCACUACAUCAACCGUGUUUCUUAACGCUUCCCGUUGUGCGAUCUACAAGGGUACGUAGAUCUAAUCUCCACUCGUCGAUGGACAUCACCAUGAUAAGUCUUCGUGUACGUAGAAUUUUUUUGUUUACCAUGCAACGUUCACCAUAGUGGCAUCAUGAGCUAGCUCUGAAGUGGUACGCGCUCCGAAUAAAUCACUAAGAGGGGUCAACGACACAUAAAACACCAACCAUCUCGUUUUAAUCCACCAUGUACUUCCUCAUCAAUGGGUUGAAUAUUCAGUCCCGUGGGGCCUGUAUUGCCGCUUUUUUACUUGGGCAAUAUCACACGAAAACCAAUAUUCAAUGAAAACUUUGUAGAAACCAUAUAUUAAAGUUUCGUAAAAAAAAACUAAAAAAUAACAUUGAAUGUUAGGAAUGUGAUGUUUUAUUGCGACACAAAAUUUCAAACUGAAACACAUUAUGAGAUGUGAGCUAUCAAAAAGACAAAUUCAACCGUGAAUAAUGACAUUACUAUUCGGCACUAUUCAAUGUUAAAAAAAUUUCAUAGCCCAUAUCUCGUAAUGUGUCUCAACUUGAAAUUUUGUGUAGCAAUAAAACACCAUCCUCUUAGCGUCUGUAUUUAUUUUCAUAUUUUUCUCAAAACUUCAAAACAUUUUUCUCAUGGUUUUCACCGAACAUUGGUUUUUGCAUCAUAUUUCCCUCCCUAUCCCGCUGACCAUGGUGGCCUUAGUGGCAUGGUGGACAUAGCAACUAGGCCCCGCCCGGGAAUGUGUGCAUCACCGUUACUUGUUAACUAGUUUAUAGUAUUUGUCGUUCUAUCAUUUUUAACUUGCACCCCAUUCAUUUUUUCAAUCAAAAUUGUUACUCCUUCUGUUUCAUAUUUUGUUGUGGUUUUUGAGAAACUCUAGAACACCCUUUAAAGUGGUCAAAUCCGUAAAAAAACAAGGUGUUCAUAGUUUAACGGUGCCUAGCAGACCCCAUAAAACUUAUUAGCCCUUAAACUUUUCUAAAGGGCACUAUGAAUCCAUCCGCGAAAACCUUGUAUGUACGGUUUUGAAGGUAGUAUACAGUUUAACCCGUAAACCGGUCAAACCUCGUCGGAGCAGACACGCCGCUGGGAAACUUGCCGAACUGAACCCAAAACUCAUCGGAAUCCGUCGCCGCAGGACAGAAGAAGCCACCACACGCAAGAAUUUGCCGCCACGGGUUCAAAUUGCGACCGGCUCGCCUCCAUUGUCGAGGCAAGGUCGUCCACGGGCAGGGCAAAGCAAGCCAUCGGAGGCCCGAAUUGUUGGAAUUAUGCCCUAGAGGCAAUAAUAAAUAUAGUUAUUAUUAUAAUUCCUAUAUCAAGAUAAUCGUUUAUUAUCCAUGUUAUAAUUGUAUUGAAUGAAGACUCAUUUACAUGUGUGGAUACAUAGACAAAACACCGUCCCUAGCAAGCCUCUAGNNNNNNNNNNACUAGCCAGUUGAUCAAAGAUAGUUAGUGUCUUCUGAUUAUGAACAAGGUGUUGUUGAUUGAUAACUGGAUCACGUCAUUAGGAGAAUCACGUGAUGGACUAGACCCAAACUAAUAGACGUAGCAUGUUGAUCGUGUCAUUUUUUUGCUACUGUUUUCUGCGUGUCAAGUAUUUAUUCCUAUGACCAUGAGAUCAUAUAACUCACUGACACCGGAGGAAUGCUUUGUGUGUAUCAAACGUCGCAACGUAACUGGGUGACUAUAAAGAUGCUCUACAGGUAUCUCUGAAGAUGUUAGUUGAGUUAGUAUGGAUCAAGACUGGGAUUUGUCACUCCGUGUGAGCGGAGAGGUAUCUCGGGGCCCACUCGGUAAUACAACAUCACACACAAGCCUUGCAAGCAAUGUAACUUAGUGUAAGUUGCGGGAUCUUGUAUUACGGAACGAGUAAAGAGACUUGCUAGUAAACGAGAUUGAAAUAGGUAUACGGAUACUGACGAUCGAAUCUCGGGCAAGUAACAUACCGAAGGACAAAGGGAAUGACAUACGGGAUUAUANNNNNNNNNNNNNNNNNNNNNNNNNNNNNNNNNNNNNNNNNNNNNNNNNNNNNNNNNNNNNNNNNNNNNNNNNNNNNNNNNNNNNNNNNNNNNNNNNNNNAGCAAGACAUGAUGAAGUCUUCAAGAAGCUCUCCCAUACACAAUGUGGAAGGCCUAGCUUGUGUAUUCAUCUUCAUCUGUCCACCAUGUGAACAUCCACAAGAUUCAAGCAUGUAGUACUCAGGAAUGCUUAUCUUGAUCUUGUCCUUGUUAGCACAUGAGCUUGUCCUUAUCAACAUAUGAUCAUUAACAACAACUUAAAGGGGAUUAGUGAUUAGUUAUCUAUAUGUGUGUUGUCAGCAACACCAAAACACGAUUAAGGACAUGACUGCACUUUCAGGUGAUACUCCAUUCCUUCAGAUCUCUCUUUACAAAUAUGUCAAGUUCGGUCUACGCCAGCCUCUUUUGACCUUAUCAACAUGCUUUAGUCGUCUGUUAUGCACUUGAGCUUUUAGAGGCCUCCGCUAGUAUGACGAAAAAGGCUUUCGUCCCGCUUUGUAGAUAAAGCAUGAUCAACUUACAACUCUAAGAACACAACACACAACAUCACAACAGAACCCACACACCCGAGGCAAGAUACACAGGUACCAGAGAACAACUACAAAACCCCAUCCACCACCACAAAGACAAAAGAUAAACAAGAAGGAAUACUAUGGUGAUGAUGGAGCCCUCAACGAAGCGAAGAUGGGAAGUUGCUGGCCAAUGAACCGAGAGUGCCAAGGCGGUGUCUUCAAAAAUGUUACGGCACCGGAGUGCCGCCACUGUCCAAUCCAAAGAAUCUAGAUUUUCACUCGAAGCACGACGAAGGUCAAGAUGCAGCCACGACGAAUACUUCAAGAAGCUGACGAUGUCCACGGACAUCGCCUCCGACAGUCUGGCCAACGCCAGACAGGGUGUNNNNNNNNNNCGACCACAAUGCAUCGAGAACGAUGUCAGCCGCAUCUCCAUCCCGGCCGUCAACCCUAGCCCCCAUGCUGCCCCACGGCCAUGGUAGCUAGCUUGUAUCGGAAUCACGGGUUCUGCCUGAGAACACUCUCAUUCUUAAAAAAUGUAUAUCAAAAAAUACAUACUUUUUUUUUCUGUGAGGUAACCAAAAACAUACUUUCUCUUAACCAAAAAUACAUACCUUGAAGGAUCAAAUGUAUAUCAAAAAAUCUUGAUGGACCAAAAACAUACUUUUUUUUCCUGUGAGAUAAACAAAAACAUACUUUCUCUUAAAAAUAUUGAUGUCUCAUCAAGGGACUCACAAAAAAGAAACUGAUCUCUUUUGCUAAGCGAUUAUCCAAUCGCUUAAACUGUACAUGUUCUAAGAUGCUCUAGGAGAGAGUGUAUAUGAUGCGAGUUGUGUUUGCAGGUCGUAUUAUUAUCUACGGAUGAUAUACUCAUCCGAUGGUCCCUUACCACACCAGCAUCUCUACGCUAUCGAUCUCCACCAACCAAUUUCGGGAUCUGGGAAUUUUUAGGGUUUGUUAGUUGACAUUUUUAGUACCAACUAGCUNNNNNNNNNNACGUGAAAAAAUGUGCACCGCAUCAUUCGGAUCGCGUUCCUUGGAUUUACUCCGUAGCAACUCCCCCACAGCUCCAACCCCUGGCUGUACCUAACUUGCUAUAUAUACGUGCGCCAGCUCUGCACAGGGACGCUCACACUCCAAUCAGGCACAGCACACAAAACAAGUCUCGUCAUAUCGAGAAACGGAGCUAGCUCGACCAUGGGUGGUGUUCGGCAGCAGCUCAUGGCCGUCGUCCUCGUGGCGGUGACGCUAAUGGCCACGGCGGCGGAGGGGUACAUCACUCAGAAGACGUGGGCAGCCAUCCGCCGGGCGAACCGCGCCGGGCCGUUCGUCGGCCUCGUCGUGCCCAACACCUACGAGAUGGUUCCUGUGCUCGAGUCGCCCAGCUUCGUGGCCAGCAAGAGCAUCCCUAACAUGGACAUCCAAGGUAAAUACUCUACUCAAAUGGUACGUUUUCAGUCUAAUCAGAUCAAGCAUCGUACGUCAUGUGCAAAAAUAAUCUGACAUGAAAUGACACUGUUGGUAAUACGUGAUCGAUGAUGUUUUCUUAAGCUUGAAAUGUCAACGGUUUGUUUGGGUCAAAGAAAUAAACGUAAUAAGAAACAAGCCUAUUCAUAAAUAUCACUGUCGGAGUCAGAAAUUCGGAAAGAAUAUGGUUGAAUUGAGUAACAAGCCUGCUCAUUUAUAAGAACCGGCCGAACUAUGUACUGUGCUGAAUUUGAAUGGUACUCGAAAGCAGUAACCUGACGAGCUGAAACACUGAGACGUUAAGUGUAUGCAUGACCUGAGAACGGACGACUUGCAUGAAAGCACACGGUGAUGGAACGCGGGACCGGAGAUUAUUAAUAUAUGGACGACUUGCAUGAAAGCACAUGGGAUGUGCGUAUUGAUGGAAGCACAUGCAUGAUAGGCACAGAUCUGCGAACUCAGUGAAAUUUUGUACGUACGAUCGAAGUGAAAAAUGAUACUCGUACGUAGAAGUAAAAGUCGGUCGUAACUACACCGUAAAGAUUAACGAAUGCAAUCAGCAUGAACGUCGUUGAUAAUUAAUACUAACAUUAUUGAAUGAUUUUUGCUUGAAGGGCGAAGGUUUCGCUUUGGAACCAUCGAAGGCCAAAGCGUCGUCAUGGUCAUGACAGGACUGAGCAUGGUAAGUUGGUACAUACCAUUAUAUCUGACUGACAAUGUUUAUCACAAAUACAGUCAGAACUUCCUUUUUUUUUUUUGCCGGGAAAAACACAGUCAGAACUUAACAUACUGUUGCACCAUGGUUGCAGCUCAACGCUGGUCUGACCACCCAGAUGCUGCUGAGCCUGUUCCGGGUGAAGGGCAUCGUCCACUGGGGCAUCGCUGGCAACGCCAACGAGGACCUCCAGAUCGGCGACGUCACCAUCCCCGAGUACUGGGCCCACGUCUCCCUCUGGAACUGGCAGGUAGUACAGAUUUAUCAGCGCUAAUAUUUUUGCACGUUUCACGUGUGUCAUGGUCGACCAAGAUUUGAUGUGUGGAUGAUUGAUUCGGGGGCCAGCGAUUCGGCGACGGCAAGGACAACGAGCUACCGCUGGAGGCCGCCGGCGACUACACUCGGGAGUACGGCGCCCUCAACUUCUCGGACUACACCGUGGGACAGAGCAACCCGGCGCUAUCAGCGAACCUCCUCAACAGCAUCUGGUACCAGCCGGAGGAGAUCUUCCCCAAGUCCGGCGAGCCGGAGGUGCGGCAGCACGCGUUCUGGGUGCCCGCUAGCAAGCGGUACUACGCGCUGGCGAAGAAGCUGGAGGGCAUGGAGCUGCCGGCGUGCGUGAACGCCACGACGUGCCUGCCCCGCGCGCCGCGGGUCACCCGAGUCAGCAAGGGCUGCAGCGCCAACGUGUUCCUGGACAACGCCGAGUACCGCCAGUUCCUCCGCAAGCAGUUCGGGUGCACCCCCGUGGAGAUGGAGAGCGCUGCCGUGGCCCUCGUGGCGCACACGCAGGGGGUGCCGUUCCUCACCAUCCGCUCGCUCUCCGACCUCGCCGGGGGAGGCUCCGCGCUCGGGAACGAGGCCAGCACCUUCAUCGACAUCGCCGCCAAGAACGCCGUCCAAGUCAUGCUCAAGUUCGUGCCGCUGCUCGGGAAGAGCGCCGAGGAGAUGGACGACGGCGCGGCCGCGGACAUCUGAUGUGAGCCAGCAGCCACUUGUCCAUGCACGAAUAAUCUGACGCCCGUGCGUCGUGUAUCUCCAUCGUUGUUCCGCUUUCCCAUUUUUCCUUGCGUUGCGCGACUUUGCGAGCCUAGAUCAAAUCACAGUUGAUGAGCCCACGAGUUGCAGAGAUGAAUUAAAUUAACAAAUCAAAUAAUCAAGCGCAAUGCCGUUUAUCCGGACUUCCAACUACUAUGUGGAAUUUAAUUAGACGCACUCAAUUCACUCACGCGAGUAAUGUACGUAUGUGCUUACGAUCUUAGAGUAACUUUUUUUUUUGGUGAAACUUUGCACUAUUACUCAAGUGGAGGUACUACAGUCUGCAUUACAAAGUUCAAUAAUCUCUGAUAAACCAGAGUUGAGCCAACCAAUUGUUCUACACCUCAUUCUAGCAUACUUUGUCAAAAAAUUACUAACAUUAUUUUGACUACGAUGAACAUAACUAAAAGUAGUGCUACGUAGGGAGAUGAUUGAUCUGUCAAUUAAGUCACUCAUGAUCAUGUUCAAAGCCUCCCGUGAGUCCAUCUCUACCUGAAUAGGUAGGUUUGUCAUCUGAAUAGCCAGCGAAAGACCCUUGAUACAUGAACUUAAUUCAGCUUCCAAUGCAUUUCUACAGAAAAAGAGCUCCAUGCAUGAUGUGUAAAUGAUCUGACCUGUACUAUCACGAGGAACCAUACCUGCACCUGCUCGCCCAUCGGCUGUCCAAGAGCCAUCGAUGUUGAGCUUAGCCCAGCCCUCCGUAGGCAAAACCCACUUAAUGUUUGGAGUAGGAGGCGGAACCAAUCGUGAUCUAGAUAACUGACCAUAAGCAACCACUUGCUUCCCCUUCCGCAGUUCCUCCUCUGAAUAAUUUAGUGAUAGUAGUGAAUCCAGGUAUCUCAUCAGAAAACGUUUAGAUGCCUCCAUUGGAGGGGGUUCUUUCUAGUGAGUAACCUCAUUCCGAUUAUGCCACACCCUCCAUAAGCUCAUCACUAGCAUGCCUCUCUCUAACACAGAAAGAGGGUGAAGUGUAUCCAGCAACCAUUCAGUGCCUGAAUUCUUCAAAUCCGCACGCUUGGGCAAACGCCAAACUAAAUCCAUACAAUCCUAGAGCUGCACUACUAGCGGGCACUUGCAUAGAGCAUGGAAGGUAUAUUCAUCUUCCCUCUCGCAGAUUGGGCAUAAUCCAGUCGUUUCUAGGGUGCAUUUGAAUUUGUUCUGCCAAGUUUGAAGGGAAUUCAUGGCAACGCACCAUGCAAAUUUUUUGACCGUAGGAGGCACAAAACUUCCCCAAAUAAGCUUCCAGCACGUGCGGCGACCAUCUGAAGCAGCACUUGAAGAUUCUGUUGUUGUUCUAUAUGUUUCCUCGAAGGCAAAUUCAUAAACUUAUUUCACCGAGAAGACUCCAGAUUUCGCCGGUCCCCAUGCCAGCACAUCCUCCUCUAGCCUAGGAGAUGCUCGGAUUUUCAGAAUCUCCUGAACGUCACAAGACAGAAAUGUUUCUUGGAGCAGAUUGUAAUUCCAUGCACCAUUAUGUUGGAGUAGGUGAGACACAUAUCGAAUUAUGCAAGUACCUUGAGAUGAUAUGGACCUGUAAGAGAAGGAUCUAGGGAUCCAAGGAUCCCUCCAGAUUCUGAUGUUGUUCCCAUUCCCUACUCUCCAUAUAAGCCCUUUCUUGAGAAGAUCUAGGCCAUGGCUGGUUGCAGUCCAAGUUGAAGAGGCAUUUCCUGAGAAGACCGUAUCCUCCAGUUUAUCACUGGGAUAGUAUUUGCUCUUAAGCAAUCUUGCAGACAGGCUAUCAGGCCGAUUCAAUAAUCUUCACGCCUGCCUAGCCAGCAGCGCCUGAUUAAAGAGGCGAUAGUCCCUAAAUCUGGCACCACCUUUGCACUUCGGACGUUGCAACUUUUGCCAAGAUUUCCAGUGAGCUUUGCGAUGCCCCUUGGUCGAUCUCAAAUAAAGUUUCUGACCAUCUCAGUGAGAUCAUCGCAGACCGAAAAGGGCAUCUUGAAAACACCCAUGAUGAAAACUAGUAGUGCCUCUGCAACUGACUUACUGAGAAUUUCCCUGCCGGGUUGGGCUAGAUGCCCACCGCCCCAUUGAACUAGCCUCUCCAUAAGCUAAGCUUGAAGAUUUUGAAACCGACCUUUCGUCAUUCUUCCGUUAGAGGUUGACAGCCCUAAGUACUUCUCUUCAAACCCUGUGGCAGAAAUAUUCAGAACAUCCUGAACGUCCUCCUGUGCAGUGACUGGGCAAGCUUCUCCAAACAUAAUCGACCAUUUCUCAUAAUUAAGAAGUUGACAAGUAGAUUUGCAUAAAGAUCAAGACAAUCCUUAACUUGUUCAGCUUGAGCUCUUGAGGCCUCAAAGAAAAGGAGUGUAUCAUCUGCAAACAAAAGAUGGGAGAUGCCCGGGGCGCGUCGACAAUUCUUUACAGGUAACAGAGAUCCCAUGUACACACGUUGUCGAAGGAGUGCAGAGAGACCAUCAGAAAAAAAACAGAAACAAGAAGGGGGGGAGUGGAUCAUCUUGUCGCGGACCACACGACAGUGCAAAUGAAUCCAAGAGGGUCCCAUUAAAUCUUACCGAAUAUCUCACCGAUGUGACACAAGUCAUAAUCCCCGCCCUUCUUGGGCGCCACCCUUCCCAUAUUUGUGUUGGGGAACGUCGCAGGGGAAACAAAAAUUUUCCUACGCGCACGAAGACCUAUCAUGGUGAUGUCCAUCUACGAGAGGGGAUGAGUGAUCUACGUACCCUUGUAGACCGUACAGCAGAAGCGUUAGAGAACGCGGUUGAUGUAGUGGAACGUCCUCACGUCCCUCGAUCCGCCCCGCGANNNNNNNNNNNNNNNNNNNNNNNNNNNNNNNNNNNNNNNNNNNNNNNNNNNNNNNNNNNNNNNNNNNNNNNNNNNNNNNNNNNNNNNNNNNNNNNNNNNNGCAAUGAUUAUAUCUAUAGGCAUCACGUCCAAAACAAGUAGACCGAUAUUUUCUGCAUCUACUACUAUUACUCCACACGUCGACUGCUAUCCAGCAUGCAUCUAGUGUAUUAAGUCCAAAAGAACAGAGUAACGCCUUAACCAAGAUGACAUGAUGUAGAUGGACAAUCUCAUAUCUACGAUAAAAGCCCAUCUUGUUACCCUUGAUGGCAACUACACGAUGCGUUCCUUGCUGCCCCUACUGUCACUGGGAAAGGUCACCACAUGGUAUGAACCCAAAACCAAGCACUUCUCCCAUUGCAAGAAUCAUAGAUCUAGUUGGCCAAACAAAACCCAAGACUCGGAGAGACUUACAAGGAUAUCAAAUCAUGCAUAUAAUAAAUCAUCAAAGACUCAAAUAUAUAUCGUAGAUAAUCUGAUCACAAAUCCACAAUUCAUCGGAUCUCGACAAACACACCGCCAAAGAGGAUUACAUCGGAUAGAUCUCCAUGAAGAUCAUGGAGAACUUUGUAUUGAAGAUCCAAGAGAGAGAAGAAGUCAUCUAGAUACUAACUACGGACCCGUAGGUCUGAAGUAAACUACUCACGAGUCAUUGGAGGGGCGAUGAUGUUGAUGAAGAAGCCCUCCAACUCCAAAGUCCCCUUCGGCAGGGCACCGGGAAGGGUCUCCAGAUGAGAUCUCGCGGAAACGGAAGCUUGCGGUCGCGGAAAAGUGUUUUCGUGGAUGCCCUGAUUUUUUCUGGAUUUUUAGGGAAUUUAUAGGCCAAAGACCUAGGGCAGGGGAGCGCCAGGGGGGCACAAGCUUGGUUGCCGCGGCCUCCCCCCUAGCCGCAGCAAUAGGGCUUGUGGGACCCCUGUGGGCCCACUUGCUUGGACCUCAAGCCUCCUGAUCUUCUUCCAUUGUGGAAAAAAUUAUUUCGGGGAUUUUAUUCCGUUUGGACUCCAUUCCAAAAUCAGAUCUAAAAAGAGUCAAAAACACAGAAAAAACAGGAACUGGCGCUUGGCACUGAAUUAAUAAGUUAGUCCCAAAAAAGAUAUCAAAGGUAAAAAAAACAUCCAAAGUUGACAAGAUAACAGCGUGAAACCAUCAAAAAUUAUAGAUACGUUUGAGACGUAUCAAGCAUCCCCAAGCUUAACUCCUGCUGGUCCUCAAGUAGGGAAGUGAUAAAGAAUGAAUUUUUGAUGCUUUCAUGCUACCUAGCAUAGAUGUCCUUUGUAACUCCUCUUAUGUGACGUGAAUGUUCAGAUCCAUUAGAUUCAAAACAAUAGUUUGCUAUUGACGUGGAAACGAUAAUACUUCAAGCAAACUAGCAAAGUAAUCAUGAACUUUCAAAAUAACAAGGCCAAAAGAAAGUUAUCCCUACAAAAUCAUAUAGUCUCGCUAUGCUCUAUCAUCAUUGCACAACGAAUUUAAAUCAUGCACAACCCCGAUAUUGGCCAAGUAAUUGUUUUCACACCUUUACUUUCUCAAACUUUUUCAACUCUCACGCAAUACAUGAGCGUGAGCCAUGGUUUUAGCACUAAAAGUGGUGUGGAGUGUGGUGGAGGUUGCAAGACAAACAAGGAGAAGAUGGUCACAUUGACUAGGCAUAUCAAUGAGCUAUGGAGAUGCUCAUCAAUAGAUAUCAACGUGAAUGAGUAGGGAUUGCCAUACAAAUGAUGCACUAGAGCUAAGAGUAUGUGAAAGCUCUUAAAGAAAACUAGUGGGUGUGCAUCCAACUUGCUUGCUCGCGAAGACCUAAGGCAAAUUUGAGGAAGCCUAUCAUUGGAAUAUACAAGCCAAGUUAUAUAAGGAAAAUUUCCCACUAGCUAUAUGGUGGUGAUAAAACGAGAGACUCUCAAUCAUGAAGAUCAUGGUGCUUAAUAUGCACAAGUGUUGAAAGGUGGUAACAUUGUCCCUUCUCUCUUUUUCUCUCAUUUUUUUGGCACUUUGGCCUCUUUUUUUUUGGUGGGCAUCUUUGGCCUAUUUUAUUUCCUCACAUGGGACAAUGCUCCAUCAAUGAUGAUCAUCACACUUACAACUCAAAACUUAGAGCAAUGAUGACUCUAUAUGGAAUGCCUUCGGUAGCGUACCGUGACAAUGAUCUAGCAUGGCAUAGACAUUAAUGGAAACAUCAUGCUAGCUAUCUUACGAUCAUGCAAUGGCAAUGUAGACGUGGUGGCACAUGUCAUGGUGGUAGUUGCAUGGCAAUAUAUCUCGGAAUGACUUGAAAAAGGCAUAUUAGGUAGGUAUGGUGGCUGUUUUGAGGGAGGCUAAUGGUGGGUUUUGUGCACCGGCAAAAGUUGCACGACACUAAAGAAGAUAGUGAUGGUGGAAGGUGAAAGUGCAUCUAAACCAUGGACUCAACAUUAGUCAUGAAGAACUCAUAUACUUGUUGCAAAAGUUUUAUUAGUAAUCGAAACAAAGCAUUCAACGCAUACUCCUAGGGGAAGGGUUGGUAGGUAUAAACCAUCGCGCGAUCCCGACCGCCACACAAAGGAUGACAAUCAAUAGACUAAUCAUGCUCAGACUUCAUCACAUAACGGUUCACCAUACGUGCAUGCUACGGGAAUCACUAACUUCAACACAAGUAUUUCUAGAUCCACAACACCUUACUAAUAUAACUUCAGUAUUACCAUAACCACAACUCAAAACUAGUUGAGAUGAAUCAAACUUCUCUAACUAUUCAAUGCACAUGAAGGUGGAAGUUUUUGUAUCCCUUUCGAUACCUACCCCUUUUGAGACUACUUUAAUAGCAAGAUCAACUACCAAGCCACGCACCACCGUGCUCUAAAAGAUAUAAGUGAAGCACAUAGAGCAAAAUCAACUAGCUCAAAAGAUAUAAGUGAAGCACAUGUGAGCUGAAUUGUCUACCAAAGGAUAUAAGUGAAGCUCGACAAAAUCACGGUGAGUGCAUGUCUCUCUCUCUAGGUGUGCAGCAAGGAUGAUUAUGACACAACAAAAAUAAAAGACUCCUACGAUACAAGACGCUCCAAGCAAAACACAAAACAUGUGGUGAAUAAAAAUAUAGCCCCAAGUAACGUUACCGGUGGAUUGAAGACGAAAGAGGGGAUGCCUUCCCGGGGCAUCCCCAAGCUUAGGCUUUUACGACAUCCUUGAAUCAUCUUGGGGUGCCUUGGGCAUCCCCAAGCUUGAGCUCUUGCCACUCUUUAUCUUUUUGUCCAUAAGAACUUCACCCAAAACUUGAAAACUUCACAACACGAAACUUAAACAGAAACUCGUGAUAACAUUAGUAUAAGAAAGCAAACCACCACUUCCUUAGGUACUGUAGCAAACUUAAAUUCUACUUAUGUUGAUGUUGGGUUACUGUAUUUUCAAUCUUCCAUGGCUAAUACCCCCCGAUACUAUCCGUAGUUUCAUCAAAAUAAGCAACCAACACAACAAAAAGAAUAUGUUAAUAGCAGACCAGUCUGUAGCAAUCUGUAUACUUCGUAUACUUCUGGUACUUCAAAAAUUCUGAAAAAUUACGAGAUUUUGAAGAAUUUGUGUAUCAAUCAGCAGAAAAAAUAAUCAACUCAAAAUCGCUUACAGAAAAAAAAGAAAAUUCUAUUCGUGAGCAGAAAGUUUUUUGUCUUUUCCAGCAUGACCAAACGAUCAUCCCCAAGACUAAUCAUAACGGUUUUGCUUGGCACAAAGGCAAAAAGAAACACAAAAAACACAAUCAGAACAGAAUUAUGAAAGUGUGCAAAACACAAAACAGAAAUAAAAAGGAUAGAUUCGUUGGGUUGCCUCCCAACAAGCGCUAUUGUUUAACGCCCUUAGCUAGGCAAAUGGUGAUGGAAUCACGUAUAGUCAUCUUUGGUGCUUAAACCAUAAGUAGUGUGAUCAUUUAUCAUCUUAAGAUCUUCAUCUUUAUUGGAUGACUCACCACUAGCUUUAGGAACAAAAACAGACUUGACGGUCUUUUUGAGAGUGAUAUUUGGAGUAUUUUGCACAGCGGCAAAAGCGGAACCCAAGUUGGUUAUGACAUCUUCUAGUUUGUCAAUUCUAGAAGAAUCAUUAACUAUAGGUUCCUUCUCCCUUAAUUUUUUCAAAACAUUUCCCACUUUGGAUUCGUACUGAGUAAUUUGAUUGUGGAUCUUUCUAUCCAAACCCUCAAUAAGUUCAACUGUGGCAAUUUUGUUUUCAAUAGCGUCAAGCCUUUGCAUCACAUGUUCCAAGGUUAAGGUAGUUCCAUUUACCAUGAGCGGGGGUGAGCCUACCAAAUUCAUGAUAGCUCCAUAGGAGUCAACAGUAUGGCUCCCCAAAAAAUUCCCGCCUACGAUGGUAUCAAGGAUAUACCUAUUCCAAGGAGAGAUUCCAACAUAAAAACUACGAAGAAGAACGGUAGUGGACUGCUUACGAAUAGAUCUACGUGAGCAUUGCAAAUCCGGUACCAAGCGUCCUUUAAAUUUUCUUCCUCAUUUUGCCUGAAAUUGAGAACUUCAUUCUUAGGGGUAUCGUUUGGAGUAGUGGGUCUAGCUAUUGAUGGACUAUCCCACACACAAACGAGCAGGAAGUAAGAGAGUGAAGCGGGCAAAAGAGAAUGGCAAAGGAAGAUGGCAAAAAGGCAAAAGGCAAAAGAAAACGACAAAGGAGAAAGGCAAAUGGCAAAAAAGUAAAUGCAAUAGAUGAGUUUGUGAGACCUACUUGGAUAGAUCUCUCCUUCCCCGGAAACGGCACCAGAAAUGCUUCUGCUACUGCAACAAAAGACCUUCCAACGGUGCCAGAAACAAGCGUGCUGACGGGAGACUAGUCUUGUCUUGAUACUCCUCAGCAACGACACCAGGAAUCCUUCUACUACGGCUACGCCUUUAGGGACUUCCUUGGCAAAUAUGCAAAGGAUUCCCCCAUGGCCUUGAAGCCUUGCAUUGGUGUUCCCUCGAAGCGGAAAGGGUGAUAUAGCACAGCGGCGGUAAGUAUUUCCCUCAGUUUUGACCAAGGUAUCAAUCCAGUGAAGGAUUAUCACAAGUACCUGCACAAACACAAAGAGCUUGCACCCAACGCUAUGAAGGGGUUGUCAAUCCCUUAUAGAUUGUUUGCCAAGUGAGAACUGAAAGCAAAAAAGAAACAAAGCAAAGUAAAAGCAAAAGUGGAAACGGUAGGUGUGAAUAGACCCGGGGGCCGUAGUGUUCACUAGUGGCUUCUCUCAUGAAAGCAAGUAGACAGUGGGUGAACGAAUUACUGUCGAGCAAUUAAUAGAACCGCGCAAAGUUGUGACGUUAUCUAUGGCAAUGAUUAUAUCUAUAGGCAUCACGUCCAAAACAAGUAGACCGAUACUUUCUGCAUCUACUACUAUUAGUCCACACGUCGACCGCUAUCCAACAUGCAUCUAGUCUAUUAAGUCCAAAAGAACAGAGUAACGCCUUAAGCAAGAUGACAUGAUGUAGAUGGACAAUCUCAUAUCUACGAUAAAAGCCCAUCUUGUUUCCCUUGAUGGCAACAACACGAUGCGUGCCUUGCUGCCCCUACUGUCACUAGGAAAGGUCACCGCACGGUAUGAACCCAAAACCAAGCACUUCUCCAUUGCAAGAAUCAUAGAUCUAGUUGGCCAAACAAAGCCCAAGACCCGGAGAGACUUACAAGGAUACCAAAUCAUGCAUAUAAGAAAUCAGCAAAGACUCAAAUAUAUAUCAUAGAUAAUUUGAUCACAAAUCCACAAUUCAUCGGAUCUCGACAAACACACCGCCAAACAGGAUUACAUCGGAUAGAUCUCCAUGAAGAUCAUGGAGAACUUUGUAUNNNNNNNNNNNNNNNNNNNNNNNNNNNNNNNNNNNNNNNNNNNNNNNNNNNNNNNNNNNNNNNNNNNNNNNNNNNNNNNNNNNNNNNNNNNNNNNNNNNNAUCAAUAUCCAAUAGCGGGACCUGGAUGCCCAUAUUGGAUCCUACAUAUUCUAUGAAGAUCUUAUCGUUUGAACCUCAGUGCCAAGGAUUCAUAUAAUCCCGUAUGUCAUUCCCUUUGUCCUUCGGUAUGUUACUUGCCCGAGAUUCGAUCGUCAGUAUCCGUAUACCUAUUUCAAUCUCGUUUACUAGCAAGUCUCUUUACUCGUUCCGUAAUACAAGAUCCCGCAACUUACACUAAGUUACAUUGCUUGCAAGGCUUGUGUGUGAUGUUGUAUUACCGAGUGGGCCCCGAGAUACCUCUCCGCUCACACGGAGUGACAAAUCCCAGUCUUGAUCCAUACUAACUCAACUAACACCUUCGGAGAUACCUGUAGAGCAUCUUUAUAGUCACCCAGUUACGUUGCGACGUUUGAUACACACAAAGCAUUCCUCCGGUGUCAGUGAGUUAUAUGAUCUCAUGGUCAUAGGAAUAAAUACUUGACACGCAGAAAACAGUAGCAACAAAAUGACACGAUCAACAUGCUACGUCUAUUAGUUUGGGUCUAGUCCAUCACGUGAUUCUCCUAAUGACGUGAUCCAGUUAUCAAUCAACAACACCUUGUUCAUAAUCAGAAGACACUAACUAUCUUUGAUCAACUGGCUAGUCAACUAGAGGCUUGCUAGGGACAGUGUUUUGUCUAUGUAUCCACACAUGUAAAUGAGUCUUCAUUCAAUACAAUUAUAGCAUGGAUAAUAAACGAUUAUCUUGAUACAGGAAUUAUAAUAAUAACUAUAUUUAUUAUUGCCUCUAGGGCAUAAUUCCAACAGUCUCCCACUUGCACUAGAGUCAAUAAUGUAGCCCUCACAUCACUAUGUGAAUUACAUUGUAAUAAAUCUAACACCCAUACAGUUCUGGUGUUGAUCAUGCUUUGGCCGUGGAAGAGUUUAGUUAGCGGGUCCGCUACAUUCAGAUCCGUGUGCACUUUGCAUAUAUUCACGUCCUCUCCCUCGACGUAGUCGCGGAUGAGGUUGAAGCGUCGUUUGAUGUGUCUGGUCUUCUUGUGAAACCGUGGUUCCUUUGCUAAGGCAAUGGCACCAGUGUUGUCACAGAACAAGGUUAUUGGAUUCAGUGCGCUUGGCACCACUCCAAGAUCCGUCAUGAACUGCUUCAUCCAGACACCCUCCUUAGCCGCCUCCGAGGCAGCCAUGUACUCCGCUUCACAUGUAGAAUCUGCUACGACGCUUUGCUUGGAACUGCACCAGCUUACUGCACCCCCAUUAAGAAUAAAUACGUAUCCGGUUUGCGACUUAGAGUCGUCCGGAUCUGUGUCAAAACUUGCAUCGACGUAACCUUUUACGGCGAGCUCUUCGUCACCUCCAUAUACGAGAAACAUCUCCUUAGUCCUUUUCAGGUACUUCAGGAUAUUCUUGACCGCUGUCCAGUGAUCCACUCCUGGAUUACUCUGGAACCUACCUGCCAUACUUAUGGCCAGGCUAACAUCCGGUCUAGUGCACAGCAUCGCAUACAUGAUAGAACCUAUGGCUGAAGCAUAGGGGACGGAGCGCAUAUGCUCUCUAUCUUCAUCAGUUGCUGGGCACUGAGUCUUAAUCAAUCUCGUACCUUGUAGAACUGGCAAGAACCCUUUCUUGGACUAUUCCAUUUUGAACCUCUUCAAAACUUUAUCAAGGUAUGUGCUUUGUGAAAGUCCUAUCAGGCGUUUUGAUCUAUCCCUAUAGAUCUUAAUGCCUAGAAUGUAAGCAGCUUCUCCUAGGUCCUUCAUAGAGAAACUUUUAUUCAAGUAACCUUUUAUGCUCUCCAAAAACUCUACGUUGUUUCCAAUCAGUAAUAUGUCAUCCACAUAUAAUAUUAGAAACGCCACAGAGCUCCCACUCACUUUCUUGUAAAUACAAGAUUCUCCAACCACUUGUAUAAACCCAAAUGCUUUGAUCACCUCAUCAAAGCGUUUGUUCCAACUCCGAGAUGCUUGCACCAGUCCAUAAAUGGAUCGCUGGAGCUUGCAUACCUUGUUAGCAUUCUUAGGAUUUACAAAACCUUUGGGUUGUAUCAUAUACAACUCUUCCUUAAGGAAACCGUUAAGGAACGCCGUUUUGACAUCCAUCUGCCAGAUUUCAUAAUCGAAAAAUGUAGCUAUUGCUAACAUGAUUCUGACGGACUUAAGCAUCGCUACAGGUGAGAAAGUCUCAUCAUAGUCAACUCCUGGAACUUGUGAAAAACCCUUUGCCACAAGUCGAGCUUUAUAAACGGUCACAUUGCCGUCAGCGUCCGUCUUCUUCUUAAAGAUCCAUUUGUUCUGAAUAGCCUUGCGGCCCUCAGGUAGUAUCUCCAAAGUCCACACUUUGUUCUCAUACAUGGAUCCUAUCUCGGAUUUCAUGGCUUCUAGCCAUUUGUUGGAAUCUGGCCCCACCAUUGCUUCUUCAUAAUUUGCAGGUUCAUUGUUGUCUAACAACAUGAUUGACAAGACGGGAUUACCGUACCACUCUGGAGCAGCACAUGAUCUCGUCGACCUGCGUGGUUCAACAGAAACUUGAACUGGAGUUUCAUGAUUAUCAUCAUUAACUUCCUCCUCAACUGGCGUCGCAAUGACAGAGGUUUCCCCCUGCCCUGCGCCACCAUCCAGAGGGAUGAGAGGUUCGACAACCUCGUCAAGUUCUAUCUUCCUCCCACUCAAUUCUCUCGAGAGAAACUCCUUCUCGAGAAAAGCUACGUUUUAAGCAACAAACACUUUGCCCUCGGAUUUGAGAUAGAAGGUGUACCCAACUGUCUCUUUUGGGUAACCUAUGAAGACACACUUUUCCGCUUUGGGUUCCAGCUUUUCAGGCUGAAGCUUUUUGACAUAAGCAUCACAUCCCCAAACUUUAAGAAACGACAAUUUUUGCCUUUUUAGCCAUACCACAGUUCGUAUGGUGUCGUCUCAACGGAUUUUGAUGGUGCCCUAUUUAAACUGAAUGCAGCUGUUUCUAAUGCAUAGCCCCAAAAUGAUAAUGGUAAAUCAGUAAGAGACAUCAUAGAUCGCACCAUCUCUAAUAGAGUACGAUUACGACGUUCGGACACACCAUUACGCUGUGGUGUUCCAGGCGGUGUUAACUGUGAAACAAUUCCACAUUGUCUUAAGUGAGCACCAAACUCGAAACUCAGAUAUUCACCCCCACGAUCAGACCGCAGGAACUUGAUCUUCUUGUUACGAUGAUUUUCCACUUCACUCUGAAAUUGCUUGAACUUUUCAAAUGUUUCAGACUUGUGCUUCAUCAAGUAGACAUAACCAUAUCUACUUAAAUCGUUAGUGAAGGUGAGAAAAUAACGAUAUCCACCGCGUGCCUCCACGCUCAUCGGACCACACACAUCGGUAUGUAUGAUUUCCAACAAGUCACUUGCACGCUCCAUUGUUCCUGAGAACGGAGUCUUAGUCAUCUUGCCCAUGAGGCAUGGUUCGCACGUGUCAAGAGAAUCAAAGUCAAGUGACUCCAAAAGUCCAUCAGCAUGGAGUUUCUUCAUGCGCUUUACACCAAUAUGACCUAAGCGGCAGUGCCACAAAAAUAUGGCGCUAUCAUUGUUAACUCUAACUCUUUUGGUCUCAAUGUUAUGUAUAUGCGUAUCGCUAUCAAGAUUCAAUAUGAACAAUCCUCUCACAUUCGGUGCAUGACCAUAAAAGAUGGUACUCAUAGAAAUAGAACAACCAUUAUUCUCUGACUUAAAAGAGUAACCGUCUCGCAAUAAACAAGAUCCAGAUAUAAUGUUCAUGCUCAACGCAGGCACUAAAUAACAAUGAUUUAAGUUCAUCACUAAUCCUGACGGUAACUGAAGUGACACUGUGUCGACGGCGAUUGCAUCAACCUUGGAACCAUUUCCUACGCGCAUCGUCACUUCAUCUUUCGCCAGCCUUCGCCUAUUCCGCAGUUCCUGUUUCGAGUUGCAAAUAUGAGCAACAGAACCGGUAUCGAAUACCCAGGCACUACUACGAGAGCCGGUUAAGUACACAUCAAUAACAUGUAUAUCAAAUAUACCUAAUUUUCUUUGCCCGCCUUCUUAUCUGCCAGAUACUUGGGGCAAUUGCGCUUCCAGUGACCCAUACCCUUGCAAUAGUAACACUCCGUUUCCGGCUUAGGUCCAGCUUUGGGUUUCUUCGUCGGAUUGGCAACAGGCUUGCCGCUCUUCUUCGAAUUGCCCUUCUUGCCUUUGCCGUUUCUCUUGAAACUAGUGGUCUUAUUCACCAUCAACACUUGAUGCUCUUUACGGAGUUCAGACUCUGCGACUUUCAGCAUCGCAAACAACUCGCCGGGAGACUUGUUCAUCCCUUGCAUGUUGUAGUUCAACACAAAGCCUUUAUAGCUUGGCGGCAGUGAUUGAAGGAUUCUGUCAGUGAUAGAUUCUUGCGGGAGUUCAAUCCCCAGCUCAGCUAGACGGUUUGAGUACCCAGACAUUUUGAGCACAUGUUCACUGACAGAUGAGUUUUCCUCCAUCUUGCAAGCAUAGAAUUUGUCGGAGGUCUCAUACCUCUCGAUCCGGGCGUUCUUCUGAAAGAUAAACUCCAACUCCUGGAACAUCUCAAAUGCUCCAUGACGCUCAAAGCGACGUUGAAGUCCCGGUUCUAAGCCAUACAAGACUGCACAUUGAACUAUUGAGUAGUCCUCCUUACGUGCUAACCAAGCGUUCUUAACAUCCUGAUCAGCCGUAGCGGGUGGUUCAUCUCCUAACGCAGCAUUAAGGACAUAAUCCUUCUUCCCAGCUUGUAAGAUUAGCUUAAGAUUACGAGCCCAGUCUACAAAGUUGCUUCCAUCAUCUUUCAACUUAGCUUUCUCUAGGAACGUAUUAAAAUUCAGGAUGACUGUUGCGUGAGCCAUGAUCUACAACACAAAUAUAUUCAAAGUGGACUUAGACUAUGUUCAAGAUAAUUAGAGUUUAACUUAAUCAAAUUAUACGCUAAACUCCCACUCAGAAAGUACAUCUCUCUAGUCAUUUGAGUGGUUCAUGAUCCACUUACACUAGCUCAAGUCCGAUCAUCACGUGAGUUGAGUAUAGUUUCAGUGGUAAGCAUCCCUAUGCUAAUCAUAUCAUCUAUAUGAUUCAUGAUCCACCUUUCGGUCUCAUGUGUUCCGAGGCCAUGUCUGCACAUGCUAGGCUCGUCAAGCUUAACCCGAGUGUUCCGCGUGCACAACUGUUUUGCACCCGUUGUAUGUGAACGUUGAGUCUAUCACACACGAUCAUCACGUGGUGUCUCGAAACGACGAACUGUAGUAACCGUGCACAGUCGGGGAGAACACAAUUUCGUCUUGAAAUUUUAGUGAGAGAUCACCUCAUAAUGCUACCGUCGUUCUAAGCAAAAUAAGGUGCAUAAAAGGAUUAACAUCACAUGCAAUUCAUAAGUGACAUGAUAUGGCCAUCAUCACGUGCUUCUUGAUCUCCAUCACCAAAGCACCUGGCACGAUCUUCUUUUCACCGGCGCCACACCAUGAUCAUCCAUCAACGUGUUGCCAUCGGGGUUGUCGUGAUACUCAUGCUAUUACUACUAAAGCUACAUCCUAGCAAAAUAGUAAACGCAUCUCCAAGCACAAACGCUAGUAUAAAGACAACCCUAUGGCUCCUGCCGGUUGCCGUACCAUCGACGUGCAAGUCGAUAUUUCUAUUACAACAUGAUCAUCUCAUACAUCCAAUAUAUCACAUCACAUCGUUGGCCAUAUCACAUCACAAGCAUACCCUGCAAAAACAAGUUAGACGUCCUCUAAUUUUGUUGUUGCAUGUUUUACGUGGUGACCAAGGGUAUCUAGUAGGAUCGCAUCUUACUUACGCAAACACCACAAAGGAGAUAUAUGAGUUGCUAUUUAACAUCAUCCAAGCACCUCCUUGGUCAAAUCCGAUUCAACUAAAGUUGGAGAAACCGACACUUGCCAGUCAUCUUUGAGCAAAGGGGGUUACUCGUAACGAUGAAACCAGUCUCUCGUAAGCGUACGAGUAAUGUCGGUCCAAGCCGCUUCAAUCCAACAAUACCACGGAAUCAAGAAAAGACUAAGGAGGGCAGCAAAGCGCACAUCAUCGCCCACAAAAACUUUUGUGUUCUACUCGAGAAGACAUCUACGCAUGAACCUAGCUCAUGAUGCCACUGUUGGGGAACGUCGCGUGGGAAACAAAAAUUUUCCUACGCGCACGAAGACCUAUCAUGGUGAUGUCCAUCUACGAGAGGGGAUGAGUGAUCUACGUACCCUUGUAGACCGUACAGCAGAAGCGUUAGAGAACGCGGUUGAUGUAGUGGAAUGUCCUCACGUCCCUCGAUCCGCCCCGCGAACAAUCCCGCGAUCAGUCCCACGAUCUAGUACCGAACGGACGGCACCUCCGCGUUCAACACACGUACAGCUCGACGAUGAUCUCGGCCUUCUUGAUCCAGCAAGAGAGACGGAGAGGUAGAAGAGUUCUCCGGCAGCGUGACGGUGCUCCGAAGGUUGGUGAUGACCUUGUCUCAGCAGGGCUCCGCCCGAGCUCCGCCCGAGCUCCGCAGAAACGCGAUCUAGAGGAAAAACUGUGGAGGUAUGUGGUCGGGCUGCCGUGGAAAAGUCGUCUCAAAUCAGCCCUAAAACCUCCGUAUAUAUAGGUGGGAGGGAGGGGACCUUGCCUUGGGGCUCAAGGAGCCCCAAGGGGGUCGGCCGACUCCAAGGGGGAGGACUCUCCCCCCCCCCAAACCGAGUUGGACUAGGUUUGGUGGGAGGGAGUCCCCCUUCCUUCCCACCUCCUCCUUUAUUUUUCUUUCUCUCUUGAUUUUCUUCUCCUUGGCGCAUAGAGCCUUUCGGGCUGUUCCACCAGCCCACUAAGGGCUGGUGUGCCACCCUCAAGGCCUAUGGGCUUCCCCGGGGUCGGGUUGACCCCCCCCCCCCCGGUGAACUCCCGGAACCCAUUCAUCAUUCCCGGUACAUUCCCGGUAACUCCGAAAACCUUCCGGUAAUCAAAUGAGGUCAUCCUAUAUAUCAAUCUUUGUUUCCGGACCAUUCCAGAAACCCUCGUGACGUCCAUGAUCUCAUCCGGGACUCCGAACAACAUUCGGUAACCAACCAUAUAACUCUAAUACGCAUAAAACAACGUCGAACCUUAAGUGUGCAGACCCUGCGGGUUCGAGAACUAUGUAGACAUGACCCGAGAGACUCCUCGGUCAAUAUCCAAUAGCGGGACCUGGAUGCCCAUAUUGGAUCCUACAUAUUCUACGAAGAUCUUAUCGUUUGAACCUCAGUGCCAAGGAUUCAUAUAAUCCCGUAUGUCAUUCCCUUUGUCCUUCGGUAUGUUACUUGCCCGAGAUUCGAUCGUCAGUAUCCGUAUACCUNNNNNNNNNNNNNNNNNNNNNNNNNNNNNNNNNNNNNNNNNNNNNNNNNNNNNNNNNNNNNNNNNNNNNNNNNNNNNNNNNNNNNNNNNNNNNNNNNNNNCGUCGACUGCUAUCCAGCAUGCAUCUAGUGAUUUAAGUCCAAAAGAACAGAGUAACGCCUUAACCAAGAUGACAUGAUGUAGAUGGACAAUCUCAUAUCUACGAUAAAAGCCCAUCUUGUUUCCCUUGAUGGCAACAACACGAUGCGUGCCUUGCUGCCCCUACUGUCACUAGGAAAGGUCACCGCACGGUAUGAACCCAAAACCAAGCACUUCUCCAUUGCAAGAAUCAUAGAUCUAGUUGGCCAAACAAAGCCCAAGACCCGGAGAGACUUACAAGGAUACCAAAUCAUGCAUAUAAGAAAUCAGCAAAGACUCAAAUAUAUAUCAUAGAUAAUUUGAUCACAAAUCCACAAUUCAUCGGAUCUCGACAAACACACCGCCAAACAGGAUUACAUCGGAUAGAUCUCCAUGAAGAUCAUGGAGAACUUUGUAUUGAAGAUCCAAGAGAGAGAAGAAGUCAUCUAGAUACUAACUACGGACCCGUAGGUCUGAAGUAAACUACUCACGAGUCAUUGGGAGGGGCGAUGAUGUUGAUGAAGAACGCCCUCCAACUACCAAACGUCCCCUUCGGCGAGGGCACCGGGAAGGGUCUCCAGAUGAGAUCUCGACGGAAACGGAAGCUUGCGGUCGACGGAAAAGUUGUUUUCGUGGAUCGCCCUGUUAUUUUUUUCKUGGUUAGUUUUUAAGGGUAAKUUUAGUACGGACCAAACGACCGUAGGGCGAGGGGAGCCGCCGAGGGGGGCACAAGCUUGGUUGCCGCGGCCUCCCCCCUAGCCGCAGCAAUAGGGCUUGUGGGACCCCUGUGGGCCCACUUGCUUGGACCUCAAGCCUCCUGAUCUUCUUCCAUUAGUGGAAAAAUUAUUUCGGGGAUUUUAUUCCGUUUGGACUCCAUUCCAAAAUCAGAUCUAAAAAGAGUCAAAAACACAGAAAAAACAGGAACUGGCGCUUGGCACUGAAUUAAUAAGUUAGUCCCAAAAAAGAUAUCAAAGGUAAAAAAACAUCCAAAGUUGACAAGAUAACAGCGUGAAACCAUCAAAAAUUAUAGAUACGUUUGAGACGUAUCAAGCAUCCCCAAGCUUAACUCCUGCUGGUCCUCAAGUAGGGAAGUGAUAAAGAAUGAAUUUUUGAUGCUUUCAUGCUACCUAGCAUAGAUGUCCUUUGUAACUCCUCUUAUGUGACGUGAAUGUUCAGAUCCAUUAGAUUCAAAACAAUAGUUUGCUAUUGACGUGGAAACGAUAAUACUUCAAGCAAACUAGCAAAGUAAUCAUGAACUUUCAAAAUAACAAGGCCAAAAGAAAGUUAUCCCUACAAAAUCAUAUAGUCUCGCUAUGCUCUAUCAUCAUUGCACAACGAAUUUAAAUCAUGCACAACCCCGAUAUUGGCCAAGUAAUUGUUUUCACACCUUUACUUUCUCAAACUUUUUCAACUCUCACGCAAUACAUGAGCGUGAGCCAUGGUUUUAGCACUAAAAGUGGUGUGGAGUGUGGUGGAGGUUGCAAGACAAACAAGGAGAAGAUGGUCACAUUGACUAGGCAUAUCAAUGAGCUAUGGAGAUGCUCAUCAAUAGAUAUCAACGUGAAUGAGUAGGGAUUGCCAUACAAAUGAUGCACUAGAGCUAAGAGUAUGUGAAAGCUCUUAAAGAAAACUAGUGGGUGUGCAUCCAACUUGCUUGCUCGCGAAGACCUAAGGCAAAUUUGAGGAAGCCUAUCAUUGGAAUAUACAAGCCAAGUUAUAUAAGGAAAAUUUCCCACUAGCUAUAUGGUGGUGAUAAAACGAGAGACUCUCAAUCAUGAAGAUCAUGGUGCUUAAUAUGCACAAGUGUUGAAAGGUGGUAACAUUGUCCCUUCUCUCUUUUUCUCUCAUUUUUUUGGCACUUUGGCCUCUUUUUUUUGGUGGGCAUCUUUGGCCUAUUUUAUUUCCUCACAUGGGACAAUGCUCCAUCAAUGAUGAUCAUCACACUUACAACUCAAAACUUAGAGCAAUGAUGACUCUAUAUGGAAUGCCUUCGGUAGCGUACCGUGACAAUGAUCUAGCAUGGCAUAGACAUUAAUGGAAACAUCAUGCUAGCUAUCUUACGAUCAUGCAAUGGCAAUGUAGACGUGGUGGCACAUGUCAUGGUGGUAGUUGCAUGGCAAUAUAUCUCGGAAUGACUUGAAAAAGGCAUAUUAGGUAGGUAUGGUGGCUGUUUUGAGGGAGGCUAAUGGUGGGUUUUGUGCACCGGCAAAAGUUGCACGACACUAAAGAAGAUAGUGAUGGUGGAAGGUGAAAGUGCAUCUAAACCAUGGACUCAACAUUAGUCAUGAAGAACUCAUAUACUUGUUGCAAAAGUUUUAUUAGUAAUCGAAACAAAGCAUUCAACGCAUACUCCUAGGGGAAGGGUUGGUAGGUAUAAACCAUCGCGCGAUCCCGACCGCCACACAAAGGAUGACAAUCAAUAGACUAAUCAUGCUCAGACUUCAUCACAUAACGGUUCACCAUACGUGCAUGCUACGGGAAUCACUAACUUCAACACAAGUAUUUCUAGAUCCACAACACCUUACUAAUAUAACUUCAGUAUUACCAUAACCACAACUCAAAACUAGUUGAGAUGAAUCAAACUUCUCUAACUAUUCAAUGCACAUGAAGGUGGAAGUUUUYGUAUCCCUUUSGAUAMCUACCCMUUUUGAGACUASUUUMAWAGCAUAGAUCAACUACCAAGCCACGCACCACYGCWRCUCUAAAAURAUAUAAGUGAAGCACAUAGAGCMAAAUYAWCUAGCUCAAAAGAUAUAAGUGAAGCACAAUGUGAGCUGAAUUGUCUACCAAARGAUAUAAGUGAAGCUCGACAAAAUCACGGUGWGUGCAUGUMUCUCUCUCUAGGUGUGYAGCAAGGAUGAUURUGACACAACGAAAAAUAAAAGACUCCUACGAUACAAGACGCUCCAAGCAAAACACAAAACAUGUGGUGAAUAAAAAUAUAGCCCCAAGUAACGUUACCGGUGGAUUGAAGACGAAAGAGGGAUGCCUUCCGGGCAUCCCAAGCUUAGGCUUUACGACAUCCUUGAAUCAUCUGGGUGCCUUGGGCAUCCCCAAGCUUGAGCUCUUGCCACUCUUUAUCUUUUUGUCCAUAAGAACUUCACCCAAAACUUGAAAACUUCACAACACGAAACUUAAACAGAAACUCGUGAUAACAUUAGUAUAAGAAAGCAAACCACCACUUCCUUAGGUACUGUAGCAAACUUAAAUUCUACUUAUGUUGAUGUUGGGUUACUGUAUUUUCAAUCUUCCAUGGCUAAUACCCCCCGAUACUAUCCGUAGUUUCAUCAAAAUAAGCAACCAACACAACAAAAAGAAUAUGUUAAUAGCAGACCAGUCUGUAGCAAUCUGUAUACUUCGUAUACUUCUGGUACUUCAAAAAUUCUGAAAAAUUACGAGAUUUUGAAGAAUUUGUGUAUCAAUCAGCAGAAAAAUAAUCAACUCAAAAUCGCUUACAGAAAAAAAGAAAAUUCUAAUUCGUGAGCAGAAAGUUUUUUUAGUCUUUUCCAGCAUGACCAAACGAUCAUCCCCAAGACUAAUCAUAACGGUUUUGCUUGGCACAAAGGCAAAAGAACACAAAAACACAAUCAGAACAGAAUUAUGAAAGUGUGACAAAACACAAAACAGAAAUAAAAAGGAUAGAUUCGUGGGUUGCCUCCCAACAGCGCUAUUGUUUAACGCCUUAGCUAGGCAAUGGUGAUGGAAUCACGUAUAGUCAUCUUUGGUGUCUAAACCUAUAAGUAGUGUGAUCAUUUAUCAUCUUAAGAUCUUCAUCUUUANNNNNNNNNNNNNNNNNNNNNNNNNNNNNNNNNNNNNNNNNNNNNNNNNNNNNNNNNNNNNNNNNNNNNNNNNNNNNNNNNNNNNNNNNNNNNNNNNNNNUCGAUCUCCACCAACCAAUUUCGGGAUUUGGGAAUUUUAGGGUUUGUUAGUUGACAUUUUAGUACCAACUAGCUAUAGAUAUCUUUAUCACCUAAUAAUAAAAAGGCUAUCGCUUCCGUCGGAAACCCACCUCGGUGAUUUUAAAAAGUCCUUGAUGUUUUUAAAAUUAAACCAGCAAUCCAAUUGAUAAGUGAAGCUAAAUCGGUAUGUACGUACGUACGUGACCAGUUGCCGCUGCUUGAUCGAUAGUGGCAUAGAUCAGCAACCAGCCGGACAAUGCACGGGCCGAAGUACGAGCGUGCACAUCGAUCAGCGUCGGAAGCUACGCUGCGGGCGCGGCGUCUCGCCGUUGACGUCAGCUUGUACAUGCCGGCGCCGCACACCGAUCAAUGUGGCCCGUCGACAAGAUGAUGGUCGUCACCGUGAGGCCCGCGUACGCCGCGUUCCGAAAUGGCGAGAUCACGCCACCGUACUUCUGGUUCACGAUCGGCGCCGCCAUCGCGAAGAAGACGAGGAUGAACGUGCCGACGAACUCCGCGCCAAGCUGUACCAAUGUAAAUUCAUUUUUUUAUCUCUCCCUCUCUCCUUAAUCUUUACCUAAUAUAUAUCUAUACCUAAUAAUAAAGCGGCUAUUGCUUCCGUCAGAAAACCCAUCACGGUAUUUUUAUAAAAAACCUCUGUAAUUUUUGUUAUUCAACCCGCGCUCCAUCAUUUAUCUGCAACACAAAAGGAAAAAAAAUGAUUCGCUGCAAAAAUUAUACCCGUACGCAUCGCCUCCUCCCGUCGACCCUGGGCCACCCAGGCCUGUGCCCAGGCCGCCGCCACACCACUCGCCGCCGCGGCCGACCUCAGCCGCCACCGCUGCCGAUCUCAACCCACCCGCCUCCGGGGUUGUACCUCUCCCCGCUCACAACCCCCGUUGCGACGCUCGAGCGCAUCGCGUCGACCCUGAUCCACCCUUGGCCUGUGCCCAGGCCGCUGCCACACCACUCGCCGCCGCGGCCGACCUCAACCACCACUAUUGUCGAUCUCAACCCACCCUCCUCCGCGGUCGUACCUCUGCCGCUUGCUGCCCGUUUCGGCGCUCGAGCACAGCUUCUGGAUCAAAUCAACGCGACAACUACAGCGACUUGGGAUGAUGCGUCUGCUCGAUGCAGAACGGCGGUGGCACGCGGAUAAGGCGCGGCGGAGCGAAGUACUUGCAGGUGGAGGCGGGCCUCCAUGGCUCACACGGGGAACUCCGAGGUUAUGGCGUGGCAACGACGACUCCUUAUGGUCAGAUAGAGGCGCCUAACCCUUGCUUCCCUCAUCGCAUCCCCUCCUCCGGCAGGAACUCAUCAUCUGGUGAGAUCCUCUCUCCAUGCCUUCAACCGUGUACCAAGCACCGGCAAGAAAUUUUGUUUUGUGAGAAUUUGUUUGCUGAUGAAUGAAUGUAUUGAAUGUAACAUUGCAUUGUUGUAAAGAAAGAGAAUGGAACACCACCUUGAGUUUGUCAUCUGAUUCCACAUUCUCUACCCCGUGAGUGAAAUAAGAUAACAGUCCAUUGAUCAAUUCAUGUAGCCUCUUUGUUUUGCUUUGCUUGUCCCGUUUAAUUUCUCAUCAUGGUGAAAUUAACAAUGGACGGGUUGAUUUCUCAACAAAAUAGGAUAGGACUGGCUACAUUAGUUAGUUAGUUUAUUAUUUUAAUAAUCAAAAUGAUUAUAAAAAAACGUAGAAAUAUGUGGUAUUUUUUUCUUCUCGUUGCAACGCACGAGCCCUUUUGUCUAGUACGUGAAAAAAUAGUGCACCGCAUCAUUCGGAUCGCGUUCCUUUGAUUUACUCCAUAGCAACUCCCCCACCAGCUCCAACCCUGUAUGUACCUAACUUGCUAUAUAUACGUGCACCAGCUCUGCACAGGGACGGUCACACUCCAAUCAGGCACAGCACACAAAACAAGUCUCGUCAUAUCGAGAAACGGAGCUAGCUCGACCACGGGUGGUGUUCGGCAGCAGCUCUAGGCCGUCGUCCUCGGCCGGGUGGCGCCGAUGGCCACACACAUAAAUUAUCCUUAUGAUGAGGUUUCGAGAUCAACGAAUGCGCACGGUCCACUUGUUUGUUCUUGCAUGUCCGACAUGAGGGGCAGCUGUCAGCGUUCGUACCACCAACCAAGAGCGAUAUUCACGUGCAGACAUAAAUCGGAUCAUUUAAUUUUCCCAUGCGAUCCACGAGGGCACUAUAUAUACUCCUCCUGAGAGUAACCACUAAGAUAGCGAACGGAACUCCUGAUUCUUUUUUUAGGAAUUUAUUCUGUAUAUGGAUGGAUGUACUACCCAUGGACGUCUUUUGUGAUUGACGGNNNNNNNNNNNNNNNNNNNNNNNNNNNNNNNNNNNNNNNNNNNNNNNNNNNNNNNNNNNNNNNNNNNNNNNNNNNNNNNNNNNNNNNNNNNNNNNNNNNNUGGAGUAUCACCUGAAAGUGCAGUCAUGCCUUUAAUACGUGUUUUGGUGUUGCUGACAACACACAUAUAGAUAACUAAUCACUAAUACCCCUUUAGUUGUUAAAAAAAAGUUUGAUCAUAUGUUGAUAAGGACAAGCUCAUGUGCUAACAAGGACAAGAUCAAGAUAAGCAUUCCUGAGUACUACAUGCUUGAAUCUUGUGGAUGUUCACAUGGUGGACAGAUGAAGAUGAAUACACAAGCUAGGCCUUCCACAUUGUGUAUGGGAGAGCUUCUUGAAGACUUCAUCAUGUCUUGCUUUCAUCUUGAGUCAAGAAGGAACAACAACACCAAGCUCAAGUGAAAGGGCUAACUCAAAGGUAUCAGUUCMUUUGACGUUARUGGUGCGGAGUGAUGAUCAGCGAAUAAAAGUAUACACGCAAGUAUAGAUCAUCGGACCCUUUUUUUUAUGUUUCUUGAGUCUUUAGGGAUCCCGCACUAUUAAGAGGGGAUCACUGGGUAUUGCGAUAAAUUUGCUCAAACUACAUCUCUACUUCUCUGCUCAUGCCACAUCUCCACUGCUCUGCUUUGAUCCCAAAAGAGAACCAAAGCCUCGGACAUCCGCCCCCUUCGGACGUCCGAGGGCCGGACGCCCGACCAGUUCGGAAAUACGGAACCCUAUACCAGAGCCAAAGUCUCGGACAUCCGGCUCCCUCUAUCCGAGGACCGGACGCCCGACCACUUCGGAAAAUCGGAACCUUGCACCAGAGAAAUCCAGAGUCAGAUAACUCGGACUUCCGGCCUCUCCCUGUCGUCCGAGGGCCGGACGUCCGACCACUUUUGGAAAUCCGGUGCCCUUGAACAGAGCCGUACUCUCGGACAUCCGGGGCCGUCCGGACGUCCGGAAACCGUCGGACGUCACUACAAGAAGUAUGCUCAUACAUGAUGUUUUUAAGACGUCGUUGAUGAAUUCGUCAUAAAUCUAUGACGAAUUCAUCCGAGAUUGUCGUAAACCGUUUGAGGGGAUCAAAUCUACAUAUAAAUUACGACGAUGUGAGUCAAAAACGUCGUAACCACAUAAGAUGAGAUCGUCAUAACUUUUACGACGAUUAUAAAAAUGUCGUAACAUGUUCUAACUAUGUUGACAUGUCACUCGUGGGUCCAUUAUAUUCCACCUCAUCCAUGUAUUGAACUGUUUUUAUACCACUUUUUGUUGGGCUAUUUUUUCAUCUUACUUUUAUAUUGGGCUGGUAAUUUAUCCUCCAUGCUUGCUAAUGGGUUGGUUUCUGGUCUGUCAUAAUAUUUUAUAUUAUACAUAAUAUAUUGUCUAAUAUUUUUAAAAUGAGUUGCUACAUUUUUACAACAAAGAUUUGGUAGGUUCUUUACAAAAAACCUAUUUUCUGGCACUUCGAAAAUAGAAAAUGAUUUUUUUGUGCAAACAAAAUGUAAAAUCUCUUUGACAACGUUGUUUGUCAUACCAACAUACACACAUGUGGACAAUAUUGGGUCAUUGUAACAAACUAUAAGAGGAUAAAAUAUAAGAGAAACAAACAAACAACUAAAAAUUUUAUAUAAGCUUAAUUCUGAUUGGUGGGUAUGUGCUAUGGUCUAAAGAAUAUGAAAUUGGACNNNNNNNNNNNNNNNNNNNNNNNNNNNNNNNNNNNNNNNNNNNNNNNNNNNNNNNNNNNNNNNNNNNNNNNNNNNNNNNNNNNNNNNNNNNNNNNNNNNNCUAGGCGUCCCACAAUGCACAGUGCAUGUAUGCACCCUUGGUUCCGUUGUUGCCAUCUUCUGCCCUCCCAUCUUUAGGAGGGAUCAUUUCACACACGUUGCGUGGCCCAUCAGUCGUCGACUUUAGCACGAUGCCGAACAACGCCAUCAACCUACGCGCGUCCAUCAAACCAUGUCCAACACCGAGACUCCAAUAUUGCACACCACCGAGCCCCGUCGUCUUCAAUGUGGUACUGAUACGUCUCAAACGUAUCUAUAAUUUUUGAUAGUUUCACGCUGUUAUCUUGUCAACUUUCGAUGUUUUGUUUACCUUUUAUAUCUUUUUUGGGACUAACUUAUUAAUUCAGUGCCAAGCGCCAGUUCCUGUUUUUUCUGUGUUUUUGACUCUUUUCAGAUCUGGUUUUGGAACGGAGUCCAAACGGAAUAAAAUCCCCGAAAUAAAGUUUUCCAGAACGGAAUAUCGGGAGGCUUGAGGGCCAAGCAAGUGGGCCCACAUGGGGCCCACAAGCCCUGUUGCCGCGGCCAGGGGGGAGGCCGCGGCAACCAAGCUUGUGGCCCCCCUGGCGCUCCCCUUCCCUAGGUCUUUGGCCUAUAAAUUCCAUAAAAAUCCAGAAAAAUCAGGGCAAUCACGAAAACACUUUUCCGCGGCCGCAAGCUUCCGUUUCUGCGAGAUGUCAUCUGGAGACCCUUCCCAGUGCCCUGCCGAGGGGACUUUGGAGUUGGAGGGCUUCUUCAUCAACAUCAUCGCCCCUCCAAUGACUCGUGAGUAGUUCACUUCAGACCUACGGGUCCGUAGUUAGUAGCUAGAUGGCUUCUUCUCUCUCUUGGAUCUUCAAUACAAAGUUCUCCAUGAUCUUCAUGGAGAUCUAUCCGAUGUAAUCCUCUUUGGCGGUGUGUUUGUCGAGAUCCGAUGAAUUGUGGAUUUGUGAUCAGAUUAUCUACGAUAUAUAUUUGAGUCUUUGAUGAUUUAUUAUAUGCAUGAUUUGAUAUCCUUGUAAGUCUCUCCGAGUCUUGGGUUUUGUUUGGCCAACUAGAUCUAUGAUUCUUGCAAUGGGAGAAGUGCUUGGUUUUGGGUUCAUACCAUGUGGUGACCUUUCCCAGUGACAGUAGGGGCAGCAAGGAACGCAUCGUGUAGUUGCCAUCAAGGGUAACAAGAUGGGCUUUUAUCGUAGAUAUGAGAUUGUCCAUCUACAUCAUGUCAUCUUGCUUAAGGCGUUACUCUGUUCUUUUGGACUUAAUAGACUAGAUGCAUGUUGGAUAGCGGUCGACGUGUGGACUAAUAGUAGUAGAUGCAGAAAGUAUCGGUCUACUUGUUUUGGACGUGAUGCCUAUAGAUAUAAUCAUUGCCAUAGAUAACGUCACGACUUUGCGCGGUUCUAUCAAUUGCUCGACAGUAAUUCGUUCACCCACCGUCUACUUGCUUUCAUGAGAGAAGCCACUAGUGAACGACUACGGCCCCCGGGGUCUAUUCCGACACCGUAUCGUUUCCGACUUUUGCUUUUACGUUUGCUUUCGUUAUUUUUUGCUUUCAGUUCUCACUUGGCAANNNNNNNNNNNNNNNNNNNNNNNNNNNNNNNNNNNNNNNNNNNNNNNNNNNNNNNNNNNNNNNNNNNNNNNNNNNNNNNNNNNNNNNNNNNNNNNNNNNNCGUGGCGGGCGGGCUCUGCUCGCGCCAGCCGCGAUGAGCGCUGAGCGUAGUGGUCUGGGAGCUGCCGCCGUGCAGGUGCUGGCGCGUGAUGGGGCACGUCGCGUUGCCGCGGUCAAGCCACUCCUGUAUGGCGCGGCGCUCGUACGUUUGGCCGGUCUCGAGCGUGACGGGGUCGUCGAACACCUGGCUCGUGAUCGGGCACACGAAGUCCUUGGGCGUCGUCGCCGCCUGCUGCUGAAGCCGCGACAGCUCGGCGUCGCCGGCCAUCGAGGACCUGUAUGUAUUCAAAUCCAUCAGCGCGUGUCUCCAUCGAUGGCAUCGGUGCAAUCUAGGUUGCGGGAAAUGCUGUAUCCGGAAGCGGGUGACAUGGUUACCUUGAGUGCUCCGGAGAGAGGCGGGCCCGGCUGGCGCCGUCGUCGCCGCGUGGCUUGGACAGUGGGGACGCCGCUUGCUUUUCCUAAGAGACAAGGCAACAACAUUGGGAACUCAGCUUUGGAGAGAUGGCUCAUCAGCAGAUCAGCCGGAGAAGCAAACGAGGGUUGUGUAGUACUCGCUCCGUUCCUAAAUAGGGCUACAUACGGAUGUAUAUAGACAUACUUUAGAGUAUAGAUUCAAUCAUUUUGCUCCGUAUGUAGACCCUUAGUGAAAUCGCUUAAAAAACUUAUAUUUAGAAACGGAGGGAGUAUUUUUUUCCCGGGUAAGUUUACAUGUCUUCUUUUACUGAGCUUUUUCUAAAGAAGCUAAGAACUCAAUUUCAUAAUUAUUUCUAUUUAGGCCACCCUAAGUAUUACACAUCUAAAUGACAUAAUCAAAAUGAAAAGGAAAAUAAAAAGGAACAUACCAACACGAAUCUCCGCUUCAAAUCAAUGCCGGGUACAUUUAGACGUGUUUUUAUCAAAAACAUAUUUGAAAAUGGACAACUCUAGUGAAAUUGGGUGACUAAGGUCAUCUCCAAUGCUUAGCCAUUUGUUUAGACGCUAGAGAUAAAAAAACAAAUUGAAAAUUCACCAUAGAGUCGUUCUCUAUAAUAAACAAAAAAACUCAAAUUGCAAAUCCUGUCAACUUACAUAAAAAUUGUCAAAAAUAAAAUAAAAACUUGAAUCGCAAAUUUGUCCUCCUCAACACCAAGCCGACCUAGCAGCCAAAGAAACCGGAAAACCAGCGAGUUAGUUGAAGAAGCCUCCAUUGAUAUUCUUUGGGAAUUAAUUUCUUUGGCAUCCAGGAUAAGGUUUAAAAAUCUCAACGAAAUUUCACACAAAUUUUUGAAAUUUUGCAUAUUUCAUUGGGGUCUGAAAUAUUUUUUUCCCUGAAAUUAAGAUGCAAAUUCAAACUGAUUUCAAAAUAAAUUUAAAAUUAUGUUAAAAUUCAUUGAAAUUAGGUGAAUUUUGGAAACUCAAAAUCAAAAUAUUUCAGGAAAUAUGUAAUUUUUUGAACUUUUGUAUAUUUAGGUGAGGUCUGAAAUUNNNNNNNNNNNNNNNNNNNNNNNNNNNNNNNNNNNNNNNNNNNNNNNNNNNNNNNNNNNNNNNNNNNNNNNNNNNNNNNNNNNNNNNNNNNNNNNNNNNNUGUUUUUAAAGUUUGCUCGUUUCUCUGCUUACCAUGCUAGCUAACACUAGCCUACCUGAUGCAAACUUGCUGAAUAUAUGUAUGGGUAGUUCCUGGUGGUCACUUAUUAUCCAAGGGAGUAGUUUUGGUACUUAACGAAUGGUGUUUCAGCUAGCUUGCACCUCAUCUAGCUACUCACUGUUAUUGUUACACCUGAGAUGAUAUUUUGUUCUUCGAAAGACGUUUUACAAUUUAGCAUUGCCAUCUAGUUCCUGCGCCUCAAAAAUACAUUACUUUGUUUGUAUGCAGGUAUACUAGAGCCCAUAAAAGCUGGUAUCAGUGAUGCAAAACUAGGAGUGGGGAAGCAAGAGCAGGAUGACUUCUUCACAGCGAGUGCUAAUUUCUGUAUUUUCUUUUGAGAUUCUUUUGGGUUGAUGCUUCAGUUGUGAAAACUGGUAUCUGAUUGUCAACUGUGAAUUAGAUGAGUUAUUGAAUUAUGUAAACCUGGAGAUGUAUUAUGUGAUGUUAUAUGAUGAUUUUAAUUCGACUUGGAGUUUUCUUGAUUUGAACAUGAAAUAGUGCUGCAUUUAAUAUUGGACAAAUAAUUGGUUGAAAAGGCCCAAUAAAUAGAAAUGAAAUCAAGUUCUGAAAAAAAAGUUGCUGAAUUCAAAAAUGAAAAAAGGCCAAAACUGAAACUGGACCAAAUGUAUUUGGACACUAAAAGGCGAGGGCCCAAAAACAAUUCAAAAAGAAAACUAAAAGUGGCUAUAAAUGGGCUAAGGCCCAAAAGAAGCCCAAAAAUAAAACCAGCCCAUGUGAUCAAUUGAAAUGGGUUGGGCUGAUUUCAAUUAUGAUGUUUUGAUUUCGUCGUAAUUUUGCCACGUAGGACUGCCAUGUAGGACUGGGUUAGAUUGUCAACGACGAUUUAGGAUCGUCGUAAAGGUUACGACGAUCCAUGAAUCGUCGUAGAAGUUAUGACGAWUUUGUAUCAAAACGUCGCUCGUGUUCAUUUGUGACGCUCCGUUUUCGACGCUUGGUUUUUCGUCGUGAGAUCGUCGUAAACUAAAAACUGUGACGAUGUAGCGAAGAAAAUAUAGCGUCGUGUAUUAGCANNNNNNNNNNNNNNNNNNNNNNNNNNNNNNNNNNNNNNNNNNNNNNNNNNNNNNNNNNNNNNNNNNNNNNNNNNNNNNNNNNNNNNNNNNNNNNNNNNNNCUCACGAAGUGGGAGGGGGUAUUUAUAGUGGGGAGAGAAAACCAGCCGUUGGGUACACUUUAGGUCACACAGGGUCCGGACGUCCGACAGUUUCCGGAAGUCCCGGCGUCCGUGAGGGGUCGGACGUCCGACAGGGGUCGGUCGUCCGAGAGCUGUAGAUAUGUCUGGAAACACUGUGAGUUGAACAGGCACCGGACUUCCGAAGAAGGCCGGAAAUCCGAGUUAUUCGACUCAACUUCUUCUAGUGCAAAGUUCCGGAAUUCCGAAAGGGGACGGACGUCUGGCCCUCGGACGUCCGGAGGGAGCCGGAAAUCCGAGCUAUAGAGCUCAUGUUCUUCGGGUGCACGGCUCCGGAUUUCUGAAGCUGGUCGGUCGUCCGACCCUUGACCGGCCCUCGGACGUCCGGAGGGAGCCGGAAGUCCGAGUUAUAUGGUUCAAGUUUCUCUCGUGCAUAGUUCCGGAAUUCCAAAGCUGGUCGGAUAUCCUGGCCUCGGACGUCCGGAGGGAGCCGGAAGUCCGAGUUAUAUGGCUCUGAUUUCUCUGGUAUAGGAUUCCGGAUUUCCGAAGCAGUCGGUCGUCCAGCCCUCGGACGUCCGGAGAGCCGGAUGUCCGAGGCACUGGUUCUGUUUUCAGANAAGUGGGAGGGGGUAUUUAUAGUGGGGAGAGAAAACCAGCCGUUGGGUACACUUUAGGUCACACAGGGUCCGGACGUCCGACAGUUUCCGGAAGUCCCGGCGUCCGUGAGGGGUCGGACGUCCGACAGGGGUCGGUCGUCCGAGAGCUGUAGAUAUGUCUGGAAACACUGUGAGUUGAACAGGCACCGGACUUCCGAAGAAGGCCGGAAAUCCGAGUUAUUCGACUCAACUUCUUCUAGUGCAAAGUUCCGGAAUUCCGAAAGGGGACGGACGUCUGGCCCUCGGACGUCCGGAGGGAGCCGGAAAUCCGAGCUAUAGAGCUCAUGUUCUUCGGGUGCACGGCUCCGGAUUUCUGAAGCUGGUCGGUCGUCCGACCCUUGACCGGCCCUCGGACGUCCGGAGGGAGCCGGAAGUCCGAGUUAUAUGGUUCAAGUUUCUCUCGUGCAUAGUUCCGGAAUUCCAAAGCUGGUCGGAUAUCCUGGCCUCGGACGUCCGGAGGGAGCCGGAAGUCCGAGUUAUAUGGCUCUGAUUUCUCUGGUAUAGGAUUCCGGAUUUCCGAAGCAGUCGGUCGUCCAGCCCUCGGACGUCCGGAGGAAGCCGGAUGUCCGAGGCACUGGUUCUGUUUUCAGAUAACAGCAGAGCAGUGGAGAUGUGGUCUGAGCAGAACAGUGGAGAUGUAGUUUGAGCAAGUUCAUCGCAAAACCUGUGAUCCCCUCUUAAUAGUGCGGGAUCCCUAAAGACUCAAGAAUCAUAAAAGGGGUACUGAUGAUCCAUACUUGAGUGUAUACUUUUAUUCGCUGAUCAUCACUCCGCAUAACUAACGUCAAAGGAACUGAUACCUUUGAGUUAGCCCUUUCACUUGAACUUGAUGUUGUUGUUCCUUCUUGGCUCAAGUUGAAAGCAAGACAUGAUGAAGUCUUCAAGUAGCUCUCCCAUACACAAUGUGGAAAGCCUAGGUUAUGUAUUCAUCUUCAGUUGUCCACCAUGUGAACAUCCACAAGAAUCAAGCAUGUAGUGCUCAGGAAUGCUUAUCUUGAUCUUGUCCUUGUUAGCACAUGAGCUUGUCCUUAUCAACACAUGAUUAUUAACAAUAGUUUCAAUGAUAUAUUCGUGUUGAUCCAGUUGAACUUGCACACCACAAUUUGAUGACGAUCACCACUUGACGUCAUCCUUCAUGAGUUGUAUGAGAUCUUCCUUUUGACGCAAGCCCAAUGGAAGCACACCUAACCCCCACAUAGGACUCUCACAAAGACCAUGGGUUAGUACACAAACACGUAAUGGACAAUGCUUACCAUACCAUGGGAUCACUUGAUCCCUCUCGGUACAUCUUAUACGCUUUGUGUGUUGACCAUCUUGAUUUACUCUUUGUCUGAGAUCUUGAUCAACCUAGUGUCUCUAUGACCAUUCUUUGGAUAAUACCUUGAAUAACAUCUUGGUCAUCAUAUAAACUCCUUGAACCCAACAGAUGGACUUCAAGAAGUGCCUAUGGACAAANNNNNNNNNNNNNNNNNNNNNNNNNNNNNNNNNNNNNNNNNNNNNNNNNNNNNNNNNNNNNNNNNNNNNNNNNNNNNNNNNNNNNNNNNNNNNNNNNNNNGUGGAGCAGGGGAGGGUGCGGGGGGUCGGCGGCGGCGGUGGAGUGGUGGCCAUUAGUAGUUUCAUACAACUCGUAAGAGCCUAAACACUUGUACUCGUAUAGAAUACUAGGUAAACGAAUAUCCUGGUACAAUGAACCUGCCCUACCAAGAUGCGUCCGGGCAGAUCGGUGAAUUCACGGACAGAGAACCGGCCAGAUCUCCAAACGCUCACCCCCCACCGGCGACGUCGAGCCCCGAACCCUACUACUGGGCUCCUCAUAGGAUCGCGAAAUUCCGGCGUUACUACUCGCGACACCACCUCCGCAAAUCGCGUGAUGGAUUCAGGCGAGCGCUCGCGGUUCAGAGGGCUCAACUGCAGAAGACCGCUCUAGAGAGAGGCCAGUCGAGGGGAGGGGCCGACGGCAUACGUACGUGGGCUUGGGCCUCGACGGAGGGAACGUGGAAGGCGUCGAGCGUGGAGGCGGCGGCGCAGGCAGCGACGAGGAGGAGCGGCGUCUCCGUGGACGAGGGCGAGGGCAGAGGAGAGGCGAGGGUGGGUGAGGGUGUGGGCACCGUCUCCGUGGACGAAGGUGGGGGAGGGGGAGGGCGGGGCAGCGGCGGCGACGUCUCCGUGGACCCCAGAGAGGUGCGCCAUUGGAACUUUUUUUUUGGAUAGCAACGGCGCUCGAGGGGAGGGAGGGGUGGGUGGUGCGCUCGGUCGAUUCCGUUCGGGGGAACCGAGCGAGGAGACAGGGGAGGGUCCAGGGGGUCGGCGGCAGCGGUGGAGCGGGGGAGGGUGCGGGGGGUCGUCGGCGGCGGUGGAGCGGGGGAGGGUGCGGGGGGACACUAUUGGGACACUAUGAUGCAAGAAUAUGAGACACCCGAGACAAGCUUGGAGGAGGAGGUGGAGAGAAUGAAAGUGGGGAAAGUGAGUGUGGUAGGUGGUUGUCCAAAAUAUCUAGCUAUGAUGCAAGAAUAUGAACCAUGAUCAAUGAAAAAAGACAGAAUUUGUUAUGCUAUUUCUCUGCGGUUGUAGUUGUAAGCCAGGUAUUUCUACAUGUUAGAACAUGCUUGGAUAUAGAAAAUUCGAAGAAAACUUGCAUAAACCGGCCUACUUCUGCAUAGGGAAAAUGAUUUUAUAUGAUAUAUUGACAUUACAAAUAUUAAAUACGUAGAAAAAUAAACAUCAUAUGGCCCAUACAUAUUUCUUUUAGAGAUUGGCUUCUGGCACAUUGCCCAUAAAUAGCAAAGAUCAAUCUGAUGUAAUUCAAAAGACGACCUGAAAUAGAUAAAAAACAUCAUAUUGUUUAUAGGCAAGGAGAAUUGUUUUUUUAGCAGAUUUCUCCAUUUCUAGGUCUUCAUGAAAGAGCGAGGAAAAUGUGCAGGAUAGGUGGAGCAUAAGAGGUGUCAAAAUAUGGAGAAGCUGCUGCUGAAAGAGGUCUGCAUUUGCACAUGAGGAAGAUGCUAGGGGAUGAUGAGGACUCACCGCAUCCUUCAAUCCUCUAGGUUCAGAACAAUUGGACAGACAACUCAAGUGAACUAGCAGCAAGGGAACACAAAUUUUCACCUCAUCAUCUUCCACCUCCUGCCAAUCCUCAUCGUCCCAUCCUUCAUCCUGCAAAAUGGCAGAGCAUUACUUGUAAAAGGUUCUUUCCAGCUCCAGCACAAAUGGGGUGCCCGAGAUCCUACAGCCAAGAACUCUAAAUCCCCACCAGUUGGGCACAAGAAACAUGCCAAGAACGGCAUAAAGAACACCCAGACGCGCCAAAUCUCACAAGACGAGUGAGAUUUUGGAGAAAAGAUCGCCGAGCAAUCAUCACCCAAGGUACUGGGAACUCACCGUAUCCUUGUCGGCGGGACGCGGCGAAGGUCCUGGCGGCUGAGGCGGGGGCGCCGAGGUGGGAGGCGCCGAAGCUCGAGAGAUGGCUACAAGUAAUGGAGCGCAGGGUGCGGUCGAUGUUCUCGUGGGCGGUGCGGACGACGUGGGUGUGGAGCUGGAUGGGGCGCAUGGCAGCGUCGAGCAAGGAGAGGCGGCUGUCGAAGGGAUUCCCGCAGCAGCGCUCCUCCUCCGUGACCCUCCAUCCCGCUACCCAAGGACGGAUGCUCCUCCUCCUCCUAGAGAGCUUGGGCCGGAGAGGCGGGGCGGAUCUGGGGGACGGGAUCCGGGGCUGCACGCAGGCACAGCGGAGCGGGGCGGUCUGGGGGACGGGAUCCAGGGCGGAUCCGGGGCAGGCACUGCCGGUUAGCAAUGGCGCACCCCGGAGCGGUGCGCCAUUAGAUUUUUUUGAUAGCAAUGUCGCAUCCCCAUGCAGUGCGCCAUUAGUAAAUAUAUUUUUAUAUAGCAAUGGCGCAUUUCACAGAGGUGCGCCAUUAGUAAUCUUUUUUUUGGAUAGCAAUGGCGCACCCCAAAGAGGUGCGCCAUUAGUAAUAUUAUUUUUUUUGGAUAGCAAUGGCGCUCGGGGGGGAGGAGGGGGUGGAUGGUGCGCUCGGCCGAUUCUGUUCGGGGGAACCGAGCGAGGAGACAGGGGAGGGUGCGGGGGGUCGGCGGCGGCGNNNNNNNNNNNNNNNNNNNNNNNNNNNNNNNNNNNNNNNNNNNNNNNNNNNNNNNNNNNNNNNNNNNNNNNNNNNNNNNNNNNNNNNNNNNNNNNNNNNNUAGGGCGAAUUCUUUGAAUACCCAUGAUGCUAAUGAUAUGCAAAUCCACAAGCUUGGGGAUGUGAUGUUUCAUGAAGAUGAUAUUUUUAGUUCCCCCACUUUGAAUGAUGAAAAUUAUUAUGAUGAAAGCAUGCCCCCUAUCUAUGACGAUUAUUGUGAUGAUACUUAUGCUAUAAAGAAGAAUGAUAAUAAAACUUGUCACAAUUAUGAGUACCCUCUUACUGAACAUUACUCUUCUAAUGUGGAAACAAUUCAUAGUGUUCAAGUCUUUUACGAUACUCCCACUACUAUUGAUGAGAAUAAAUUUCCUUAUGUGGAGAGUAGUAAAAUUUCUAUGCUUGUAGAUCAUGAAAAGAAUGCUUUAGGUGCUGGUUAUAUUGUUGAAUUCAUUCAUGAUGCUACUGAAAAUUAUUAUGAGAGAGGAUCAUAUGCUUCUACAUAUUGCAAUAAUAUCAAGCUUCCUCUCCAUGUGUUGAAACUUUUGAAGUCAUGCUUGUUUUAUCUUCCUAUGCUAAUUGAUUCUUGCUCCAAUAAAUUGUUUGAUCAAAAAAUCCGUAUGCAUAUGUCACACCCAAGAUGCGACCCUAUCCUCAAUUUGGCACGAGGGCCUUGUCAGGGAUAGAAGCGCAUCUCGUCGUGUCGCAAGAAUGGAUAUCGUUACAAAUACAUGUACUGAAAAGAAGAGAUAUAUAAAUAGAAUUGGCUUACACUCGCCACAAGCUACAUUAGAGUCAUAGCAGUACAAUACAUAAUCAUCAUGAAGAAGAGCAGGGUUCGACUACAGACGAAAACAAACGACAAAAGAAGAACGACGUCCAUCCUUGCUAUCCCAGGCUGCCGGUCUAGAACCCAUCCUAGAUCGAAGAAGAAGAACAACAACAAGCAACUCCAAAUGAACAAUCAACACGGUCGCGUCGAGUAACCUUUACCUGUACCUGCCACUGGUGUUGUAGUAAUAUGUGAGCCACAGGGGACUCAGCAAUCUCAUUUCCAAAGGUAUGAAGACUAGCAAAGCUUAAUAGGUGAGGUGAGGUUAAGUGGUGAGGUUGCAGCAGCGGCUAAGCAUAUAUAUAUGGUGGCUAACUUACGAGUACAAGAAAUAAGGAGGGGGAAGAUCUACGCAUAGCGGACAUGAACUACAGUUGGUCAAAUGAAUGAUCCUGAACACCUACCUACGUCAGUCAUAACCCCACUGUGUCCUCGAUCGGAGAAGGAACUCACGAAAGAGACAGUCACGGUUACGCAUACAGUGGGCAUAUUUUAAUUAAGUCAACUUCAAGUUAUCUCGAACCAGUGUUAACCAAAGUUUCCACGUUGCCACAUAACUGCGGGCAUGGAUUUCCGAAAAGAUUUAACCCUACAGGGGUGCUCCAACUAGUCCAUCACAAAUUACCACAAGCCGCAUAGAAAUCCUCAAUCACGAAGCUCGCGAUCUCGUCAGAUUCCCUAGUGGAAAACCUAAACUCUGAGAUUACCCAAAGCAUCACCGAAAUCCCGAUGCAUAAGAUAUUUCGUCAAAGGUAAAACUAAUCCAGCAAGGCCGCCCGACGUGUCGACGAUCCCGAUAGGAGCCGCGUAUCCUAUUCUCAGGACACGAUGGAUGGAAAAGCCUACAGGUACCAAACCACGAGUUGCCCCGUGGUGGCCCUGCAGUCUGUCCAUUUUGGACCAACACUCAUGAGGAGCACUGGCCCGGAGGUUGAUUAAAUUUCCUCGGGUUAAUUACUCCCUAUGCAGUUCAUUGGUUGUUAGGCAAAUGUAGUAUCAAAGUUGGGCCUUGCCAGACCAGCUUUAAUCUAAAACCAAUUAUCAAGGGGGUCCCCAUAACAACCCCGAUCGUGUUAGGAGCACUCAAUUAUGGAACAUAACACCGGUAGCCAAAACUAAGGGGGCAAAGGUGGAACAAAACACCAGGCUAGAUAGGCCGAGCAUUCCACCUUUUAUCAAGUAUAUAGGUGCAUUAAAAUUAAAUAGCUUUAAUAUGGUGAUAUGACAAGGAACCCAUGUUAUUACAUGGAAGCAACUACACCUGCAACUAGCAACGCUAACAACAUGGUUAAGCAAGCAGUAACAUAGCCAAUCAGUGGUUUGCUAGGUUGAACAGUUGAGGUUCCAUGGCAUUGUUGAGAGGAUUAUAUAUAACAUGUAGUAGGCAAUGAGACAUAAACGGUAGAAACGGUAAAACUAGCAUGGCAAUGAUAGUAAUGGUAUCUGGGGAAAUGGUCAUCUUGCCUGAGAUCCCGCUUGGAAGAAGAACAACUCCAAGAAGUCGACGAACCAUCGUAGUCGAACGGGUGCUCACAUUCCGACAUGCUUGCGGAACUAUAUCGAGACGGAGCAAACCGGAAACAAACAUCAACACAGAUAUUCACCACACGAUGCACAACAUGAUGCACAACCUACUAUGAUGCAUGAGAAGGUUAAAAUGCAAGGGAUGGCAUGGCAAUUCACCUCACACAAACACUACACAUUAAGUGAAGCUCGAUAUGCAACGAGUUACAUAUCGACGAAACUCCACGUUUAAUUAUUUAAUUCACUCCCGUUAAUUUACACGGCAAUAUUAAAUUGUUGUUAACAUGGCAAGGGGUGAAGCGGGUGAUCCUACAUGUCAUCCUAGACGGUUAUCACGCGGGACAUAGAUCGGAGCUACGUGACAAGAGACAUGCAACACAAGGUAAUUAUGCCAUGAUUGUGUCAUGCAUGCAAGCUCAUAACAUCACGGGCAAGAAGAGAAAGAAACAUGUGUCGCCACGGCGAGCGAAAGGGAACCAUGUCGGCAAAACGGAAACUAAGCCACGACAACGUUCCUAUCCCGAUAACUCGUCGAGAUAUCGUGCCAACGUAUAGGAAGCUUGUGCGGGAACGCUAAAUAAAGAUGGGGUGAUCCUGCUACCGGGUUCCCAUGUGUCGAGGGCACGACGAAAAGGAAGACAACGUGCAACGGGCAAACAUACGGCGCAAACAUACAGUUACAUCUCAUACAACAUAUGCGUUCGGUUCACGACAAUGUCCCAUCGAUAUACCUUCGAAGCGUGCAUAUCGGAGCGGAUCGGGUCGUGGCGGUAAAGGCAAACGAAAGAUCGUCGUGGAAGUCGAGGUACUCGGGUCUCGUCGAAGGUAGUCGUUCGCUUGGCGUUGUGGUUCACGGGUCUUCGGCGUCGGUAGUCGAACAUGUUUUCGGGGGUCGUCGAGGACGCAGUUGUACACGGCGAACUUGUAGCCGACCCACGAUGGCGGGGAUGGUGCACGCGGUCUUCGGCGACGUUCCAACACGCAACCGGGCAAGGCAACAGCAAGCUAGAGAAGCAACUAGCAUCUGGCAGCAGCAAUCACAUCAGGGAGCAACACAUCGGCAAGGCAGCACAGCAGGCAAGCAACAGGGGCAGCAAGGCACGGCACGGCACAUCAACAGCAUCUCGGCAGCAACAGCAAGCUAGCAGCGAGCAACUAGCAACCACAGCUUCGGCACAGCAACACGGCAACACAGAGCAGCAAUCACAGGCAGCGGCUACAGCACAAGUAAGCAGCGAUGGCGAGCUCGGCAGGGCGGCCCACCGGCGGGGUUGAGGGAGGCCACGGCACGGGACGAGGGCGGCCAUGGCGGAAGCGAGCACCUGAGGAGGAGGGGCGAGGCCAUGGCGCGGCCAUGCCGGUGAGGUCGGGGACCGGCGGCUGCGCGGGGGCAGGGGGCUGUGGCGCUGGUGGAGGGCGCAGACGGGCACGCGGGGAACGGCGGCGCAGCGCGGGGAAGCUGCUGCACCGGCUCGGGGCUGGCGACCGGGGCACAGCGCGGAGGCGGCGCAGCUCAGGACGGCGGCGACCACGAGCACGGCGGGGAAGAGAGAGGCGAGGUCGAGGGCAAGGCUAGGGAUCAGGACAGAGGGAGGAACGAGAGGAGGGGAUCGAGGCAGAGGGGCAAUGGCGCACACGGGAGGACGAGGGGAUCGGGCUGCGCUAGGGUUGGGGGGACUUGGGCCUGCUGGGCCUUGGGCCUGGGGUCCCCUCUCUCCCUACGAGUUUUUAUUUUUAAAAACAUAAAAACUCAAACAAAAGAAAAACUUUUAACAAAAAUAUAAAAAAAUGCUUUUGGCUCCGUUGAAAAAUAUACCCCAACUAUAAAAAUAGAUUGGGCAUUUUUUAACGAAUAAAAAUAAAACCUUUUGAAGAAUAAAAUAAAACCCUUUUUUUAAAGAAUAAAAUAAAAGUUGUUUUAAAGGAGAAAAGAAAAUGAGGCUCUGUUUUUCUUAAAUAAACAAAACGAAAAAAUAAGGGAACCCAAGGUUUGCCCCCACAUUUAAUAAAAUGUUUUUUUAAAGAAGACAAACUUUUUAAAGGGGGUUAAAACUGAAACUUUAAAACAGCCACGAAAUAAAAACAAGAGAGGAGAGAAGGGAGUUACUAUCGCACUUGAGGCACACACACUCAAAACACCACACGCAAUAGAUGAUGCAAGAUGCCAUGCAUGAUGCGACGAUGCAAACUAAAUGACGAUGCAACAAACGGAAUAUAAUCACAUGACGGAAAUGGAAAUUAAGGGGAAUCUUCUAGGGCGUCGGUCUCGGGAUGUCACAGCAUAGGAAGUGGGUCAGACUUAAAUGUGCUAGUCAUAUCCUCCAUGAUGCUUCCAUUAUGUUUCAAUCCUUAUCUUUUAUGUGAGCAUCAUUGAAAUCAUCAUGCCUAGCUUGAAAAGCAUUAAAGAAAAGUACUUGGUGGGAGACAACCCAAUAUGUAUCCUUACUAUUUUUUUGUGUUCACAUGAUUAAGCUACUGUAUUAAUCAUGUUUUAUAGAUUUUAUUUCAAUAAAGUGCCAAGUAAAGCAUCUACGAUUAGUUUGGGUGAUAGUUGUUUGAUCAUGCUGAAAAAGACAGAAACUUUGCCUCGCGAAAUCAUUUAUAAUUCUAUCCAGAUAGUGAUUUUAGGUUGAUUCUUUUUUCUGCUGAUUUAUAUACAAAUUUCCUUAAUUUGCAUAAAUUUUUCGGAAUUUUUGUAAGUGUAGAAGUAUGGUUAUCAUUCAGAUCAUUAGAGACUGUUCUGUUUUUGACAGAUUUUGUUUUCAAUGCAUAGUUUGCUCAUUUUGGUGUUUCCAUAGAUUAUAUUGAGUAAUAUAAAUUGUGGAAAUAGUAAGAUACAGUAGGAAUUGUGUGAAAAUAAUUAUGAGUCUUUUUUUGACAGUUUUGGGUAGAGUUUCGAUGGACUAUGGAACAAGGAGUGGAAAGAGCCUAAGAUUGGGGAUGCCCAAGUCACCCCAAAGCCAUAUUCAAGGACUCCAAAUAGCCUAAGCUUGGGGAUGCCCCGGGAAGGCAUCCCCUCUUUUGUCUUCAAUCCAUCGGUAACUUUACUUGGGGCUAUAUUUUUAUUCACCACAUGAUAUUUGUUUUGCUUGGAGCGUCAUUUUCUUUUAUUCGUACUUGCUUGAUGUUAUUUAUAUUAAUGUUUUGCAUGAUUUAGUUCAAUAAAAAUGUCAAGGAUAGCCUUUACCAUGCUUAAUUUGCAAGUAUAGGAGUUGCUGUUCCAAAACAGAAAGUUUGCUUGCAGUGCAAAAAUUCUCUAGAAUUUUCUGUAUGUCAUAAUAACUUGAAAUUUGGACACAGUAUGCUCUUUUAAAUUAUCUGCAGCGUGGAAUUGUUUCAGAUUUUUUGGAGUUAAUGAAGUAUCGACCUUGCUGCAUUCUUUACAUACUGUUCUGUUUAGGAAGAUUGUUGUUAUGUUUGCAUUGUUUGCAUAUGUUUGCUUCUUUAAUGAUCCUAUUUGAGGAUAGGAGUUUUAAAUAUGCAGAGGCAUUUAGUAUGCAAUGUCAAAUAAUAAUUUUAGUGAUUUACUACAGUAGAGGAUGAUAAAGUUUUGCAUUGAUUUAUACUAACAUAUCUCACGAGUUCUUGUUGAGUUUUGUGUGGAUGAAGUUUUUAAGAUUUAGGAAACCACCAUAUGAGAGGAAUUAAGGAGACACAAAAGCUCAAGCUUGGGGAUGCCCAAGUCAUCCCCAAUUCAUAUUUAAAGAAGUCUCAAACACCUAAUCUUGGGGAUGCCCCGGAUGGCAUCCCACCUUUCUUCUUCAAACAAUUAUCGGUUAGUAUCGGUUGAACCUAAGUUUUUCCUUCUUCACAUGAUUCGUGCUAUCCUUGAAGUGCCAUUUUAUUUUGUUUGAAUAAGGUACUUAAGAUAUGAAAUUAUUAGAUGGGAGAGUCUUCACAUAGCCAAAUAAUUAUUUACUACUCACUGAUCUUCACUUAUAUCUUUUGGAGUAGUUUUUCUUUUACUCUCAUGCUUCACUUAUAUCAUUUUGAGAGUCUUAAAAAGCAUGUAAUUUGCUUAGGUUAUGAAUCUAGUCCUAAUAUGAUGGGCAUCCAAGAGGGAUAUAAUAAAAACUUUCAUAUGGAGUGCAUCGAGUACUAUGAGAAGUUUGAUUCUUUGCAUAUGGUUUUGAGACAUAAGGAUGGUGAUAUUAGAGUCAUGCUAGUUAGUAAUUAUGGAUUGGUAGAAAUACUUGUGUUAGAGUUUGUGAUUCCCGUAGCAUGCACAUAUGGUGAACCGCUAUGUUAGGAAGUCGGAGAAUGAUAUUUUUAUUGAGUGUCAUCCUUUGUGUGGAGGUUGGGAUCGCGCGAUGGUUAACUCCUACGAACCCUUCCCUAGGAGCAUGUGUCUAAUACUUUGUUUCAGUUACUAAUAAAACUUCUGCAAUAAGUAUGUGAGUUCUUUAUGACUAAUUUUGAGUCCAUGGAUUAUACGCACUCUCACCCUUCCACCAUUGCUAGCCUCUCUAGUACCGCAAAACUUUUGCCGGUGCAAUGCACCCACCAUAUAUCUCCUCAAAACAGCUACCAUACCUACCCAUCAUGGCAUUUUUAUAUCCAUUCCGAGAUAUAUUGCCAUGCAACUUCCACCGUUCCGUUUAUUAUGACGCGCACCAUCAUUGUCAUAUUGCUUUGCAUGAUCAUGUAGUUAACAUCGUAUUUGUGGCAAAGCCACGUUCAUAUCUUUCAUACAUGUCACACAUGAGUCAUUGCACAUCCCGGUACACCGCCGGAGGCAUUCAUGUAGAGUCAUAUCUUUUGUUCUAAGAAUCGAGUUGUAAGUAAAUAAAAGUGUGAUGAUCAUCAUUAGUAGAGCAUUGUCCCAUGUGAGGAAAGGAAGGAAGCAAUGAUUCCCUCACAAGUUGGGAUGAGACUCCGGACUAUAAAAAUAAAAUAGAAGAGGCCAAAGAGCCCACACAAGAAAAAAUGAAAAUGAAAACAAAGGGAAAAAAAGAGGCUAAAGAGCCCAAACAAAAAAAUGAGAGAAAAAGAGAGAAGGGACAAUGCUACUAUCCUUUACCACACUUGUGCUUCAAAGUAGCACCAUGAUCUUCAUGACAGAGAGUCUCAUAUAUUGUCACUUUCAUAUACUAGUGGGAAUUUAAUUAUAAAACUUGGCUUGUAUAUUCCAAUGAUGGGCUGCUUCUACAUAUUGCAAUAAUAUCAAGAUUCCUCUCCACGUGUUGAAACUUUUGAAGUCAUGCUUGUUUUAUCUUCCUAUGCUAGUUGAUUCUUGCUCCAAUAAAUUGUUAGAUCAUAAAAUCCCUAUGCAUAGGAAGUGGGUUAGACUUAAAUGUGCUAGUCAUAUGCUCCAUGAUGCUUCCAUUAUGUUUCAAUCCUUAUGUUUUAUGUGAGCAUCAUUAAAAUCAUCAUGCCUAGCUUGAAAGGCAUUAAAUAAAAGUGCUUGUUGGGGGACAACCCAAUAUGUAUCCUUACUAUUUUUGUGUGUUCACAUGAUUAAGCUACUGUAUUAGUAAUGUUUUAUAGCUUUUAUUUCAAUAAAGUGCCAAGUAAAGCCUCUAUGAUUAGUUUGGGUGAUAGUUGUUUGAUCAUGCUGAAAAAACCCAAAAUUAACAUGACAUAGAUGCGAAUGCCACACAUUUGAUUCACUAUUGUUGAAAACAUGAUUGACAACUUUGUUGCAAACAUGUGCCAAGCAUAAACGGAACAGGCCACCUGACUCAUAACCUUUACCAACAAAAGUUCCAUACUUGGAUAUUACAAGUUUACUCGACUCAAAGACAAGCGUGUACCCAUCUCUACACAGAAGAGAUCCGCUAACAAGAUUUUUAUUGACGGAGUGGACAUAAUGCACGUUCUUCAGCCGCACGAUCUUCCCCGAAGUAAACUUCAGAUCGACUGUGCCAACUGUUGGAAAUAUGCCCUAGAGGCAAUGAUAAAUAGUUAUUAUUAUAUUUCCUGUUUCAAGAUAAUCGUUUAUUAUCCAUGCUAUAAUUGUAUUGAAUGAAAACAUAGAUACAUGUGUGGAUACAUAAACAAAACAAUGUCCCUAGCAAGCCUCUAGUUGGCUAGCCAGUUGAACAAUGAUAGUCAAGGUUUUCUGACUAUAUGCAAGUGUUGUAGCUUGAUAACUGGAUCACAUCAUUAGGAGAAUCAUGUGAUGGACUAGACCCAAACUAUGAACAUAUCAUAUUGAUCAUGUCAUUUUAUUGAUAUUGUUUUCUGCGUGUCAAGUAUUUAUUCCUAUGACCAUGAGAUCAUAUAACUCACUGGCACCGGAAAAAUACCUUGUGUGUAUCAAACGUCACAACGUAACUAGGUGACUAUAAAGGUUCUCUACAGGUAUCUCCGAAGGUGUCCGUUGAGUUAGUAUGGAUCAAGACUGGGAUUUGUCACUCCGUGUGACGGAGCGGUAUCUCAGGGCCCACUCGGUUAUAAAACAUCACACACAAGCCUUGCAAGCAAUGUGACUAAUUGUAAGUCACGGGAUCUUGUAUUAUGGAACGAUUAAAGAGACUUGCUGGUAACGAGAUUGAAAUAGGUAUGCGGAUACCGACGAUCGAAUCUCGGGCAAGUAACAUACCGAAGGACAAAGGGAAUGACAUACGGGAUUAUAUGAAUCCUUGACACUGUGGUUCAAACGAUAAGAUCUUCAGAGAAUAUGUAGGAUGCAAUAUGGGCAUCCAGGUCCCGCUAUUGGAUAUUGACCGAGGAGUGCCACGGGACAUGUCUACAUAGUUCUCCAACCCGCAGGGUCUGCACACUUAAGGUUCGAUGAUGUUUUAGUAUAGUUGAGUUAUAAGUGUGGUUACCGAAUGUUGUUCGGAGUCCCGUAUGAGAUCACGGACAUCACGAGGGUUUCCGGAAUGGUCCGGAAACAAAGAUUUAUAUAUAGGAUGGUUCCAUUUGGUUACCGGAAAGUUUUGGGCAAUUCCGACAGUGUACCGGGAGUGACGAAUGGGUUCCUGGUGUUUACCGGGAGGGGCCCACCCACCCGGGAGUGAUCCCAAGGCCCUAGGGUGGCGCGACAAGUCCUUAUUGGGUUGGUGGAUUCAGCCCAAGAGGGCUAUGGCGCCACAUAAGAUAAUACCAAAAGAAAAGAAAAAGAAAAAGGAAAGAGGGAGGUGGGAAGGAAGAGGAGGACUCCUCCUUCCCAAACCGAAUUGGAGGAGGAGUCCUCCUCCUCCUGGCGGCCGGCGCACCUCGAGGGCCUUGUCCCUCAAGGCUAGCCCCUCCGCCUCCCUCCUAUAUAUAGUGGUGGUUUAGGGAUUUUUGAGACACAACUUUGCCACGUGCAACUCAGGGCUAUUCCACAUAGUUUUACCUCUAGAUCAGAUUUUUGCGGAGCUCGGGCGGAGCCCUGCAGGAGUAGAUCGUCACCACCACCGGAGUGUCGUCAUGCUGCCGGAUAACUCAUCUACUUCUCCGUCUUGCUUGCUAGAUCAAGAAGGCCGAGAUCAUCGUCGAGUUGUACGUGUGCUGAACGCGGAGGUGCCUUCCGUUCCGCACUAGAUCGGAAUGGAUCGUGGGACGGAUCGCGGGACGGUUCGUGGGACGGUUCGAGGGACGUGAAGACGUUCCACUACAUCAACCGCAUUUCUUAACGCUUCCUGUUGUGCGAUCUACAAGGGUAGUAGAUCUAAUCUCCACUCAUAGAUGGACAUCACCAUGAUAGGUCUUCAUGUGCGUAGGAAAUUUUUUGUUAUCCAUGCAACAUUCCCCAACAGUGGUAUCAGAGCUAGGUUCAUGCGUCGAUGUUAUCUCGAGUAGAACACAUAAGGUUUUGUGGACGGUGAUGUUUGAUUUUCUGCCCCCCCCCUAGUCUUUUCUCGAUUCGGCGGUAUUGUUGGAUUGAAGCGGCCCGGACCGACAUUACUCGUACGCUUACGAGAGACUGGUUUCAUCGACUGACAUGCAACUCGUUGCAUAAAUAUGACUGGCGGGUGUCAGUUUCUUCAACUUUAGUUGAAUUGGUUUUGACCGUGGUAGUCCUUACAUAGAGGUUAAAUAGCUAUUUGCACAUCUUCGUUGUUGUUUUUGCGUAAGUAAGAUGCGAUCGUACUAGAUACCCAUAGCAGCCACGUAAAACAUGCAACAACAAUGUGAUAUGGCCAAUGACGUGAUGUGAUAUAUUGGAUGUAUGAGAUGAUCAUGUUGUAAUAGUUAAUAUCGACUUGCACGUUGAUGCUACGGCAACCGGCAGGAGCCACAGGGUUCUCUUUAAACUAAAGUUUGUGUUUGUAGAUGCAUUUACUAUAUUGCUAGGUCGUAGCUUUAGUAGUAAUAGCAUAGAUAUCAUGACAACCCCGAUGGCGGCACGAUGAUGGAGAUGAUGAUGAUGAAGAUCCUGUCGGUGCUUUGGUGAUGGAGAUCAAGAAGCACAAGAUCAUGGUUGACUCCGUAACAGCAGACCUUCCCCUGCAACGGCACCAGAAGAAUGCUCCUAGCACUCUCCGGCAAUCGAAACUAGAAGAAUCUUGUUGACGGCCCACCAGCGCGUGGGAUCGUAGCAGUUUUCGAGGGUAGAGUAUUCGACCCAAAUUUGUUGAUACGCCUAUAGGAGGUGAGAGGAUACUCUCAAGUAUUAGCAGCUGAAUGUGUCAGAUUGAACCACACCUGAAAGAUUAGUAUCUGCAAGCAAAGUAGUAACAGCAAAGUAGUAUGAUAGCAACGGUGUCAGAAACGAUCUGUUGACACGGCAGACUAUUUCUAACGGUUGUAUCAAUGGCGCCAAGUUGCCUCGUUCACGGAAAUUGUCUGUUCCAUUCAACGACCAGCAAAUCAAGAUUGUAGCAGGUAGCAGCAGUGUAAUGAGUAAUAGCAGCGGCAAGGAACAGCAGUAGUGACAGCAGUAGCAAGUAGCAACAGUAGCAAGCGACAGUAGUAGCAACAGUAGCAGCAGAGCAAGACAAGUAACAGCAGCAGAGCAAGACAAGUAACAGCAGCAGAGCAAGACAAGUAACAGCAGCAGUAGGACAAACUCGUAGGCAAUGGGUCGGUGAUUUGUUUGGAUGAUAUUCAUCAUGCAACAGUUAUAACACUGAGAGAUAUGUGGCUAGCUCCCGUUCGUCAAUGUGAUGUAGGCAUGCAUUCCGUGUGUCGUCAUACGUGCUUAGGGAAAAGAACUUGCAUGACAUCUAUUGUCCAUACCUGCCGUGGCAGGGGGUCCAAAAGGAAACUAAGGGAUAUUAAGGUUCUCCUUUUAAUAAAGAACCGGACCAACGCAUUAGCACUUGGUGAACACAUGAACUCCUCAAACUAUGGUCAUCACCGGGAGUGGUUCCGGUUAUUGUCACUCCGGGGUUGCCGGAUCAUAACACAUAGUAGGUAACUACAACUUGCAAGAUCGGAUCUAAAACACACAUAUAUUGGUGACAACAUAAUAAUUUCAGAUCUGAAAUCAUGGCACUCGGGCUCUAGUGACAAGCAUUGAGCCUGGCAAAGUAGUAGCAACAUCAAUCUCAGAACAUAGUGGAUACUAGGGAUCAAUCCCCAUCAAAACUAACUCGAUUACAUGAUAGAUCUCAUCCUACUCAUCACCGCCCAGCGAGCCUACGAAUAGAUUACUCACGAACGACGAAGAGCUUCAUGGCAUUGGAGAGGGAAGAAGGUUGAUGAUGACGAUGGCGACGAUUUCCCCUCUCCGAAGCCCAAAACGGACACCAGAUCUGCCCUCCAAAUGAAGAACAGGAUGUGGCGGCGCCUCCGUAUCGCAAACGCGACAAAAUCUUCUCUCUUUAUUUUUUCUGGGACGAAAGUGAACUUAUAGAGCUGAGAUUGGGGGCGGCAGAGCCGUGUGGGCCCCACAAGCUUGCCCACCACCACCACGGGGUGGCGGUGGCAGGGCUUGUGGCCUACUGGCCCACCCCGUCAGGUGGAUCUUUGCGCAGGUAUUUUUCAUAUUUUCCAAAAAUGUUCCCCGUAAAUUUUCAGGACGUUCUGAGAACUUUGAUUUCUGCACAAAAAUAACACCAAGGCAAUUCUGCCGAAAACAACGUCAGUCCAGGUUAGUUCCAUUCAAAUCAUGCUAAUUAGGGUCCAAAACAAGGGCAAAAGAGUUUGUAAAAGUAGAUAUGAUGGAGACGUAUCAACUCCCCCAAGCUUAAAACCUUGCUUGUCCUCAAGCAACUCAGUUGACAAACUGAGAGAGAAACAAAAACUUUGACAAACUCUAUUUGAUCUUGUUGUUGCAACUAUGUCUAACUCAUAACCAGAAUUUCAGCAAGAUCACAAGUUAACCACAUAAGCAAGUGACACAAAGGUCUCACGGUAAACACAAAUCAAUGGCAUAAUCAGCUAACGAGCAAAUAAUAAUGAGUUUCAAAUACCAACACUUCAAUCAAAACAAGCAUGAAGCAAUAUGAAUAGGUGGUAUCUCGCUAGCUCUUUCUGAGACCGCAAAACAUAAAUGCAGAGCACUUUCAAAGAUCAAGGGCUGACUAAACAUUGUAAUUCAUAGCAACGAAGAUCCAGUCAUAGUCAUACUCAAUAUCAAUCAAAAGCAAAGCAUAAAAAUGACACACAUGCUCUCUAAUUGGUGAUUAUAUAAGAGGAGGAUGACUCGAGAGGAAAAUAGAUAGACAGGCCCUUCGCAGAGGGAAGCAUUGAUUUGCAGAGGUGCCAGAGCUCAAGCUUUGAAAACAGAGAUAAUAAUUUUGGGUGGCAUGCUUUCAUUGUCAACGCAAUGACCAAGAGUUCUCAAUAUAUUCCUUGCUACUCAUGCUAUAGGCGGUUCCCAAACAGAAAAGUAAAGUUUUAACUCCCCCACCACCAAUCAAUCACACUCCACGGCUAGCCGAAUCCUCGAGUACCGUCCAUACUAACAUCAAUCCGGGGGGGUCUUGUUUUACAGUUACGUUUUCGAUUUAAGCGUGGAACUGGGCAUUCCAAUUAACGGCCCCUUUCUCGUGAAUGACAGUGAAUAAACACAUGUCGAGGAUAACACUCCUAGCAUGGAAGAUACCAAUAGACCCCUGUCUAGCGGUUCGGGCAUGCAAAACAGAUUAUUUCUUGAAGAUUUAGAGAAUGGCACAUGCAAAUUUACUUGGAACGGCAGGUAGAUAUCGCAAAUAGGUAGGUAUGGUGGACUCUCAUGGAAAAACUUUUGGGUUUAUGGAAGUGGAUGCACAAGAAGUAUUCCGCUUAGUACAAGUGAAGGCUAGCAAAAGACUGGGAAGCGGCCAACUAGAGAGCGACAACAGUCAUCAAGAUGCAAUGAGUUUGACUAACAUUGAAUGCAAGCAUGAACAGGAUAUAAAUCACCAUGAACACGAACAUCAUAGAGGCUAUGUUGAUUUUGUUUCAACUACAUGCAUGAACAUGCGCCAAGUAAAGCCACUUGAAUCAUUCAAAGGAGAAUACCAUCCUAUCAUACUACAUCAUAGUCAUCUCAAAAUCUAUGUUGGCAUUCAAGACAAACCAUUAUAAACUCUCAGCUAAAUAAGCAUGGCAUCAGAAACUAUGAUCUCCAAGUUGUCAUUGCAAUCAUGGUUCUCCCACAACAAAGUUGAAUCUGGGAUGACAAGCUAGUCAUAUUUACAAAAACAAAAUAGAUAGAGUUCAUACCAGCUUUUCCAGUCUCAGUCACUUCAUCAUAUAUCAUCAUUAUUACCUUUCACUUGCACGAUCGAACGAUGUGAACAAUAAUAAGAGUGCUCAUGCAUUGGACUAAGCUGAAUCUGCAGGCAAACACAAAGGAGAAGACAAAGUAAUAUGGCUAUUUGAAAGCUAAUCAGGUAUGCAUGCAAGAACCACUAAACAUUCUAACCAAUAUCUUCUACCUUGACCCAAAGAAAAAGAAAACUAUUUACACGUGAAAGCUCCCAACGAGCAAAAGAAGAAAGAAAAAUCUUUUUGGGUUUUCUCAAACUAGACAGACACACGAAAAGAAAACGAGAAAAAGAAAUAAACUAGCAUGGAUGAUACAGUGGCAAAGUGUGAACAUCGGCUAACAAAGUGAAAGCAUAAGUAUGAAUGUAAAGUCGGUGAGAACACGUACUCCCCCAAGCUUAGGCUUUUGGCCUAGCUUGGUCUACUCCCAUGGUGGGAAAUAACCAGCUCCAGGAUACUCCGGAGCAGACUGUGGAUGCCACUACUGUGUGAGCUCCUCUGGCUCCCACUGAUAAACUCGCGUCUGGUACUCGACUGGCGGCUCGGGCACGGGUGCCUGUGGUUGGGCCAAGCCCCAAUAUGCGUAGAUGUCCGAGGGCAUAAUAGUGUACCUGCCUUCAUGAAGAUCGAACAAAGAAGGAGCAGGCAAAGUAAUAGUCUCUCGAGUACCCUGACUAAAUACCAGGUUAUAUAUCAUCCGUCUACUAGCAUCUCUAUCCAGAAAGUCAUGGUGAACCAUGCUGUCAUAAUCCAGAUAUUUCUCAGGGAGAAGCAUCUCUCCUUCCUCUCCCAGUCUAAUGGGUAUCUCAAAGUAUCUCGCAAGACGGGUAGCAUAGAUACCUCCAUAGACGACACCCUUGGAACGGUUGAUGUUCAACCGCUGGGCCACUAUAGCACCUAGGCCAUAAGCCUUAUCGUUAUAAAGGCCUUCGCGCAAAACCGCAAGGUAUGGAGAACUACGUGAUCCAGCCUCCCCACGGCCAAUCAAACAUUUUCCCACAAAUAGUGAGAAGUACCGAAGCACAGGAAAAUGUAUGCUAGCAAUUCUAGCGCGAGACACUCCUCUCUCCUCUCCAACAGCAGUAGUACCAAUGAAAUCCUCCAAGUCCCGUGGACGAGGGUCACGAAUAUCCCCAACAUAAGGUAAUUUGCAUACAUUGCAAAAAUCCUGUAGUGUCAUGCACUGGGGAACAUCGUAUAUCAUGAACUCAACCAUGGGAGGAUUCUUCCUCGGAUAAAAGUUGAAGCUUUGAACAAAAAUAUUGGUGAGGAGGAGAUACUGUGAGCACUUAUCUUCAACGAACGCAGUAAGACCUUCGUUCUCCACCAAGUAAUAAAAGUCUUCAUAAAGCCCAGCGGCGCGCAAAAAUUCAUCACUUGUCCACUCGCACGCUCGAAAUUCUGUGACUCGAGGGACUACGUACUUGGGGUGGUUCUUCUAAUCCUCCUUGGGGUUACGGCUUGAGGAGCCUCUCAAGAACCUCCUCAUCUUUUCCUUUUUCUAACUCUGAAAAAUUCUGAAAUUUUUAGAGACUUCAAAAGAAAAGUGAAUAAAGAUUAACCCAACUUGUAGCAACUACUCCUACUAGUGCCUAGAGACCGUAUCACGCUCUAGAACUACUUGGGACCAGCUAAAAUCAACCUUUCUAGCUUAAGAACAGGGUCACCAUGGUAGCAAGAAUACGCGAAGGAUAAAGCACUAGAGCAAAAACUAAUUGGACCAAUGGAGGAGUCACUUACCAAGGAGUAAUUUCCCCAAAACGAUUCGGAGAAUGGUGCUUUGAGCAAGGAGAUCGAAAAUCACAGCCAAAUGAGCAAGAACACGGGUUUGAGCUGCGAAACAAUUUUUUCUGGAGGUGGAAGAAGAGGAUGGGAGCUGGAAUGAGUGGAGGGGGUCCCUGUGGGCCCCACAAGCUUGCUAGCCGCCACCACGGGGUGGCGGUGGCAGGGCUUGUGGCCCACUAGUUUGGCCCCCAGGCCAGCUCUCAGGCCCAAUAAUUUUCAAAAAUUCCAGAAAAAAUCAUACUAAAUUUUCAGGACCAUCGGAGAACUUUUAGUUUCGAGGUAUUUUCUCCGGGACGCUAAAACAGAAAACAGGAAAAACUAAACUAAACCAUCAUUUUCUUAUAUGAAACAGAACAUGAAAGCUCAAAACAGAGGUAUGUGACUCUUUGAUUCAUCCAUUUCAUGGUCAUCGAAAGAAAUCCGUCAAUGGGGUUGAUCAAGUCCUCAUGAAAAAACCUUCUCGAAUCGCAAGAGAGAAUGGAGAAUUUUCGAGUAGCCACUGAGUCACCUCAAUGGGGAUACGUAUCUCCCCAACAAGCAAAUCAUACUUCAUCUUGACACGAGGAAUAGGGCAUUCAAAGCUCCCAAUAAGAAUCGAUGAAGUCUUUUUGAUAGCAUUGAUGCAAUGUACUUGAUAUCGUUUCUUCGAAAAGUGCGUUGUGUGCUCCUUACCGUUGACAUGGAAAGUGACAAUGCCUUUGUUGCAAUCUAUAACUGCUCCUGCAGUGUUUAAAAAGGGUCUUCCGAGGAUGACAUCCAUGGCAUCGUCCUCGGGAAUAUCCAAGAUAACAAAGUAUGUUAAGAUAGUGGUGUUAGCAACCACAACAGGCACAUCCUCGCAAAUGCCGAUAGGGAAAGCAGUUGAUUUGUCGGCCAUUUGCAGAGAAAUUUCAGUGGGUGUCAACUUAUCCAAUUCAAGUCUACGAUAAAGAGAGAGCGGCAUAACACUAACACCGGCUCCAAGGUCACAUAAGGCAGUUCUUAGGUAGUUUCCUUUAAUGGAGCAAGGUAUAGUGGGCACUCCGGGAUCACCAAGUUUCUUAGGAGUUCCACCUUUGAAAGUGUAAUUGGCAAGCAUGGUGGAGAUCUCAAGAUCUGGUAUCUUCCGUUUAUUAGUCACGAUAUCUUUCAUGUACUUGGCAUACGGAGACAUCUUGAGCAUAUCAGUUAACCGCAUCUGUAGAAAGAUGGGUCUUAUCAUCUCAACGAAGCGCUCAAAAUCCACAUCAUCCUUUUUCUUGGAUGGCUUAGGAGGAAAGGGCAUAGAUCUCUGAACCCAUGGCUCCCUUUCUUUACCAUGCUUUCUAGCAGUGAAGUCAUUCUUAUCGUAUCUCUUAGGUUGUGGGUUAUCAGGAUUACCGUAGGUUCAAUCUCCACAUCCUCAUCAUUGCUAGGUUGAGCAUUAUUAUGGACGCCACUGUCCAUAUUGUCACCAGGUUCAUGUUCAUCACCAGAUUGUAUUUCUGCAUCAGACGCGGAAAUAUCAUUAGGUUCUUCAGGUGUGACAGUAUUUGGUGAACUGGCAUGUAGGUUUCUAGCAUCCUUCUUCUUCUCCUUAGGAUGACUGGGUGUAUCAGCAUUGAUUCCUUGAGAAUCUUGAUCAAUUCUCUUAGGAUGACCUUCAGGAUACAAAGGUUCCUGAGUUAUUUUGCCUCCUCUAGUAAUGACUCUGACAGAAUUGUCAUUUAAUUCAUUGAGCAGGUCAUUCUGAUCUUGAAGUACUUGUUCUACCUGAGUAGUAAUCAUAGAGGCAUGUUUAUUCAGAAGCUUCAGAUCAUUGACAUUUCUGUCUACACAAGCACUUAAAUCGCUAAGCAUACGAGUACUUUGUUCCAAUUGUCUGCUAACAUAAUCAUUGAAACUGUGUUGUUUGGACACAAAGUUGUCAAAUUCAUCAAAGCAUAGGCUAGCAGGUUUUUCAAAAGGAAUAUCACUCUCAUCAAACCUACGCAGAGAAUUUACUUCCACUACCUGUAUCGGGUUAUCGAGACCAUGGAUCUCUUCGAUAGGAGGUAGAUUUUUGACAUCUUCAGAUCUAAUGCCUUUCUCUUGCCUAGAUUUCUUGGCUUCUUGCAUAUCUUCGGGACUGAGGAAUAGAAUACCUCUUUUCUUCAGAGUUGGCUUAGGAGGUGGUUUGGGAAUAGUCCAAGCAUUAUCAUUGAUCAAGAUGUUAUUCAGUAGGGUCUCAGCUUGUUCUACAGUUUGUUCCCUAAAAACACAACUAGCACAACUAUCUAGGUGGUCUCUAGAGGCAUCGGUAAGUCCAUUAUAGAGGAUAUCAAGUAUCUCGUUCUUCUUAAGAGGGUGAUCAGGCAAAGCAUUCUGUAGCUGGACGAGCCUCCCCCCAGCUUGUGGGAGACUCUCUUCUUGGAGUUGAGCAAAGUUGUAUAUUUCCUGCAAGGCAGCUUGCUUCUUAUGGGCAGGGAAAUAUUUCUCACAGAAGUAAUAGACCAUAUCAUGGGCACUACUCACACAUCCAGGAGCAAGAGAGGUGAACCAGGCUUUAGCGUCAUCCUUUAGAGAGAAAGGAAACAACUUAAGGAUAUAGUAGUGGCGGAUCUUCUCCUCAUUAGUGAAAAGGGUGGCUAUAUCGUACAGUUUGGCAAGAUGGGCUACGACCGUCUCAGACUCAUAACCGUGAAAAGGAUCAGAUUCGACUAGAGAGAUUAUCUCAGGAUUGACAGAGAAUUCAUAAUCCUUAUCGGUGAUAAAGAUAGGUGAAGUGGCAAACUUCGGGGCGUAUUUCAUCCUAGCUUUCAGAGAUUUUUCCUUCCACUUGAGAAGUAAUUUCUCAGCGUCAUAGGCAUCCUUACACGCAAGAAAAUCCUCAACUAUCACUCCCUCCAUAAUGUAACCCUCAGGUAUAUCAGGCAAUUCAUAUCUAGGAGAGCUAGAUCUAGCAGGAGCAAAAGCAGGUUCUAUCUCAAUAGUAUCGGCAGUUUCAAAAGCAUCACAAGCAUUGGCAGUAACUCUAGCAAUAUGAGCAUCAAGGAAUACCCCUAGUGGAACAUCAGGAAAAGUAGUGUCUCUAGCAGUAUCAAGCAUAGUAUCAUCAGGCAUAGCAUCAUAAGCAUCAUCAGGCAUAGCAUCUCUAGCAGUAUCAGGCAUAGCAUCUCUAGCAGUAUCAUGCAAAGCAGUAUCAAGCAUAGCAUCUCUAGCAGUAUCAGGCAAAGCAGUAUCAGGCAUAGCAUCUCUAGCAGUAGCAUCAUCAGCAUCAUCAAGCACAGGCGACAUAUCAAGAUUUCUAGCAGGAGGUGAUGUCGCAAACUUACUCAUAACUGAAGGUGAAUCAAGUGCAGAGCUAGAUGGCAAUUCCUUACCUCCCCUCGUAGUUGAGGGCAAGACUUUGGUUUUCGGAUCCUUCAGAUUCUUCAUAGUGACCAGCAGAUAUAAAUCCCAAGUAACUCAGAGAAUACAGCAAUACCUCCCCGGAAAUGGUGCCAGAAAAAUGUUGACUCCAUAACAGCAGACCUUCCCCUGCAACGGCACCAGAAGAAUACUGCUAGCACUCUCCGGCAAUCGAAACUAGAAGAGGAUUCGACCCAAAUUUGUUGAUACGCCUAUAGGAGGUGAGAGGAUACUCUCAAAUAUUAGCAGCUGAAUAUGUUAGAUUGAACCACACCUGAAAGAUUAGUAUCUGCAAGCAAAGUAGUAUGAUAGCAACGGUGUCAGAAACGAUCUGUUGACACGGCAAACUAUUUCUAACGGUUGUAUCAAUGGCGCCAAGUUGCCUCGUUGACGGAAAUUGUCUGUUCCCGUCUGAAAAGACCUCGAUGACGCCUAGAGGGGGGGUGAAUAGGCUAUUUAAAAACUUCUUCAGAUUUGGCUUGAACCUAAUGUGGAAAUAAACUAAGAGGGUACUUGUCAAGCACAAAUCCUAAANNNNNNNNNNNNNNNNNNNNNNNNNNNNNNNNNNNNNNNNNNNNNNNNNNNNNNNNNNNNNNNNNNNNNNNNNNNNNNNNNNNNNNNNNNNNNNNNNNNNNNNNNNNNNNNNNNNNNNNNNNNNNNNNNNNNNNNNNNNNNNNNNNNNNNNNNNNNNNNNNNNNNNNNNNNNNNNNNNNNNNNNNNNNNNNNNNNNNNNNNNNNNNNNNNNNNNNNNNNNNNNNNNNNNNNNNNNNNNNNNNNNNNNNNNNNNNNNNNNNNNNNNNNNNNNNNNNNNNNNNNNNNNNNNNNNNNNNNNNNNNNNNNNNNNNNNNNNNNNNNNNNNNNNNNNNNNNNNNNNNNNNNNNNNNNNNNNNNNNNNNNNNNNNNNNNNNNNNNNNNNNNNNNNNNNNNNNNNNNNNNNNNNNNNNNNNNNNNNNNNNNNNNNNNNNNNNNNNNNNNNNNNNNNNNNNNNNNNNNNNNNNNNNNNNNNNNNNNNNNNNNNNNNNNNNNNNNNNNNNNNNNNNNNNNNNNNNNNNNNNNNNNNNNNNNNNNNNNNNNNNNNNNNNNNNNNNNNNNNNNNNNNNNNNNNNNNNNNNNNNNNNNNNNNNNNNNNNNNNNNNNNNNNNNNNNNNNNNNNNNNNNNNNNNNNNNNNNNNNNNNNNNNNNNNNNNNNNNNNNNNNNNNNNNNNNNNNNNNNNNNNNNNNNNNNNNNNNNNNNNNNNNNNNNNNNNNNNNNNNNNNNNNNNNNNNNNNNNNNNNNNNNNNNNNNNNNNNNNNNNNNNNNNNNNNNNNNNNNNNNNNNNNNNNNNNNNNNNNNNNNNNNNNNNNNNNNNNNNNNNNNNNNNNNNNNNNNNNNNNNNNNNNNNNNNNNNNNNNNNNNNNNNNNNNNNNNNNNNNNNNNNNNNNNNNNNNNNNNNNNNNNNNNNNNNNNNNNNNNNNNNNNNNNNNNNNNNNNNNNNNNNNNNNNNNNNNNNNNNNNNNNNNNNNNNNNNNNNNNNNNNNNNNNNNNNNNNNNNNNNNNNNNNNNNNNNNNNNNNNNNNNNNNNNNNNNNNNNNNNNNNNNNNNNNNNNNNNNNNNNNNNNNNNNNNNNNNNNNNNNNNNNNNNNNNNNNNNNNNNNNNNNNNNNNNNNNNNNNNNNNNNNNNNNNNNNNNNNNNNNNNNNNNNNNNNNNNNNNNNNNNNNNNNNNNNNNNNNNNNNNNNNNNNNNNNNNNNNNNNNNNNNNNNNNNNNNNNNNNNNNNNNNNNNNNNNNNNNNNNNNNNNNNNNNNNNNNNNNNNNNNNNNNNNNNNNNNNNNNNNNNNNNNNNNNNNNNNNNNNNNNNNNNNNNNNNNNNNNNNNNNNNNNNNNNNNNNNNNNNNNNNNNNNNNNNNNNNNNNNNNNNNNNNNNNNNNNNNNNNNNNNNNNNNNNNNNNNNNNNNNNNNNNNNUCCUAUAAAUAUAACUUAUGGCAACCAUUAGUCCAUAGGAAUUGUCAUCAAUUACCAAAACCACAUAUGGAGAUAUAUGCUCUAACAAUCUCCCCCAUUUUGAUAAUUGAAGACAACCACUUCAAGAGAGUUUAUAUAAGGAAAUAAGCAUAACCAAGCGCACACAUACAAGGUAAUAAUGCAUGUGUGCAAGAUGUAAAUGCUUACGCAAUAAAAGCAAAACCCUCUAAACAUAUCCAAAGUAAACUCUCUAAACUUCUCCCCCAUUGGCAUCGAUUGCCAAAAUGGACGAAAAGUUUAGAAAGCCAAAAUAGUAGGUGGUCCUCCAAAAAGUGUGUACUUCUCAGCAAAUGAGUGCAGAAAAAUAUACAAAUACAAUGAUAAGUAGUUGGAGGAAAACAAACUAUAUUGAGGACCCAAAGAUUGCAAAUAAAAGGAUCGUAUGCCACAAAGACAUACAAAGAUAGAGGCAAGCAAUCAAAGGAUUCCAGAUGGAACAAAAAAUCAUAUGGUCCUUCGAACCACAUGAAUAAAAGAUAUUAUGAUAAAGGCAACAUAGUGCUUUAUCAAAAACUAGAGAAGCUCCCCAUGAUUUGUGCACUAAUAUGAGAUUUUUGUAUUUGACACAGGUGCACAAAAUAGGAUCGUUGCUCCCCCAGAAUUUAUAAAGCACACAAUGCAUGCAAGAAGAUAGAUGAGACAAUAAGCAUAUCAAUUCCACAAAACAAAUGGUUGAGCAACAGGUAAUAGAAGCAACUUAAGAAUAGGCUCAAACAAAGUAAUGUGUGUGAGUCAUGGCAAAACACUUGAGAAGACUAAGAUAAGGAUGAGCAUUACUCAUCAACAUAGUCUUGAUGGAAUGAGAUACAAAGUGCAAGACAUAUCAUUCCCACACACACAUACUAGAAAAUGGGUUCACAAGCUUACUAAUAAACAAAAUAAGAACCAACGCUUGUGACACCCCAUUGUGAAGAUAGGAAGUAAGAACCUUGUCAAGAGGACAGAUACUAAUUGAAAUGGGAAAACCCUCAUCAAGACAAGCAUGAGGAAAAAUAAUCUUCACGGCCAAAGAGUGCAUCAAGAUGUAGGAAAAUAAGAUACGCACUCAAAUUGAAACUUUUCACGAAGCCACCAAAAGCUGAAAAAGGAAAUGCAAUGAUGAUCGUGAAAGAAAAGAGGAUAUUAAUUAGAGAUGUAACUUAUCUCAUGUGUAAAAGAUUCUAAGUAGAAGACAAUCAUGAUGAUAUAUAUAUCCACAAAGAAGAAUGUACACACGAAAUGGUUACAAGAAGGAACAAACUAGAUAUCCAAAAGUAAGUCAUAAAUAUAUCAAUGAGAUCUUUUGCUUGGAAGCAUAGCACAUGGCCUAAUAUUUUCUUAUUGUACAAUAUGAACUUCCAACUGGUAGUAAGACAUCAUCGUUCGGAUGCUUUGAGAAAGCAAACAAGUACUACGAGAACAAAUCAAGAGAUUCAUGCCAUGAUGCAACCUGGAAAAGAAAAGACAGGUUGGGUCCAUUGCAAGAAAAGAAUGCAUGAAGUGGAUACUUGUUACCGAUACAACAUUGGAUUGAUGUAGUAGAUAGUUGUUCUUUGAUCAUCCUAACGUGGCUCCAAUAAUUACAUGGUCUCAACAUCUUCCUUAUAGGUGAGCCGAGCAUCCAAUGCAUCUCUAGUUGUUCCUGGAGCAACAAAACAAACAAAAUGGUGCCCAAACUCAUUGGGACCAAAGACUUAGAAAACUAGCAAUACAUAGGACAAACUCCACAUACAUAUGUGCAUACAAAUAUGAAUUUGAAUUUCAUGCACACUUUAGCCAAUUUAUGAGAAGUUGGAGUUUCUCCUAUAUAUUGGGUCAAAGAAGGAAAGCAAGCAAAAGAAGUUGUAUAUAGUAGCUAGAUACGCAUGCUCAAGACUCUCAAGAAUCAACUCAACACAAAGUUGAUAAGUCACCAAAAGACAAGGUAUCAAGUGAUAAUAAGAUCCUAAAACAAAAGAACUAUCACUUGAAGGAUAUCAAUUAAAAGAUACCUCAAGGAAUGAGAUAUCCAUUGACACAUGCCAAAUAGAAGGCAACAAGAAACCAAUUGAAGGAAAACAAACACGAGGUAUCUAGUUUCCAAAAGAGAGCUAGGUUCCAACAAACCAAGCCCUCGACAAAUUUUCAUGAUGGCACAAAGCAUCAUAAAGAGCAAGACUUGCCUCCCAUCAACACAUAUUUGAUGGGGAUCAAAAGAUUUUAUGAUGGGUGAAUAAAGAGAGUGUUCUAAAGAAAAUAGGAUAGCUCCCCCAAGGGACGUGCAUUAUAUAGAAUUUGCAUUUGAAUACAAAACGCACAUGAUGGGAUCAUCACUUUCUCUAUACCUAUAAAAAUACUAGACAUGUUAAAAUACAUUCAUAAGAGGCAAGGAAGACAAACGAAACACAAAAUCCAAUGUAAAGAUGAUUAGCAAUUCCUAUCACAUGAUGGGAAUACCAAUUGUCAAGGACAAGAAGUAUUUUCGAAAGGAUACUCAUUGGUAGAUCAAAAAUAUAUCCAAGAUCAUCUUUACCCAUAAAACGCAAGCAAAUGACACUUGUAGAGCUAACAUGCCACCUAGGAACAAGAUAAUUUACAAUAUCAACACUAAGUGGCAACACGUCAAAUGUACACAUUUUCUAGGUUUGUAAUAUGCACAUAGCAUGUUACUCCCCCAUAAUGUGAUAAACCAUCAAUAUUAACAAGUGGCAAAUUAAAACCAACGAGAGAUACUUAAUGGACCAUAUAGAAUUUGAAUUUCUCAUGAGUAAGACAUACCACAUAGAAACUAGAUAAUCUUGAAAUAUCAAAACUAAGUGGUAUUCCCCAUGUAUACACAUUUAUAGGAUUGUGAGGUGUGCAAAGCACAUCACUCCCCCACAAUGGGAUAAUCCAUUAAUCUCUCACAAGAGCCAACAAAAAUACAAACAAGACGCAAAAAGGCUCAAUACAAGACUCACAUGUACAUGAUAUGCAAAUCAACAUACCCAUACUCGAUUACUCAAGAUAAGCAAGUUGGAAGCACAACAUAUACAAACGCAUGCAAGGUGCAAAGGGGCAAGCACCUAACAAUGUAAACAGUUUAAGUAUAAGUUACCGUAAGGAGGCACAUUGGAUAUAAGAUAGAAACUCGAUAUUCCAAAUGACUUGGCUUGAGAUAAUAUGAAUGAUGAAGACCCCUUAAUUCUUUAUUAUGUAUCCAAGUCUCUAAUGUCCUCCAUAGUCACCUAUUGAUCAAGUUUGAGCUUGUUGGUCCCCAACUACGUUGGGUCCUAAGAGGUUAAUCACAAUAGGCUUGGCAACCCAAAUGGUUCUUUUCUUGACACCAUUUUGAGUACCAACUAACUUGGCAAACACAUUGCCAACCUUAUCCUUCCCAAGGGAAUAGAUAUCAUCAAUAGUGAUUGGGUUGGAUAAGUUACCUCUUGUGCAAGACGAAGCGACGUGACCCUUCUCACGACAUAAGUAGCAACAUCUACCCUUUGCUUUCUUCCCAGUUGAUUUCUCACCUCGGGGAGUGUAGGCUUGGGUCUUAUUGGGAAGAGGCCUUCCUUCAACUUGUAGUUGAAUAUGUGAUUGAGUUUGUGGACGCUUCCCUUGUUGCUUGUGACUUUGAGACUUCGUCUUCAGAGGGCAAGAUCUAACAUGGUGCCCUUUAACUUUGCACUUGAAGCAAAUGAUUUUGGCCGAAUUCUUGACUUGUUCUAGGCCCCUCUUGUUCUUGUUUGAGUUUACUCCAACGUCAUUUUUGUCAUUUAGAGAUGUUUGCUCACACAAGACGUUGUUGAGUGUGGACAUCCCUUCAUGACACUGUUCCAAGUCUUUCUUCAAAGAAGUGACUUGGGCCUUGAGCUCUUUGAUUUCCUCUGCACGGUUACUAUCAAUGCAAGUACUAGAGGAAGUGUAAGCUUCAAUGUUAGAGCAACAAGGCAAGGAAAGUAAUUCAUCACACGAGGUAGCAAUAUUAUGAGUAGACGAAUUACGAGGACUAGCUCAUGGAAAUAUAGUACUUUGACUAGAAGUAGUGCCAUUGUCCACAUGAGGCUCACUUGAUGUUACCUUGGUGAUGAUAGCCUCAUGAGCUAACCUUUGCACAUUAUAGGAUGUUAGAAGAUCGGCAUGAGAGCUUGUGAGCAUUACAUGGUUUUCUUCCAACUUCCCAUAAUUGCUAGUUAGUAAAUCAAGUUGAGUACGUAGCUCAAUAUUCUCCUUCAAUGUUGAUACUUCAAAUGAGGUAGAGUUAGAUGUACAAGUAUCAUCAACAAUAUGAGAGGAGUAAGUAGCAAAUAGAUACUUCUCAUGAGUAGAUUGAAGCUCCUCAUAGAUCUUAGAGGUUUUGAUGAGCUCUCGCUUGACAUUAUUGCAUUCAAGGAGAAGGACCUCAAAAUCCUUUUUAAGUUUAUCAUGAGCAACUUCAAUCUCUCCUUUUGAAGAUCUUAAGUCUCUACAUGCUUGGUGACUCUUCUCAAGUUCAUGUUCAAGUUGUUCACUUUUAGCUUGUUCAUGAUUAAGUGAAUCAUUACAAUUUUCGAAGUAAGCAAGAACAUCUUGGAAUCUUUGAAGAGCGUUAUUUUUAGCUUUAUGAAGAAUUUUACUGAUCACAUAGAUAUUUUUGGUCAAAUCAUCAUCAUCAUCCUCAUCGCAAAUAUCAUCGUUAUUGCACAGGGAAGAUGAUACCUCAUUAUUACCUCUUGCCAUGAGGCACAUGUGAACUGGAGGAGUUGAUGAUGAUUCUUUUGGUGAAUCGGAUUCUUCAUUAGUCAAAGGUACUACAUAUUUCUUGAUUUCCCCUAAAUGAUUAGUCAUAGAGCAACUAGGUAGAAACAAGAUAUUUUGAUCAAGAGGACACGAGGAAGCAGGCAUAUCACCACAGACAUUUGUCGAGGGAUCUUUAGGUGAAAUGCAUGACCUAUCAGCACAAUAAUUUACACUAUGUGUGGUGCUAUAUAUGCUCGUGUCCAUAGAGGCUAUGACAUUUUCAUCAACAUAUAUUUCUUCACUCACCAUGUCAUUACCUUGUGAGAUUGAAGAUGCUGGGGUGUGCAAGCAAUCGGAUAUGGAAGUAGUGGUGGACUCUUUAAGAUCGAAAAGAGUGAAGAGCUCAUGCACCAACUCCUUCAUCAUAAUACCGUAUUCAUCAAGAUUGGACCCACCAUGUAUAUCUUCAAGUUUAGUCCAAACUUCAUGAGCUGACUUGCAAGUCGAGAUAGACUUAAACACUUCAGGACUUAUGGUUCGAUGAAUGGCAAGAAAAGCCUCACAAUCAAGAUACAUCUCAUUAGUAGAUGAAGAUGCAUCAUCCUUUUUGUCGGCAAUCCCUACAAGAACAAUUCAUAAAGUAUUUGGGCCCAUGGCCCAAAAGUGAUGAAGCAUACGAAUUCUCCAUAGGGUAUAAUUUGUGCCAUCAAAGUCAAAGAUGCCAUUGUGCACUAAUCCAAUAGUCGACAUCGAUACUCUCUAGGUCGUGAAACCUAAUUAAAGAGAGACCUAGCUCUGAUACCAAUUGAAAAGACCUCGAUGACGCCUAGAGGGGGGUGAAUAGGNNNNNNNNNNNNNNNNNNNNNNNNNNNNNNNNNNNNNNNNNNNNNNNNNNNNNNNNNNNNNNNNNNNNNNNNNNNNNNNNNNNNNNNNNNNNNNNNNNNNNNNNNNNNNNNNNNNNNNNNNNNNNNNNNNNNNNNNNNNNNNNNNNNNNNNNNNNNNNNNNNNNNNNNNNNNNNNNNNNNNNNNNNNNNNNNNNNNNNNNNNNNNNNNNNNNNNNNNNNNNNNNNNNNNNNNNNNNNNNNNNNNNNNNNNNNNNNNNNNNNNNNNNNNNNNNNNNNNNNNNNNNNNNNNNNNNNNNNNNNNNNNNNNNNNNNNNNNNNNNNNNNNNNNNNNNNNNNNNNNNNNNNNNNNNNNNNNNNNNNNNNNNNNNNNNNNNNUCCUAUAAAUAUAACUUAAGGCAACCAUUAGUCCAUAGGAAUUGUCAUCAAUUGCCAAAACCACAUAUGGAGAUAUAUGCUCUAACACCGUCAACGACCAACGAAUCAAGAUUGUAGCAGGUAGCAGCAGUGUAAUGAGUAAUAGCAGCGGCAAGGAAAAGCAGUAGUGACAGCAGUAGCAAGUAGCAACAGUAGCAAGCGACAGUAGUAGCAACAGUAGCAGCAGAGCAAGACGAGUAACGGCAGCAAAGCCAGACAAGUAACAGCAGCAGUAGGACAAACUCGUAUGCAAUGGGUCGGUGAUUUGUUUGGAUGAUAUUCAUCAUGCAACAGUUAUAGCACGGAGAGAUAUGUGGCUAGCUCCCGUUUGUCAAUGUGAUGUAGGCAUGCAUUCCAUGUGUCGUCAUACGUGCUUAGGGAAAGGAACUUGCAUGACAUCUAUUGUCCAUCCCUCCCGUGGCAGCGGGGUCCAAAAGGAAACUAUGGGAUAUUAAGGUUCUCCUUUUAAUAAAGAACCGGACCAAUGCAUUAGCACUUGGUGAACACAUGAACUCCUCAAACUAUGGUCAUCACCGGGAGUGGUUCCGGUUAUUGUCACUCCGAGGUUGCCGUAUCAUAACACAUAGUAGGUAACUACAACUUGCAAGAUCGGAUCUAAAACACACAUAUAUUGGUGACAACAUAAUAAUUUCGGAUCUGAAAUCAAGGCACUCGGGCCCUAGUGACAAGCAUUAAGCAUGGAAAAGUAGUAGCAACACCCAUCUCAGAACAUAGUGGAUACUAGGGAUCAAUCCCCGUCAAAAAUAACUCGAUUACAUGAUAGAUCUCAUCCUACUCAUCACCACCCAGCGAGCCUACGAAUAGAUUACUCACGAACAAUGAAGAGCUUCAUGGAAUUGGAGAGGGAAGAAGGUUGAUGAUGACGCUGGCGACGAUUUCCCCUCUCCGGAGCCCAAAACGAACUCCAGAUCUGCCCUCUAGAUGAAGAACACGAUGUGGCGGCGGCUCUGUAUCGCAAACGCAACGAAAUCUACUCUCUUUAUUUUUUCUGGGACGAAAGUGAACUUAUAGAGCUGAGAUUGGGGGCGCCAGAGCCGUGUGGGCCCCACAAGCUUGCCUACCGCCACCAGGGGGUGGCGGUGGCAGGGCUUGUGGCCCACUGGCCCACCCCCUCAGGUGGAUCUUUGCGCAGGUAUUUUUCAUAUUUUCCAAGAAAGUUCCCCGUAAAUUUUCAGGACGUUCUGAGAACUUUGAUUUCUGCACAAAAAUAACACCAAGGCAAUUCUGCUGAAAAUAGCAUCAGUCCAGGUUAGUUCCAUUCAAAUCAUGCAAAAUAGAGUCCAAAACAAGGGCAAAAGAGUUUGGAAAACUAGAUACGAUGGAGACGUAUCAAUGGCCAUAUCAUGUCACUUAUGAAUUGCAUGUGAUGUUAAUCCUUUUAUGCACCUUAUUUUUCUUAGAACGGUGGUAGCAUUAUAAGGUGAUCUCUCACUAAAAUUUCAAGACGAAACUGUGUUCUCCCCGACUGUCCACCGUUGCGACACUUUGUCGUUUUGAGACACCAUGUGAUGAUCGGGUGUGAUAGACUCAACGUUCACAUACAACGGGUGCAAAACAGUUGCACACGCGGAACACUCGGGUUAAACUUGACGAGCCUAGCAUGUGCAAACAUGGCCUCGGAACACAUGAGACCUAAAUGUCGAGCAUGAAUCGUAUAGUUGAUAUGAUUAGCAUAGAGAUGCUUACCACUGAAGCUAUUCUCAACUCACGUGAUGAUCGGACUUGAGUUAGUGAAUUUGGAUCAUGUACCACUCAAAUGACUCGAGAGAUGUACUUUUUGAGUGGGAGUUUAUCAGUAAUUCUUCAAUCACUGUCACCUAGCUAUAAGGGCUUCGUGGGUACCAUGCAAGGAAUGAACAAGUCACCUGGCGAGUUAUUCGCGAUGCUGAAAGUCGCAGAGUCAGAACUCCGGAAAGAGCAUCAAGUGUUGAUGGUCAAUAAGACCAAUGGUUUGAAGAGAAACGGCAAAGGCAAGAAGGGUAACUCCAAGAAGAGCGGCAAGCCUGUUGCCAAUCCGAUGAAGAAACCCAAGGCUGGACCUAAGCCUGAAACAGAGUGUUAUUUUUGCAAGGGACUGGGUCACUGGAAGCGCAACUGCCCCAUGUAUUUAGCUGAUAAGAAGGCGGCCAAGGAAAAAUAUGGUAUAUUCGAUAUACAUGUUAUUGAUGUGUACUUAACCAACUCUCGUAGUAGUGCCUGGGUAUUCAAUACCAGUUCUGUUGCUCAUAUUUGCAACUCGGACCAGGAACUACGGAAUAAACGAAGGCUGGCGAAAGAUGAAGUGACGAUGCACGUGGGAAACGGUUCCAAGGUUGAUGCAAUCGCCGUCGGCACAGUCUCACUUCAGUUACCAUCGGGAUUAGUUAUGGACAUAAAUAAUUGUUAUUUAGUGCCUGCGUUAAGCAUGAACAUUAUAUCUGGAUCUUGUUUAUUGCGAGACGGUUACUCGUUUAAGUCACAGAAUAAUGGUUGUUCUAUUUCUAUGAGUAAUAUCUUUUAUGGUCAUGCACCCAAUGUGAGAGGAUUGUUCAUAUUGAAUCUUGAUAGUGAUGAUACACAUAUACAUAACAUUGAGACCAAAAUAUGUACAGUUAACAAUGAUAGUGCCAUGUUUUUGUGGCACUGCUGCUUAGGUCAUAUUGGUGUAAAGCGCAUGAAGAAACUCCAUUCCGAUGGUCUUUUGGAGUCACUUGACUUUGAAUCACUUGACACGUGCGAACCAUGCCUCAUGGGCAAGAUGACUAAGACUCCGUUCUCCGGAACAAUGGAGCGUGCAAGUGACUUGUUGGAAAUCAUAAAUACCGAUGUGUGCGGUCCGAUGAGUGUGGAGGCACGCGGCAGAUGUCAUUAUUUUGUCACCUUCACUGACGACUUGAGUAGAUAUGGUUAUGUCUACUUGAUGAAGCACAAGUCCAAAGUUGUCAGAAUCGUGACUCAAGUCUUAGAAUCUUAAGAUCUUACGAUCCAAAAUAGCCCCUCCUAUUCUACGAUUUUGCACAUAGAAUCUAAGUUUCUACGAUCCUGAUAGUUAAGAUUCUAUGAUUCACGAUCCUAGCAGUGGAGCUCCGAUCCGAUUCAGAAUCGCGAUUCUGACAACUUUACACAAGUCUGAAGCGUUUGAGAAUUUCAAGCAAUUUCAGAGUGAAGUUGAAAAUCAUUGUAACAAGAAGAUCAAGUUCCUACGUUCUGAUCGUGGGGGUGAGCAUCUAAGUUUCGAGUUUGGUACUUACUUAAGACAAUGUGGAAUUAUUUCACAGUUGACACCGCCUGGAACACCACAGCGUAAUGGUGUGUCCAAACGUCGUAAUCGUACUUUGUUAGAGAUGGUGCGAUCUAUGAUGUCUCUUACCGAUUUGCCAUUAUUGUUUUGGGGUUAUGCAUUAGAGACAGUUGCAUUCACUUUAAAUAGGGCACCAUCAAAAUCCAUUGAGAUGACACCAUACGAGGUGUGGUAUGGCAAAAGACCAAAGUUGUCGUUUCUUAAACUUUGGGGAUGUGAUUCUUAUGUCAAAAAGCUUCAGCCUGAAAAGCUGGAACCCAAAUCGGAAAAGUGCGUCUUCGUAGGUUACCCAAAGAAGACACUUGGGUACACCUUCUAUCUCAAAUCCGAGGGCAAAGUAUUUGUCGCUAAGAAUGGAGCUUUUCUUGAGAAGGAGUUUCUGUCGAAAGAAUUGAGUGGGAGAAAGAUAGAACUUGAUGAGGUUGUCGAACCUCCAGUCCCUCUAGAUGGUGGCGCAAGGCAAGGGGAAACCCCUGUCAUUGCGACGCCGGUUGAGGAGGAAGUUGAUGAUGAUGAUCAUGAAACUUCGGAUCAAAUUCCUAUCGGACCUCGCAGAUAGACUAGAUCACGUACUGCUCCUGAGUGGUACGGUAAUCUUGUCUUAUCAAUUAUGUUGUUAUACAACAAUGAACCUGCGAAUUAUGAAGAAGCAAUGGUGGGCCCGGAUUCCAACAGCCAUGAAGUCCGAGAUAGGAUCUAUGUACAAAAACAAAGUGUGGACUUUGGAAGUACUACCUGAAGGCCGCAAGGCUAUUCAGAACAAAUGGAUCUUUAAGAAGAAGACGACACCGACGAUAAUGUGACCGUUUAUAAAGUUCGACUUAUGGCAAAGGGUUUUUCACAAGUUCAAGGAGUUGACUACGAUGAGACAUUCUCACCGGUAGCGAUGCUUAAGUCCGUCCGAAUCAUGUUAGCAAUAGCUGCAUUUUUCGAUUAUGAAAUCUGGCAGAUGGAUGUCAAAACGGCGUUCCUUGACGGUUUUCUUAAGGAAGAGUUGUAUAUGAUGCAACCCGAAGGUUUUGUCGAUCCAAAGAAUGCUAACAAAGUAUGCAAGCUCCAGUGAUCCAUUUAUGGACUGGUGCAAGCAUCUCGGAGUUGGAAUAAGCGCUCUGAUGAGGUGAUCAAAGCAUUUGGGAUUAUACAAGUGGUUGGAGAAUCUUGUAUUGACAAGAAAGUGAGUGGGAGCUCUGUGGUGUUUCUAAUAUUAUAUGUGGAUGACAUAUUACUGAUUGGAAACAACGUGGAGUUUUUGGAGAGCGUAAAGGAUUACUUGAAUAAAAGGUUCUCUAUGAAGCACCUAAGCUGCUUACAUUCUAGGCAUUAAGAUCUAUGGGGAUAGAUCGAGACGCCUAAUAGGACUUUCACAAAGCACAUACCUUGAUAAAGUUUUGAAGAAGUUCAAAAUGGAUCAGUCCAAGAAGGGGUUCUUGCCAGUGUUACAAGGUAUAAAAUUGAGUAAGACUCAGUGCCCAGCAACUGUAGAAGAUAGAAAGGCAAUGAGUAUCGUUCCCUAUGCUUCAGCCAUAGGUUCUAUCAUGUCUGCAAUGUUGUGCACUAGACCGGACGUGAGCUUGGCCAUAAGUAUGGCACGCAGGUUUCAAAGUAAUCCAGGAGUGGAUCACUGGACGGUGGUCAAGAAUAUUGUGAAGUACCUGAAAAGGACUAAGGAAAUGUUUCUCGUUUAUGGAGUUGACGAAGAGCUCGUCGUAAAGGGUUACGUCGAUGCAAGCUUUUGCACUGAUCCGGAUGACUCUAAGUCUCAAACCAGAUACGUAUUUAUUCUUAAUGGGGGUGCGGUAAGUUGCUGCAGUUCCAAGCAAAGCGUCGUAGCAGAUUCUACAUGUGAAGCGGAGUACAUGGCUGCAUCGGAGGCAGCAAAGGAGGGUGUCUGGAUGAGGCAGAUCAUGACGGAUAUUGGAGUUGUGCCAAGCGCACUAAAUCCAAUAACUCUGUUCUGUGACAACACUCGUGCCAUUGCUUUAGCAAAGGAACCAAGGUUUCACAAGAAGACCAGGCACAUCAAACGACGCUUCAACCUCAUCCGCGACUACGUCGAAGGAGAGGACGUGAAUAUUUGCAAAGUGCACAUGGAUCUGAAUGUAGCAAACCUGCUGACUAAACCUCUUCCACGGGCAAAACAUGAUCAACACCAGAACUGUAUGGGUGUUAGAUUUAUUACAAUGUAAAUCGCAACGCGAUGUGAGGACUAUAUUAUUGACUCUAAUGCAAGUGGGAGACUGUUGGAAAUAUGCCCUAGAGGCAAUGAUAAAUAGUUAUUAUUAUAUUUCCUGUUUCAAGAUAAUCGUUUAUUAUCCAUGCUAUAAUUGUAUUGAAUGAAAACAUAGAUACAUGUGUGGAUACAUAAACAAAACAAUGUCCCUAGCAAGCCUCUAGUUGGCUAGCGAGCUGAUCAAUGAUAGUCAAGGUUUUCUGACUAUAUGCAAGUGUUGUCACUUGAUAACUGGAUCACAUCAUUAGGAGAAUCAUGUGAUGGACUAGACCCAAACUAUGAACGUAGCAUAUUGAUCGUGUCAUUUCAUUGCUAUAGUUUUCUGCGUGUCAAGUAUUUAUUCCUAUGACCAUGAGAUCAUAUAACUCACUGGCACCGGAAGAAUACCUUGUAUGUAUCAAACGUCACAAUGUAACUGGGUGACUAAGAAGGUGCUCUACAGGUAUCUCUGAAGGUGUCUGUUGAGUUAGUAUGGAUCAAGACUGGGAUUUGUCACUCCGUGUGACGGAGAGGUAUCUCGGGGACCACUCGGUAAUACAGCAUCACACACAAGCCUUGCAAGCAAUGUGACUAACACUACUAGGAAAAGGCUUGCUAAUGGCGCACCUAUUUUUGUUACUAAUGGCGCACUAUAGAUGCGCCACUAGCAUCACGCCAUUAGAUUUUUUUACUAAUGGCGCACCACAAGUGCGCCAUUAGUAUCUGAUAUACUAAUGGCGCACCAGGUAGUGCGCCAUUAGUAUUGCUCACGGUGCGCCAUUAGUAUGCCUCCCAGGUGCGCCAUUAGUAUGCCUCUCAGGUGCGCCAUUAGUAUGCCUCCCAGGUGCGCCAUUAGUAAUCCUCUCAGGUGCGCCAUUAGUAUGCCUCCGAGGUGCGCCAUUAGUAUGCCUCCCAGGUGUGCCAUUAGUAUAGCCCAUGGUGCUUCAUUAGUAUAUGGUAUUCUAGCAUAUAUAUGUUUUGUUUCAAAACCACAAAUUCAACAGCACAUAACAUAUAUAUCAAAUAUAUAAUACAUAAUAUGUGCCCAAUAAUUUUACUGAUCCACAACACAUAACAUAUAUGCAAAGUUGCAUAACAAAUUUCAUGAUCCAUAUAUCAAAACUCCAUAGCAUCCAUACAUCCAAAAUUCCAUAACAUCCAUAUAUACAUAUAGUUCCAUAGCAUCCAUACAUACAUAGCUCCAUAACAAAUAUAGUUCCAUAGCAUCCAUUCAUUAUUCACAUACAAUUUUUUGAGCUAGAAUAUUAUUUUGUUUGUAUUAAUAUGUUACCAUUAUUAUUUUAGAUGACAAAAAGACAACUAUGGCUCCAAAGGUUUGUUUAUGUCUUCACGCCACAUAAGUAAACGAAGUAGAAGGGGCGCAUGUUUAGGAGCUCAAGCGCGCUGUCCUUUUGAACUUCCCUUGGCAAAAGAAGCAUGAAUCAAAAGUGUUAGAGAAAGAAAACAGAUGAUUCAGAAUUACAAAUUUUGAUACAUAUUGACUUCUAACAUAACAACACUAGCAAUGUUUGUUACAAAAUUUACGAGGUAUCAAGAUACUUAAAUUGUCAACUAGUCACGACUACACACACACAGAGAGAGAUAUAUAUACACAUAAGCUCCAAUGAAUACAACUAAGAUUUUCAAGAGAACAUUCACAUACAAGAAUAAGCACAUGAUGUUUGGUUCCAAAUUAUAAAUAUAAGCUGCCGAUGUUGCGCUGAAUCCAAAGUAAUCCCAGCUACAUAGGUCACACGCUCGCUCUAAUGAGAUGUGAUACCAAAUGUUUAAGCCUGAAGGAAACAAGCAAUGGUAUAGGCACAAACUUUCCAAUCAUGGAGAUGAUACUACGAUCACAGUGUUCACCCUUGAUUGCAAACAAAAUCUAACUAGUAAACGCACACAAUCAGCAGCCCCUAUAUAUAAUUCCAUAAAAGUAUUAGAACAGAUGCAUCAUAACUGAAUUACCUGUGAGCAACAGCAUGAAUGAGCCUUCAGGCUGCGCGAGGAAGGAGACCGUCUUGGCAACCUUCUCCAAGAACUGCUGACUCUGCACCAGCAACGAAUCGCCAUUCCUCUCCACAAUUCAGUCAAACCUGUAAAUUCUACUCGGGAGCUAAGCAAAUGAAAGGGUUAUAGGUUAUUUCUAGAGCAGAGCUAUUUGAGAAGAUGGUCCAAAGUGGUCAUGAACAAAAUUUACACACGAAAUGACAAUGAAACAAAGGCAUUUAGCCAGCUUUGCAAAUCUACAUGAAAAAGUUAUGUAAAUUUGAUUUGCUUGCGGCACACACAUUAGUAGGAAUAGAACUAGCAAAUUUACAACAAACAAUAUAUGAUGGAUCCUACAGAUUAUUGAGAUCAGAAUGUUCCAACACAUCAAAGAUAGAUAUCCAGCAAAGCCAAGAUUUGAACUAUCCGGCAACAAGAAAACGUAUAUACACAAAAAUGUCUUGCAUUGCAGGCACAUUUUAUAUUUAAUGGGUGGUAUAAAGCAUAAUGCAAAGCUCAACAAAACUCGGUUUGCUCAUAUGUACAACUUUCAAUACUAACACAUAUAUUGAGCAAGGUAAACCACCAGAGAUGGCACUAUAUUUCUCAACUUCUUUAGUCCUCAGGAUUAGUAUAUCAUGCUUCCGGGAAAGCGAAGAGCGAGGAGCCCGAAGAGCACACAGAAUCUCCCAAUUUGCAAGGAGUUUACCUACAGUGCACAAGUGUAGAUCGAUCAGCAGUUGAAACUAGGAUUUACAAUUUCCUUUUUUUCAUAAACUACAUGAACGGAAUCUAUGAAAGGGGGGACAACACAAUGUAAGCUGAAAAUUAAGGGUUAAGAUUGGUACUAGUCAGUAGAAAUACUAGUCUCCCAUCGACAGAUGCCCUGAUAAACGCAGCAGAAUGGAUGAAGUCCUAAGCCCGUUUCGGAGCAUACAAAGACAGGUUAACAAUCCCACUGCAUUACGCCAAAAGAAACAGCGUUGAGUAAAGAGAUGAAAACAAACUAAAACUGCAAGACAAUGAAACUGCAGGAAUGAUUAGCUCUAGAGAUACUGGAAAAGGCGGUCCAAUGGUAUGGAACAUGGUAAAAUCAGGAUAGAAAAAUAAAUAAAAGAAGAUAUGUAUCGUACUUUCUAAGCACAUCGUUUGGUAUCUACUCUAUACUCUACAAGCAAAGUGCAAUGCCAACGGUUUUAUUGAUUUGAAUGGAGGGUUGUAGCAAAACCAUCAGUUUAACAUGUGAUAGAAAUGUGAUACAAGUGAUAAAUUCGUAGCUCGAGAAACCAAGUUAUGAGCAUCCAAGUGUCAGCAAACAGAACAAGCACCAAUCCAUGAAGCGAUAUGUUAUCUCUGACAGGAACAGAAGAAGAUUUCUAAACAUUGAUAACUGAUAAGUACCCUGAAAGCGCUAUAUCCUAUCCAUUGCCACAAUAUAGCAUGAGACGAGACGCAAUUGCCUCCAUAAGCUCAGUGAGAAAUAUCUUCUGCAAGUUACUGUUUCUUUAUUAUUAUAAACAGCACUUCUUGUCACACAGGUUGAAAAGAAAAAAAACAAGGACAAGGGGCUGUCAUCAUCUUCAAAUAAACCAAUACCUAUCAAUAAUAAUACAAACUACUCCUAUCGUCCGAGAGAAUACUCUGUAUGUAUCGGGGAGAGGCUCGCUGGUUUUCUUAAAAAAAAUAUUACAAUGUGUGUUUUGAUUCGUUAGGCUCUAGUUAAUUAACAGUUGUUCUAACAUGUAGAGUAAGAUUUUACUAUUUCACAAAAAGAAAAAAACUGAGUAGCGUGCAAGGUUGCACAAGGCUCAAGUCUGUGAGUCCUAAUUAACAACCACUGGGUACCUGUGCCGCUAUGCCUGGUGCUGAUGGAAGGCCAGAAUCAAAAUUGGUUUGGCUGCUGGAUAAGCAAGCGAAUGUGCACCUUUAGUACCUAAGGAGCCUCUACUGAUAAACUGGUAGAGAACUGAAGGAGCCUCAGUUGUGGCAUACCUGAACAAGUGAUCAGGCCGGACGAGGUAGCGAUAUGCUUGAGCCGAGGAUGUGUAUGUCCAUCUACACAUUGUCACCACCGUCCACUGGAUCUGCUCAACGGAACUAAUUGCAAAUCCAAGAGUAAAACAAAGACUAUGCUCCGACCCUUGAUGUAUUGUAUUGUAUUCGUCUCAAACUCAAGCGCAAGCUAAAACAAUAAUCCCACAAGACCCAACUUUAUUCGUUUCAAGCUCAAGCUCGUAUCUUGAUGUAUAGUAUGGUGGCCAUUAUUGACUUAAUUUAUUCCACUGGACGCAAAGAAGUGUGCGUGCACGCGGUAGGCAACUGGGUGCUGGAUCUAGCUAGGAAGGUCGCGGCGGAAGGAAGAUGGUGCUGGCGGGAAUAAACGCAACUACCUGCAGUGCGCGGGCAGAGCAGACGAGAACAGCUAACCUGGUGAGUGGCGGUUGCUUCCGGUUCAAGUUCCAGUGGACGGAGGAGUGGGAGAGGCGGCUGUCAGCGCGGAAAGGCGGCUGUCGAAGGAGCCGAGGAUGGAGACGACGGCGUCUGUGGCCGCCUGGCUCUGGCCCAGCGACUCCCGCAGCAGCGCGGCCCACUGCGCCAGGCCCUCCAUCUCUCUGCCCGAGGACGGAUGAUCCUCCUCCUCCUCUUGGAGAGCUUGGGCCGGAGAGGCGGGGCGGAUCUGGGGGACGGGAUCCGGGGCUGCGCGCUAGCUGCGCGCUAGCUGCGCGCAGGCACAGCGGAGCGGGUGGAUCUGGGGGACGGGAUCCGGGUGGAGAGAGAGGGAGUGGGCACGGGAGAGAGAGUGGCCGGUUGGAUUUGGGAGAGGAGAUGCACUGCCGGUUAGCAAUGGCGCACCGCUCCGGCUGCGUCAUUAGAAUUUUUUUUAUAGCAAUGGCGCAUCCUCAUGCAGUGCGUCAUUAGUAAUCUUUUUUAUAUAGCAAUGGCGCAUCCCAGAGAGAUGCGCCAUUAGUAAUUUUUUUUGGAUAGCAAUGACGCACACCAGAGAGGUGCGCCAUUAGUAAUAUUAUUUUUUUUGGAAUAGCAAUGGCGCUCGGGGGGAGGGAGGGGGUGGGUGGUGUGCUCGGUCGAUUCCGUUCGGGGAAACCGAGCGAGGAGACAGGGGAGGGUCCAGGGGGUCGGCAUUGACGGUGGAGCAUGGGAGGGUGCGGGAGGUCGUCGGCGGCGGUGGAGCGGGGGAGGGUGCGGGGGGUGCUCGGCGGCGAGGGUGGUGGUGCGUCAUUAGUAGUUUUACAAAAAAAAUAUAGUAGUGGCGCACCACCUACAUAUACGCCAUUAGUAACCCUGGUUACUAAUGGCGCACUAGCUGUGGUGCGCCAUUAGUAGUUUGCAAAAAAAACAAAAAAAAAAUAUAGUAGUGGCGCACUACUAACAGAUGCGCCAUUAGUAUUACUAAUGGCGCACCAGCUUCUAGUGCGUCAUUAGAACUUUUGCAAAAAAAUAAAAAUAAAAAAAAUAUAGUAGUGGCGCACCGAAAGUGUGGUGCGCCAUUAGUAUCCACCACACUAAUGGCCCACCUCACAUGGUGCGCCAUUACUAUAUAGUAGUGGCGCACUGCUUGUGUGGUGCGCCAUUAGUAUCUAUAUCAUCUAUAGCCCUUUUCCUAGUAGUGUAAUUGUAAGUCACGAGAUUUUGUAUUACGGAAGGAGUAAAGAAACUUUCGAGGAACGAGAUUGAAAUAGGUAUGCGGAUACCGACGAUCAAAUCUCGGGCAAGUAACAUACCGAAGGACAAAGGGAAUGACAUACGGGAUUAUAAGAAUCCUUGAAGCUGAGAUUCAACCGAUAAGAUCUUCAGAGAAUAUGUAGUAUCCAAUAUGGGCAUCCAGGUCCCGCUAUUGGAUAUUGACCGAGGAGUGCCUCGAGACAUGUCUACAUAGUUCUCGAACCCGCAGGGUGUGCACACUAAAGGUUCGAUGAUGUUUUAGUAUAGUUGAGUUAUAUGUGUGGUUAUGGAAUGUUUUUCGGAGUCCCGAAUGAGAUCACGGACAUCACGAGGGUUUCCGGAAUGGUCCAGAAACGAUGAUUGAUAUAUUGGAUGGUUUCAUUUCGUUACCGGAAAGUUUCGGGCAAUUCCGGCGGUGUACCAGGAGUGGCGAAUGGGUUCCGGGUGUUUAUCGGGCGGGGCCCACCCACCCGGCAGUGAUCCCAAGGCCCUAGGGUGGCUCCACAAGUCCUUCGCCCAAGAGGGCUAUGGCACCAGAUAAGAAAAUACCAAAGGAAAAGAAAAAGAAAAAGGAAAGAGGGAGGUGGGAAGGAAGAGGAGGACUCCUCCUUCCAAACCGAAUUGGAGGAGGAGUCCUCCUCCUCCUGGUGGCCGGCGCACCUUGAGGGCCUUGUCCCUCAAGGCUAGCCCCUCCCCCUCCCUCCUAUAUAUAGUGGUUGUUUAGGGCUUUUUUAUACACAACUUUGCCACGUGCAACUCAUGGCUAUUCCACAUAGUUUUACCUCUAGAUCAGAUUUCUGCGGAGCUCGGGCGGAGCCCUGCAGGAGUAGAUCGUCACCAUCACCGGAGCGUCGUCACGCUGCCGAAGAACUCAUCUACUUCUCCUCCUGCUUGCUCGAUCAAGAAGGCCGAGAUCAUUGUGGAGUUGUACGUGUGCUGAACGCGGAGGUGUCGUCCGUUCGGCACUAGAUCGGAACGGGUCGUGGAACGGAUCACGGGACGGUUCGUGGGACAGUUCGAGGGAUGUGGAAACGUUCCACUACAUCAAUCGCAUUUCUUAACGCUUCCCGCUGUGCGAUCUACAAGGGUACGUAGAUCUAAUCUCCACUCGUAGAUGGACAUCACCAUGAUAGGUCUUCGUGUGCGUAGGAAAUUUUUUGUUUCCCAUGCAACGUUCCCCAACACCAACACCACGAACAGAAGCACUUGAACCGUUUCCCAUCAGCACGGUGGAAGUCCCUGCGGUCUAAUAAGACGAAAACAUGGAAAUAUCACCGCAUACAUGCACAUUAGCACCCGUGUCAAUCAACCAACGAGGGAAAUGACAUACUGAAAGAAUAGUGGGAAAUAUACCAUACCCAACAUCCUUCACGUCAAUGUCAUCAAUGACAACAUUAGCGGUCUUGCCGCCUUUUCCAUGUUGACGCUUGUCAUAACGGUUAGGGCAGCUGGGUACCCAAUGAUAAGUAUCUCCGCAUACACGACAAACACCUUUCUUUUUGUCAGUCUUCUUCUUGAAGUUGGUGUGCUGCAAAGCCUUAUUAUUCUCAUCAAACUUUCCCUUACCAUCAAACUUUCCCUUAUUCUUGAAAUUGUGGGGCUCGAAGUUUUUCUUUUAUACCAGAUUGGCACUAGAUCCUCCCUCAAUAGCUCGAGCACGUGUCUUUUUCUCUCGCCUUUUCUUCCACAUCAAGAGUACCAAUGAGAUCCGGAACGGAAAACUCCUGCCUCUUAUGCUUCAGUAAUGUAGCAAAGUUCCUCCACGACGAAGGAAGCUUAGUGAUGAUGCCUCCGGCAACAAACUUGUCCGGUGGCGUACAAUUGAAGUGCUCAAGUUCUCUAGGAAAUUACUGUAUCUCGUGAGCUUGCUCAACCACAGAGUGCUCUUCACUCGUCGUGUAGUCAUAGAAUUGUUCCAUGAUGUACAGCUCAGUGCCAGCAUCCGAGACCCCAAACUUGGCCUCGAGUGCAUCCCACAUAUCUUUUCCAUUAUCAAUUGACGCAUAAGCAUCAACUAUGUUCUCACCAAGAACACUCAAGAGAGCAGCCUUAAACAGAGUAUCCAUUUUCUGAAAAGCUUGUGCCUGUUGUGCAUCAUAAUCUCCUUCAGGUUUGCCAAGAGUGGCAUCAUAGCAGCUCAUGGUUUGAAACCAUAGAACGGCUCUCACCCGCCACCUCUUAUAGUGGAUAUCCUCAAACGUAGGAGGUCUCAUGGUAGCAGUAAAACAACUUGGGGUAAAUUGCCUAUAAUAAGGUUUUUGGAUUGUUGGAAGUAUGAGCAAUUGACCAUAGGAUUUUGCAACCAGAAAAGGUAGUAAAUACAUGACAAACAUAAUAGAGAUGAAACAAGGCAGGUAAUAUAGAGAUGAGACAGCAAAAGGCAUGUGCACAUAUGAUCUAGAAGAGAACAUAUAUAGAGUCAUUCUAUAUAUGCAAGAAGGCAUCUGAAAGGAUGAGAAUAAACGGAACAUGUCUAGAAGUGAAACUAGAACAAGAAUUUAUGGCAUGAACUAAAAGAAAAACAACACGAGCACGCACUGAGUUGCAGCAGAAGUAGGGUUGGUGUUGGCGUUGUCGUUGGCCAUGUUACCGAAGAGGUGGUCGACGUCGGGGAAGAAGUCAUCGUCCGAGAAGUGGUCGUCGGUGUUCGUGAUGAAAGCCAGUAGUAGCGUUGAGCACUCCCCAAAAACCUUAUCGCCCUUCUCCCGUACAGAACUCAAAGAGAUGGAGUUUCGGAGGCCUACUGUCCAGACCUACGGUGCACGCCGCAAGCUGGGAUGAGGAAGAAUGUAGCAGUAGCAUAGAGAAUGGAACCGGUGGCGAGAGGAAGUUCUAAUGUGUAUCUCUGGAGAGGAGUGACCUCCCUUUUAUAGGCGCAAGGGAAGGAGGCGAGAGGCCAGCGAUGGGAGCCGAAGAGAAGGAGGGAUAUGAAAUGAACAAACAACAGCCAAAAGGUGCAGCGUUCGUGUUCGAUUUCCACUACAGCAAAAACUCGGCUCAUUGUCGCAACCCGCGUCGUGAUGAGGCGAGGCGGGCGGCGGAGGAGGAGGAGCGCGCGUGUAUGUCUCUCUUGUUCUCAAGCUCAUACAUGUGUGGAAAUAUCUUCCCUUAUAAGGAGGUCCAACUGCCACUAAACUAGAAAUGUGGGACUAAACUUUCCACCUCUUGCCUUGCACGAAUGGGCUACGUGGGCCUCUAGGAUUUAUUAGGAAUUUCUGAAAUUAUUGGGCUGGCCCAAAAUGGAUAAAAUUCCAGCAAUAAAACCCUCCACAACCCCUAACCCCCCCCAUUUAAAAAAAACUAGCGCAUGCGAGCUGAUGAUGCGUGGCUACAUUUUGGUCCUAGUUGGUGUUACCAACCGGGACUAACGGUCCUCCUGCCUGGGCGCCCCAUAUCGGCCAUGUGGAGAUCCUUUGGACCCGGUUCGUAAGCCAACCGGGACUAAAGGUUUCGGCCUUCGGUCUCGUUUGUUUUGUCCCAGAUGAAGAACCGGGACUAACGCCCCUCUGAAACCGGGACUAAAUCUAUGUUUUCUACUAGUGAGAGGGAGAAGCCGCACCAGGUUGGCGGUGUGUGUGUGAUGCCGGAGCACGGGAAGAGUGGAGCUACGCUAGGACUUGGAUGAACACAGAGCUGCAAUGAGACUAAGAAAUGAAGGAGUGAGAAAAAGAUUGGAUGAUAGCGAGAAGCAAGCAUGGAGUUAACAAGACCGUGGGGAGCGUCCGCGUGGUGCAGCUAGCCGAUGAGGCUGGGAUGCAAUGGAUGCGCGCCUCACUUCAUUGCGUCGGCCUAUCUUGCAGGUCAUUUCCUGAAGAUGUGAGUUGCAAAUACGUGGGCGAUACGAAGAUGAUACACUGAUGAUGAAAACUUUAUACCAGCCUUAAGUAUUGGAAUUACAAGAAUCGCGUGGUAACAUGCGGUGUGGAUACCCACCGCGCGUGGCUACAUCUCCACUCGCGAUUUAUGGCCACACACUUAAGUUAUCCUUAUGAUGAGGUUUCGAGAUCAACGAAUGCGCAUGGUCCACUUGUUUGUUAUUGUAUGUCCGACAUGAGGGGCAGCUGCCAGCGUACGUACCACCAACCAACAAAGAUAUUCACGUGCAGACAUAAAUACGGACCGUUUUAAUUUCCCAUGCGAUCCACGAGGGCACUAUAUAUACUCCUCCUAAGACUAACCACUAAGACAACGAAUCGAACUCCUGAUUCUUUUUUGUAGGGAGAAUUUUAUUUCUGCAUAUGGAUGGAUGUACUACCCAUGGACGUCUUUUGUGAUUGACGGAGGAUUGCGGAAUCAAUCGUCCCCACGACCACGAGGUCCCUAACCGAGACGACACAUCCAACAAUCGCAAGGGCCCGUGCACGUUCAAAUCGCGCGGCCUAAUGGCCCAUUUGUAGCCAAUAGAUAAAACUUUUGGUUUUCAUUAGCGAAAUGAAUGGACAGACACUAAGAUGGAUACGGGACGGGGUACGUGUGGUAGUGGCUAAGGGAACGGGCUCGUGGCACCGAUUCUCUGUGUAUUAUUGUUCUUUCAAAGAACAUGCUAAAUUUACGUGAUCGUGAGCCAACCACUUCAUCCCAUAAAAUCUUGUCCGUAAUAAAAAAAAUCUCAGUACAGACAUAGACAUUCAUACAUACGCGCCUAGUCAAGUACUCCCUUUGUUCCUAAAUAUUUCUAAAUAUAUGUCAUUUAAGAUACUUCACUAGGAGUCUAUAUACAAAACAAAAUGAGUGAAUUUACGUUCUAAAGUAUGUCUAUAUACAUUUGUAUGUAGUUCACUAGUGAAAUCUCUAGAAAAACGUAUUUAGAAACGGAGGGAGUAGUAAAAAAGAUUGCAGCCCUUGAGGCAAGGAUGGAUCAUGUUAAAUCUCCAUAAUAGAUUCAUCAUUGUACAUAUCUAUACUCAUCCCUAUAUAUAAAGACACGCAAGCACACAUGCUAUUCAUAUGAGCAUCUUGAAAAGAAUGAGACCCCACAUUAUCUCGAGAUUGAUGAGAACAUCACAAAUGCGUUCGUAGUCGAUGGAAAUGUCUCCUUCCAUUUAAUGAACAUCCCAAAAAGCCUCGAAAAAAGCUAGAAAUCUGAGCACCAAUGUCUAGGACUUGAACGCUCAUGACUUAGUUCCACCAUAAAUAACGAAACCGUUUAAGCAACGCUCACUUCGUGUAGGUAAUAAACCUUUUGUUGAUAUAAAGAGUGCAUAAACUACAAUGACACUCCUUCCAUUUUAUAUUUUUUGUCGUGGUUUUAGUUCAAAUUAAGAGCAUUGAUAUCUAAUCAAACACUCAUGUUUACAUGAAGAGACAACUCGUUUAUUCUGUUAAUCAUAUAUUCAUAUUUGCAUUAGAAAUACAAUCCAAAAAUGGUUUCUAAGAUUUAGUUUUGACCAACUUUUUGUCAAACUAUACAUGAGUUUUCUGGUUAUAAAAUUGAUAUACCAAUGAAAUGUAUUUUUAUACAACAACAACAACAACAAUAAAGCCUUUAAUCCCAAACAAGUUGGGAUAGGCUAGAGGUGAAACCCGCCAGAUCUUACGACCAACUCAUGGUUCUGGCACAUGGAUAGAAAGCUUCCACGCAUCCCUGUUCAUGCCUAGUUCUUUGGUGAUACUCCAUUCCUUCAGAUCUCUCUUUACAAACAUGUCAAGUUCGGUCUACGUCAGCCUCUUGACCUUAUCAACAUGCUUUAGUCGUCUGCUAUGCACUUGAGCUUUUAGAGGCCUCCGCUAGUAUGACGAAAAAGGCUUUCGUCCCGCUUUAUAGAUAAAACAUGAUCAACUUAUAACACUAAGAAGCCAACACACAACACACAACAUCACAACAGAACCCACACACCCGAGACAAGAUACACAGGUACCAGAGAACAACUACAACACCCCAUCCACCACCACAAAGACAAAAGAUAAACAAGAAGGAAUACUAUGGUGAUGAUGGAGCCCUCAAUGAAGUGAAGAUGUGAAGUUGCUGACCAAUGAACCGAGAGUGCCAAGGCGGUGUCUUCAGGAAGGUUACGGCACCGGAGUGCCGCCACCGCCCAAUCCAAAUAAUCUAGAUUUUCACUCGAAGCACGACGAAGGUCAAGAAGCAGCCACGACGAAUACUUCAAGAAGCUAACAACGUCCACGGACAUCGCCUCCGACAGUCUGGCCAACGCCAGACAGGGUGUAUACCCCGGCAAGAAUGCUUCACCUUUGACCACAAUGCAUCGAGAACGAUGUGAGCCGCAUCUCCAUCCCGGCCGUCGACCCUAGCCCCCAUGCUGCCCCACGGCCAUGGUAGCUAGCUCGUAUCGGAAUCACGGGUUCUGUCUGAGAACAGUGUCAUUCCCAAAAAAAUGUAUAUCAAAAAAUACAUACUUUUUUUUCUGCGAGGUAACCAAAAACAUACUUUCUCUUAACCAAAAAUACAUACAUACUUGAAGGAUCAAAUGUAUAUCAAAAAAUCUUGAUGGACCAAAAACAUACUUUUUUUCCUGUGAGGUAACCAAAAACAUACUUUCUCUUAAAAACAUUGAUGUCUCAUCAAGGGACUCACAAAACAGAAACUGAUCUCUUUUGCUAAGCGAUUAUCCAAUCACUUAAACUGUACAUGUUCUAAGAUGCUCUAGGAGAGAGUUUAUAUGAUGCGAGUUGUGUUUGCAGGUCAUAUUAUUAUCUACGGAUGACAUACACAUCCGAUGGUCCCUUACCACACCGGCAUCUCUACGCGAUCGAUCUCCACCAACCAAUUUCGGGAUUUGGGAAUUUUUAGGGUUUGUUAGUUGACAUUUUUAGUACCAACUAGCUAUAGAUAUCUUUAUCACCUAAUAAUAAAAAGGCUAUCGCUUCCGUCGGAAAACCCACCUCGGUGAUUUUAAAAAAAGUCCUUGAUGUUUUUUAAAAUUAACCAGCAAUCCAAUUGAUAAGUGAAGCUAAAUCGGUAUGUACGUACGUACGUGACCAGUUGCCGCUGCUUGAUCGAUAGUGGCAUAGAUCAGCAACCAGCCGGACAAUGCACGGGCCGAAGUACGAGCGUGCACAUCGAUCAGCGUCGGAAGCUACGCUGCGGGCGCGGCGUCUCGCCGUUGACGUCAGCUUGUACAUGCCGGCGCCGCACACCGAUCAAUGUGGCCCGUCGACAAGAUGAUGGUCGUCACCGUGAGGCCCGCGUACGCCGCGUUCCGAAAUGGCGAGAUCACGCCACCGUACUUCUGGUUCACGAUCGGCGCCGCCAUCGCGAAGAAGACGAGGAUGAACGUGCCGACGAACUCCGCGCCAAGCUGUACCAAUGUAAAUUCAUUUUUUUAUCUCUCCCUCUCUCCUUAAUCUUUACCUAAUAUAUAUCUAUACCUAAUAAUAAAGCGGCUAUUGCUUCCGUCAGAAAACCCAUCACGGUAUUUUUAUAAAAAACCUCUGUAAUUUUUGUUAUUCAACCCGCGCUCCAUCAUUUAUCUGCAACACAAAAGGAAAAAAAAUGAUUCGCUGCAAAAAUUAUACCCGUACGCAUCGCCUCCUCCCGUCGACCCUGGGCCACCCAGGCCUGUGCCCAGGCCGCCGCCACACCACUCGCCGCCGCGGCCGACCUCAGCCGCCACCGCUGCCGAUCUCAACCCACCCGCCUCCGGGGUUGUACCUCUCCCCGCUCACAACCCCCGUUGCGACGCUCGAGCGCAUCGCGUCGACCCUGAUCCACCCUUGGCCUGUGCCCAGGCCGCUGCCACACCACUCGCCGCCGCGGCCGACCUCAACCACCACUAUUGUCGAUCUCAACCCACCCUCCUCCGCGGUCGUACCUCUGCCCGCUUGCUGCCCCGUUUCGGCGCUCGAGCACAGCUUCUGGAUCAAAUCAACGCGACAACUACAGCGACUUGGGAUGAUGCGUCUGCUCGAUGCAGAACGGCGGUGGCACGCGGAUAAGGCGCGGCGGAGCGAAGUACUUGCAGGUGGAGGCGGGCCUCCAUGGCUCACACGGGGAACUCCGAGGUUAUGGCGUGGCAACGACGACUCCUUAUGGUCAGAUAGAGGCGCCUAACCCUUGCUUCCCUCAUCGCAUCCCCUCCUCCGGCAGGAACUCAUCAUCUGGUGAGAUCCUCUCUCCAUGCCUUCAACCGUGUACCAAGCACCGGCAAGAAAUUUUGUUUUGUGAGAAUUUGUUUGCUGAUGAAUGAAUGUAUUGAAUGUAACAUUGCAUUGUUGUAAAGAAAGAGAAUGGAACACCACCUUGAGUUUGUCAUCUGAUUCCACAUUCUCUACCCCGUGAGUGAAAUAAGAUAACAGUCCAUUGAUCAAUUCAUGUAGCCUCUUUGUUUUGCUUUGCUUGUCCCGUUUAAUUUCUCAUCAUGGUGAAAUUAACAAUGGACGGGUUGAUUUCUCAACAAAAUAGGAUAGGACUGGCUACAUUAGUUAGUUAGUUUAUUAUUUUAAUAAUCAAAAUGAUUAUAAAAAAAGUAGAAAUAUGUGGUAUUUUUUUCUCUCGUUGCAACGCACGAGCCCUUUUGCUAGUACGUGAAAAAAUGUGCACCGCAUCAUUCGGAUCGCGUUCCUUUGAUUUACUCCAUAGCAACUCCCCCACAGCUCCAACCCUGUAUGUACCUAACUUGCUAUAUAUACGUGCACCAGCUCUGCACAGGGACGGUCACACUCCAAUCAGGCACAGCACACAAAACAAGUCUCGUCAUAUCGAGAAACGGAGCUAGCUCGACCACGGGUGGUGUUCGGCAGCAGCUCUAGGCCGUCGUCCUCGGCCGGGUGGCGCCGAUGGCCACACACAUAAAUUAUCCUUAUGAUGAGGUUUCGAGAUCAACGAAUGCGCACGGUCCACUUGUUUGUUCUUGCAUGUCCGACAUGAGGGGCAGCUGUCAGCGUUCGUACCACCAACCAAGAGCGAUAUUCACGUGCAGACAUAAAUACGGAUCAUUUAAUUUUCCCAUGCGAUCCACGAGGGCACUAUAUAUACUCCUCCUGAGAGUAACCACUAAGAUAGCGAACGGAACUCCUGAUUCUUUUUUUUAGGAAGAAUUUUAUUUCUGUAUAUGGAUGGAUGUACUACCCAUGGACGUCUUUUGUGAUUGACGGAGGAUUGCAAAAUCAAUCGUCCCCACGACCACGAGGUCCCUAACCGGGACGACAAAUCCAACAAUCGCAAGGGCCCGCACACGUUCAAAUCGCACGGCUUAAUGGCCCAUUUCUAGCUAAUAGAUAAAAUUGUUGGUUUUCAUUGGCGAAAUGAAUGGACAGACAAUAAGAUGGAUAUGGGACGGGGUACGUGUGGUAGUGGCCAAGGGAACGUGCUCGUGGCGCCGAUUCUCUUUGCAUUAUUGUUCUUUCAAAGAAAAUGCUAAAUUUAGGUGACCGUGAGCCAACCACUUCAUCCCAUAAAAUCUUGUCCGUAAUAAAAAAAAUCUCAGUACAGACAUAGACAUUCAUACAUACGUGCCUAGUCAAGUACUCCCUUUGUUCGUAAAUAUUUCUAAAUAUAUGUCUUUUAAGAUAUUUCACUAGGAGUCUAUAUACAAAACAAAAUGAGUGAAUUUACGUUUUAAAAUAUGUCUAUAUACAUUCGUAUGUAGUUCACUAGUGGAACCUUUAGAAAAACAUAUUUAGGAACGGAGGGAGUAGUAAAAAAGAUUGCAACCCUUAAGGGGAGGAUGGAUCCUGUUAAAUCUCCGUAAUAGAUUCAUCAUUGUACAUAUCUAUACUCAUCCCUAUAUAUAAAGACAUGCAAGCACACAUGAUAUUCAUAUGAGCAUCUUGAAAAGAAUGAGACCCCACAUUAUCUCGAGAUUGAUGAAAGCACCACAAAUGCGUUCGUAGUCGAUGAAAAUGUCUCCUUCCAUUUAAUAAACACCCCAAAAAGCCUCGAAAAAAUCUAGAAAUCUGAACACCAAUGGCUAGGACUUGAACACUCAUGACUUAGUUCCACCAUAAAUAACGAAACCGUUUAAGCAACGCUCACUUCGUGUAGGUAAUAAACCUUUUGUUGAUGUAAAGAGUGCAUAAACUACAAUGGCACUCCCUCCGUUUUAUAUUUUUUGUCGUUGUUUUAGUUCAAAUUAAGAGCAUUGAUGUCUAAUCAAACACUCAUGUGUACAUGAAGAGACAACUCAUUUAUUCUGUAAAUCAUAUAUUCAUAUUUGCAUUUCGAGAAAUACAAUCCAAAAAUGUUUUCUGAGAUUUAGUUUUGACCAACUUUUUUCCAACUAUACAUGAGUUUUCUGGUUAUAAAAUUGAUAUACCCAUGAAAUGUGUUUUUAUACAACAACAACAACAACGACGACGACGACAACGACGAUGACAACAACAACAAGAAAGCCUUUAAUCCCAAACAAGUUGGGAUAGGCUAGAGGUGAAACCCGCCAGAUCUCACGACUAAUUUAUGGUUCUGGCACAUGGAUAGAAAGCUUCCACACAUCCCUGUCCAUGCCUAGUUCUUUGGUGAUGAAAGGACCACGAUGACGCCUAGAGGGGGGUGAAUAGGAUAUUUAAAAACUUCUUCGGAUUUGGCUUAAACCUAAUNNNNNNNNNNNNNNNNNNNNNNNNNNNNNNNNNNNNNNNNNNNNNNNNNNNNNNNNNNNNNNNNNNNNNNNNNNNNNNNNNNNNNNNNNNNNNNNNNNNNNNNNNNNNNNNNNNNNNNNNNNNNNNNNNNNNNNNNNNNNNNNNNNNNNNNNNNNNNNNNNNNNNNNNNNNNNNNNNNNNNNNNNNNNNNNNNNNNNNNNNNNNNNNNNNNNNNNNNNNNNNNNNNNNNNNNNNNNNNNNNNNNNNNNNNNNNNNNNNNNNNNNNNNNNNNNNNNNNNNNNNNNNNNNNNNNNNNNNNNNNNNNNNNNNNNNNNNNNNNNNNNNNNNNNNNNNNNNNNNNNNNNNNNNNNNNNNNNNNNNNNNNNNNNNNNNNNNNNNNNNNNNNNNNNNNNNNNNNNNNNNNNNNNNNNNNNNNNNNNNNNNNNNNNNNACACGACGAGUAGGUGAACGACACAAGAUACUAGAUCACACUAUAGCACACGAUAUAUCAAAAGCUACAAGUGUGAACGUGUGGAUAUAGAGGGUAUGCUUGAAUGAUUAAUCUUAUACAAGAAAUGGCCAACACAAUAUAAUGAGCACAAACAAUAUGCAAUGUAUGUAUGCUCAAGUAACACAAGUAAACCACAAGUGAGGAGUUAGGGUUAAGGAUAACCAAGGUCACUGAGACGAAGAUGUAUCCCGAUGUUCACUUCCUUGGAGGGAAGCUAGUCACCGUUAGAGAGGUGGAUGUUACCACGAAGGCACACCAAUGCCACGAGGGCUAACCCUAUUCUCCCUUUGAGAUAACACCACGAAGGCGUUUCUCAACCACUAGUGGUAAGCCUUUGAGGUGGCUUCCAAACCCUCACAAACUUUUCCGGGGGGUAAUCACACGGAUUGAUUCCUCUCCGAAGAACUCCUACCGCCUAGGAGUCUCCAACCUCCAAGAGUAACAAGAUCACGGGGAAUGCUCAAAACUUGCUCAAAUCUCAAAUAGCUUGGGUUGAGAGGAGGAGAGGGAGACGAUCUAUCUUUUGAUUGGAACAACUCUCAAGGGGGCUCAAAAAUGCUCUUGGGAUCUAAGAUUUGGUGUGAGAAAAUGUGUGUGAGGUAGAAGUGUGUUCUUAUGAGGAUAAGGCUGUGUUGGGCAACCCUNUUGGAGGGAAGCUAGUCACCGUUAGAGAGGUGGAUGUUACCACGAAGGCACACCAACGCCACGAAGGCUCACCCUAUUCUCCCUUUGAGAUAACACCACGAAGGCGUUUCUCAACCACUAGUGGUAAGCCUUUGAGGUGGCUUCCAAACCUCACAAACUUUUCCGGGGGUAAUCACACGGAUUGAUUCCUCUCCGAAGAACUCCUACCGCGUAGGAGUCUCCAACCUCCAAAAGUAACAAGAUCACGGGGAAUGCUCAAAACUUGCUCAAAUCUCAAAUAGCUUGGGUUGAGAGGAGAAGAGGGAGGCGAUCUAUCUUUUGAUUGGAACAACUCUCAAAGGGGAUCACAAAUGCUCUUGGGAUCUAAAAUUUGGUGUGAGCAAAUGUGUGUGAGGUAGAAAUGUGUUAUUGUGAAGAUAUGGAUGUGUUGGACCCCCUCUCACGAAGUGGGAGGGGGGUAUAUAUAGUGGGGAGACUAAAAUAACCGUUGGGGUCACUAAAGUCUGACAGUGGUCGGACGCACUACAAGGAAUAUGCUAAUACACGACGCUAUAUUUUCUUCGCUACAUCGUCACAGUUUUUAGUUUACGACGAUCUCACGACGAAAAACCAAGCGUCGAAAACGGAGCGUCACAAAUGAACACGAGCGACGUUUUGAUCAAAAUCGUCAUAACUUCUACGACGAUUCAUGGAUCGUCGUAACCUUUACGACGAUCCUAAAUCGUCGUUGACAAUCUAACCCAGUCCUACAUGGCAGUCCUACGUGGCAAAAUUACGACGAAAUCAAAACAUCAUAAUUGAAAUCAGCCCAACCCAUUUCAAUUGAUCACAUGGGCUGGUUUUAUUUUUUGGGCUUCUUUUUGGGCCUUAGCCCAUUUAUAGCCACUUUUAGUUUUUCUUUUUUGAAUUGUUUUUGGGCCCUCGCCUUUUAGUGUCCAAAUACAUUUGGUCCAGUUUCAGUUUUGGCCUUUUUUCAUUUUUGAAUUCAGCAACUUUUUUUUCAGAACUUGAUUUCAUUUCUAUUUAUUGGGCCUUUUCAACCAAUUAUUUGUCCAAUAUUAAAUGCAGCACUAUUUCAUGUUCAAAUCAAGAAAACUCCAAGUCGAAUUAAAAUCAUCAUAUAACAUCACAUAAUACAUCUCCAGGUUUACAUAAUUCAAUAACUCAUCUAAUUCACAGUUGACAAUCAGAUACCAGUUUUCACAACUGAAGCAUCAACCCAAAAGAAUCUCAAAAGAAAAUACAGAAAUUAGCACUCGCUGUGAAGAAGUCAUCCUGCUCUUGCUUCCCCACUCCUAGUUUUGCAUCACUGAUACCAGCUUUUAUGGGCUCUAGUAUACCUGCAUACAAACAAAGUAAUGUAUUUUUGAGGCGCAGGAACUAGAUGGCAAUGCUAAAUUGUAAAACGUCUUUCGAAGAACAAAAUAUCAUCUCAGGUGUAACAAUAACAGUGAGUAGCUAGAUGAGGUGCAAGCUAGCUGAAACACCAUUCGUUAAGUACCAAAACUACUCCCUUGGAUAAUAAGUGACCACCAGGAACUACCCAUACAUAUAUUCAGCAAGUUUGCAUCAGGUAGGCUAGUGUUAGCUAGCAUGGUAAGCAGAGAAACGAGCAAACUUUAAAAACAAAUAGUGGCAUGAUGAUUAUGAAAGGACUCUAGCAGCCUAACCAGACAGCCAUGGAACGAUGGCCAUAGACCCACACCAUGACCGUGGCUCGAAGGCCAUGAGGAUCAUCAGAGCAACCGGGGACAGGAGGCACGGAGCAGAGGAGGGAGAGGAGCUCACCGUGCCGAUGCCAAACAACGUCACCGGCAGCAACGGGGCAGUCCAAUGGAAGACGUCGAAGCUGAGCCUACCUCCAUGCACCUUGCCUGUAAGAGAUGGUAAAGUAGUUUCAGAUAUCACAUUAUUGAAUUGCUUGCAGUGUGACAUGAGCUAGCCAAAAGUAUUCAAGGGACUAAAAAAAUUAGAAGUGUAGAAUCAUAUAUGCCCCUAGCAUGCAUCUCUCAAAUAGUUAAUUAAUCAGACUUGCACUGUUGUACUAACAAGCAUGAGCGUUUAAUUUGUACUCAAAACUGAACCUAGAGGAUAUAUAUGAUAAAUCUCACUCACAGCUAACCAAAUCAACAACUAGAAAUUGGUGGUGUGCUAUUUAGAAGGUCAACAAUGAAGACAUGUUUGUGUCUUUCAAAAGAAACAUGUUUGUGGUGUUUUUUCCAACAAAAUAUAAUUAAGCGGUCCAAGUAAAUAUACUGAAGCAAUAAUUAUCUGAAAAAUGAUGUUUUCAUGCUGCUCUUAGCCUCAUUGUACAAAAAACAAAUGUGACUGAGAGAAGUAGGAGCAGUAGGCUGUGAUCCUAUAUGAAUGAUACUGAGAACAUUUGAGAGAAGUAGGACACCAGCAGCAGAAGGAAAAUCUAAAGUAGGACACCAACAGAAGCAGGAAAAUCAUGGGAAAAUAGACUGAGAGAAGUAGGGCACGAGCAGCAGCAGGAAAAUCUGAAUUUAUACUGAGAAAAUUUAUUUACAAGGAUAUGAAUAGGUGACUACAACCCCACACGUGUCACGCCCUUUGCCCCACAAAAGCAUCUCCGGCGAACUACUAGAGAAGCAAACGUGGUUGGAUUAUUUUGUGCUUUGUUGGAGAAGAGAUAAAAUUUACUUCAGAUAUACUACUGAUCGCUACCUUCAAUUUUCUUGUCUGCACUUUCUGGCCUUGUACCGAAUUGCAUAGAGGUAUCAUUUGAAUUAUGACAGGAACUGUUCUAAGUUCUGACCUAGCUUUGAAACAACCUCUUGUGUUGCUGCGCAUAAUUGAGUAGUAGAUAACUAAAGAUAACAAGAAAAAGUAAACAAGCAUGCCAAAACAAAACCCAUGUGUUUCGGAGCUCUAAUCAUGUUAUACUAAAGGGCUAGUGUUUACAUUCUGUUUUGCUGCAUUUUUAGGUUGAUGCUAUGCUUCAGAAAUUAGAGAAAGAAUUUUUAGGUUGAUGCGGCAAGGCCCCUCUGAUCGUUUGAAGUGGAGAAGAACGUGGCCAUCCGAUCCUCUUCGGAUGCAAAUGCAGUCUAUCAUCAGAAGGGUACCACUAUCGACGCUUGGGAAGGUUCAAGUUCUGUCUUGAGUGUGUCGAACUGAAGAAAUAGAGGAUUGGAAACUGUUAGUAAAUCCUGCCUACUAUUGUCAGAAAACGAUUUCAUCUUGCUCCUAAAUUCAAAUCACAGUAGCAAAUAGCAUAAUUAGUCACGGCGUGCAAGUGGAACUGUACUGAAUUAGGCAGAAGUGUGAUAUGAGUGGACUAGGCAAUAAUAACUGCAAAUUCAUUCAGAAAAUUACAAGAGAAAAGUGGAAGAAUUCUACUGCAAGUGAAGUAAAUCAAAAGGAAGGAAUGGAUCCAACAGAAUUGAAAGCAUGCAUCUACCUGGGAGAACAAAGUUCAGAUCACCGUACUUCCUUAACACACAAUCCCUCAGUCUUCUUUCUAAGGUACCACGUGCAUACAAAAAGAAACAGAAGCAUUUCCACUCAGCUGAUGAAACCAGCAUAUAAUUUCAGGAAAACACCAGUCCAAAUCAGUAGUACCUAUCAAGACUAAAAAAGAGCCUAACUGGACUAGACUUGACUUGAGAGAAACUAAGAGGAGGCAAAAAUAUUAGUCACCAUACUACCACUUAGCAAUUCAGAGACCGAACUUGCCGAGAAUCAGCUAAAACACGAAGCAGUUUUUCUAGUUGGUAUGAUGUUGUGCUGCUGCACCAGCCAAGGCGCCAACCACAAGUAGGUAAGCAGGAACAGAGAGCUCAACAAGAAAGAAAAGAAGCCACAACCACACCAAGAAUCCACACAGAAACACUAAAAGUCACAGUAGCACUAUCAUCAUUAUUUUCUGAUGGGCGCCACAGCCUGCAUGUAUUUGGCUAUCUGCACAUGAUAAACCAUCUAAACUGCAUCAAGAUUCAUGUUGUUGAUGUUGUUUGUUUUGUUGCACUGUAAUCGCAACUAACACUGGAGUAUUUGAAUUAAUUAUUUGAUUUUGGUUGGUAGCAUAAUCUGGAAUACAGUAGUUAAAGUCCACAAACAUGUUCUGAUACACAGCAAACUUCUAAAAGGAAAAUAAACCUUUUUUAAGCAUGAAAAGAAACAAUUAAAGUUAAAGAGAACCAGGAGAAACGCGGUGAGAUGUUUGCAUAUGACACAUUUCACAAAAGAUAUGCAGAUUCAAAGAAUAAUCUCCCAUACUAGAUCCACCAAAUUCACUUUUUACUUUUGAGUAGGAAGAAAUAAAACUGUGUCGCGCCUAGUUUUUCCUAACGCAACAUCAACCAUUCGAUUCAGAGCCAAAAUAACAACUAGGUCCUUGGCAUUUAUCCUAGAUUUCCAAAUAAUACCUCACUAGUUCCAUUCUAAAUGCUUGAUGACAGACAAACACGCAUAUCAUUGUUAAAUCAAGGCAGACGAGAUUAAUCCAGGUUAAUAAUAGAUGACCAUGUUACAAGCCAAUAAGAGCCAGAAGCACCCUACUAUUGACCAACCUGUAGUUAACUGGCGACGAGCGGCACAACCUCAAUCAAUGCUAUCUCCAGCCCGACCUCCAACAUCUGCAGCUAUGGGCUCUUGAGCUCGCAGCGCCUCCACGCCUCGUUCCACCAUCUCCUCAGCACUUGCAAACAUUCAGUUGGAAGAUAGUUGUUAGCACAAUUUCUGCAUUCGCUAGUAAGAAAAAGGCAUCAUGCUACUUUGGCUAGUCUAUUACAAGGCAUCAACUAAGCAACGCGUAAAGAACUGUAAGUAUCUACAUCAAAGACACAGCUAGUGGUUUUACACGUUUAUAUCAUGUUAACGUGGAGUUAUAGCCAGAGCCGGUGGGGUCAAAGAUGUGCAUCGCUCUGUCACAACAAAUUAAACUGCUGCUGCAAACAUGCACAUGGAAAUCAGAAACAAGCCGUGAAAACAAUUCCUGGCCCCAAUUUUCUUUCGCAUUCACUCGUAGAAUCAUCCCUUCUAACUAAUCCAUCCACUUACACAGCAGAAGCAAUUCACCAUGCACCACUACGUGUAUAACUGCACGGCGAUAAAAAAGCUACCUUUCCAUGGUGUAGGGGCCCUCGGGGAGGCGCCUCCCCUGCCGGAGGCAGUCGAGGAACCAGCAGUGGCUGACGAUGCGGACCCGGAGCCGCCUCGCGAUGUCGUACUUCUUCCCCUCGAGCCUCCAGCAAACCUAAUCGCGGCUCAAACAAGGCAACGCGAAUCAGCGGGUGCGGCGAAGACCGGGGUCGACGACGGGCGCGAAGAGAUUACCACGUGGGUUAUGGAUCUGCUCAUGGAACCGACGUAGCUGGCGCCGGCCUCCGAGAUGAGCUUCACGAGCCUGUGCCGAUCGUUGCCGUGGUAGCCGCUCACCGUCGCUAUCACCUUGUCCAUCCCCGCCGCCGGCAUGGACCCGCCGCGGGCGCGGGAGACUCCGGGGGCGGGGAGGUCGGCCCGCGCGGCGGAGACGGCGGUCGGGAGGCUGGAGGCGGCGGCGGCUAGGGCCGAGAUCGGGGGUGGGGAAUGGGGAAGGAAUGCUCCGAUUUUGAUCCGCCGGUGGCGUAAUUUCACAACUUGAUUCUGAUUUCCAUGCGCGGUGUUGAUGCGCAGCUCCCUCACCAUCGCAGUCGGCCGCCCCUGGGCAGGGGGGGUUCGUCGGGAGAAGGUGGACUCGGGAGGUGGAUCUCCGGCCAGUGAGAAGAGGGAGGUGGCACCGGCAACCGCCACUGGUGUUGGGGUCGCUCGCCAGCGGGGCUUGUUCCAUCCAUGAGAGGUGGGUGGGGUGGCGGCGGUCGGUGGGAGAUGGAGGCGGGGUGGAUCGAAUUUGGAGAGACGAGACGAUGGGAGGGGUGGAUCGGUCUGGGUGGGACGAGGGUAGGGUUUGCGCGGUUUUUCCCCCCGCAGCGUUUGGAUUCAUUGAGAGACGUUCGAUCUGUUGGCUUUAACGGCUCAGAUCAGCUAAAGUGGGGCUGACUGCCGUGUCACGUCAUUGAUCCGAGGAAAGGAGGUUUUAGCCAAUAGGAAAUCAGCAAACAAAAUUGUGUUUGUUUACCUAUUACUUUUGAUAAAAUAAACAUGUUAAUAUUUAGCAAAUUUCUCAAAUAUUUUUUCACACCUUCUAAAAAUGAUGAACCAAUACCAUGUCCAAUUUCAUAUUCUUUAGACCAUAGCACAUCCCACCAAUCAGAAUUAAGCUUAUAUAAAAUUUUUGUUGUUUGUUUGUUUCUCUUAUAUUUUAUCCUCUUAUAGUUUGUUACAAUGACCCAAUAUUGUCCACAUGUGUGUAUGUUGGUAUGACAAACAACGUUGUCAAAGAGAUUUUACAUUUUGUUUGCACAAAAAAAUCAUUUUCUAUUUUCGAAGUGCCAGAAAAUAGGUUUUUUGUAAAGAACCUACCAAAUCUUUGUUGUAAAAAUGUAGCAACUCAUUUUAAAAAUAUUAGACAAUAUAUUAUGUAUAAUAUAAAAUAUUAUGACAGACCAGAAACCAACCCAUUAGCAAGCAUGGAGGAUAAAUUACCAGCCCAAUAUAAAAGUAAGAUGAAAAAAUAGCCCAACAAAAAAGUGGUAUAAAAAACAGUUCAAUACAUGGAUGAGGUGGAAUAUAAUGGACCCACGAGUGACAUGUCAACAUAGUUAGAACAUGUUACGACAUUUUUAUAAUCGUCGUAAAAGUUAUGACGAUCUCAUCUUAUGUGGUUACGACGUUUUUGACUCACAUCGUCGUAAUUUAUAUGUAGAUUUGAUCCCCUCAAACGGUUUACGACAAUCUCGGAUGAAUUCGUCAUAGAUUUAUGACGAAUUCAUCAACGACGUCUUAAAAACAUCAUGUAUGAGCAUACUUCUUGUAGUGACGUCCGACGGUUUCCGGACGUCCGGACGGCCCCGGAUGUCCGAGAGUACGGCUCUGUUCAAGGGCACCGGAUUUCCAAAAGUGGUCGGACGUCCGGCCCUCGGACGACAGGGAGAGGCCGGAAGUCCGAGUUAUCUGACUCUGGAUUUCUCUGGUGCAAGGUUCCGAUUUUCCGAAGUGGUCGGGCGUCCGGUCCUCGGAUAGAGGGAGCCGGAUGUCCGAGACUUUGGCUCUGGUAUAGGGUUCCGUAUUUCCGAACUGGUCGGGCGUCCGGCCCUCGGACGUCCGAAGGGGGGCGGAUGUCCGAGGCUUUGGUUCUCUUUUGGGAUCAAAGCAGAGCAGUGGAGAUGUGGCAUGAGCAGAGAAGUAGAGAUGUAGUUUGAGCAAAUUUAUCGCAAUACCCAGUGAUCCCCUCUUAAUAGUGCGGGAUCCCUAAAGACUCAAGAAACAUAAAAAAAAGGGUACCGAUGAUCUAUACUUGCGUGUAUACUUUUAUUCGCUGAUCAUCACUCCGCACCAUUAACGUCAAAGGAACUGAUACCUUUGAGUUAUCCCUUUCACUUGAGCUUGGUGUUGUUGUUCGUUCUUGACUCAAGAUGAANNNNNNNNNNNNNNNNNNNNNNNNNNNNNNNNNNNNNNNNNNNNNNNNNNNNNNNNNNNNNNNNNNNNNNNNNNNNNNNNNNNNNNNNNNNNNNNNNNNNNNNNNNNNNNNNNNNNNNNNNNNNNNNNNNNNNNNNNNNNNNNNNNNNNNNNNNNNNNNNNNNNNNNNNNNNNNNNNNNNNNNNNNNNNNNNNNNNNNNNNNNNNNNNNNNNNNNNNNNNNNNNNNNNNNNNNNNNNNNNNNNNNNNNNNNNNNNNNNNNNNNNNNNNNNNNNNNNNNNNNNNNNNNNNNNNNNNNNNNNNNNNNNNNNNNNNNNNNNNNNNNNNNNNNNNNNNNNNNNNNNNNNNNNNNNNNNNNNNNNNNNNNNNNNNNNNNNNNNNNNNNNNNNNNNNNNNNNNNNNNNNNNNNNNNNNNNNNNNNNNNNNNNNNNNNNNAUAUGAUCAUUAACAACAGCUUAAAGGGGAUUAGUGAUUAGUUAUCUAUAUGUGUGUUGUCAGCAUAUAGAUAAUUCAUAGCAUAUCAUAUGAAUCAAAGCAUAUCAUAUGAAACAAUAAUUCAUAGCAUAUCAUAUGAAUCAAAGCAUAUCAUAUGAAUCAAUAGGAUAGCAUAAAACUCAUCAUCAUAUGACACAACGAUAAUAUCAUGAUAUCUCAUCACCACAUGAUAGUUUAACAAUACAUCAUCCAUAAGUGAUGGCAUAGCACAUCAUCCAUAAGUAUCGUUACGUGAUGACACAUCAUUAAGUUCGACAUACUACAUCAUACCAUACAUUAUGAGAGAAACAAAAAUCGAAACUAAGAUAAGAUAAUAUCCUCCCCCUUUGGCAUCAAGGACCAAAAAGGAAGGAACCCGACAAUGCUACCACAUACUCAAAUAUCACCCUCAUCAACAUCAUCAUCAUCAAGCAGGCCACUGCCACCAGCCUUAUGAAGGAAGUCAGCCCACUCAGGGCCAGAUGAGAAGCCAAAGUCAGAAGGAGGAGCAGCAGGAAGAUCCUCAUCAUCACUCACAUCAAGAGCGCCCGAGUAUCUCAGACGAGCCUUGAGGGCAUUCUUGGAGGAGACGAGGCAAAAAACCACAUCAUGAGUUUGACCGCACUGGAAAGAGAAAGCCUUCAUCAUGGCAGAAUGUGCCUUGCCAAUGAAUUUGGCAAAGCGACCGAGAGGAGCUGAGCUGGAUGAAGGGGUUGCUGACCGGGAAGCAGUGCGGCGAGUGGAGGUGCAUGAGGUUUUCUUAGGAGCAUAGUCAUCCGCCAUGUGAUUGGGAAUGGCCCACUUGUGAUGCGUGUGAGUGGGAGCAACAGUGAAUUCAGCAACAUGGUGAAUAAAGGCCUAGAUGAAGGGGGCAUGAGGGAAGGCUCGCUUGUAUUGAAGACUAGCGAGCCGAAUCUCAUGCCAGAGAAAGUGAGGCACAUUAAUCUUGCGCUUGGGGAAAUCGUGUAAAUGUGACAUGAUAUCAAUACAGUAGCCACUGCAGGUUCCCCUGUCACCCAUCUUGGGAUAGAUGGUGCGGAUAAGACAUUGAAAUAUGAUAAAGAAGGGAGAGCGCCAGAUGGAUACUUGGUUAAGAUCCUUCAUCCGUUCGUCUGCAUCAAGUUCACGAAGUGGUUUGAGGAGAGAGCCACAUGCCUCAAUGGGCUUAGGUGCAUGGUUAGGAUCACUCUUAUGGAUUUUGGUGCCGGAGUCUGGGAAACCGAGUGCGGCAACAAACUCAGCAUAAGAGGCUGUGAACUCAACAUCAGAAGUCAUCCAGCUAACAGUGUUGUUUGAGCCAAAGAAACACGUGGCAUAAAAUUGAUGAAUAGCGGCACUGUUAAAAUCGCACCGAAAAGCAAAGGGGGCAGCGAGCCCCGAUGACUCAAUGAGCUCAAUGGCACCCGGGUAUUUUGAUGGGUGAGUGCGAAUAUGCUCAAGAUCAAUAUAAUGAUGUACUGGGAGAUCCUUAGGAACGAUGACAGUAGAAAAGAUGUCCGCUUGGACGUGUGUGUGGAAAUGUGAGUCCAUAGAGUCACGUUUAACAGAAAAUUGGUUAACAUCGCGGCGGAAUGUAAAGUAGGAAGACUUAGGAACCUUGGUGAUGUCCUUGACUUCACGACCUAAAGCAGGAGAAGGUUCAAGGUAGAUGCGACGAGCAUCACCUUCGGGCUGUUCGGGAAGAGGCGAGGGCAUGUAAGAUGGCUUGCGAGAGCCCGUCUUCGGAAGAUUCUUCCACACAGCUACAAAUUCCGUCCGUUCUUGAACUUCAAGUUCGUCCUCAAAGUCUGAGCCUUCCGAGGGAGACGAGCGAACUGAGCGAACCGGACGCCGGGCGACCCGUUUAACGAGACGGCGGUAUUCGUCCGAGCCAUCCGACCCCGUACCAUGAGUGGCACGAGCGGAUGAACCGGCAGCGGGCUUGCGUGUUGAGUGCUUGAUCCGAGGCAUGGCGGAAGAUCCUGGCUGCGAGGAACGUCAGGAGGUGGAUCCGGCCAGGGUGGUGACCGGAGGGAGACGAAUCCGGUGAAGAACGGCCCACCAGCAGUGAGGAAGGGCCAGGGGAUGGCGCGGCGGCGGCUGGGGCGAAAUAGGGGAGGAGGAGGUGCGUGGUGGUUAGGGCAAAGCCCAGACCCGCGCCCUCCAGCUUCUAUUUAUAGAGGAUCCCCGAUGUGUCGGACGACCGACGGGCGCCGGACAUCCGGAAGCUGUCAACGAUCGGACGACCGAGGAUGGUCGGACGUCCGGACAGGAACAGGCGUCGGACGAACGAGCCGUGCCGAACGUCCGAGAGGGAGGCAGACAGGGCUGAACAUGAUGGUGAGAUGGUUCAAGUGAAUAGAGCAAAGGUAACAUCCAACAGUAUUUCAUAUAGUGACUAUACCUUCCCAACGCUCGAACAAUGGAGUGUGUGGUGGGUUUAACCACCAAGUUCGAGUGCUACCUCGAGACAGGGACACUUAAGCAUUUUCUGUCUUGCUCAUGAUGGUGAGGUGAUAAGGAGUAUUCUCGCAUGUGUAGCAACCAAGGGCCUCUCAACUAACAUAUUUUGGACAUGGUAUGAUGUAAAUCUUCUAACUCGAUUACUAUGAUAAGUGUGGGUCCAAAAUACGGUCAAACGCAUGAGUGCAUAGGAUCAUGCACAAGUUAUCCUAUUAUAAGAGCAAGGCACAUGACACAAGGGCCAUGACACAAAAUUUUCUCAUUCAUAUGACCAUGGAGUGCUAAGAGAACACCAACACUAAGCAUUUCAUUAGUGUGAUUGACAAGGACAUGCAGGAAAUUACAAAGUGGAAAAACUAUUAUGUUCAUGCAAUGAUGCAACCUACACAGGGUUGACUCUAACGUUAUACAUGCAUGAAGUAAAUACUUGUUACCGGAAAAGCAUUGGUAUGGCGUAGAAGUAGCCGAGUCCUGUCUUGACUCUAAUUUCUUCGUGACCAGCACCAUCUUCUUCUGAGAAUAAGUCAAGAUAGCAAUGCUUCUCCAAAGUACCUAAACCACCAUUUAAGCACAAUAUGGUCCCCAAACUUAUUGGGUCCGAAGUAGUUAGUCCAACUACAAUAUAUAUAGGGUAAGAUCACUCAAUUAUGUGCAUACAGAUAUAAGUUUUACUUUCAAGCACACCUUAACCUUUUAAAGGAUACGUCUGAUUUACCAUAUACAUAUAUCGGAUCAAAGAUACGAUAGACACGGCAUGUGCAUCUACACAUAGUAGAUAUGCCUACACAAGCCUAUCAAAAUCCAAGGAUAUAUAAUUUGGAUAAAUGAACACAUAAUUGUCAAUUACAGAACAUUCAUGUCGUCCAAAAAGGAUCAGGGUGACAAAUCAACAUAUGAUAGCACCCCAAGUUCAACACAUGAACCGGUCAAAGUAUCAAACCAUGUAAGGUAUGCAUUUUGCACAACCUUACAUGCAUGUCUCACCCCAUUAGAUGUAUAAGUGUAGGUAAUAUGAUUAUAACUCCCACAACAUUAUGAAAUAAAUAGUACGAGCUCAAAGACAUGCAUGGGAGAUUACCGGGAGACACAUGAAUUUCUCGGCAAGUUAUGUAGGUCAAAUGAAGACAAAGCCGAAAUAGAAUGACCAUGAAAAACACUACCAAGCCAGAGAUACCAUGUGUGAGAGAACACAAUGGUAUUUAGAAUUAUCAGUGGUGGUAGAUUCCAAAUGAGCACAAAGAUCGUUUUAUACUCACACAAGUGUGGUAUGGGAGUUUAACCAUAAGCAUAAUGUUUAGAUGUCGUACGUUAACAUCCCAAUUAGUUAGAUCAUAGUGUAGAGAAAUAAUUCGAAAGGCAUGCAUCAACUAUGCCCUUCUUUUAAGUACGAUCUAGCGGCUAAGCCAUGAGUAUUGGUGUAGUAGAACGUCAUACUCACGCACAUCUAAGGGAUUUAGACACCAACAGGGUUAUUAUGCGAAUUAAGACAUGUGGAGCAUGACACGCCACACAGUUAUAGAAUAACCCCAUGUGGUAGAUUCUGAGUGGCAUACAUCGGAUGUUUAUCUUACCAGGGGAUGUGACGUGCACAAAGCAUAUCACACUCCCUUAAUGUGAUAAUCCAUGUAUUUAUAAUACAAGGCAAUCAAUCAUCCAACUAAGCUGAUAAGUGGAUGCCAAUUUGAACUUCGGAUGGCUUUGACAUCCAACGAAAUGAUUGGAUAACCUUGCACCGUGAAUACUAGAUGGAGUCCAAUACAUAUAUACACAUUUUGGGUUAGUGAUGUGCGUAGAGCAGAACACUGCCCCUUAAUGUGAUGAGCUAUUAACGUCUCAAAAGACCCACACAACGGUGCAACUAGGAUGCAAGUAAUGAUCAGGACUACACACAACUAUAUGACAUACAUAACGACCUACACAUGAUAGAUAACACAUAACAAUCAUACUAGUAGGCGCAACAUGUCAAAGUACAUGCUAGGUACCAAACCUUGACAUGAGAAGGAGUGGGGCACGCAACUUUCAAUGUAAACAAUGUAAGUACAAGUUACCGCAAAGAGGCACACUGGAUAUGGGAUAUGGGCUUGAUAAUCCAAAUGACUUGGCUUGAGAUAAUACAAAUGAUGGAGAGUCCUCAAAUCUUCAUUGUGUAUCCAAGUCUCCAAUGUCCUCCAAAGUCACCUAUUGAUCAAGUUUGAGCUUGUUGGUCCCCAACUACGUUGGGUCCUAAGAGGUUAGUCACAGUAGGCUUGGCAACCCAAAUGGUUCUUUUCUUGACACCAUUUUGAGUACCAACAAACUUGGCAAACACAUUGCCAACCUUAUCCUUCCCAAGGGAAUAGAUAUCAUCAAUAGUGAUUGGGUUGGAUAAGUUACCUCUCGUGCAAGACGAAGCGACGUGACCCUUCUCACGACAUAAGUAGCAACACCUACCCUUUGCUUUCUUCCGAGUUGAUUUCUCACCUCGGGGAGUGUUGGCUUGGGUCUUAUUGGGAAGAGGCCUUCCUUCAACUUGUAGCUGAGUAUGUGAUUGAGUUUGUGGCCGCUUCCCUUGUUGCUUGUGACUUUGAGACUUCGUCUUCAGAGGGCAAGAUCUAACAUGGUGCCCUUUAACUUUGCACUUGAAGCAAAUGAUUUUGGCCGAAUUCUUGACUUGUUCUAGGCCCCUCUUGUUCUUGUUUGAGUUUACUCCAACAUCAUUUUUGUCAUUCGGGGAUGUUUGUUCACAUAGGACGUUGUUGAGUGUGGACAUCCCUUCAUGACACUGUUCCAAGUCUUUCUUCAAAGAAGUGACUUGGGCCUUGAGCUCUUCGAUUUCCUCUGCAUGGUUAGUAUCAACGCAAGUACUAGAGGAAGUGUAAGCUUCAAUGUUAGAGCAACAAGGCAAGGAAAGUAAUUCAUCACACGAGGUAGCAACAUUAUGAGUAGACGAAUUACGAGGACUAGCACAUGGAAAUAUAGUAGUUUGACUAGAAGUAGUGCCAUUGUUCAUAUGAGGCUCACUUGAUGUUACCUUGGUGAUGAUAGCCUCAUGAGCUAACUUUUGCACAUUAUGGGAUGUUAGAAGAUCGGCAUGAGAGCUUGUGAGCAUUACAUGGUUUUCUUCUAACUUCCCAUAAUUGCUAGUUAGUAAAUCAAGUUGAGCACGUAGCUCAAUAUUCUCCUUCAAUGUUGAUACUUCAAAUGAGGUAGAGUUAGAUGUACAAGUAUCAUCAACAAUAUGAGAGCAGUAAGUAGCAAAUAGAGACUUCUCAUGAGUAGAUUGAAGCUCCUCAUAGAUCUUAGAGGUUUUGAUGAGCUCUCCCUUGACAUUAUUGCAUUCAAGGAGAAGGACCUCAAAAUCAUUUUUAAGUUUAUCAUGAGCAACUUCAAUCUCUCCUUUUGAAGAUCUUAAGUCUCUACAUGCUUGAUGACUCUUAUCAAGUUCAUGUUCAAGUUGUUCACUUUUAGCUUGUUCAUGAUUAAGUGAAUCAUUACAAUUUUCCAAGUAAGCAAGAACAUCUUGGAAUCUUUGAAGAGCGUUAUUUUUAGCUUUAUGAAGAAUUUUACUGAUCACAUAGAUAUUUUCAGUCAAGUCAUCAUCAUCAUCCUCAUCGCAAAUAUCAUCGUUAUUGCACAGGGAAGAUGAUACCUCAUUAUUACCUCUUGCCAUGAGGCACAUGUGAACUCGAGGAGUUGAUGAUGAUUCUUUUGGUGAAUCAGAUUCUUCAUUAGUCAAAAGUACUUCAUAUUUCUUGAUUUCCCCUAAAUUAUUAGUCUUAGAGCAACUAGGGAGAAACAAGAUAUUUUGAUCAAGAGGACACGGGAAAGCAGGCAUAUCACCAGAGACAUUUGUCGAGCGAUCUUUAGGUGAAAUGCAUGACCUAUCAGCACAAUAAUUUACACUAUGUGUGGUGCUAGAUAUGCUCGUGUCCAUAGAGGCUAUGACAUUUUCAUCAACAUAUAUUUCUUCACUCACCAUGUCAUUACCUUGUGAGAUUGAAGAUGCUGAGGUGUGCAAGCAAUCGGAUAUGGAAGUAGUGGUGGACUCUUUAUGAUCGAAAAGAGUGAAGAUCUCAUGCACCAACUCCUUCAUCAUAAUAUUGUCUUCAUCAAGAUUGGACCCACCAUAUAUAUCUUCAAGUUUAGUCCAAACUUCAUGAGCUGACUUGCAAGUCGAGAUAGACUUAAACACUUCAGGACUUAUGGUUCGAUGAAUGGCAAGAAAAGCCUCACAAUCAAGAUACAUUUAUUUAGUAGAUGAAGAUACAUCAUCCUUUUUGUCGGCAAUCCCUACAAGAACAAUUCGUAAAGUAUUUGGGCCCAUGGCCCGAAAGUGAUGAAGCAUACGAAUUCUCCAUAGGGUAUAAUUUGUGCCAUCAAAGUCAAAGGUGUCAUUGUGCACUAAUCCAAUAGUCGACAUCGAUGCUCUCUAGGUCGUGAAACCUAAUUAAAGAGAGACCUUGCUCUGAUACCAAUUGAAAGGACCACGAUGACACAUAGAGGGGGGUGAAUAGGCUAUUUAAAAACUUCUUCGAAUUUGGCUUAAACCUAAUGCGGAAAUAAACUAAGAGGAUACUUUUCAAGCACAAAUCCUAAAUGCAAUAGGCACCGCAACGUGCACCAACAACACGAUCUACCAAGAUGGACACAACACGGUUACUAACAAGCACAAGUAAGUUACACAAACUUACUUGAGCUAUAUCACACGACGAGUAGGUGAAUGACACAAGAUACUAGAUCACACUAUAGCACACGAUAUAUCAAAAGCUGCAAGUGUGAACGUGUGGAUAUAGAGGGUAUGCUUGAACGAUUAAUCUUGUACAAAGAAAUAGCCAACACAAUAUAAUGAGCACAAACAAUAUGAAAUGUAUGUAUGCUCAAGUAACACAAGUAAACCACAAUUAAGGAGUUAGGGUUAGGGAUAACCAAGGUCACUGAGACAAAGAUGUAUCCCGAUGUUCACUUCCUUGGAGGGAAGCUAGUCAUCGUUAGAGAGGUGGAUGUUACCACGAAGGCACACCAACGCCACGAAGGCUCACCCUAUUCUCCCUUUAAGAUAACACCACGAAGGUGUUUCUCAACCACUAGUGGUAAGCCUUUGAGGUGGCUUCCAAACCCUCACAAACUUUUCCGGGGGUAAUCACACGGAUUGAUUCCUCUCCGAAGAACUCCUACCGCGUAGGAGUCUCCAACCUCCAAGAGUAACAAGAUCACGGGGAAUGCUCAAAACUUGCUCAAAUCUCAAAUAUCUUGGGUUGAGAGGAGGAGAGGGAGAAGAUCUAUCUUUUGAUUGGAACAACUCUCAAAGGGGCUCACAAAUGCUCUUGGGAUCUAAGAUUUGGUGUGAGCAAAUGUGUGCGAGGUAGAAAUGUGUUCUGAUGAAGAUAUGGCUGUGUUGGACCCCCUCUCACGAAGUGGGAGGGGGGUAUAUAUAGUGGGGAGACUAAAAUAACCGUUGUGGUCACUUAAGUCUGACAGUGGUCGGACGUCCGACGGUUUCCGGACGUCCGGACGGCCCCGGAUGUCCAAGAGUACGGCUCUGUUCAAGGGCACCGAAUUUCCGAAAGUGGUCGGACGUCCGGCCCUCGGACGACAGGGAGAGGCCGGAAGUCUGAGUUAUUUGACUCUGGAUUUCUCUGGUGCAAGGUUCCGGUUUUCCUAAGUGGUCGGGCGUCCGGUCCUCGGUCGUCCGGAGGGAGCCGGAUGUCCGAGACUUUGGCUCUGGUAUAGGGUUCCGGAUUUCCGAAGUGGUUGGGCGUCCGGUCCUCGGACGUCCGGAGGGGGCCGGAUGUCCGAGGCUUUGGUUCUGUUUUGGGAUCAAAGCAGAGCAGUGGAGAUGUGGCAUGAGCAGAGAAGUAGAGAUGUAGUUUGAGCAAAUUUCUCGCAAUACCCAGUGAUCCCCUCUUAAUAGUGCGGGAUCCCUAAAGACUCAAGAAUCUUAAAAGAAGGGUACCGAUGAUCUAUACUUGCGUGUAUACUUUUAUUCGAUGAUCAUCACUCCGCACCACUAACGUCAAAUGAACUGAUACCUUUGAGUUAGCCCUUUCACUUGAGCUUGGUGUUGUUGUUCCUUCUUGACUCAAGAUGAANNNNNNNNNNNNNNNNNNNNNNNNNNNNNNNNNNNNNNNNNNNNNNNNNNNNNNNNNNNNNNNNNNNNNNNNNNNNNNNNNNNNNNNNNNNNNNNNNNNNNNNNNNNNNNNNNNNNNNNNNNNNNNNNNNNNNNNNNNNNNNNNNNNNNNNNNNNNNNNNNNNNNNNNNNNNNNNNNNNNNNNNNNNNNNNNNNNNNNNNNNNNNNNNNNNNNNNNNNNNNNNNNNNNNNNNNNNNNNNNNNNNNNNNNNNNNNNNNNNNNNNNNNNNNNNNNNNNNNNNNNNNNNNNNNNNNNNNNNNNNNNNNNNNNNNNNNNNNNNNNNNNNNNNNNNNNNNNNNNNNNNNNNNNNNNNNNNNNNNNNNNNNNNNNNNNNNNNNNNNNNNNNNNNNNNNNNNNNNNNNNNNNNNNNNNNNNNAUAUGAUCAUUAACAACAACUUAAAGGGGAUUAGUGAUUAGUUAUCUAUAUGUGUGUUGUCAGCAACACCAAAACACGAUUAAGGACAUGACUGCACUUUCAGGUGAUACUCCAUUCCUUCAGAUCUCUCUUUACAAAUAUGUCAAGUUCGGUCUACGCCAGCCUCUUUUGACCUUAUCAACAUGCUUUAGUCGUCUGUUAUGCACUUGAGCUUUUAGAGGCCUCCGCUAGUAUGACGAAAAAGGCUUUCGUCCCGCUUUGUAGAUAAAGCAUGAUCAACUUACAACUCUAAGAACACAACACACAACAUCACAACAGAACCCACACACCCGAGGCAAGAUACACAGGUACCAGAGAACAACUACAAAACCCCAUCCACCACCACAAAGACAAAAGAUAAACAAGAAGGAAUACUAUGGUGAUGAUGGAGCCCUCAACGAAGCGAAGAUGGGAAGUUGCUGGCCAAUGAACCGAGAGUGCCAAGGCGGUGUCUUCAAAAAUGUUACGGCACCGGAGUGCCGCCACUGUCCAAUCCAAAGAAUCUAGAUUUUCACUCGAAGCACGACGAAGGUCAAGAUGCAGCCACGACGAAUACUUCAAGAAGCUGACGAUGUCCACGGACAUCGCCUCCGACAGUCUGGCCAACGCCAGACAGGGUGUAUACCCCGGCAAGAAUGCUUCACCUUCGACCACAAUGCAUCGAGAACGAUGUCAGCCGCAUCUCCAUCCCGGCCGUCAACCCUAGCCCCCAUGCUGCCCCACGGCCAUGGUAGCUAGCUUGUAUCGGAAUCACGGGUUCUGCCUGAGAACACUCUCAUUCUUAAAAAAUGUAUAUCAAAAAAUACAUACUUUUUUUUUCUGUGAGGUAACCAAAAACAUACUUUCUCUUAACCAAAAAUACAUACCUUGAAGGAUCAAAUGUAUAUCAAAAAAUCUUGAUGGACCAAAAACAUACUUUUUUUUCCUGUGAGAUAAACAAAAACAUACUUUCUCUUAAAAAUAUUGAUGUCUCAUCAAGGGACUCACAAAAAAGAAACUGAUCUCUUUUGCUAAGCGAUUAUCCAAUCGCUUAAACUGUACAUGUUCUAAGAUGCUCUAGGAGAGAGUGUAUAUGAUGCGAGUUGUGUUUGCAGGUCGUAUUAUUAUCUACGGAUGAUAUACUCAUCCGAUGGUCCCUUACCACACCAGCAUCUCUACGCUAUCGAUCUCCACCAACCAAUUUCGGGAUCUGGGAAUUUUUAGGGUUUGUUAGUUGACAUUUUUAGUACCAACUAGCUAUAGAUAUACGUGAAAAAAUGUGCACCGCAUCAUUCGGAUCGCGUUCCUUGGAUUUACUCCGUAGCAACUCCCCCACAGCUCCAACCCCUGGCUGUACCUAACUUGCUAUAUAUACGUGCGCCAGCUCUGCACAGGGACGCUCACACUCCAAUCAGGCACAGCACACAAAACAAGUCUCGUCAUAUCGAGAAACGGAGCUAGCUCGACCAUGGGUGGUGUUCGGCAGCAGCUCAUGGCCGUCGUCCUCGUGGCGGUGACGCUAAUGGCCACGGCGGCGGAGGGGUACAUCACUCAGAAGACGUGGGCAGCCAUCCGCCGGGCGAACCGCGCCGGGCCGUUCGUCGGCCUCGUCGUGCCCAACACCUACGAGAUGGUUCCUGUGCUCGAGUCGCCCAGCUUCGUGGCCAGCAAGAGCAUCCCUAACAUGGACAUCCAAGGUAAAUACUCUACUCAAAUGGUACGUUUUCAGUCUAAUCAGAUCAAGCAUCGUACGUCAUGUGCAAAAAUAAUCUGACAUGAAAUGACACUGUUGGUAAUACGUGAUCGAUGAUGUUUUCUUAAGCUUGAAAUGUCAACGGUUUGUUUGGGUCAAAGAAAUAAACGUAAUAAGAAACAAGCCUAUUCAUAAAUAUCACUGUCGGAGUCAGAAAUUCGGAAAGAAUAUGGUUGAAUUGAGUAACAAGCCUGCUCAUUUAUAAGAACCGGCCGAACUAUGUACUGUGCUGAAUUUGAAUGGUACUCGAAAGCAGUAACCUGACGAGCUGAAACACUGAGACGUUAAGUGUAUGCAUGACCUGAGAACGGACGACUUGCAUGAAAGCACACGGUGAUGGAACGCGGGACCGGAGAUUAUUAAUAUAUGGACGACUUGCAUGAAAGCACAUGGGAUGUGCGUAUUGAUGGAAGCACAUGCAUGAUAGGCACAGAUCUGCGAACUCAGUGAAAUUUUGUACGUACGAUCGAAGUGAAAAAUGAUACUCGUACGUAGAAGUAAAAGUCGGUCGUAACUACACCGUAAAGAUUAACGAAUGCAAUCAGCAUGAACGUCGUUGAUAAUUAAUACUAACAUUAUUGAAUGAUUUUUGCUUGAAGGGCGAAGGUUUCGCUUUGGAACCAUCGAAGGCCAAAGCGUCGUCAUGGUCAUGACAGGACUGAGCAUGGUAAGUUGGUACAUACCAUUAUAUCUGACUGACAAUGUUUAUCACAAAUACAGUCAGAACUUCCUUUUUUUUUUUUGCCGGGAAAAACACAGUCAGAACUUAACAUACUGUUGCACCAUGGUUGCAGCUCAACGCUGGUCUGACCACCCAGAUGCUGCUGAGCCUGUUCCGGGUGAAGGGCAUCGUCCACUGGGGCAUCGCUGGCAACGCCAACGAGGACCUCCAGAUCGGCGACGUCACCAUCCCCGAGUACUGGGCCCACGUCUCCCUCUGGAACUGGCAGGUAGUACAGAUUUAUCAGCGCUAAUAUUUUUGCACGUUUCACGUGUGUCAUGGUCGACCAAGAUUUGAUGUGUGGAUGAUUGAUUCGGGGGCCAGCGAUUCGGCGACGGCAAGGACAACGAGCUACCGCUGGAGGCCGCCGGCGACUACACUCGGGAGUACGGCGCCCUCAACUUCUCGGACUACACCGUGGGACAGAGCAACCCGGCGCUAUCAGCGAACCUCCUCAACAGCAUCUGGUACCAGCCGGAGGAGAUCUUCCCCAAGUCCGGCGAGCCGGAGGUGCGGCAGCACGCGUUCUGGGUGCCCGCUAGCAAGCGGUACUACGCGCUGGCGAAGAAGCUGGAGGGCAUGGAGCUGCCGGCGUGCGUGAACGCCACGACGUGCCUGCCCCGCGCGCCGCGGGUCACCCGAGUCAGCAAGGGCUGCAGCGCCAACGUGUUCCUGGACAACGCCGAGUACCGCCAGUUCCUCCGCAAGCAGUUCGGGUGCACCCCCGUGGAGAUGGAGAGCGCUGCCGUGGCCCUCGUGGCGCACACGCAGGGGGUGCCGUUCCUCACCAUCCGCUCGCUCUCCGACCUCGCCGGGGGAGGCUCCGCGCUCGGGAACGAGGCCAGCACCUUCAUCGACAUCGCCGCCAAGAACGCCGUCCAAGUCAUGCUCAAGUUCGUGCCGCUGCUCGGGAAGAGCGCCGAGGAGAUGGACGACGGCGCGGCCGCGGACAUCUGAUGUGAGCCAGCAGCCACUUGUCCAUGCACGAAUAAUCUGACGCCCGUGCGUCGUGUAUCUCCAUCGUUGUUCCGCUUUCCCAUUUUUCCUUGCGUUGCGCGACUUUGCGAGCCUAGAUCAAAUCACAGUUGAUGAGCCCACGAGUUGCAGAGAUGAAUUAAAUUAACAAAUCAAAUAAUCAAGCGCAAUGCCGUUUAUCCGGACUUCCAACUACUAUGUGGAAUUUAAUUAGACGCACUCAAUUCACUCACGCGAGUAAUGUACGUAUGUGCUUACGAUCUUAGAGUAACUUUUUUUUUUGGUGAAACUUUGCACUAUUACUCAAGUGGAGGUACUACAGUCUGCAUUACAAAGUUCAAUAAUCUCUGAUAAACCAGAGUUGAGCCAACCAAUUGUUCUACACCUCAUUCUAGCAUACUUUGUCAAAAAAUUACUAACAUUAUUUUGACUACGAUGAACAUAACUAAAAGUAGUGCUACGUAGGGAGAUGAUUGAUCUGUCAAUUAAGUCACUCAUGAUCAUGUUCAAAGCCUCCCGUGAGUCCAUCUCUACCUGAAUAGGUAGGUUUGUCAUCUGAAUAGCCAGCGAAAGACCCUUGAUACAUGAACUUAAUUCAGCUUCCAAUGCAUUUCUACAGAAAAAGAGCUCCAUGCAUGAUGUGUAAAUGAUCUGACCUGUACUAUCACGAGGAACCAUACCUGCACCUGCUCGCCCAUCGGCUGUCCAAGAGCCAUCGAUGUUGAGCUUAGCCCAGCCCUCCGUAGGCAAAACCCACUUAAUGUUUGGAGUAGGAGGCGGAACCAAUCGUGAUCUAGAUAACUGACCAUAAGCAACCACUUGCUUCCCCUUCCGCAGUUCCUCCUCUGAAUAAUUUAGUGAUAGUAGUGAAUCCAGGUAUCUCAUCAGAAAACGUUUAGAUGCCUCCAUUGGAGGGGGUUCUUUCUAGUGAGUAACCUCAUUCCGAUUAUGCCACACCCUCCAUAAGCUCAUCACUAGCAUGCCUCUCUCUAACACAGAAAGAGGGUGAAGUGUAUCCAGCAACCAUUCAGUGCCUGAAUUCUUCAAAUCCGCACGCUUGGGCAAACGCCAAACUAAAUCCAUACAAUCCUAGAGCUGCACUACUAGCGGGCACUUGCAUAGAGCAUGGAAGGUAUAUUCAUCUUCCCUCUCGCAGAUUGGGCAUAAUCCAGUCGUUUCUAGGGUGCAUUUGAAUUUGUUCUGCCAAGUUUGAAGGGAAUUCAUGGCAACGCACCAUGCAAAUUUUUUGACCGUAGGAGGCACAAAACUUCCCCAAAUAAGCUUCCAGCACGUGCGGCGACCAUCUGAAGCAGCACUUGAAGAUUCUGUUGUUGUUCUAUAUGUUUCCUCGAAGGCAAAUUCAUAAACUUAUUUCACCGAGAAGACUCCAGAUUUCGCCGGUCCCCAUGCCAGCACAUCCUCCUCUAGCCUAGGAGAUGCUCGGAUUUUCAGAAUCUCCUGAACGUCACAAGACAGAAAUGUUUCUUGGAGCAGAUUGUAAUUCCAUGCACCAUUAUGUUGGAGUAGGUGAGACACAUAUCGAAUUAUGCAAGUACCUUGAGAUGAUAUGGACCUGUAAGAGAAGGAUCUAGGGAUCCAAGGAUCCCUCCAGAUUCUGAUGUUGUUCCCAUUCCCUACUCUCCAUAUAAGCCCUUUCUUGAGAAGAUCUAGGCCAUGGCUGGUUGCAGUCCAAGUUGAAGAGGCAUUUCCUGAGAAGACCGUAUCCUCCAGUUUAUCACUGGGAUAGUAUUUGCUCUUAAGCAAUCUUGCAGACAGGCUAUCAGGCCGAUUCAAUAAUCUUCACGCCUGCCUAGCCAGCAGCGCCUGAUUAAAGAGGCGAUAGUCCCUAAAUCUGGCACCACCUUUGCACUUCGGACGUUGCAACUUUUGCCAAGAUUUCCAGUGAGCUUUGCGAUGCCCCUUGGUCGAUCUCAAAUAAAGUUUCUGACCAUCUCAGUGAGAUCAUCGCAGACCGAAAAGGGCAUCUUGAAAACACCCAUGAUGAAAACUAGUAGUGCCUCUGCAACUGACUUACUGAGAAUUUCCCUGCCGGGUUGGGCUAGAUGCCCACCGCCCCAUUGAACUAGCCUCUCCAUAAGCUAAGCUUGAAGAUUUUGAAACCGACCUUUCGUCAUUCUUCCGUUAGAGGUUGACAGCCCUAAGUACUUCUCUUCAAACCCUGUGGCAGAAAUAUUCAGAACAUCCUGAACGUCCUCCUGUGCAGUGACUGGGCAAGCUUCUCCAAACAUAAUCGACCAUUUCUCAUAAUUAAGAAGUUGACAAGUAGAUUUGCAUAAAGAUCAAGACAAUCCUUAACUUGUUCAGCUUGAGCUCUUGAGGCCUCAAAGAAAAGGAGUGUAUCAUCUGCAAACAAAAGAUGGGAGAUGCCCGGGGCGCGUCGACAAUUCUUUACAGGUAACAGAGAUCCCAUGUACACACGUUGUCGAAGGAGUGCAGAGAGACCAUCAGAAAAAAAACAGAAACAAGAAGGGGGGGAGUGGAUCAUCUUGUCGCGGACCACACGACAGUGCAAAUGAAUCCAAGAGGGUCCCAUUAAAUCUUACCGAAUAUCUCACCGAUGUGACACAAGUCAUAAUCCCCGCCCUUCUUGGGCGCCACCCUUCCCAUAUUUGUGUUGGGGAACGUCGCAGGGGAAACAAAAAUUUUCCUACGCGCACGAAGACCUAUCAUGGUGAUGUCCAUCUACGAGAGGGGAUGAGUGAUCUACGUACCCUUGUAGACCGUACAGCAGAAGCGUUAGAGAACGCGGUUGAUGUAGUGGAACGUCCUCACGUCCCUCGAUCCGCCCCGCGAACAAUCCCGCGAUCAGUCCCACGAUCUAGUACCGAACGGACGGCACCUCCGCGUUCAGCACACGUACAACUCGACGAUGAUCUCGGCCUUCUUGAUCCAGCAAGAGAGACGAAGAGGUAGAAGAGUUCUCCGGCAGCGUGACGGUGCUCCGGAGGUUGGUGAUGACCUUGUCUCAGCAGGGCUCCGCCCGAGCUCCGCAGAAACGCGAUCUAGAGGAAAAACUGUGGAGGUAUGUGGUCGGGCUGCCGUGGAAAAGUCGUCUCAAAUCAGCCCUAAAACCUCCGUAUAUAUAGGUGGGAGGGAGGGGACCUUGCCUUGGAGCUCAAGGAGCCCCAAGGGGGUCGGCCGAGUCCAAGGGGGAGGACUCCCCCCCCCCAAACCGAGUUGGACUAGGUUUGGUGGGAGGGAGUCCCCCUUCCUUCCCACCUCCUCCUUUUUUUUCUCUCUUGAUUUUCUUCUCCUUGGCGCAUAGAGCCUUUUGGGCUGUUCCACCAGCCCACUAAGGGCUGGUGUGCCACCCUCAAGGCCUAUGGGCUUCCCCGGGGUGGGUUGCCCCCCCCCGGUGAACUCCCGGAACCCAUUCGUCAUUCCCGGUAACUCCGAAAACCUUCCGGUAAUCAAAUGAGGUCAUCCUAUAUAUCAAUCUUCGUUUCCGGACCAUUUCGGAAACCCUCGUGACGUCCGUGAUCUCAUCCGGGACUCCGAACAACAUUCGGUAACCAACCAUAUAACUCUAAUACGCAUAAAACAACGUCGAACCUUAAGUGUGCAGACCCUGCGGGUUCGAGAACUAUGUAGACAUGACCCGAGAGACUCCUCGNNNNNNNNNNNNNNNNNNNNNNNNNNNNNNNNNNNNNNNNNNNNNNNNNNNNNNNNNNNNNNNNNNNNNNNNNNNNNNNNNNNNNNNNNNNNNNNNNNNNNNNNNNNNNNNNNNNNNNNNNNNNAUUUCAAUCUCGUUUACUGGCAAGUCUCUUUACUCGUUCCGUAAUACAAGAUCCCGCAACUUACACUAAGUUACAUUGCUUGCAAGGCUUGUGUGUGAUGUUGUAUUAACGAGUGGGCCCCGAGAUACCUCUCCGUUCACACGGAGUGACAAAUCCCAGUCUUGAUCCAUACUAACUCAACUAACAUCUUCAGAGAUACCUGUAGAGCAUCUUUAUAGUCACCCAGUUACGUUGCGACGUUUGAUACACACAAAGCAUUCCUCCGGUGUCUGUGAGUUAUAUGAUCUCAUGGUCAUAGGAAUAAAUACUUGACACGCAGAAAACAGUAGCAAAAAAAUGACACGAUCAACAUGCUACGUCUAUUAGUUUGGGUCUAGUCCAUCACGUGAUUCUCCUAAUGACGUGAUCCAGUUAUCAAUCAACAACACCUUGUUCAUAAUCAGAAGACACUAACUAUCUUUGAUCAACUGGCUAGUCAACUAGAGGCUUGCUAGGGACGGUGUUUUGUCUAUGUAUCCACACAUGUAAAUGAGUCUUCAUUCAAUACAAUUAUAACAUGGAUAAUAAACGAUUAUCUUGAUAUAGGAAUUAUAAUAAUAACUAUAUUUAUUAUUGCCUCUAGGGCAUAAUUCCAACAAUUCGGGCCUCCGAUGGCUUGCUUUGCCCUGCCCGUGGACGACCUUGCCUCGACAAUGGAGGCGAGCCGGUCGCAAUUUGAACCCGUGGCGGCAAAUUCUUGCGUGUGGUGGCUUCUUCUGUCCUGCGGCGACGGAUUCCGAUGAGUUUUGGGUUCAGUUCGGCAAGUUUCCCAGCGGCGUGUCUGCUCCGACGAGGUUUGACCGGUUUACGGGUUAAACUGUAUACUACCUUCAAAACCGUACAUACAAGGUUUUCGCGGAUGGAUUCAUAGUGCCCUUUAGAAAAGUUUAAGGGCUAAUAAGUUUUAUGGGGUCUGCUAGGCACCGUUAAACUAUGAACACCUUGUUUUUUUACGGAUUUGACCACUUUAAAGGGUGUUCUAGAGUUUCUCAAAAACCACAACAAAAUAUGAAACAGAAGGAGUAACAAUUUUGAUUGAAAAAAUGAAUGGGGUGCAAGUUAAAAAUGAUAGAACGACAAAUACUAUAAACUAGUUAACAAGUAACGGUGAUGCACACAUUCCCGGGCGGGGCCUAGUUGCUAUGUCCACCAUGCCACUAAGGCCACCAUGGUCAGCGGGAUAGGGAGGGAAAUAUGAUGCAAAAACCAAUGUUCGGUGAAAACCAUGAGAAAAAUGUUUUGAAGUUUUGAGAAAAAUAUGAAAAUAAAUACAGACGCUAAGAGGAUGGUGUUUUAUUGCUACACAAAAUUUCAAGUUGAGACACAUUACGAGAUAUGGGCUAUGAAAUUUUUUUAACAUUGAAUAGUGCCGAAUAGUAAUGUCAUUAUUCACGGUUGAAUUUGUCUUUUUGAUAGCUCACAUCUCAUAAUGUGUUUCAGUUUGAAAUUUUGUGUCGCAAUAAAACAUCACAUUCCUAACAUUCAAUGUUAUUUUUUAGUUUUUUUUUACGAAACUUUAAUAUAUGGUUUCUACAAAGUUUUCAUUGAAUAUUGGUUUUCGUGUGAUAUUGCCCAAGUAAAAAAGCGGCAAUACAGGCCCCACGGGACUGAAUAUUCAACCCAUUGAUGAGGAAGUACAUGGUGGAUUAAAACGAGAUGGUUGGUGUUUUAUGUGUCGUUGACCCCUCUUAGUGAUUUAUUCGGAGCGCGUACCACUUCAGAGCUAGCUCAUGAUGCCACUAUGGUGAACGUUGCAUGGUAAACAAAAAAAUUCUACGUACACGAAGACUUAUCAUGGUGAUGUCCAUCGACGAGUGGAGAUUAGAUCUACGUACCCUUGUAGAUCGCACAACGGGAAGCGUUAAGAAACACGGUUGAUGUAGUGGAACGUCUUCACGUUCCUUAAACCGUCCCAUGAACCGUCUCGCGAUCCUUCCCACAAUCCUUUCCGAUCUAGCGCCAAACGGACGGCACCUCCGCGUUCAGCACACGUACAGCUCGACGAUGAUCUCGGCCUUCUUGAUCCAGCAAGCAAGACGGAGAAGUAGAUGAGUACUUCGGCAGCGUGACGGUGCUCCGGUGGUGGUGAUAAUCUAUUCCUGCAGGGUUCCACCCGAGCUCCGCAGAAAUCCGAUCUAGAGGUAAAACUAUGUGGUAUAGGCUAGAGUUGCAUUGGCAAAGUUGUGUCUCAAAAAACCCUAAACCACCACUAUAUAUAGGAGGGAGGGGGAGGGGCUAGCCUUGAGGGACAAGGCCCUCAAGGUGCGCCAGCCGCCAGGAGGAGGAGGACUCCUCCUCCAAUUCGGUUUGGGAAGGAGGAGUCCUCCUCUUCCUUCCCACCUCCCUCUUUCCUUUUCCUUUUCUUUUGGUAUUUUCUUUAUAUGGCGCCAUGGCCCUCUUGGGCUGACUCCACCAGCCCACUAAGGACUUGUGGUGCCACCCUAGGGCCUUGGGCUCACUCCCGGGUGGGUGGGCCCCUCCCGGUGAACACGCGAAACCCAUUCGACACUCCCGGUACACUCCCGGAAUUGCCGAAACUUUCCGGUGAUCAAAUGAAACCAUCCUAUACAUCAAUCUUCGUUUCCGGACCAUUCUGGAAACCCUCGUGACGUCUGUGAUCUCAUCCGGGACUCCGAACAACAUUCGGUAACCACACAUAUAAGUCAACUAUACUAAAACAUCAUCGAACCUUAAGUGUGCAGACCCUGCGGGUUCGAGAACUAUGUAGACAUGACCCGAGGCACUCCUCGGUCAAUAUCCAAUAGCGGGACCUAGAUGCCCAUAUUGAUCCUACAUAUUCUCCGAAGAUCUUAUCGGUUGAACCUCAGUGUCAAGGAUUCAUAUAAUCCCGUAUGUCAUUCCCUUUGUCCUUCGAUAUGUUACUUGCCCGAGAUCUCAUCGUCGGUAUCCGCAUACCUAUUUCAAUCUCGUUAUCGGCAAGUCUCUUUACUCGUUUCGUAAUACAAGAUCCCGUGACUUACACUUAGUCACAUUGCUUACAAGGCUUGUGUGUGAUGUAUUAUUGAGUGGGCCCUGAGAUACCUCUCCGUCACACGGAGUGACAAAUCCCAGUCUUGAUCCAUACUAACUCAACGGACACCUUCGGAGAUACCUAUAGAGCACCUUUAUAGUCACCCAGUUACGUUGCGACGUUUGAUGCACACAAGGUAUUCCUCCGGUGCCAGUGAGUUAUAUGAUCUCAUGGUCAUAGGAACAAAUACUUGACACGCAGAAAACAAUAGCAAUAAAAUGACACGAUCAAUAUGCUACGUUCAUAGUUUGGGCCUAGUCCAUUACAUGGUUCUCCUAAUGAUGUGAUCCAGUUAUCAAGUGACAACACUUGCAUAUAGUCAGAAAACCUUGACUAUCAUUGAUCAACUGGCUAGCCAACUAGAGGCUUGCUAGGGACAUUGUUUUGUCUAUGUAUCCACACAUGUAUCUAUGUUUUCAUUCAAUACAAUUAUAGCAUGGAUAAUAAACGAUUAUCUUUAAAGAGGAAAUAUAAUAAUAACUAUUUAUCAUUGCCUCUAGGGCAUAUUUCCAACAAGUACAUGGUGGAUUAAAACAAGAUGGUUGGUGUUUUACGUGUCCUUGAACCCUCUUAGUGAUUUAUUCGAAGUGCGUACCACUUCAGAGCUAGCUCGUGGGUUGGGCUGGCUUGCUGGGUCGGCCAGGCUGCCUCGCCGGUUGGGUGUUUUUCUGUUGCUCUUUUAUUUUUUAUUUUCUGUUUGUUUCCUUUUGAAAUUGAGUUUUAUUUAAAAACCGAACUUGCACCAAACUCUUGUAGAAAAUUUCACAUAUGCUCAACUUAAUAUUUAUGACUUAGCAAGAAGAAUUUCCUGCCAAAAUAAAACUUAAUAACCUUGUUUUGAAUAUGUUAAUUACCUCCUUAUUAUAUGUGAAUUGAUUCAAAAAUUUAAUUCAGUUCAAUCAUCUCAGGAAUAUUUACAAAGAUAUAGAUUAUUAUUUAGAACUUGCAAAAUACUUUUUAACACAGAUUCAAUUUUUGAAUUGUCACCCUAUUUUGCAAAAAAAUAUAUUCCAUAAAUACUUGUAGGUUCCAAUUUAAAUCCCAAUUUCAAUUUAGAGUUUUAAAUAAUAUCUGAGAUAUAUGGAAUUUUUUUUCCAAGCCAAAUUACUUGAUGGAAGUCACACACACACAUUUUGUAACCCAAUUUUGGUUUUAUAAAUAAUCCCUAAAUGACAACUUAGAGUCCUAAAUAAUUCCAAAAUUUUAUUUUUAGCCAUAAUUGAACUCAAAUCAAUCGACUCCUAAUGAAAAGUAGUUGAAAUAAAAGCAAUUCCAAGAACAUUUGAAUUUUUUAAUUGACUAUAAUUUUUAUUUCAUAUUCCAAAUUUGGGAGGGAAAUUGGGAUUUGGCAAUGAACCAUUUGUUUCUCCAUCACUCAGUUUUGAAACAAAUUCCUACAUCAUGAUAUUAUGAACUUUAAAUAAUAUUUUUUCUCGACAAAGGUCCGAUCAACUUGUUCUUAGCCCAUUACACUAUAGCUAGCCCAUAAGGAGGGGGCAGGUGGAGCUGUAAGCAAACAAGUUUCUAGACCCACUAAAAAAGGCGAAAAUGAGAGCAAAGAAACGGUAGGCUCCAUAUUCAAACUCAGAGAAGGCUGGAUCUAUAAAAACGUUAAGAAAACACCAAAUGAAUUUGAGAAUUCAUAACAUUCUACCAGGUGUAAUUGUUUUGUACUCCCUCCGUUCCUAAAUAUAAGUCUUUGUAGAGAUUUCACUAGUGGACUACAUACAGAUGUAUAUAGACAUACUUUAGAUUAUAGAUUCCAUCAUUUUGCUCCAUAUGUAGACCCUUAGUAAAAUCGUUUAAAAGACUUAUAUUUAAGAACGGAGGGAGUAUAAGUCUAUUUUUUAAGUAAAUAUUGUUAUUUAUUUUAAUCAUGUGAUUAGAGACGCGCUUGCAUGGCUAUAAGUUUCACUUGUGCUCACUAUCAUGUCGCCGUGACUUUUGCUUAUUUCUGACAUUUUGUGUGCACAUAUCAAAAUGGUGUUUUUGCGAUCCGACGAAUAUCCUAAACCUGAUGCAGUGCAAGUGGAAGUAUACUAUGGUUGGUGACUUCGUUGUCUCAUUGUUUUCUCCAUUUGCUCCAAUUGGCGAGUCCUUCUCUUCGAAGGUUUUUGGUGAAUGGUGACAAUGACUGAAAGCCACCCAAAUGAAAGAUUUGUCGCAGCGAUUGUUACAAAUAUCCCACGUUUUUUUAAGUAAGGAGAUGAUCCGACCUGCUGUCAAAAAGAAGAGAUGAUGAUUUGACUUUCUUGGUACCGUCAAAGGUUUAGCAACUACAAAACGGUCCUUUUGGCCGGACGAACGGCCCGUCUCUCUGACUCUCUCCACGCGUCACGCCGUCGCGCGCUACCUGCCGAGCGCUGCCGGCCGGGAACCGGGGUCCGACCCAGUCCUCCUCCCGCCAUAAUUUAAAUCCCACAGGACUCCAAAUCCCCAUCCUACCCCUCCUCCUCCAACCAAGAGCGCGUGCCCUUUUCGGCCAUUUCGUCCUCUCCGUCGUGUGCUUCCGAGUCCAAGGUUAUCGAAACAAAACCAUCCCCAUCACCGAGUGUCCUGCUCAGCGCAGGCGGCACGGCACGCGAGAGAAGGCAGACAUGGCAGGGCCUACGCCGACGUACUCCGCCGUUGUGGCGCACGCCUCGGCGUUCCUCGCGGAGCUCAUCGCCGACCCGCUCCUCCGGCGCCACCUCCUCUCGGCCGCAGCCGCCGCGGACGGCGGCGGGGGGCAGCACACGGCCGCGACGCUCCAGGCGCUGUCCCUCAUAUCGGACGCGCUGGACACGGUCCCGUCUGCCUCGCCGUCGCCGUCGUCGCUCCGCGCCGCAGAGCGACUGCUGCUGUCCCUCCCCGCGGCCACCCCGCUCUCCUGCCUCCUCUCUGCGCUCGCGUCGGCCGCCCGACGGCGCGGCGGGGCGCCGUCCGCCGCUUCCGCCGUGCUCGACCUCUUCGUCCUCGAUCCCGCGCUCGCGCGCCACGAGCUCGCGCCCGCGGCAUUCGAGGCGCUCUUCGCGCCGCGCCUCCUCCCCGUGAUGCGGCACUUCGCCACGCGCCGCGCGUCGGCCGCCGCCGCCGUGGCAUCCGCGGCGCAGGGCGACGAGGACAGAUCCGUGGAGACAGUCGCACUGUCGGCGAUGAGGGUGCUGUCGCUGAUGAGCGGCGCCCAGGCGCAUGAGAUGAGGGGCCUGGAGCGCGAGUACGAGAUGGUGCUGGACGUGAACUGCAAGGCCUACGCGCUCUACCUAAAGAAGAUCCUCAAAGCCGGCGAGGCGCCAAGGAUGUCGCCGCCGCCGCCUCCUCCAGAACUUGUAUUCACAGUAGGACAGCACGAAGACGAGUACGAGAACACGGGCUACGAGGAAGCCUCGACGGACGCCGACGACGGGGCCGUCAGUUCGCAGAAUGGAGUACGGAAUAAUGUAAGUCUACAUAGACACUCCAUUCUUUCGCAUCCAUUUCAGCGUGCUCAACGGAGUAGUCCAGACUCCAGAUUCACAGCAGGUUGCCGGUGAUUUCUGUAGCCAAUGUGGGCGGAGGCGGAGGGCGACCUGUACCUGCGGCAGGGCAGCGUCAAGGGCCGGAGGGAAAUGAUGAGGCCGCCGAGCCUGUAUCCGCAGCGCGUGGCUCCGCACCUCAUAGUGCAGCAGCAGAAGAAGCAGCCGCCACAGGUCGGGAGAGGAAGCCCGGCGUCCAGACUCCGGGCCGGCUACUCGCCUCCCACGGCUUCCGACGACAGCACGGAGGAUUCUUCAUCCGAGCUCUACACCGGAAAACAGGUGUGUGCUUUAUGUGCUGCAUGCCUGUAGCUGAACCUUGACGCGAACUCAAACUUAAACAAGUUCUUUGAAGCCGAAAUUAGAGAGGUGUUUAAUUAUCGGCUGAAACUAGAGAAGUUCAUUGGUGCUCAGCUCAAGUCAUUUCUUAUGAAUCGCAGCCCCGAAGAAGAUUAACAGUACACAUCCAGUUCAUGAUUAGUUAGCAUAUGCACUGGUUUCAACAUGGAUGCCGGCCUACUGCAAGUAAAAAAAUAUGAACUUUGAAUUAGGCAACUUAGACUCGUUUGUCAGUUUACGAUAAUCCCAUUUUAAUAACUAGACCUGGUCUUAUUUACUCUGAAAAGCUGACAUUUUUUUGUCUACAUUCUUACUUACCUUCUCACAAGUCAUAACACAUUAGAAACCAAGUUCAUCACUAUUUGUUAAUCCUUAUGUAAACUAAUACAAAAGUAUUUAGAUCUAAACGCUUUUAUAUUAGUUUACAUAGGGAGUAUUUCACAACCUGAAACUAAACCAUCAGGGCGUUUGGAUAAAUGGUCUGGAUUCGACAGAUUUGUAAAACUAGUGUUUCGUAAUUGGCACCCUGAAAUCAAUAAAUUCUAACUCCCCCAUUUCGUAAAUAGAAGAUGUGGGUUUUAGAUAUUGGUAUCUGUACGGAUUUUCAACUAGAAAUUUACUAAAUUCAUACUUCCUCCGUCUCAAAAUAACNNNNNNNNNNNNNNNNNNNNNNNNNNNNNNNNNNNNNNNNNNNNNNNNNNNNNNNNNNNNNNNNNNNNNNNNNNNNNNNNNNNNNNNNNNNNNNNNNNNNNNNNNNNNNNNNNNNNNNNNNNNNNNNNNNNNNNNNNNNNNNNNNNNNNNNNNNNNNNNNNNNNNNNNNNNNNNNNNNNNNNNNNNNNNNNNNNNNNNNNNNNNNNNNNNNNNNNNNNNNNNNNNNNNNNNNNNNNNNNNNNNNNNNNNNNNNNNNNNNNNNNNNNNNNNNNNNNNNNNNNNNNNNNNNNNNNNNNNNNNNNNNNNNNNNNNNNNNNNNNNNNGUUAUUUUGAGACGGAGGGAGUAUAAUUUAGAUAUUUAUCAAGGACUUCACCAGGGAGCGGCGCCGCACAUUAGUCUCCCCGUGCGGCGGCUCCCUUCCAUCCAUUCCUUGCAUGCAUGCAUGCAACAUUAUACGAACAUGACAUCAUUAAUCUUCUUUCUAUUUUGUAUUUAAAAAAAUUAUCUUUCAAACUGUUAUCAUUAAUUAAUGAUCCGUUGUCAUCACUGAAUUUUUUGCGACGAGAUCUUCAAAACUAGAUCCCAUGUCGAUAUGUUCUGAUAACUUUUAUUUUAAUCGGUACUUACCAGAUUACUAUCACUUACUUGUCGCAUUAUUUGUCACAUAGUUCCCACAUUAAAUCAACUUGGUUAUCAGGCUUAUGAAUAUCUAUAUACCCCACUAAAAAACUUGAUUCAUUGUACUUGUGUUGGUUCAUGCAUUUACUUGUUUAUUGAUAAUGCUUUAAUACCCACUUUUUAGCUUCACAUAACAUUGCAAUGCUUAAAAAGUAUAAAAUUAUUGUACCGAUAACUAUGUAUAAUUUUUGUGACAAUUAUACAUCUGUAAGAUGACAACUGUGAUGGCAUAAAUGUGACAGCUAGGAAUGAUGAAAAAAAAUCAACGAAAUAUGCCAACAUGAGAUCUUAUUUUGAACGUCUCGUCGAGACGAAUCUAACAGUGAAGACGAAUCUCCAAUCAAAUUAUUAAUCUGUGAGAUAAAUCAUUUCUAAAAUUCAAAAAAGCAUUUGAUACGAUGAUGUAAGCAUGAUGUAAAAGAUUCUUGCAUGUGGACGAGGCUAUUCUAGCCGUUGCAUGGGAGAGCUGUGGUGUGACGCCUCUCUUUAGAUUUUCCCAUUUAUCAAUCAAAAUGAUUAUUUAUGUAGAACAAGUCAAUGUUAGAAUAGUUUGAUACCAUGCUUUCUACGAAUUCAUCGAAUGGAGGUAAUUCUAGAAAAGGAGUUAUGAUGCAUAUGUUCCUGAUGAGUUGUGAUAACCCCAUUCGCAAGUAAUAACAAUGGAUAACCCGGUUUUAAUUUAAUUGGUUUUACACGUUAAAAGAUAUAUAACAUGCAUGAAAAAAAUCUUGCCAUAAGUGUUGUGAUUUUGUUUUGUAAAUUUCAGUAGUAAGUUAGUUUGUAGUUUGAUUCGUUGAAUAUUGUGGUAAUGACAUUUUGGGAAAAAUGUACAUCAGCCUAUAAAUAAAUUUAGAAUGACCCAGUUCAACAGCACAACUAAGUACUCCCUCCGUUUUUACUUGCUCCGCACAUUAGCUUUGACUGAAGUUCAACUUUAUGAAGUUUGACCAAGUUUGUAGGAAACAUUAUGAAUGUUUACAUUAAUACAUUUAUAUGAUGUAAAAAUAUAUGCAGUGAUGAAUCCAUUGUUAUUGAUUUGAUUUUUUGUACAUUAAUAUAAUUUUCUACAAACUUGAUGUAAGUAUUUAAGGUUUUACUUUAUAGAAACCUAAUAUGCAGAGUAAAUAAACGGAGGGAGCAUAUGAGAAGUUAAAGCUUCACACACACAAAACAACUAGGAUGAAUAUCUAGAUGACAAAGCAUAUAAUAUAAUGGCUGAUUUGCUAUAUUCCUAAGUAGUUUGAGAAAUAUACAACUGUCCUCUUGUACUUUUCAAACUGAAACGACAAAGAAGUAACUAAUUAUUUUUUACAAAUAAUGAACCAAAAGUCACAGUCGUCAACUUAGAAAAAGGUAUUCAUUCAUGGAUUCCGAAAUAUUCCAUCCGUGCUUAAAUGUAAGCCACAAUUUAUACAUUUAGAUAGAUACAGAUGUAGCAACACUUAUAAUGGGCAGUGGUAUGAAGGACGAGGAUUUGUGGCUCUGGGGUGCUAUCCCCCUAUAUGUAUAUAUAUAUAGAGAGAGUAAUAUACUCACUAAAUACAAACGGCAUAUACUAUGUAUGGUGGGCCGGAAAGUAAACAAAGUUUCUCAAUGGCCCUGUUUGGAUACUCUAACUUGGUUAGAGGUUAGAGUUAGAUUCUAACUCUAGACUAACCCUAAACUAACUCUAACCAAAGAGGUGUUUGGAUGGAAGAGUUAGAUAGCCAAUAAAUGCACUUAUUUCAAUCAUUUGGCUUCUUUAUCUAUGAUUUUGUAUGGUGGAGGAAGAGAGAAAAGUAAUUUUUUUGGACCCCACCUAACUCUAACCCAAAAAAGCACCUCUUGGAUGGGUUAGAUGCAUCUAACCAGCUCUAACCCACGUGUUUAGAUUUUUGAGGGUUAGAUGAGUUUAAUUUAACUGACUCUAACUCUAACCCUAGGAUGCAAACAGCACCAAUACUACUAACCAAUGCAGACUUGUGGGUCUAGGUUUAAUUAAUGAAUGUACUAUUAGGACAUGCAAGACAGGGACAUUUAAUUCAUGUGUGUGCUAGUGAGAUGAAAGACAACAGAUAGUUACUACCAUAAACACUGUAUUGAAGCUCAGCUGGCACGGUCCAAUAAUUAUAAACAAAAGUGUUUGCAUGUGGUGUAAUUAGUGUUAAUACAUCUUUUUUGGACCAUAAAAAUAGACAGCUACAUACUGGUUCGUGGAAUAAGCCAGUAUAAAAGAAUGACUAAUUACAUUGUUUUUUAAGAGAAUAAGUGCUUGAAUUAGUAUAAUAUUACAAUUCAAAACUUCACACAAAAAUAUAAAAUCGUGAAAGAUAUUUUAUGAAUAACAAAACUGCAUGCAUCCUUAAAAAUCAUGCAUGCAUGUGGUUGCUAGUAAUCAAUAAUUUAAGUGAGUCAUGCAUGCUUUUACUCUUGUGUGGGUCCGGUCACCUAAGAAAGCACAUGCAUGCCGACAUAUACCAAAUGUUGAGCAGCCUCUCACGUAUGCAUGGGCCCAUGUGUGCAGAAAAGUAGAAUCAUAUACGAGACAUAUGAUUCAAUGUAAUUAUCUGAUAUAAAAGUUUAUACAAAGCAUUUAUGUCAUAUGUUUUAAAUCCCGAAUGAAAGUGCGUGGUGGAGAUGUAGGGGGUGCAGCACCUAGGAUGCACUAUGCAAUUCCCGUGGUAUGAACGGCUACCAUACUACAAUCCCGGAAAUUAUUGCAAUGGGAAGUUUCGGAUAUACAACCACGACUAGUUAUUUUAUGUGACUGAGAUGUAUAAAAUUUAGGAUAACUUGUGAACAAAUAAUCACUUGGAAACAUCCAACCAUCCUCAUCUUCUUAGGCCAUCUACUACGGGGGCGCUAACACUAGGCGACAAAAUUGUUUUCCUGCUCACUACGAUGCGAUUCCCCGUCAAAAACAUGAUAUUGCCUAGCAUUGAAGCAAACUAAGUCACUGGGCGCCUCAUCCUUUUUCUUUGCACAAAUCAAAGUUAAUUGGUCAUGAGGACUAAGGCUGGAAUUUUAACUCGAAAGCCAUGAGCUAAAUGAGUAGCCCGUGACUCAGCUCGACUCGACUCGAACUCGUUGACUAAUGAUUGAGUUGAUUUUUAAUCUGAGCUUGUUAACAAAAAAAAGUUUAACAUGUCGAGCUAACGAGUUACUCGUUUAGCUCAUUAAGCUCGUUAAUCAGAAGGGACGUGAGAUAAGUAUCAAUAUUUUUGUAGAUUAUUUUCAUUUAUGGAGUGUACAAAGUGUGUCUUUUGUGUAAACUAUUGAUUGUUUGAUUUGUGUAGAAGGUUCUAUGUUUAUAAGUAUAUUCUUGUAGAUUAAUUGCAUACAUAAUAUGUAUAUCUUGUUAUUCACGUCUAUAACAAGCUUAACGAGUUAAAUAAGCUAGCUCGUGAAUUAGACGAGUUGAGGUGAGUUUAAAUCUAAGCUUGUUAUGUUAACGAGUCGAGCCGAGUUAACUCGUUGUCUUAAUGAGCUCUAACGAGUCAAGCUAAGCUAACUCGUUAUCUUAACAAACUUUAACGAAUCGAGCCGAGCUGGCUUAACUCGACUUGAAUUCCACCCCUAAUGAGGAAUUAUCCUGCUUUUUAAUUUUGGAAACAAAAUAAUUUCAGACCUCACCUAAAUAUACAAAAGUUCAAAAAAUUACAUAUUUCCUGAAAUAUUUUGAUUUUGAGUUUCCAAAAUUCACCUAAUUUCAAUGAAUUUUAACAUAAUUUUAAAUUUAUUUUGAAAUCAGUUUGAAUUUGCAUCUUAAUUUCAGGGAAAAAAAUAUUUCAGACCCCAAUGAAAUAUGCAAAAUUUCAAAAAUUUGUGUGAAAUUUCGUUGAGAUUUUUAAACCUUAUCCUGGAUGCCAAAGAAAUUAAUUCCCAAAGAAUAUCAAUGGAGGCUUCUUCAACUAACUCGCUGGUUUUCCGGUUUCUUUGGCUGCUAGGUCGGCUUGGUGUUGAGGAGGACAAAUUUGCGAUUCAAGUUUUUAUUUUUAUUUUUGACAAUUUUUAUGUAAGUUGACAGGAUUUGCAAUUUGAGUUUUUUUGUUUAUUAUAGAGAACGACUCUAUGGUGAAUUUUCAAUUUGUUUUUUUUAUCUCUAGCGUCUAAACAAAUGGCUAAGCAUUGGAGAUGACCUUAGUCACCCAAUUUCACUAGAGUUGUCCAUUUUCAAAUAUGUUUUUGAUAAAAACACGUCUAAAUGUACCCGGCAUUGAUUUGAAGCGGAGAUUCGUGUUGGUAUGUUCCUUUUUAUUUUCCUUUUCAUUUUGAUUAUGUCAUUUAGAUGUGUAAUACUUAGGGUGGCCUAAAUAGAAAUAAUUAUGAAAUUGAGUUCUUAGCUUCUUUAGAAAAAGCUCAGUAAAAGAAGACAUGUAAACUUCCCGGGAAAAAAAAUACUCCCUCCGUUUCUAAAUAUAAGUUUUUUAAGCGAUUUCACUAAGGGUCUACAUACGGAGCAAAAUGAUUGAAUCUAUACUCUAAAGUAUGUCUAUAUACAUCCGUAUGUAGCCCUAUUUAGGAACGGAGCGAGUACUACACAACCCUCGUUUGCUUCUCCGGCUGAUCUGCUGAUGAGCCAUCUCUCCAAAGCUGAGUUCCCAAUGUUGUUGCCUUGUCUCUUAGGAAAAGCAAGCGGCGUCCCCACUGUCCAAGCCACGCGGCGACGACGGCGCCAGCCGGGCCCGCCUCUCUCCGGAGCACUCAAGGUAACCAUGUCACCCGCUUCCGGAUACAGCAUUUCCCGCAACCUAGAUUGCACCGAUGCCAUCGAUGGAGACACGCGCUGAUGGAUUUGAAUACAUACAGGUCCUCGAUGGCCGGCGACGCCGAGCUGUCGCGGCUUCAGCAGCAGGCGGCGACGACGCCCAAGGACUUCGUGUGCCCGAUCACGAGCCAGGUGUUCGACGACCCCGUCACGCUCGAGACCGGCCAAACGUACGAGCGCCGCGCCAUACAGGAGUGGCUUGACCGCGGCAACGCGACGUGCCCCAUCACGCGCCAGCACCUGCACGGCGGCAGCCUCCCCAAGACCAACUACGUCCUCAAGCGCCUCAUCGCCGGCUGGCGCGAGCAGAGCCC